UGUGGAUCUUCUACGCACUGGUCAAGACCGGUGAGGGCCUCCUCAUCAGCAUCAACGCUGCCGGCUGCGUCAUCGAGACCGUCUACAUCGUCAUGUACCUUGUCUACGCCCCCAGGAAGGCCAAGAUUUUCACAGCCAAGAUCGUCGUCCUCCUCAACAUCGCUGGCUUCGGGCUCAUCUUCCUCCUCACCCUCUUCGCCUUCCAUGGCGAGACACGUGUCGUCUCGCUCGGCUGGAUCUGCGUCGGCUUCUCCGUCUGCGUCUUCGUUGCCCCACUCAGCAUCAUCGUGAGCCCUUUUUGACCGAACAACCUCCUACUUGAGUUCAUGCAUGGCGGGACCUCUUGUACGUGCGUCAACUAACUCGAUGUGUUCCCUUCCCCAGGGACGAGUCAUCAAGACCAAGAGUGUGGAGUACAUGCCCUUCACGCUCUCCCUCACGCUCACCCUCAGCGCAAUCGUCUGGUUCCUCUACGGCCUGCUCAUCAAGGACAAAUACGUCGCGGUAACUACACCAACAACCCUUUCUACACAAACAAUUCUCUCAAUCAUGAGCACUGACGAUUAAAAUUAUGUUUCCAGCUCCCAAACGUCCUUGGCUUCACCUUCGGGGUGAUCCAGAUGGUCCUCUACGUGUUCUACAUGAACAAGACGCCGGUGGCAAGCGAGGUCAAGGAGGGGAAAGAGGCAUGGAAGGCGCCCGCAGAGGACCACGUCGUCGUGAUCAACGUCGGCAAGGCCGACAAGAGCUCGUGCGCUGAGGUGCGCCCGGUCACCGAGAUGGCCAGCGCCGUGGACGUCCCCAGGAGAUGCGCUGCUGAGGCGGCGUCGCCGGGGCAGCAAGUGAUGGCGGUGGACUUUGCCCGUUCUGUCGAGGUGGUCUAGAUGCAACCAUGCAUGGCUCAUGCAUGAGUCGUGCAAGCUUUAAUAUUCGAACAACCUUUUUGGAGGGUAUGCAGGGCUCUAGAUUCCUGCAUGCAGGGUAUGCGAUGCCUUUGUUCUGUUAUAUCAACGUGUUGAUAAUAUGAGGCAUAAACAAUAUGUAUCUGCAGUGUAUAGUGCAGUUGCCAGUAUUGUUGCCCAUCUGAAGUUUCCUGAGAUAAAUUUAUUUUGUAAACUACAGGAAAAUCUGUCUGUGCCGAUUGGUCAGCUGUAUGCCAAGUGUUGUUUCGCUGGCUUACAGGCCAGUAUGCCGAGCACCGUCACAAAACACUCCUCGUAUAUACGGUACUCGGCGUACCCAAUAUGCCGAGCAUCUUAAAAUACACUCAACACACCAUGCAAAAAAAAUAAAAAAUUCUCAACACACACUAGGUAUUAGGCAAACACAAGAAGAAAAAGAUAUAAACACUCGGCAUAAACAAGUUGCUCAGAAAUGUUUUGCCACGCGUCUCCUUUGGUUGUUGUUGACGGAUCUGAUACUGUGGAUGUAGUAUGCCGAGUGCCUCUUGUUAAGUACUCCCUCCGUCCGGAAAUACUUGUCAUCAAAAUAGAUGAAAAUGAAUGUAUCUACAACUAAAAUACAUCUAGAUACAUCCAUUUCAAUGACAAGUAUUUCCGAACGGAGGGAGUAAUCGACAAACAUUAUCACUAAAUGUAUGCCGAGUACCCAAAAAUGGCACUCAACAUUUUUUAAAUCUAUUCCUCCAUUAUUUGGUCUUUUUAUUGUCAUUUUCUUUCUUCUAUUUUGCUAUAUUUCUUCUUUUCAUAGCCUUUACAUUCUACUCCCUCCGUCCGAAAAUACUUGUCGGAGGAAUGGAUGUAUGUAGACGUAUUUUAAUUCUAGAUACAUCUAUUUUUAUGCAUUUCUCCGACAAGUAUUUCUGGACGGAGGGAGUACUAUAUUAUGUUCUUUGUUCUUUUCGUUGUACAUAUUCUUUCUUCGGUUUUCCUUUUCUUUUAUUUUCUUUCUUGUAUUUCCCUUUCUUCCAUAUUUUAUUGUAUUUCCUCUUCUUUAUUCGUUAGUUUACAUGUUUAGUAGUAAUAUAGAAAACGAGCCCGAUUACACGAAAUCAUGGCGAGAAAGUGUCGGGUUUAUCAAGCAGGUGGUGGCCCCGUUCCUCCCUUAGCCUUGAAACUUUUUGUGCACUCAACAGAGGCCAUUACAUGACACAUGCCAGAUACUAGCCUUUUCCGGGGCUCGUCUACUUUAUUCAGGACAUUUAAGGCAUUUCUAAGGAUUUAACGGCGUAAAUUCUAGAUCUGAGUUGCAACGACAUGAAAACAUGGCCAAAAUGGAUUGAAAAUUCUUAUUUGCGGUCUUGGUCCCAUGUCCAGGCCACGUGCAGCCAAAUGGAGGGAGGAAGGGGGGCUCAUGGUUAUGCCGUUGACACGCGGAAUGCUACGAUUUCAAUCCACGAAAUUCAUACGAAGGCCUGGCAUGGUGUUGUCAUAUGCCCCCUCAAGGCUAUGGUAAAAAUUAGAGAGAAUUUUUGCAUAAGUCUUCUCAGAGACUGCAUAGAAACUGGACCAUCCACUAGGAAAGAUCUAGGUUUCCAGAGGGAACAAAUCAAGUUUUGUGCAAAGUGACCACCAAUUCAUCUAUUGGCAUUUUACAGCUUGUUUUCUAUAUUUAAUGCAUUAAAUGAAUUCCUAUGCAUUUAAUGAAUAUAAUUAAAAUUUUAACUAUAGGUACAUGAAAUAAUGGUCAGAAAUGGGUUAAAAAAAUCUUAUAAAUGAUAUUUAGUCUAUGUUUAGCCCUUAUACCAUUAAAUAAAUGGAGUGGAAAAACAUCAAGGACCAAGACAUGGGCACCAACAUGGAGCUUGGUACUUACUAAUUCUGAAAAUUUCGAACGAAGCGAAACAACAUGAAACUUGACAUGGUUUCGUGAUAUCACCCCUAGAGGAUGUGGUAGAAAUUGUAUAAUCUUUUAAAGAGUUCAUCACAUAGACUGCUUAGAGACCGAAUCAUGUUUGAGGAAAAAUCUAGGUUUUGAGGAGGAACAUGUCAGGUUGUCAUGCGCAAUGACUACUUUUUCAUAUGUUGGAGCUGGGGUUGUCAAGCUCAAUGAAGUACCCAAAACCUUAUUAACUCCGGGGACACUGUGCUGACAUAGAGGAUAUUUGCGUGGAUCACAUCAUUAAAGGCAGAUGAAUUUUAUUGACCGGAAACUUCACAACAAAAUUAUAACCUUGGCCGCGUGACAUUGUUGACCUUCUUUUGAUUCAUAUAACACGUCACUGUGUAGGACAUAAAGUUCGAUCUAGAGGGUCCUCAACGUAGAGUCUGAUAGCAUCGGUUAACCGGCCUUAUACGUAUUCCAUUUGCGCCCUUCUGGGAUGAUAGUGGGCACCGUUGUUUUGUCUUUGGACGGUCUAGAAUUGGCAGGUACAUCCUUCUCCGUUGAUGGCAGAAUAUCUUGGACUAUGUCUGCGGUAUCGGCAAGGUUGAAAAGGGGGUCAAGGUUCACGAAGGCCAGACCACCAUCAUUAGCAGACAAUCUGCAAGGAAUCUCCUCUAUAUCAACCAGUGGCCACUUAAGCAUGUGGCCCUGGGUCACUUGUCCUAACGUAGUGACUUUCUCUUCAUUCUAGUACCAUCGGUAAAUGGGAUGAUUUGCCCCUCGGCAACCCUUGUCAUCACGCCGUCCAUGUUGGCUUGUAGCCAGCAUGAAACAAAGUGAGAUGAUCAUGGCUGCUGGGUGCUACUAGAAAAAUGUUGCUAGGUAGGAUUUGACAUGUUGCGCAGAGACAAUUCAGCUAACUUCUUCCGAGCUGCUGCAUCUAAUGCGGGUCCUAGUCGUGCUUGCACUUUGGCGUCAAUCUUUUCAUCCACCCUAUUUUUCCAUCUGACUUGUUUAAGUUCUUUGGUUUGGGGAUAGACCUCGUCCCACAAGGUCUUUCCCAUGCCCAAUGCAUGGUCAAUCAUGAUCAACCUGUUAACCCCGAAGCCCUCGCUGAAUGCCUAGGUAAGAGAGUCAUCAUACCUAAAGCCGUGGCGAGAAUCUUGAGGAGCGCGUCCAAAUCCUUGCAACAGACCAGGACAUUAUUUCGCAAGAUGGAACCUAGCAUUUUGCUGUAUGUUCUUGCUGCAUGAGCUCGGCUGACGGGCUCGCCUUCCAGGCUCAUUCGGUGAUUGAAAUGAUACUUUUUAUGAAGCGUCUUUGGAUUCCUAGGCUUUCACUUGCUCUUGUUUGUGGUGGCGGUGCUAGAUGAAGUCCCGCCCGUGUGGCCUGUUCCCUCUCACACGGUGGUCUAUUCUUCAUAUAUGUCCUUGCACAUCUCUAUGUCAGGGGCGCCCAUCUCGACCUCAGGGUAGACGUAGUUGGGUUCCUCUUGAGCUGAUGUUUUGGCGUGGGGAUCCAUUCAUCGAACUACAGUAUUGUCACAAAAGAGUUACAAUCGAAACAUAGAAAAGAAACGUUGAUGGGAAAUUUCAGCAUGACCUUUGCUAAAAUUAGGCCAUAUUGAGUGCCAAAAAUUUGACGAAGUGGAAACAACGUUUUGUCUAAACAUUGGCACUCAUACCAAUUUCUGCGAUCAAACACAACCUUGUGGCUGCACAGUUUGUAACAAAGAAUUAUAAAAAAAACAUAAAAAACAAAAUAUCAUCCAAAUUUUUUGGCAUGACCUUUGCUAAAUUAGGGCAUACAGAGUGCCAGAAAUUUGAUGAAAUGGAAAUGAAUCAGUGUUCCUCAAAACAUUGGCACUCAUAUAAUUUCCUGCAAAUCAACCCACAAAAGUUUGGUAUGUCUGACAACAUCUAACUGCUUUGUGUGCAUUUCAUCGAACACAUUACAAUCCUCUCCAAUAGAGUGGUAUAUGUGGAUUUGAAAAAUGAGUGGAAAUACCUUGGGAGAUCGCGCGCAUACGAGACAGAGGAGGAGAGCUUACAACGGUGCUGGAGGAGACAAAGUUGCGACAGAGGUGACGGUGGAAAGGGGCCGGCGCAGCGGAAUGCCACCGGGGGCAAAUACGGCGGCACACAUGGGCGUCGGCGGGGGCGACAUAUGAGGAGGACAGGGGCAGUGCUACCGACAACGGCACGCGAUAGCGGCAACUGAGGCGAGGAAGUGGGGCUGGAAACUACGGCGGCACUUGGCAGUGGUGGGCGAUUGCCGUGGAUCUGGAGCGGGCGAGAGGAGAGCGGAAGAUGCGAGAGGCGAUUUGAAUUCAGAAGACCGGCUUAGGGGAGUAACUGUUUCAGGUUGUCCUUGUGGCGGGCUUUGCUAAAAGCCGGCCAGCACAAACUUUAGCUGUGGCUGGGACAUAAUAAUGCCCGCCAUCGUGAACCUUAGCUUUGUAAACCCAAGUCCUUUCAUUAGCUUUCUAGGACAUUUUCACUUUAAACUUUUCUAUGAUUAACACACACCAUCCAAAUCCACAAGUUCAAAUUUAGACACUUUUCAUUCGGGUCUGCUAUUUUCGAGGCAUUAGCUGAUUUUACGGCCACUAAAAAAAAGGAAAAACGCUCUUCGGUAAGAAAUAGAGCGCAAAUGAGUUUCGGAUGGGAUGAAACUUUGCAUGGUGUCUUUUUCUUAGAAAUGUUCGGUGUUGUAAAAGUUUGAGAGUGUUAUGGCAAAAACUUGGUGCACCACCCCAAGGGGAUACUUUGUCGGGUGUUACUCGUUGCGCAUCCCAGAUCAACCAAACCCAUAAGGUCCAUCACCAACACCAUCUACAACAUUCUAACGCUAAUCAAAGCCACCACUAGAAUUCACAACUUUUGUAUUUAGGUGAAAGAAAUGCAACAAUUCAAAGGACUGAGCAUGUCAAUGUCUCUCGAGGAUAAAAAGAUUUUCGGACACACAAUUGCAUGAAAACCUUAAGGUAAAGAACAUUAAACAAAACACUAUGGCUGGAAAAAUAACCUCCCCAAGGUUAGAACACUUUACAAUACAAAACUUGAGCAAAAUUAUGAAAAGAAAAGAGAAAAUGCAGUUAUUAAACCAGAGUAUGAGAAGCGGUCACCUCCCCAUGCUUAAGUUAAGAAAGGGUAAUACACUUUAAACGGUUAGGCACAACUGACCUAUCAUUCAAUGAACAUUUUUUUGAUAAAAUGCGCUUUAUAUUCAAUGGACAUAAACCUUUGCUUCAAUAUUUUUUCCUUUUUUUUUCUUGUUAUGGUCUGGUGGCUCCUUACCCCCUCUUGCAUAAAAAUGAGUAGAAUUGGUUGGUAUAGAGGACAGCGAUGGUCAUCUUCGACAGAUUGCACAACGUGCGAAGACCUACUCCCGUAGAAGAUCUGCGGGUUUCUCUGUCCGCCUGCAUGAUGGGUACCACGCCAUCUACGUCACAAGCCGGCAUAGCAGAAGCUGUCGGGCACGCUAAGGGCAUGUACAAUGCUGGCAUAUGGAUACAUAUGCCCCAUGACAAAAAGUAAUUUGAAGCACCUACUUCAGUUUUCUUCUCCAAUGCAAGCUAUUAUUAGUGGGCCUCAUUAAGAAAUAAAAAAUAAAGACUCUAGUACAGCAUCUCUACUUUUCACUCCAACCUUUUCAGCUUUUGUCACCGGACCAUGCUUUUUCUCUUCAAGCACCCGCCUCCUGGAGAGGAUCCCGCUUUCCUAUCCGAACCUACUUUACGUCAUAUCCAAUCCUACAUGACAUGUGAGGCAUCACCUUGAGGCUAUGCAUUGUACAUGCCCUAAGUCGUCACUCUGUUCCGGCUCCACAAGCCCAAUAGGCUAACAGUUUUGAAUUUUUUCUCUAGUUAAACUUGAAUGGCCAUGGCAAUUUUCCAUCGUGCGUAUUGCGUUCAGCAGGAUGAUAGAGAAUUUUAAUGUUAAGCAGUAGUGGUCUAAAAUACUUAUCAUAUCCUUAUGUUAAUCAGGGACAUGUUAAUGGUACUUUUGUGUACCUUUUGGUACCUCCGCAAGGACCAUAAAAAACUCCACUAUGACAAUAAUAAUCUCCCAAGUCUCAACCAAUUGAUAUAUAUAUAUAUAUAUAUAUAUAUAUAUAGUAUACCCUACCAAGGAGGGCUGGGUAUUCAUGACCUUGAGGUUAAAAAACUGCUCUCCUUGCAAAUGGUUGUUUAGGAUGCUAGCAAAAAAUUAUUGAUGACAAACCCACCUACGGAAAAAAUACUUCUUCCACGAUGGGUCCUUCACUAUUAAAGACGGAUCAGAAAUUAGAUUCUGGGAGGAUAAGUGACUAGGCAAUCUGAACAAUAUCUGGCUCUAUACAAUAGUGUACGUCACAAGGGUGAUACUGUCGUCACGGUUCUAGAAUCCUUUCUGCCAAAUGUGAUGUCCAGGAGAGAUUUAAUUGGUCCCAGACAUAUAUGGUGGAACACUCUAUUACUGAGACUAUCCACGAUACAACUGUCACAAGGAGCCCUGAAUUUCAUUGGAGCCUACAAGUGAAUGGUAAAUUCAUGAUGGACUCUAUGUAUAGCGCUAUGAUCCAGUCAAAGGUGGUAGUUGAUAAUAACAAGAAGAUUGGGAAGAUGAAGAUGCCGCUUAAAAAUAAAAUAUUUGCGUGGUAUCUCCAUAGAGGAGCCAUUCUUAUCAAAGAUAACCUUGUUAAGAGGAAUUGGCAUGGAAGUACACAAUGUGUGUUUCGCCAUCACGAUGAAACUAUAAAACAAUUGUUUUUCCAAUGCAAAUUGGCUCGUUUUAUAUGAUCAGUCAUUCAAGUAGCUUUUGGCUUAUAUCCUUCAUGUAGUCUUGCUAAUAUAUCCAGCAACUAGUUACAUGUGAUAGAAUAAAUGUUUAGAAUUCUUCUCAAGUUGAGAGUGCUUGCAGUUAUUUGGUCGCUUUGGCUUUGUAAAAAUAAUAAGGUAUUUAACGAUAAAAGUACUUCUUCUAUCCAGGUUAUCUACAGAUGUACUGGUAUGCUCCGUUUAUGGUCAUCUCUAGAACGUGUGGAGAAUUGAGCCCUAUUUACGAAGGUGUACACGCUUGGAGGCCAUGGUGAGGAAUACUUUUACCCGACAUGGAUGGCUGCAUGAUCUUCAGAUCGGUCCUCCUACAUCUUAGGCGUUGCACAGUCUCCAUAUGAUUACUUGUAUUCCAUCUUUUUACAUUUAUUUGGAACUUAGACUUGAUUAUGGCUAUGAGUAUCAUUUAUGCAGAGACCGGCUGUAAUGCUUAAACCUUUUAAGUAAUAAAGCGUCCUUUAUAAAAAACUCCAUACUAAAUGGAAGAAAAAUAUACUGGAGCAUCGGAUGCAGAACCGAAGAUGCAAUGGAGAAAUCUUUCGUUACAGCUGGAUUUAGGGUUAGAACGAAUCGAAGAACAUCUCUAUACCUACGUUACAUGGCCUGUGACCAUGAUGGAUUUACUAGAUGAAGAAACUAUAUUGACUACUAGCAAAAAAAAGAAAGAAAGAGAAACUAUAUUGACCAUGAAUCAUAUGGAACACACACUUUAAUUUUUGAGGAAUCACGGGGGGAAGGAUCCUCACCCUGAAAAUCAUGCACUUUUUCCCGGAAAAAAAGAAGAAGAGAAAAUCACGCGCUUUGUGACCGUGUAAAUCUGUGACCAAGGCCACUAAAGGUGAUUAAAUUUCAGUGGACCUGGUGACAUCUGUGCCGGCUUUCCAAAAGAGAGAGCAACGGCAUCCAUUCUUUGCUACCUGACCAAUUGUCAAUCAAGAGCUUUCAUGUGCGUCCAAUUCCAAUCAUGGGUCCAUAUUGUCAAACGCAAAAUAUUGUCUAAAUAACCUCUAUCAAGAUUCCGGAUAGAUGCUAGCUUCUUCCUUUUUUUCUUUUUUUCUUUUUUUUUGCUUGCAGGAAUCACCAUGUCAGUACCAUAGUGUGAGCAUGCAAGGUUUCCAUAUAUGAAAAAUCUUUUUCAUUUUGCGGAAUUCACAUCUGAAUAAUCGUGCUAUGCUGAUUGAUUUACUUUACAUACUCUACAUCCGAAACCAAUUCUCAACCAGACAGCACCACGGGUAUGGCUUUUGAGUUCUUUUUAGGUGCAGUACUAUUUAACAUGCCUAGACGUGAGAUGUACUUUUAAUGUUGACUGUCGGCAGGAAAAGCAUUAUCAUUGGAACUUCGUAAAAUUUGAUUUCAGGGCUGCGUUUCAGAUGUUGUGGUUAGAUCUUAGUCGACUGAGAAACUAGAAAGAAAAAAUCACACAAAUCUUUGUGUAGAAUCCCAUGUAUAUAGCAUUGAGCGAGAUAUAACCAAGUCUUAACCGACCGAGAUUUCGCUGGAACUAGAUACAACACAUUUUUUUUUGAGCAAUCUGAACUAGAUACAACACAUUAAUACCAAGUCUUAAAAGGAACUCGCUUUACCUCCAUCGCUCCUGUGAGAGCGGCUCGAUCGAACACAACAACCCGCCACAGCAGCCCAAAAAUCCCACAUCCUCUUCGUCGCUGCAAGGUGAAGCUGCACGGCUCACAGUGGUGGCUGUUGAGUAUGUAUUUUAUACUGCAUGUAUAUUAGAGUUGUGGCCCACCUUCUAGUUUUGCAUAUUUAAGAUAGAGGUCUUCCCUUGUAUUAUAUAUACGUGCACCAGCACCCCAUCAAUACAACGCCUAUUGUAUUGCAAACUUUUCUGUCUACAUGUUAUCAUCUUGAAGGUCCUGAUCUAGGGCAAGGCGCCGCCACCGCCGCGUUGCGCCUCCUCGCGCGCGCCGCCGCCGCCACCGCCGCUCCCCACCGCCGCCGCCGCGCAACGCUUCCCNNNNNNNNNNNNNNNNNNNNNNNNNNNNNNNNNNNNNNNNNNNNNNNNNNNNNNNNNNNNNNNNNNNNNNNNNNNNNNNNNNNNNNNNNNNNNNNNNNNNNNNNNNNNNNNNNNNNNNNNNNNNNNNNNNNNNNNNNNNNNNNNNNNNNNNNNNNNNNNNNNNNNNNNNNNNNNNNNNNNNNNNNNNNNNNNNNNNNNNNNNNNNNNNNNNNNNNNNNNNNNNNNNNNNNNNNNNNNNNNNNNNNNNNNNNNNNNNNNNNNNNNNNNNNNNNNNNNNNNNNNNNNNNNNNNNNNNNNNNNNNNNNNNNNNNNNNNNNNNNNNNNNNNNNNNNNNNNNNNNNNNNNNNNNNNNNNNNNNNNNNNNNNNNNNNNNNNNNNNNNNNNNNNNNNNNNNNNNNNNNNNNNNNNNNNNNNNNNNNNNNNNNNNNNNNNNNNNNNNNNNNNNNNNNNNNNNNNNNNNNNNNNNNNNNNNNNNNNNNNNNNNNNNNNNNNNNNNNNNNNNNNNNNNNNNNNNNNNNNNNNNNNNNNNNNNNNNNNNNNNNNNNNNNNNNNNNNNNNNNNNNNNNNNNNNNNNNNNNNNNNNNNNNNNNNNNNNNNNNNNNNNNNNNNNNNNNNNNNNNNNNNCAGGCUCUCCCCGCUAGCCACCAGGCGUUCAUCGGCACACCCUUCCAGCCGACUGGCGCCGGCUACGGCGCCCUCCUUGCGCCACCGCCCCUCGGUGGUUAUGGCCCGCCCAUCCCGGCGCCGCCCUAUGGGGGUCUUCCGCCGCCGCCAGUACCUGUGCCAUGGGACCCCACUCUCCUCGCCGCCCAGCACUCCACGCCAUCGCCGAGUAGCUCUGUCGGUGGAGGCGACUGGUAUAUGGACUCAGGUGCUACUACGCACAUGGCAGCUCAUCCCGGUAACCUAACCUCCUCCACUCCCGUUCACACACCCACUCGUAUUACUGUCGGCAACGGCUCCUCCUUACCUAUUACUCAUAUCGGUAGCACUAGUUUUCCCUCCACUUCCACACCCAUCACUAUGUCUAAUGUUCUAGUUUCACCUGAUUUAGUCACGAACCUAGUUUCCGUUCGUCAUCUUACUCGUGAGAACCCACUUAUUGUUGAAUUUGACGGUGUUGGAUUCUCUGUGAAAGACGCCCGUACCCGGAUGGUCCUUCACCGUUGUGACAGUCCCGAUGAGCUCUACCCCGUGCACGCUGGCGCCUCCACCCCCACACCCGUCGCCCUUGCCGCCGGCGUUGACCUUUGGCACGCUCGCUUGGGUCACCCCAACCACACCGUCUUACGUCAAAUCCUUAGGAGUUUCUCUUUCUCAUGUGAUAAGCUCGACGAGCACUCUUGUGAGGCUUGUCGCUUAGGCAAGCACGUUAGUCUUCCCUUUAGUGUGUCUUCUUCCGUUUCCACUUUUCCGUUUCAAUUAAUUCAUAGUGAUGUUUGGACAUCUCCCGUUGCGAGUAACACGGGCUAUCUAUACUACUUCAUGAUUUUAGAUGAUUAUUCUCACUAUGUGUGGACUUUUCCCCUUCGUCGUAAAUCCGAUGCUUUAGCCACACUCACUGACUUUUAUUCAUAUGUCACUACCCAGUUCGGUCGCCCCAUACUCGCACUCCAAACUGAUAACGGAAAAGAGUUUGACAACGUUGCUCUUCGCACACUUCUCGCCUCUCACGGCACCAUCUUCCGUCUGACUUGACCCUACACUUCUCAACAGAACGGCCGUGCCGAGCGCAUUCUCCGCACUCUAAAUGACUGUGUUCGCACGUUACUCUUUCACUCUAAUGUGCCCGCUCGGUUCUGGCCCGAUGCCCUCGCUACCGCCACUCUCUUAGUUAACAUUCCGUUCGUGUCGCCCUCGGUGGAACUACGCCCCUCACCACCUUCUCUUCGGCACACCACCGUCCUAUGAUGGUCUCCGCAUCUUCGGGCAUCUCUGUUAUCCUAGCACCGCAUCCACCACGCCACACAAGCUCGCACCACGAUCUGUCCCAUGCGUCUUCCUUGGCUACCCUCCUAACACCAAAAGUUACCGGUGCUAUGAUCCUGUCAUUCAUCGUGUGUACACCUCGAGGCAUGUGUAAUUUGUCGAGACGGUGUUCGCUUUUUUUCAGGUUCCUCCGGCUUCAGCCCCUUCGGCGCCGCCCCCCACGCCCCCUUUGUGGAGAGAUGCACGGCGGCAGCCCCCGGCAGCGCCACCACCUGGCUUCGUGAAUCCCUUUCCCGAGGUUGAGUCCGAGCGGGCCCCCGGGUCCCCGUCUCCCUCAUACGAGAUUGAGCCCGGCACCCCGCCCGCCACUCCUGCGAUGGGCUCGACAUCACCCUCGCCCGUCGCCUCUUCCGCCGCCGGAUCAGCCGCCGCUGUUCCCGUCGCGGCCCCUGCCGCCGCCGCCGCCGUGGCCUCCGCCACAGCCAUGGCGGCCCCUGCCGCCGCACUAGGUGCACCAGGCGCCGUGGACCAUGCUGCCGCCCCGGGUGCCCACGCAGCCACACCAAGCGCCCCUACCGCCGCGGCACCUGCCGGCCCUACUGCCCCGUCACUUGGCGUGACUACCCGUGCCCGAGCAGGAGUGCUUCGUCCCAGCACGCGCUACUCCGCCGACGAGUAUGUGUGCGCCGCCUCGACAUCAACGCCAUCACCCGUCCCCACCUCUGCUCGCACUGCCCUUCGGGAUCCCCACUAGCUAGCUAUGAUGCAGGAGGAGUUCGAUGCCUUACAGCGCAACCGCACAUGGCAGCUUGUUCCGCGACCCCCUCGUGCCAACAUCAUCUCUGGCAAGUGGGUGUUUCGCCACAAGACUCGCCCGGACAGUUCUCUCGAGCGCUACAAGGCUCGGUGGGUGGAUCAUGGUUUUCGGCAGCGCGCGGGCGUGGACUUCACCGACACCUUCGCCCCGGUUGUAAAACUGGGCACGAUUCGUGCCGUGCUUCAGCUGGCGGUCUCGCGCGCCUGGCCGGUGCACCAGUUGGAUGUCUCCAAUGCCUUCUUGCACGGCCAUCUCGCCGAGCAGGUGUUCUGUGAGAAGCCCACUAGUUUCGUCGACGCCGAGCGCCCCGACUUCGUGUGCUUGCUCUCCCGUUCUCUUUACGGAUUGAAGUAGGUGCCUCGGGCUUGGUACCAGCGUAUCGCAGCCUUCCUACAGUCUCUCGGAUUUUGGUCCACUCGCUCCGAUGCUUCACUAUUUGUGUAUCAUCAGGGAGUUGACACUGCAUAUCUGCUGCUCUAUGUCGACGACAUCAUCCUCACGGCAUCCGUCCCUGACCUCCUUCAGCGGCUGACUGCUCGUCUUCAUGAUGAAUUCACCCUCAAGGACUUGGGGCCCCUGCACUACUUCCUCGGCAUCGAGGUGGUCCGACGGACUGACGGCUUCUUUCCGCAUCAGCAGAAGUACGCCCACGAGCUCCUGAAGCAUGCCGGUAUGCUUAACUGCAAUCCGGCGCCCACCCCCGUCAACACGAAGGCGAAGGUCUCUACUCUCGAGGGUCUCUUGCGUCCGAUGGAGCUUUUUAUCACUCUAUUGUCGGUGUUUUACAGUACCUGACGCUGACCCACCCCGACCUGCAGUACGCUGUCCAGCAGGUGUGCCUCCAUAUGCACGCCCCACGUGACUCUCGCUGGACUCUGGUGAAGCGUAUUCUCCAUUACAUACGCGGCACCAUGUCCUUGGGACUCACCCUGACAGCCUCUACCUCCACCGACCUCGUGGCCAACUCCGAUGCCGACUGGGCUGGCUGCCCCGACACGCGACGCUCCACGUCAGGCUACUGCAUCUACCUUGUGCUCUCGUUGAUCUCUUGGUCAUCGAAGCGGCAGCCCACGGUCUCCCGCUCCAGCACCGAGGCAGAGUAUCACGCUGUGGCUAAUGUCGUGGCCGAGUGCUCUUGGAUACGUCACCUGCUCCAGGAGUUGCUUUGUGAUGUUCACAAGGCCACUCUUGUCUACUGCGAUAACGUCAGUGCGGUCUACCUCUCCGCCAACCCGGUGCACCAUUGACGGACGAAGCAUAUUGAGCUCGAUAUUCACUUUGUGCGCGAGCAGGUUGCCCUUGGCCGUGUUCGGGUUCACCACGUGCCGACGACGCAACAGUUUGCUGAUGUGAUGACUAAGGGAUUGCUACUCCCAUCUUCGAGGAGUUUCGGUCCAGUCUCUGUGUCNNNNNNNNNNNNNNNNNNNNNNNNNNNNNNNNNNNNNNNNNNNNNNNNNNNNNNNNNNNNNNNNNNNNNNNNNNNNNNNNNNNNNNNNNNNNNNNNNNNNNNNNNNNNNNNNNNNNNNNNNNNNNNNNNNNNNNNNNNNNNNNNNNNNNNNNNNNNNNNNNNNNNNNNNNNNNNNNNNNNNNNNNNNNNNNNNNNNNNNNNNNNNNNNNNNNNNNNNNNNNNNNNNNNNNNNNNNNNNNNNNNNNNNNNNNNNNNNNNNNNNNNNNNNNNNNNNNNNNNNNNNNNNNNNNNNNNNNNNNNNNNNNNNNNNNNNNNNNNNNNNNNNNNNNNNNNNNNNNNNNNNNNNNNNNNNNNNNNNNNNNNNNNNNNNNNNNNNNNNNNNNNNNNNNNNNNNNNNCUGCACGUGUAUUGGAGUUGUGGCCCACCUCCUAGUCUUUUUAUAGUUGAGGUAGAGGCCUUCCCUUGUAUUAUAUUUUUUUUGUGCACCAGCACCCCAUCAAUACAACAUCUAUUGUAUUGCAAACUUUCCCGUCUACAGUGGCGGUGGACCUCGCUUGCGGGAUGUGGAAGCUCUCUCGCAUAUUGGAGAGAGACACCCUGCCCCUCCCUCAGAUCCAACACGGCGACUUGCAGUGCCACUCCUCGCGGCAGUUGCACCUCCAUUUCAUGGUCUCGACCUUGUCGGUCACCUGGUCGUUUGUUGGCAGACGCGCCCCACUGUGUCUCCCUGCAUCCACUACCGGGACCUGUUAUAGGUGGGCCCUUACUAGUGGCGGGCAGGCAUUUGUGCGUGCCACUGGUAAUUUGGGCAUUUAGCAGUAGCAGGUGCAAAGUCAUGCCCAUCAUUGGUAUUUACUUACCAAUGGUGGGAGCCGGUUUGUGCCUGCCACUAGUAACAUGAGCUCAGAUACGCCAUGUGCCAAAAUUACCAUUAGCGGGCACAAACACGUGCCCGCCACUAGUAAAUCAUCUACCAGUGGUAGGCAAAAACCCUUCCGACGGUGAAAUCGUGCUUUUCCCUUGUGCAUGCUCCUCGAGCCAAAUCAUUUUUUGUGACCACUUUUACUCUGUCCUGGCAAUGAGCACCCUUCUGGAGUGUUGGAUGGCAUGCGGAUGGUAAUGGCUCAACUCCUCAUUUUGGCCACGCGUCGUCUACCCCUACCAGUUGCUCUGGUGCUGCCUUCACGAUGCUUCCACGGCCACAUUUUUUAAGUUUGCUCUCUAGUGUCUCCUCGUAUGAUGUGCUCCUUUGAAAGCCCCUCUCUACUGCUAAUGCUCCAUGUAUGUUGUUAUAUCUCUUGACUUGUGCUGCAUCACAACCUCCUAGGUUCACCUAAUGUUUAGGCUGCUCUGCAUUGUAACUUGUACUUCUUAUUAUAUGUUUCUUGCCUCGCCAGGAUUUAUUACCCGUCGGGUUGUUCAGGUUUGGAUCAUGGUUUUGACAUGAUUUCCUACAUAAACCUGCUCAAUUUCUUUUGAACUGAGAUCUAUAUACAAGUGGGAAUUCCCCUGCCCCUCCCGCAGACUAAUUCAAAAAAUAUGGAACUAUAUAAUACUUCACACGUUGCUGCUAGAAUCUAUUGCAAUAUAUUUUGGUGUGAUUUGUUUUUAUGAAAGAUGAAUAUUUUGAUUAAUAAUAUAUGUGAUAAUAUAUAUUAUAACUUGUUUUUAUUAUUGUAUAAAUGAAAAAUGUUUAUUAAAUAUAAAAGUAGCAUACUAAUAUAAUAUACUGGAAAGCCUUUCCCGUGCAUUUUACGGUGGGCUUUUGACCAGCUGGCAUGUUUGGUGAGUGAGAUAUGUGCAUGUUGAUAUAAAAAUAAGAAGGAAUAGUGAGGAUCAACUAAUAAUGGAAAAAUUGUUAGGAUAUCACCUCUAAUUAUCCCUAAUACAGGCAGAACACAAUAAAGACCAAUUCAAGAAAUGUACGUAAAUUGUAAAUUGAAAAUAUUAAUAAAUCCGCAGUACAACAACCUAAAAUUUUAAAACAAUUACAAAAUUUAUGUUGUACAAUUAAUAUUGCAUCUUGCUUUUCCCGACCAACAAAAAAGUAAAUGUAAAUGUGCAAGACACUAAAGCAUAUGUUACUUCAUUAGAUCAUUACAAAAAAAAACCCUCCAAGGAAUUGUUUUGGACUAUUUUUUCUGUAAACAAAUACUGUCGUUAUUUUUCAUCAUUUGAAGCAUAUAUUUGUUGUGAGUUGUGACGUGCAAAUCUCAAAAAAAUAUGGGAAAUGCGGAAUUAAAGCAGGCAUAAUUAGCAUGCAUGUGGGUUUCCCUGUAGGUACUUGGGAUUAAAAGAGAAACAAUGAUUCUUGAGCUCGUCGCCAAAUUCUGAGGAACCAAAGUAGAUAAUGAGUGGAGGACACAAAUUUUGUGGGUUAUAAAUUGCCCAAUGAAAUUUGGCCCACAUGUUCUGACUCUCGAAGCUAUAAAUGCUUCACCCUCUCUCUAUUUGCAUCUACAUGGUGCAUGCAUAAUAAGAGUUCAUGCAUGAUCUCAAAUUUCUUUUCUCUCACCUCCAUGAAUUGAUUUGUGGCGUCGGACUCAAAAGCACUUUAACUGAAUGAGACUCGAAGUGGGACUAAUAUAAUGAAAAACUAAAUGUUUUGAGAUAGCCCUUUAAACUGGAAGGGAGGGAAUAUAAUUUAAAGUCUAUAGUAAGCUUUGGUAUGGAAUUAAGGAUCUACUACCACCUCCGAGGUAAUAUUUAUGUCAUUUAUUAGAUCAUAAACAAAUAACGGCUUAUAUCAGUUCGGAGCAUUUUAACAUGUAUCAUCGUUCUUAGACAUAUUUUGUGAGUGCACUUGUCUAGCGUGUACCGUAUACUAGAUACCCGCACAAUUAUUUUUCAAUAUCUUUUGGUGAGAAGGCAAGUUGACUCGAUUUGAUUACCAAGCCAAAUAUCAUUUACAUUAUAAUUUCAGUAACUUAAAAUUAGCUAGCCUGAUCUCUCGUAUCAGCGCCAAAGGACCACUAAGCUCAUAAUAAGAGUAAAUUGAGAAGAAAAUUAUAUAUAGUGUGCUAACUUUCUUUUAUAAUCUAAUAAAACAACAUGUAUAGUGGUUGGUAAUAUUUCCCUUUGCUGUAGGUUAUUAGAAGUGUACCCACGGGCUCUGUUCGUAGUCAAUUCUGCAGUGAUCACCAAAAAUUGUGUACAGUCAUGUGUACACGGUUGGAAGAGGAGGACACAGAUGUCUUUACCCAACAUUAGCUGGUGGUACAGUGUGAGGAUUUUCUCCAUCCCCUCCCUUUAGGCAUUGUAGUCUCAGACGACAUUUUUUUUGUCGGCGUUGUGUAGAAUGUGUUUGGUUCUGUGUGUAUCUUAGUCAGACAGAGGCUAGAUGUGAACUUGUUUUGAUUGUAUUCCAUUGGUGUGACAUUAUGAGUCAAAAAGCCCCUUUAUCAAACAUAUAUUAUAGGUCAUAAACAACUAACUACUCAAGCGAGAAUACCUAAAAUCUAGAUCUCAAAUAGCAAAUUGUAAUCUAACAAAAUGUUGGGAAUUAGCACACAAAUGCACUUGUGGUUAACUGAUAACUGCAGCGGACACAAAGUAAUCUCAGCACCACAUCCUGUACUAACUCAAGGAUCGUUGCUUAGCACGGAAGGAAAACAUAUGCAACAACAUAUAUGCAGGCAGAAAAAUGUUAAGCAGCAGGCAAGACACUCCUCAGCCUAGUGUCUUGUGGUACGAGUAAGUUUCUGGACAACACCAAGCAUCAACAAAGAGACACCAGAUUUACGUGAAAAACCCCUCAACUUGAGGGGAAAAACCAUGGGCCGAAGCCACCCAAAUCCUCUUUCACUAUUAUCAAAUGUGGGAUACACCAAGUUCUUCUCUAGACAGCACUAGAGGAUCUCAUACAUCAAGAUUUCUGAAUCUUGGAUGAACACAACAAGAUUUGGGGCUCAAGAACUAGGGAUUGGAACAAUCUCACCAAAGAUGAUGGAACCUAAGCUUGAAGGAGACAAGGUAGUGGAUCUGGACCAUCACAACCUUGGGGAGGAGCUCCCUUUUCUUCUUCCUUCAAUCUUCCUCUUCUUCCCUUGCUCUAUUGGUUUUCUCUCUUCUUCUCUCUUGGAGGAUGAACUUAUUUUCAUCACGCUUGGUGGUGGCUGCUGGAUGGAGGGUAAAGCAUCCCCAUCCACUCAUGUGCUAAGUCCGAAAUGACCCUAGGUCAUAACCCUAAUGGGUAAUGGGCUUCUGCACCUCUUUGGGCUGCCUAAAAGGCCUUUAAAUGGUCAUCUCCUCACAGCCCACAUGAGGAGGAUAUCCCAACAAAUCUCCCCCUCCGACUCGUGAGGGGGGCACCGCCAUGUCUGCUACCUUGCAACAUGCUUGUAGCUUCUCAUUUGGUAAUAUCUUGGUCAUCAUAUCCGAACCAUUUUCGUCGGUAUGGAUCUUCUCAAGUUUCAGCAACUUGGAACUCACAAAAUCUCGAAUCCAAUGGUACCUCACAUCAAUGUGCUUGGUUCGAGAGUGAUAGCUUGAAUUCUUGGCAAGAUGAAUAGCACUCUGACUGUCACAAAACAGAACAUACUUCUCUUGCUUCAUGCCGAGCUCUUGCAAGAAGUUCUUCAUCCACAAAACAUCCUUGCCAGCAUCAACUGCUGCAAUGUACUCAGCUUCUGUAGUUGAUGUAGAAACACAUUUCUGCAAUCUUGAUUGCCAUGACACUGCUUCCCUGCAUAAGUCAUCAGGUAUCCAGAUGUGGACUUCCAACGAUCCUUGUCACCAACAUAAUCUGCAUCUGUAUAGCCCUGCAAAACAUGAUCACCAUUUCCAAAGCAUAGACAGGAUGUAGAAGUACCCUUGAGAUAUCUGAGAAUCCACUUCACUGCUUCCUAGUGAGCUUUACCUAUAUUUGUCAUGAACCGUCUAACAACUCCAACUGCAUAGGCAAUGUCAGGCCUAGUGCAUACCAUGGCAUACAUCAAACUGCCCACAGCAGAUUGGUAAGGUACUUUUCUCAUUUCUUCUUUCUCCUUCUUGAUUGUAGGACAUUGUUUUGAAUUCAGUUUGUGAUGGCCUGCAAGCGGAGAGAUAACAGAUUUUGCAUCGUUCAUAUUGAACCUUUCAAGUACCUUCUCAAUGUAUCUUUCCUGUGAGAGCCAAACUAGCUUCUUUGAUCUAUCACGGGAGAUCUUCAUGCCAAGUAUUUGCUUAGAUGGUCCUAAAUAAUGAUUUACUCAAUGCCUUCUUGAGGAGAGCAAUCCUCUUUGUGCCAUUUCCAACAAUCAGCAUAUCAUCAACAUACAACAAGAGAAUAAUGAAGUCACCCUCGGCGUACCUCUUCAUAAAGACACAAUGAUCAGGUUGUGCUUUAUGGUAACCAAGCCCAGUCAUAAAAGACUCAAACUUCUUGUACCACUGCCAAGGAGCUUGCUUCAAGCCAUACAAGCUCUUCUUCAAUUUGCAAACUAAUUGCUCCUUGCCUGCAACCAUGAAUCCCUCUGGCUGCUCCAUGUAUAUCUCCUCCUCUAGGUCACCAUGUAAGAAUGCAGUCUUCACAUCAAGUUGUUCAAUUUCCAGGUCCAUGGUGGCAGCCAUGCCAAGCACAACUCGGAUCGAAGACAUCUUGACCACCAGAGAGAAUAUCUCGCCAUAAUCAAUGCCCUUUUUCUGAGUGAAUCCUUUCACAACCAAUCUGGCCUUGUACCUUGGAUGUGAUGUGUUUUCUUCAGUCUUCACUCUGUACACCCACUUGUUCUUGAGUGCUUUCUUGCCUUUUGGUAGAUUCACCAACUCAAAAUUAUCAUUCUCAUAGAGGGAAUUCAUCUAAUCCUGCAUGGCUUCUGACCAUUCUUCUUUGUUCUCAUCAGACAUUGCCUCCUCAUAGCAUGAGGGCUCACCUGCAUCUGUCAUCAACACAUAUUGAUGUGGUGGAUAUUUAGAAGAAGGAAUAUGAACUCUUUCACUUCUUCUUUGCUGCUGCAGUAGUGGUGAAUCAGGUGGAUUUUCGUUGGCAUCAUUAUUACCAACUUCAUCAUCAUCAUCACUUGAUGGCUGCUCGCCACUUUGACUUGUACUGCCUUGAUCAGUUGCAUCUCCACUGUCUUCAGUGUCAUCAUCUCCCCCAUGAUUGUCAUGCACGAGAGGAGGACGGAUUGGAUCCAUAUCAACCUGAGGUGUGCUGGUCAUUGGCUUCUCUGGUUUCCCAAUAUCUUUAAUUGUUUCAUCUUCAAUGAACACCACAUCUCGGCUUCUCACAAUCUUUCUAUUGGCUGGAUCCCACAACCUGUAGCCAAACUCUUCACUUGGUUGGCUGAGGUAGAUGCACUACUUUGUUUUUCUAUCAUUCUUGGAUCUCUUGUCCCUUGGAACAUGUACAAAUGCCCUGCAACCAAAGACCUUCAAGUGCUUGUAUGAUACCUCCUUCCCUGACCAAACUCUCUGAGAAAUAUCACCUGCAAGAGUAACUGAUGGAGAUAGGUUAACAACAUACAUAACAUUCAUCAAUGCUUCAGCCCAAAAAGAAUUAGGUAAAUGAGCAUGAGAGAGCAUAGCCGUGACCCUCUCUGUGAGUGUCAUGUUCAUUCUCUCUGCAAGACCAUUGAGCUGAGGUGUCUUUGGUGGACUCUUCUCAAGCCUGAUGCCAACAUUUCUGUAAUACCUUUCAAAAGGACCUCGGUAUUCACCACCAUUGUCUGAUCUCAUGCACUUCAAUUUCUUCCCAGUUUCUCUUUCAACCUUGGCAUGGAACUCCUUGAAGGCUUCAAGCGUCUGGUAUUUGUGUUUCAGCACAUACACAAAAACCUUUCUAGAAUGGUCAUCAAUAAAAGUCACAAAGUAUAAUGCUCCACCAUGAGAUUUUUCAGUCAUGGAGCAAACAUCAGUGUGGACAAUAUCAAGAACAUUUUCUGCACGAUGUGGAGGGAACAUACGAAAUGAAGCCCUAUGUUGUUUGCUAGCAAAACAAUGUGCACAGGGUUUCAAGGAUAUACCUUUCAACUCAGGGAGGUACUCCAUGCGAGCAAGAGCGUGCAUGCCCUUCUCACUCAUAUGCCCAAGCCUCUUGUGCCACAACUCAACCGAAGUGUCUUUUUCAGCAAUGUUCAACACCUCAUUGCACGACUUGGUUUUAGUCACAUACAGAUUACCUUGCUUACUUCCUCGAGCCACAAUCAAAGAGCCUUUGGUGAGCUUCCAUUUUCCUUCACCAAAAUAACUAGGAUGUUUGAUAUCAUCAAGCUUGCCCACUGACAACAAAUUCAGCCUUAUGUCGGGAACAUGCCUCACAUCAUCGAGCACCAAUCUGCAACCUGUGUUUGUUUCAAUGCAUAUAGAGCCCUUGCCAACAAUUGCUGACGAACCACUAUUUCCCAUCCUCACUUGGCCAGUAACACCACUAGUGUAAGAUGUGAAAUACUCCUUGUGUGAUGUGAUGUGGAAGGACACACCUGAAUCCACAACCCAACUCAUGGCAUCAUCACAAACAACACUAUAGCAAUCUUCAUCUUCAAUGACUAGAUAGUCCUCAUCUGUUGCGGUCAUGGUUGAACUGCUCUCAGCCUUUUGCUCGGUUUUCUUUGUGAGUUUCCCCUCUGCAAGCUCUCUUUUGUACUUCCUGAACUCGCUCUUUAUGUGUCCCGGAUUGCCACAAUGAAAGCAAGUAAUAUCUUUUCUCUGUUUUGACUUUGAUCUUCCCCUGGAUUUGCUUUUGCCUUGCUGAAAUCUUGUAUUGCUGCGUCCACGGUUCUCAUUCUUCCCAUGGGUUUCAGCCACAUACGCAUCAGAAGAAGAUGCAUCACCCUUUUCCUUCUUUCUGGCUUCUUCAUUCAGCAUACUGUUCUUCACCAUCUCAAAAGUCAGCUUCCCAUCCGGAGCUGAAUUGCUAAGUAACACAACAAGCAUGUUCCAACUAUCAGGCAUGCAACUCAGCAGCAACAAUGCUUGCACCUCAUCCUCAAAGUUGAUCUUCAUGGCUGAAAGUUGAUUUAUAUGGCAUUGAAAGACAUUUAAGUGCUCAAUCACACUUGUGCUAUCUCAGUAUUCAAGCUUUGCAAGUCUUUUGAUCACCGAUGCUUUGUUCAUUGAUGUCUUCCUCUCAUACAUAGACUCCAACUUCUGCCACAUCUCAUAAGCAUUUGUGUCAUUUGCAACAUGGUGGAAAAUAUUGUGGUUGAUAUACAACCGAAUCAUACCUACUGCCGUUUUGUGCAACACUCUCCAUUCUUCUUCCGUGACACCGGUGGGUAUCUUGUCUUUCACAAUUGGCUCAUACAAAUCCUUGCAAUAAAGGAUGUCUUCCAUCAUGGGCUUCCAUAAUGAGUAAUUGGAAGAAUCAAUUUUUAUCAUGCCGCUUGUAGUAGCGCUUUCUUCCAAAGCCAUUGUGAGCAGCACUUCCAGUAACAAUCAAGCAUCAGAGAUUUGCAACCUUCUAAGCAACCAAGGCUCUAAUACCACUCUGUUGGGAAUUAACACACAAAUGCACUUGUGGUUAACUGAUAACUGCAGCAGAAACAAAGUAAUCUCAGCACCACAUCCUAUACUAACUCAAGGAUCGUUGCUUAGCACGGAAGCAAAACAUAUGCAGCAGCAUAUAUGCAGGCAGAAAAAUGUGAAGCAGCAGGCAAGACACUCCUCAGCCUAGUGUCUUGUGGUACGAGUAAGUUUCUAGACAACACCAAGCAUCAACAAAAAGACACCAGAUUUACGUGGAAAACCCCUCAACUUGAGGGGAAAAACCACGGGCCGAUGCCACCCAAAUCCUCUUCCACUAUUAUCAAAUGUGGGAUACAACAAGUUCUUCUCUAGACAACACUAGAGGAUCUCAUACAUCAAAAUUUCUGAAUCUUGGAUGAACACAACAAGAUUUGGGGCUCAAGAACUAGGGAUUGGAACAAUCUCACCAAAGAUGGUGGAAUCGAAGCUUGAAGGAGACAAGGUAGUGGAUCUGGACCAUCACAACCUUGGGGAGGAGCUCCCUUUUCUUCUUCCUUCAAUCUUUCCUCUUCUUCCCUUGCUCUCUUGGUUUUCUCUCUUCUUCUCUCUUGGAGGAUGAACUGAUUUUCGUCAUCCUUGAUGUUGGCUGCUGGAUGGAGGGUAAAGCAUCCCCAUCCACUCAUGUGCAAAGUUCAAAAUGACUCUAGGUCAUAACCCUAAUGGGUAGUGGGCUUCUGCACCUCUUUGGGCUGCCUAAAAGGCCUUUAAAUGGUCAUCUUCUCACAGCCCACAUGAGGAGGAUAUCCCAACACAAAAAGCUAUCGCAUUCUAACAAAUCCCAAUGUUAUAUAAACAGGCUAAAACACUUCAUUACUAUUUUAUAUAAAUUGUACAACAAAGUAUGUUGUAAUAGUAAAAGAUGCCUCUACGAGUCAAUUCGUCUGGAAAGUUAAACUGCAUGUUUUUUAUGGAUUUGAAGAUCUAAGGCAUUGAUUAUAUCAUUUGUUAGGAACUAAAUUUAAGUAUUAUGAUACUCACACAAACUAACACAUGAUUGGAUUAUAUUGGUAUGAGGUUAAGCUGACUAACACAAUUUGACUUUAUGUGCAAUGAUCUAUACUUCUAUAAAGUUAUACAACGUCUGUUGGACGAUGAACAUUAUAUUAGUGCAUUCAUUACUAAAAGUAGAAUUAUGUCGAUACAUUCGUUUAGUAACUCUUUGCUUACAUUUUAAUAUGACAAGGCUGUUAAAUUAACUAGAUGAUGCCUUGCCCGUUGCUGUGGGAACCUUGGUAAAAAUAUAUGCACAAAUAGAUGCUUGAAAAAUUUAAAGUUUGUUGUCCACAUGAGCUGUUGAUUAUUCACUUCAAAUAGAAACUUGUGCGGGCAUAGACUGGACCAUGUUUAUGUCUAAACACUGGCAGAGAAAAGAGAUAUAAUAUAUAAACUUAAUUAUUUAUUCAUGUAAGACAUUUCAUUCAGUAAAUUCAAUCAACAACUAAUGGUCUGAAGAGUCCUAUCAGUAGAAAUGUCUCAUUUGGUUCGCACUUGUAUGGCGGCUAUUACCACAUCCCAAAAACUUAGGCUGGGAAGACUGGAAGAAUGGCAUAGUGCAACACAAUUCUGAGUGUACAAGAUGCGAUAUUGUAACCCAUCCAUUUCAAAAAAAACUGUAACCCAUCCAAACAGAGCGGUUCCUUUUCGUCCCCCUUCCUAGGCGAAGAGGAAAGGCGACCAGAUCCCAGCCUCGACCACCGGCGAGGCUGCGGGUUCCCCGCCCCUCCUUCAGUCGCUCCGGCGAUGGGAGGGGGGGACCCCAAUCCUCUCCCUGUUUGUAGAUAGUUGUAGGGUUAGGUUUUCAGGUGGCUUCGUCCAGGUGUGGUGGCGGCAGAGCAGCGUCAGAUAAAUCUUCCUCAAUUCCGCCUCCUCCAGUGCCUUCGAGAGGCUGGAAGGUCUUGUAUUGGAGCUUGGUGGUCGCGGGUGGACGUCUUCGUGGCGAUCUCAAUGCCGUCGAGAGGUUUGGCCUCAUUUGUUUUUAAGGAACAUGCAGUAAAUUUCUUAAAAAAAUCUGAGUGUACAACAAUUCAGGAGCGGAUGCAUUAUGCACACUAAAGCGAAAGUGUGCACCAAAGCGACAACUUUUAAAAUUUCCAUCACUAUCUCUUUCAAACAUAUAUAGCACAUCAGAUAAGAUCAAUUAUGCAUUGGUGGAAAAAAAAUCUAGAAAGAGAAACUUUAAUUUUGUGUGGCAUGUGUGAUCGGAGAGCUUGCAUAUGCCAAGGCAGUAAUGCCAUCUUCCUGCCGAUAUAAAGCAUCCCGUUAGCAACCUUACAAUUCAGGCGAAGAGUUUCAACCAACACAGAGAGCUCCUCUCCAAACCUCUCCCUUCUCUCCACCAGGAGACUAGGGUUAGAGAGAGAGAGAGAGUGAGACAAGAGCAAAAACAAUCUCUCGCCCCACUGUUAUACCAAGUUUGCAUCCAUCUCAUAUCCCUCUAUAUAUCUUUGUAUCACGAUGGCAGGCCUAUCCCUAGAGCACCCUUGGGCAUUCGCCUUCGGCCUCCUAGGUAUAUACUAUUCAGUACAAAAGAUUAUUUCCUCGAAUUACCCCUUGUAUUAUGUUAGUUUCUUGUUUACAACAGCUAUUUGCUAGUGCAGUACUAGUAGACUACUUUGUGUCAUUAAAGAUCGGCCUUUUGCAACAUCGAUCUAUAUAUCUUAUUUUUGCUUGCCACUUGCCACUGAUUGAUUGAUGAAUUGAUGUAGCCUAGUACUAGCUCUAGUGACAUCUAGCUCGGUGCACCAUGAACCCAUAAAGAAACAACAACAAAGCAAAUUGCAUAUGUUUUUUCUCAAAGGAUAAAGCGUAUAAAAGAAAGAUGUAAGUGUGCCCAGCAAUUAUCACAACUCAUCGCUAACUUUCCUACCAUGCUAACUUUGUGCCGUGCAGGCAACAUCAUCUCUUUCACAAGCCUCCUGGCCCCCAUGUAAGCGACAGUCUCUGUUUUCUUCAUAUGAUUGAUCAUAUCAAUAUGUCCUCCGAUAACUUGUCUGCACAUAAUAAAUUUAUCAGACCAACAUUCUACCGGAUCUUCAAGAGCAAAUCCACGGAGGGGUUCCAGUCGGUGCCCUACGUCGUGGCCCUGUUCAGCGCGAUGCUGUGGAUCUUCUACGCGCUGGUGAAGACUGGUGAGGGCCUCCUCAUCACCAUCAACGCUGCCGGCUGCGUCAUCGAGACCGUCUACAUCGUCAUGUACCUCGUCUACGCCCCCACGAAGGCCAAGAUUUUCACAGCCAAGAUCGUCCUCCUACUCAACAUCGCCAGCUUCGGGCUCAUCCUCCUCCUCACCCUCUUUGCCUUCCACGGCGAGACACGCGUCGUCUCGCUCGGCUGGAUCUGCGUCGGCUUCUCCGUUUGUGUCUUCGUCGCCCCUCUCAGCAUCAUCGUGAGUCAUCGACAGAUAAACUUUGUUGUAUAUAUUGUUGCUCAUGGCGCAACCUUUUGUACGUGUUAACUAACUGUAUGUGUCAUGUCCUUUCCCCAGGGACGAGUCAUCAAGACCAAGAGUGUGGAGUACAUGCCCUUCUCCCUCUCCCUCACGCUCACCCUCAGCGCCGUCGUCUGGUUCCUCUACGGCCUACUCAUCAAGGACAAAUAGGUCGCGGUAAUUAAAACAUCAUCCAAUCCUUCUGUUAAUUUUCCGAUAGAUACGCAUUCCAUUCUCAAGCAUUUGCACUGACGAGUGACAAUUAACGUUUUAUUUGCAGCUCCCAAACAUCCUUGGCUUCACCUUCGGGAUGAUCCAGAUGGCCCUUUACAUGUUCUACAUGAACGCGACACCGGCAGUGAGCAAUCUCAAGGAGGGGAAAGAGGGAUUGAAGAAGCCAGCGGAGGAGCACGUUGUCGUAAUCAACGUUGGUAAGAUCGAAAAGAGCUCCGGCGCUGUGGUUCGCCCGGUCACCGAGAUGCACAACGCCAUCCCCAGCAGAUGCGCUGCUGAGGCGGCGGCACCAGGGCAACAAGUGAUGGCGCUGGACUAUGCCCGUUCCGUCGACGUGGUCUAGAUUUACGCAUGCAGGGCUUGCAUGAUGCCUCUGUUCUGUUAAAUCAACUUCUUGAUUGUAUGAGGCACGAUAUUUGUUAACGAGACCGACAUGGCUAUAUCCUAGGGCAAAGGCAACUGGCGCUCCUCUCCAAGACACCCCAACACUGGCCACGCGGGCGCUGGCACACGCCGCCAGCUCCUCCGUGUAUUUAUUGUAUCAAUUUGUUGUGAGUUAAAAGUAUGGUGCCCCCUCCUCAUCAUUAUAUAAGAGGCCUAGAAUACAACGUGUUUGACUCCAGCACAAACUCGUAUCCAUCCACAUCAAUUACAGCUCCAAAUUCAUGUAAUCCUUUGGCUACAAUAUUCCACACAAAUAUAAAAAAUUGGGAACAGGGACAUUUUCUGAAAUUCUUAAAAAAUGGAAGACCGAACAUCUUCUGAAAAUGCACACAGUUUUAAUUUACUUUUUCUUGAAAAUGGGAAUAUUUUUCCGAAAUUUUAAAAAGUAUAAUAAAAACGCAAACAUUUUGUUUUUACAUUUCGAAUAAUAUUUGAACACUCAUUUAAAAAAAUGAACUUGAAGUUAAAGAAAAGGCAUCGAGAUACCAGGGAAAAUUCAGUUAAUAAACCUUCCAUAAGGUUCCGAAAAUUGGAUAAAAUAGAAAAUAAAAUUAGUUCAUGAACCUUCCAAAAGGUUCCCAAAACAAGUUAAACCAGGCAGAAACCUCCUAGAAGGUUCCCAAAAUUGGAACGAAUGAGAACAAUUUAAAUGGGCCAGACAUAUAAACCCUGUUGUUUUGUCGACCGUUCAACGUAACAAACGUCUAGACGUCUAGUAGGACUCUCGAAACUCCCCCUUUGCUCCUUAGGCCCCCGAAAGAAAAGUUGGCACUCACGUCCAUCAUAGUGUUCCACAUCCCAAGUGGAGUAGCUCGCUCGUGAUCACUACUCCCAAGGAGCUCUUUUUUCACUAAAAAAACAGUAGCUUAGUGUUCUUUUUUUCAUUUGCUCGUUUUUUCUCGGUUUUCUCUUCUGCUAUUGUUUUAUUCACCAAAAAACACUAGUUGCUGGUUUUAAAUUCAAGAAAAUAUUCAUAAUUUCAAAAUAAGUUUAAGAGUUUACGAAAAGUUCAUGAUUUUGAAAAACAAUCACGGAUUUUAAAAGAAAUCAUGAAAUUAAAAAAUCUUGAAUUUUUAAAGAUGUUCCUGAAUUUGGAAAACAUUACUGGAUUAAAUCAUAAAUUUAAAAAAAGCCCAUGAAUUUGAAAAAUCUGCAGAUAUUUGGAAAAUGGGACAACUGGGAGCUGAAUUGGGAGUUGUGUACCAAAUGGCCUCUAGCAAGAUUUGGCUACUAAUAGCUUUUUAAGUAGAGGUAGUUGCUAAAAUAAAAUAGUUAAGUGUUGUCAACUAGCAGACUGAAUUGGGGGGGAUGACGUUCACGCAUUGUGGAGGGAAGGCCAAUGAGGGAGGUGAUAUCUAACCUCAGGUUUGUGAGCUAGUGAACCCACUAAUUUUAUUAGUGCAACUUGAAAGUGUAACGAGCCUUCAAAUUCAGUUUUGAUAAUAAAGAUAUAUGAUUUCUAGACUAGUGGUUUCUAUACCCUAAUCAUUUUUUGAAACAAUACUACCAUUUAUUUUAUAAGUAACAGAGUCAUCUUCCCUACAAAACCAGAGUUGAGUUUAUAGAUGUAUAAUUUCUAACUUUGUGAAAAAUUCGAUGCAAUUCCCUAAAUUACUUGGGUGCCAAAAUACCUUUACCUCCACAAUUCGGACUUGGUGCAGACAAUUAUGACAUUACAUUCAAUUUCGGCCCCUGACAAAAAAAUAAAACUAGGUCAAUAUCUUCUAAAUUCAGUAGACUUUGAUGUAAAAUUUAUAUCUUGGGAAAUUUUAAACCCUUGUGAGAUUCGGACUGCGCUUCGGUGCCUUAAGGCACAUCCUUUGUGCCUAUGACAUGUGGGUCCAACCGGUGGCUGGCCCACAUGUCAAGGACACAAAGGCAGGUGCCUUUAAGGCACUGAAGCUGCGUCCGUGAGAUCCGCAUGUAGGUAUGUACGAUGCGCUUUUUCAGGAGGAGGGCGGGUCGGUCGGAGAGGCAAACAAGAGAGGUCAUGUGAUAGGGACCAGGACCAUACUAUGGGAACAUGGAAGUCCCAUGAGAUGGCGGCGGCGCAGCCGGUGUCAUUAACUGGAAUCAGAGAAUUUGCCAUCAGUCGGUUCUUCACCGUCUCCUAGCUGACGGUGAAGACAUGAUGGUAAAUCCGCAAUUUGCCAUCAGCUUUAUCUUUGUCGUCGCUAGAAGACUGCAAAGAGGUGAGAGUGGGGUCCAGUGGAGGCCAGUUUAUUGCAACGACCUACCACACCUAUUUGCCGUCUGCUAGCAGAUGCAAUAAGCCGGCCUCCACUGGACCUCACUCCCACCUCAUUGCCGUCUGCUAGCGGACGACAAAGUUUCUUUGCCGUCCGCUAGCAGACGACAAACUAGCCACUACCUAACGGCCCGUUACCCACCCUCUCUCUCUCUCUCUCUCUNNNNNNNNNNNNNNNNNNNNNNNNNNNNNNNNNNNNNNNNNNNNNNNNNNNNNNNNNNNNNNNNNNNNNNNNNNNNNNNNNNNNNNNNNNNNNNNNNNNNNNNNNNNNNNNNNNNNNNNNNNNNNNNNNNNNNNNNNNNNNNNNNNNNNNNNNNNNNNNNNNNNNNNNNNNNNNNNNNNNNNNNNNNNNNNNNNNNNNNNNNNNNNNNNNNNNNNNNNNNNNNNNNNNNNNNNNNNNNNNNNNNNNNNNNNNNNNNNNNNNNNNNNNNNNNNNNNNNNNNNNNNNNNNNNNNNNNNNNNNNNNNNNNNNNNNNNNNNNNNNNNNNNNNNNNNNNNNNNNNNNNNNNNNNNNNNNNNNNNNNNNNNNNNNNNNNNNNNNNNNNNNNNNNNNNNNNNNNNNNNNNNNNNNNNNNNNNNNNNNNNNNNNNNNNNNNNNNNNNNNNNNNNNNNNNNNNNNNNNNNNNNNNNNNNNNNNNNNCACCGCUACCGCCCUCGAUCCAACGCCGCCCCCGACCCCACACCGACCCGGCCUACAGCUUCGACCCCACGCCGCCGCCGCCGCCUGAUACGUCCAUUUUGCAUCAUGCUUUUAUAUCGAUAUUUAUUGCAUUAUGGGUUGUUAUUUCACGUUAUGUCACAAUACUUAUGGCUAUUCUCUCUUAUUUUACAAGGUUUACAUGAAGAGGGAGAAUGCCGGCAGCUGGAAUUCUGUGCUGGAAAAGGAGCAAAUAUUGGAGGCCUAUUCUGCGCAACUCCAAAAGUCCUGAAACUCCACGGAAUAUCUUAAAAUAAAUAAAGAAAAAUCAUCGCCAAAGAUGAAGGCCAGGGGCCCCACACCGUGCUCACAAGGGUGGGGGGCGCCCCCCUGGUGGCUCUCCGACGCCCAUCUUCUCCUAUAUGAAGUCUUUCCAUGAGAAAAAAUACAAGGCAACCGAUGAGACUCUGCCGCCACGAGGCAGAACCUUGGUGGAACCAAUCUAGGGCUCCGGCAGAGCUGUUCUGCCGGGGACACUUCCCUCCGGGAGGGGGAAAUCAUCACCAUCGUCAUCACCAACGCUCCUCUCAUCGGGAGAGGGCAAUCUCCAUCAACAUCUUCACCAGCACCAUCUCAUCUCCAAACCCUAGUUCAUCUCUUGUAUCCAAUUCUUGUCUCCAUGUCCGGGAUUGGUGCUAGUAGGUUGCUAGUAGUGUUGAUUACUCCUUGUAGUUGAUGCUAGUUGGUUUAUUUGGUGGAAGAUCAUAUGUUCAGAUCCUUUAUGCACAUUAUUAUCCCUCUGAUUAUGAACAUGAAUAUGCUUUGGGAGUAGUUACGUUCGUUCCUGAGGACAAGGGAGAAGUCUUGUUAUUAGUAUUCAUGUGAAUUUGGUAUUCGUUCGAUAUUUUGAUAAGGUGUAUGUUGUCUAGCCUCUAGUGGUGUUAUGUGAACGUCGACUACAUAACACUUCACCAUUAUUUGGGCCUAGAGGAAGGCAUUGGGAAGUAAUAAGUAGAUGAUGGGUUGCUAGAGUGACAGAAGCUUAAACCCUAGUUUAUGCGUUGCUUCGUAAGUGGCUGAUUUGGAUCCAUAUGUUUCAUGCUAUGGUUAGGUUUACCUUAAUACUUUUGUUGUACUUGCGGAUGCUUGCAAUAGAGGUUAAUCAUAAGUGGUAUGCUUGUUCAAGUAAGAACAGCACCCAAGCACCGGUCCACCCACAUAUCAAAUUAUCAAAGUACCGAACGCGAAUCAUAUGAGUGUGAUGAAAACUAGCUUGACGAUAUUCCCAUGUGUCCUCGGGAGCGCUUUUCCUAUUAUAAGAGUUUGUCCAGGCUUGUCCUUUGCUACAAAAAGGAUUGGGCCACCUUGCUGCCCUUUAUUUACUUUUGUUACUUGUUGCUCGUUACAAUUUAUCUUAUCACAAAACUAUCUGUUACCACUUAUUUCAGUACUUGCAGAGAAUACCUUGCUAAAAACCGCUUAUCAUUUCCUUCUGCUCCUCGUUGGGUUCGACACUCUUACUUAUAGAAAGGACUACGAUAGAUCCCCUAUACUUGUGGGUCAUCAAGACUCUUUUCUGGCGCCGUUGCCGGGGAGUGAAGCGCCUUUGGUAGGUUGAAUUUGGUAAGGAAAAAUUUAUAUAGUGUGCUGAAACUUUCUGUCACUUGUUACUAUGGAAAGUAAUUGUCUGAGGGGCUUGUUCGGGGUAUCUUCACCCCGUCCAGUAGAGCAAAGAGUUGCUCCUCAACCCACUCGACCUACUGAACCUAUUGAAAAUGAAACUCCUUUUGAGAUUCCUUCGGGUUUGAUGGAAAAACUGCUAGCUAACACUUUUACAGGAGAUGGAACAAAGCAUCCUGAUGAACAUCUACGCUAUGUGGUUGAUGUUUGUGGACUAUUUAAGCUUGCAGGUAUACCCGAUGAUGUUGUUAAGAAGAAUACCUUCCCUUUAUCUUUGAAGGGAGACGCAUUGACAUGGUACAGGCUAUGUGAUGAUAUGAGAUCAUGGAACUAUAAAAGAUUGAAAUUGGAAUUCAUCAAAAGUAUUACCCUAUGCAUCUUGUUCAUCGUGAUCGCAAUUAUAUAUAUAAUUUUUGGCCUCGCGAAGGAGAAAUCAUCGCUCAAGCUUGGGGGAGGCUUAAAUCAAUGUUAUAUUCAUGCCCCAAUCAUGAGCUCGCAAGAGAAGUGAUUAUGCAAAGUUUUUAUGCUCGGCUUUCUGAUAACAAUCGCACCAUGCUCGAUACUUCUUGUGCUGGCUCUUUUAUGAUGAAGACUAUUGAAUUUAGAUGGAAUUUAUUGGAUAGAAUUAAACGCAACUCUGAAGAUUGGGACCUCGAUGAAGGUAAGGAGUCAGGUAUGACACCUAAGUUUGAUUGUGUUAAAUCUUUUAUGGACACUGAUAUUUUCCGUAAGUUUAGCACUAAAUAUGGACUUGACUCUGAGAUAAUAGCUUCUUUCUGUGAAUCUUUUGCUACUUAUGUUGCUCUCCCCAAGGAGAAGUGGUUUAAAUAUCAUCCUCCCAUAGAAGUAAAAGUAGCUGCACCUAUUAAAGUUGAAGAAAAGACUGUCACGUAUAAUGAUCCUAUUGUUUCCACUUCUUAUGUUGAGAAACCACCUUUCCCCGUUAGAAUGAAGGAUCAUGCUAAAGCUUCAAUUGUUGUGCAUAAAAGCGAUAUUAGAACUUAUACACAUCCUGAGCAAAUCAAAGUAGAACCCACUAUUGCUAUUGUUAAAGAUCUCUUGUCUGAUAAUAUUGAUGGGCAUGUUAUUCAAUUCUGUGGUGAAACUGCCAGAAUUGCUAAACCUUGUGAUAGAGAUAAACAUAGACCUGUGUUAGGCAUGCCUAUUAUUUCUAUUAAAAUAAGAGAUCAUUGUUAUCAUGGCUUGUGUGAUAUGGGUGCUAGUGCUAGUGUUAUACCCAUUAACUUAUACAAAGAAAUUAUGCAUGAUAUUGCACCUGCUGAGUUAGAAGAUAUUGAUGUUACAAUUAAACUUGCCAAUAGAGAUACUAUAUCUGCAAUUGGAAUUGUUAGAGAUGUUGAAGUCUUGUGUGGAAAAACCAAAUAUCCCGCUGAUUUUCUUGUUCUUGGUUCUCCACAAGAUAGCUUUUGUCCCAUUAUAUUUGGUAGACCCUUCUUGAAUACUGUUAAUGCUACGAUAGACUGUAAAAAGGAUGUUGUUACUGUUGGCUUGGAUGAUAUGGUUCAUGAGUUUAAUUUCUCUAAAUUUAGUAAACAACAUCGUGAGGAAGAAUUGCCUAGUAAGGAUGAGAUUAUUGGUCUUGCUUCUAUUGCCGUGCCUCCUAGUGAUCAUUUAGAACAAUAUUUGCUAGACCAUGAAAAUGAUAUGUUCAUGAAUGAGAGAAGAGAAAUAGAUGAAGUAUUGUUUAAACAGGAACCUAUUCUGCAACACAAUUUACCUGUUGAAAUCCUAGGGGAUCCUCCUCCACCCAAGGGUGAUCCCUUGUUUGAGCUUAAACCGUUGCCUGAUAAUCUUUAAUAUGGUUAUCUUGAUGAAAAGAAAAUAUAUCCUGUCAUUAUUAGUGCUAACCUUUCAGAGUAUGAAGAAGAAAGAUUAUUGAAAACUCUGAAAAAGCACCGUGCUACUAUUGGAUAUACUUUGGAUGUUCUUAAGGGCAUCAGUCCCACUCUAUGUCAACAUAAAAUAAAUUUGGAAGCUGAUGCCAAACCAGUUUGUGAUCCUCAACGAUGUUUGAAUCCUAAAAUGAAAGAAGUGGUAAGAAAGGAAAUACUCAAGCUUCUGGAGGCAGGUAUAAUUUAUCCCGUUGCUGAUAGUCAGUGGGUAAGUCCUGUCCAUUGUGUCCCUAAGAAGGGAGGUAUUACUGUUGUCCCUAAUGAUAAAGAUGAAUUGAUUCCACAAAGAAUCAUCACAGUUUAUAGGAUGGUAAUUGAUUUACGCAAAUUAAAUAAGGCUACUAAGAAAGAUCAUUACCCCUUACCUUUUAUUGAUCAAAUGCUAGAAAGAUUAUGCAAACAUACACACUAUUGCUUUCUAGAUGGUUAUUCUGGUUUCUCUCAAAUACCUGUGUCGGCUAAAGAUCAAUCAAAGACUACUUUUACAUGCCCUUUUGGUACUUUUGCUUAUAGACGUAUGCCUUUUGGUUUAUGUAAUGCACCUGCUACCUUUCAAAGAUGCAUGAUGGCUAUAUUCUCUGACUUUUGCGAAAAGAUUUGUGAGGUUUUCAUGGACGACUUUUCCGUUUAUGGUUCCUCUUUUGAUGAUUGCUUGAGCAAUCUUGCCCGAGUUUUGCAGAGAUGUGAAGAAACUAAUCUUGUCUUGAAUUGGGAAAAGUGCCACUUUAUGGUUAAUGAAGGUAUUUUCUUGGGCACAAAGUUUCUGAAAGAGGUAUUGAAGUUGAUAAAGCCAAGGUUGAUGCUAUUGAAAAGAUGCCAUGUCCCAAGGACAUCAAAGGUAUAAGAAGUUUCCUUGGUCACGCGGAUUUUAUAGGAGGUUCAUUAAGGACUUCUCAAAAAUCUCUCGGCUUCUGACUAAUUUAUUACAAAAAGAUGUACCAUUUGUCUUUGAUGAUGAUUGUGUAGAAGCAUUUGAAAUACUUAAGAAAGCAUUAGUCUCUGCACCUGUUGUUCAGCCACCUGAUUGGAAUCUACCCUUUGAAAUUGUGUGUGAUGCUAGUGAUUAUGCUGUAGGUGUUGUUCUAGGGCAAAGAGUUGAUAAGAAAUUAAAUGUUAUCCAUUAUGCUAGUAAGACUCUAGACAAUGCCCAAAGAAAUUAUGCUACUACCGAAAAGGAACUUUUAGCAGUUGUGUUUGCUUGUGAUAAGUUUAGACCUUAUAUUGUUGAUUCCAAAGUUACUAUUCACACUGAUCAUGCUGCUAUUAAAUAUCUUAUGGAAAAGAAAGAUGCAAAACCUAGACUCAUUAGAUGGGUUCUCCUGCUGCAAGAAUUUGAUUUACAUAUUGUUGAUAGAAAGGGAGCUGAGAACCCCGUUGCAGACAACUUGUCUAGGUUAGAGAAUGUUCUUGAUGACCCACUACCUAUUGAUGAUAGCUUUCCUGAUGAACAAUUAAAUGCCAUAAGCACUUCUCGUAGCACUCCAUGGUAUGCUGAUUAUGCUAAUUAUAUUGUUGCUAAAUUUAUACCACCUAGCUUCACAUACCAACAAAAGAAAAAGUUUUUCUAUGACUUGCGACAUUACUUUUGGGAUGACCCACAUCUUUAUAAAGAAGGAGUAGAUGGUGUUAUUAGACGUUGUGUACCUGAGCAUGAACAGGAACAGAUCCUACACCAGUGUCACUCCAAAGCUUAUGGAGGACACCACGCUGGAGAUAGAACUGCACAUAAGGUAUUGCAAUCCGGUUUUUAUUGGCCUACUCUCUUCAAGGAUGCACGUAAGUUUGUUUUGUCUUGCGAUGAAUGUUAAAGAAUUGGUAAUAUUAGUAGACGUCAAGAAAUGCCUAUGAAUUAUUCACUUGUUAUUGAACCAUUUGAUGUUUGGGGCUUUGAUUAUAUGGGACCUUUUCCUGCCUCUAAUGGAUAUACUCAUAUUUUAGUUGUUGUUGAUUACGUUACUAAGUGGGUAGAAGCUAUUCCAACUAGUAGUGCUGAUCAUAACACUUCUAUUAAAAUGCUUAAGGAAGUUAUUUUUCCGAGGUUUGGAGUCCCUAGAUAUUUAAUGACUGAUGGUGGUUCACAUUUGAUUCAUGGUGCUUUCCGUAAGAUGCUUGCUAAAUAUGACAUUAAUCAUAGAAUUGCAUCUCCAUAUCACCCGCAGUCUAGUGGUCAGGUAGAAUUGAGCAAUAGAGAGCUCAAAUUAAUUUUGCAAAAGACUGUCAAUAGGUCUAGAAAGAAUUGGUCCAAGAAACUUGAUGAUGCAUUAUGGGCCUAUAGAACUGCAUAUAAGAAUCCUAUGGGUAUGUCUCCGUAUAAAAUGGUUUAUGGAAAAGCUUGUCACUUACCGCUCGAACUAGAACCUAAGGCAUAUUGGGCUAUUAAAGAUCUCAACUACGAUUUCAAACUUGCCGGUGAGAAGAGGUUAUUUGAUAUUAGCUCACUUGAUGAAUGGAGAACCCAAGCUUAUGAAAAUGACAAGUUGUUUAAAGAAAAAGUUAAAAUAUGGCAUGACAAAAGGAUACAAAAGCGUGAGUUUAAUGUAGGUGAUUAUGUAUUGCUAUACAACUCUCGUUUAAGAUUUUUUACAGGAAAACUUAUCUCCAAAUGGGAAGGUCCCUACGUUAUCGAGGAGGUCUAUCGUUCCGGUGCCAUAAAAAUAAACAACUUUGCAGGCACAAAUCUGAAGGUGGUAAACGGUCAAAGGAUUAAACACUAUAUUUCAGGUAAUCCCAUAAAUGUUGAAACUAAUAUUAUUGAAACCGUAACCCCGGAGGAAUACAUAAAGGACACUUUCCAGAAUGUUCCAGACUCCGAAAAGGAAUAGGUAUGUGGUACGGUAAGUAAACCGACUCCAAAACAAUUUUUAAGGAAAUAUUUAUCUAUUUUGGAAUAUUUAAAAAAUAGAAAAAUAAGUAGCAGUCCGGGGAGGACACGAGGCCUCCACGAGGGUGGAGGGUGCGCCCUACCCCCCUGGGUGCGCCCCCCUACCUCGUGAGCACCUCGUGUGCCCUCGGGACUCCGUUUCCUUGCACGAUACAUAUUCUGGUAGUUAAAAAUUCAUUAUAUAUACUCCCGAAGGUUUUGACUCUCGUAUCACGCAAAUAUCCUCUGUUUUCGUUUCGAGCUGUUCCUGCUGCAGAUUUGAACAAGAUGUUGUCCCAAGAUUCGGAGGGAGAGAGCUACAUAGCUGAUUAUAUUGCAAAUCCAAGAGUAUAUGGGGACGUGGAACACUAUGGCUGGACCACGGAAGAAGAAGAAGACUAUGAUCCAAAGAGGAAGGAGGAGACAAGCUCUGAUGAAGAGGACUACCCACUGCCUCAACCUGGUGAUAUGCAUGUGGAGUUCAAGAAGUCAAGCCUCCCUAAGGUCCAAUCUAUCCCACCAUGUUUUUUGCAGGACAGCAAGGCAACACUAUGCAAGAAGAUAAUGAAACUUGAGCUCGAGAAUGAGGAUCUGAGGGAGGAAAAUUUUAGCCUCAGGCGUAAGCUAGAGAAGAAAAGUGCAACGAAUCCUACUUCACCACCUCCGAAGAUAUAAUAACGUGGGUAUGGGCACUCCCCUUGGCAACUGCCAAGCUUGGGGGAGGUGCCCUGGUAUAGUAUCACCAUCACAACUCCUAUCUUUACUGUUUUUCUUAGUUCGAUCUAUUUAGUAGUAUUUUGAUUUAGUAGAAUAAAGUCAUGGCAAGAUCUAGUUUUGAGUUUUGCUUUAUGAUCCUUCUUUGUAAUCGAGUCUGUGAGCUAUAUAAUAAAGAUUAGUGUUGAGUCAAGGGCUUGAGUAUUUUGCCAUGAUCUUGGGUGAUUAGAAGAAAAAGAAUAAAAAGAAUCAAAGAGUUCAUAUUGAUCUUAGUGAAAGUAAUGACUUCACAUAGAAAGAGUAUGAUGAUUAAAGGUUGUUGGGAGUUGGCAAAUAUAGCUUUGGUCAUCGUUGCAAUUAAUAGGAAGUAAUAAGGAAAGAGAGGUUUCACAUAUAUAUAUAUAUAUUAUCAUUGACAUCUUUUAUGAUUGGGAGCACUCAUUAAAAUAUGACAUGCUAAAAGAGUUGAGGUUGGACAAGGAAGACAACGUAAUGAGUUAUGUUUUCUUACAUCUGAGAUAAAGUAUGUUGUCAUGGAUCCUCUAACGUGUUGAGCUUGCCUUUCCCCCUCAUCCUAGCCAAAUUCUCGGCACCAAGUAGAAAUACUACUUGUGCUUCCCAAUACCCUUAAACCAGUUUUGCCAUGAGAGUCCACCAUAUCUACCUAUGGAUUGAGUAAGAUCCUUCAAGUAAGUUGUCAUCAGUGCAAGCAAUAAAAAAUGCUCUCUAAAUAUGCAUGACUUAUUAGUGCAGAGAAAAUAAACUUUGUACGAACUUGUUGUGGACGCAAUAAAAGCGACGGACUGCAUAAUAAAGGUUCACAUACAAGGGGCAAUAUAAAGUGAUGUUCUUUUGCAUUAAGAUUUUGUGCAUCAACCCUAAAUGCGCAUGACAACCUCUGCUUCCCUCUGCGAAGGACCUAUCUUUUAUUAUUAUCCUCUAUCUUAUGCAAGAGUCACGGUGAUCUUCACCUUUCCCUUUUAUUUUAUCCUUUGGCAAGCUCAGCAUGUUGGAAAGAACAUGAUAUAUAUAUCUAAUUGGAUGUGGGGGAGAAUGAAAUAUUAUUGUUGACAUUACCCUUUAGGUAAAAGGUUGUGAGGCAAAACUAUAAGCCCCUAUCUUUCUCUGUGUCCGAUUAAAACUCCGUAACCACAAGUAUCGCGUGAGUGUUAGCAAUUAUGAAGGACUAAGUGAUAGUUGAGUAUGUGGAGUUGCUUUUAAGCUCUGACAUAGACUCUUUCCGAUGUUAUGAUAAAUUGCAAUUGUUUCAAUGACUGAGGUUAUAAUUUGUUGGCGCUCAAUAAGGCUUCUGAUUCAUACUCUGGCUUCGGGAAAUGAUCAUCGUUUGAACAUGAGUAAUCAUAUGAUAAAAUCUAUUUAUGUUGCUGUUAUGGAAAUAAUCAUGCUGCCUUCAUGUCCGUAUUUUUAUUUUUAUCGACGCCUCUACCUCUAAACAUGAGGAAAUAUUUAUUGUUAUCGGCUUUUCGCUUGAGGACGAGCGAGGUGUAAGCUUGGGGGAGUUGAUACGUCCAUUUUGCAUCAUGCUUUUAUAUCAAUAUUUAUUGCAUUAUGGGCUGUAAUUUCACGUUAUGUCACAAUACUUAUGGCUAUUCUCUCUUAUUUUACAAGGUUUACAUGAAGAGGGAGAAUGCCGGCAGCUGGAAUUCUGGGCUGGAAAAGGAGAAAAUAUUGGAGGCCUAUUCUGCACAACUCCAAAAGUCCUGAAACUCCACGGAAUAUCUUAAAAUAAAUAAAGAAAAAUCGUCGCCAAAGAUGAAGGCCAGGGGGCCCACACCCUGCUCACGAGGGUGGGGGCGCGCCCCCCUGGGCGCGCCCCCUACCUCGUGGGCCCCCUGGUGGCUCUCCGACGCCCAUCUUCUCCUAUAUGAAGUCUUUCCAUGAGAAAAAAAUACAAGGUAACCUUUCGGGACGAGACUCCGCCGCCACGAGGCGGAGCCUUGGCGGAACCAAUCUAGGGCUCCGGCAGAGCUGUUCUGCCGGGGACACUUCCCUCCAGGAGGGUGAAAUCAUCACCAUCGUCAUCACCAAUGCUCCUCUCAUCGGGAGAGGGCAAUCUCCAUCAACAUAUUCACCAGCACCAUCUCAUCUCCAAACCCUAGUUCAUCUCUUGUAUCCAAUUCUUGUCUCCAUGUCCGGGAUUGGUGCUAGUAGGUUGCUAGUAGUGUUGAUUACUCCUUGUAGUUGAUGCUAGUUGGUUUAUUUGGUGGAAGAUCAUAUGUUCAGAUCCUUUAUGCACAUUAUUACCCCUCUGAUUAUGAACAUGAAUAUGCUUUGGGAGUAGUUACGUUCGUUCCUGAGGACAAGGGAGAAGUCUUGUUAUUAGUAUUCAUGUGAAUUUGGUAUUCGUUCGAUAUUUUGAUAAGAUGUAUGUUGUCUAGCCUCUAGUGGUGUUAUGUGAACGUCGACUACAUAACACUUCACCAUUAUUUGGGCCUAGAGGAAGGCAUUGGGAAGUAAUAAGUAGAUGAUGGGUUGCUAGAGUGACAGAAGCUUAAACUCUAGUUUAUGCGUUGCUUCGUAAGGGGCUGAUUUGGAUCCAUAUGUUUCAUGCUAUGGUUAGGUUUACCUUAAUACUUUUGUUAUAGUUGUGGAUGCUUGCAAUAGAGGUUAAUCAUAAGUGGGAUGCUUGUUCAAGUAAGAACAACACCCAAGCACCGGUCCAUCCACAUAUCAAAUUAUCAAAGUACCUAACGUGAAUCAUAUGAGCGUGAUGAAAACUAGCUUGACGAUAUUCCCAUGUGUCCUCGGGAGCGCUUUUCCUAUUAUAAGAGUUUGUCCAGGCUUGUCCUUUGCUACAAAAAGGAUUGGGCCACCUUGCUGCACUUUAUUUACUUUUGUUACUUGUUGCUCGUUACAAUUUAUCGUAUCACAAAACUAUUUGUUACCACUUAUUUUAGUACUUGCAGAGAAUACCUUGCUGAAAACCGCUUAUCAUUUCCUUCUGGUCCUUGUUGGGUUCGACACUCUUACUUAUCGAAAGGACUACGAUAUAUCCCCUAUACUUGUGGGUCAUCACCGCCCCCGACUGCACCCCGCCGCCGCCCCCGACCCUGACCGCACGCUGCAGCCGCCCUGGACCCCAUGCCGCCCCUGCUCCCCACCACACCCCGCCGCCGUCCCCGACCCCACGCCGCCCCCGACCGCACAGCGCCGGCGCCCGCGACCCCCCACCACCNNNNNNNNNNNNNNNNNNNNNNNNNNNNNNNNNNNNNNNNNNNNNNNNNNNNNNNNNNNNNNNNNNNNNNNNNNNNNNNNNNNNNNNNNNNNNNNNNNNNNNNNNNNNNNNNNNNNNNNNNNNNNNNNNNNNNNNNNNNNNNNNNNNNNNNNNNNNNNNNNNNNNNNNNNNNNNNNNNNNNNNNNNNNNNNNNNNNNNNNNNNNNNNNNNNNNNNNNNNNNNNNNNNNNNNNNNNNNNNNNNNNNNNNNNNNNNNNNNNNNNNNNNNNNNNNNNNNNNNNNNNNNNNNNNNGGCACGCCGCCCCGGCCCGUCGGUGUCGGUCUCCUCCACCUCGACCUCCACCUCCCCCACUCCGGUGAGCCUCCUCCCCCUCUCUUUUUUUUCAAUUUUUUCUCUGUUAGUGUAGUUAGUUUAGUUAGAGUAGUUAGUUACUAUAGUUAGUGUAGUUAGUGUAGUUUAGUUAGUGUAGUUUGGUUAGUUAGUGUAGUGUAGUGUAGUGUAGUUAGUGUAGUUUUGGUCAGUUAGUGUAGUGUAGUUUAGUUAAUUUAGUUUAGUUGUAGUUUAGUUAUUUAGUUUAGUUAAUCUAGUUUAGUUGUAGUUAGUUACUGUAAUGCACUGCCUGGAUGUAAAGGAAAAAAUAAACUGUAAAUGUAGAGAUCCCAAGAUCCCUCCCCUCGUCGGUCACUAACCUAUCCCUCCCCGGAUCGCCCCCUCCUCGCAGAUCCUUGCUCGUGCCCCUUGCUUCAUCCAUUGGCUUCCCGUUCCGUCGAGGUGGUCUAGAUUUACGCAUGCAGGGCAUGCAUGAUGCCUCUGUUCUGUUAAAUCAACUUCUUGAUUAUAUGAGGCACGAUAUUUGUUAACGAGACUGACAUGGCUAUAUCCUAGGGCAAGGGCUACUGGCGCUCCUCUCCAAGACAUCCCAACACCGGCCGCCCGGGUGCUGGCACACGCCGCCAGCUCCUCUGUGUAUUUAUUGUAUCAAUUCGUUGUGAGUUAAAAGUAUGGUGCCCCCUCCUCAUCAUUAUAUAAAGAGGGCUAGAAUACAACGUGUUUGACUCCAGCACAAACUCGUAUCUAUCCACAUCAAUUACAGCUCCAAGUUCAUGUAAUCCCUUGGCUACAAUAUUUGACACAAUAUAACAAAUUGGGAACAGGGACAUUUUCUGAAAUUCUGAAAAAAAUGGAAGACCGAACAUCUACUGAAAAUGCACACAUUUUUUAAUUUACUUUUUAUUGAAAAUGGGAAUAUUUUUCUGAAAUUUUAAAAAGUAUAAUAAAAACGCAAAUAUUUUGUUUUUACAUUUCAACACUCAUUUAAAGAAAUAAACUUGAAAUUAAAAAAAGGCAUCGAGAUAACAGGGAAAAUUCAGUUAACAAACUUUCCAUAAGGUUCCCAAAAUUGGAUAAAAUAGGAAAGAAAAUUAGUUUAUGAACCUUCCGAAAGGUUCCCAAAACAUGUUAAACCAGACAGAAACCUCCUAGAAGGUUCCCAAAAUCGGAACGAAUGAGAACAAUUUAAAUGGGCCAGACAUAGAAACCCUGUUGUUUUGUCGACUGUUUGACGUAACAAACGUCUAGACGUCUAUUAGGACUCUCGAUACUCCCGGUCUAGACGUCUAGUAGGACUCUCGAAACCCCCCCUUUGCUCCUUAAGCCCCCGAAAGAAAAGUUGGCACUCACAUCCAUCACAGUGUUCCACAUCAGUACUCCCAAGGAGCUCUUUUUUCACUAAAAAACAGUAGCUUAGUGUUCUUUUUUUUCAUUUGCUCGCUUUUUCUCGGUUUUGUCUUGUGCUAUUGUUUUGUUCAUCAAAAGACACUAGUUGCUGGUUUUUAAAUUCAGGAAAAUAAUCAUAAUUUCAAAAUAAGUUUCAGAGUUUAGGAAAAGUUCAUGAUUUUGAAAAAAAAUCACGAAUUUUAAAAGAAGUCAUGAAAUAAAAAAAUCAUGAAUUUGAAAAUUGUUCAUGAAUUUUUAAAAUUGUUCCUGAAUUUGGAAAACGUUAAUGGAUUAAAUUAUAAAUUUAAAAAAGCCCAUGAAUUUGAAAAAUCUGCAGAUAUUUGGAAAAUGGGACAACUAGGAGUUGAAUUGGGCGUUGUGUACCAAAUUGCCUCUAGCAAGAUUUGGCUACUAAUAGCUUCUUAAGUAGAGGUAUUUGCUAAAAUAAAAUAGUUAAGGGUUGUCAACUAGCAGACUGAAUUGGGGGAUGAUGUUCUCGCAUUGUCGAGGGAAGGCCAAUGAGGGAGGUGAUAUCUGACCUUAGGUUUGUGAGCUAGUGAACCCACUAAUUUUAUUAGUGCAACUUGAAAGUGUAACGAGCCUUCAAAUUCAGUUUUCAUAAUAAAGAUAUAUGAUUUCCAGACUAGUGGUUUCUAUACCCUAAUCAUUUUCUAAAACAAUACUACCGUUUAUUUUAUAAGUAACAAAGUCAUCUUCCCUACAAAACCAGAAUUGAGUUUAUAGAUGUAUAAUUUCUAACUUUGUGAAAAAUUCGAUGCAAUUCCCUAAAAUUACUUGGGUGCCAAAAUACCUAUAGCUCCACAAUUCGGACUAGAUGCAGAAAUUAUGACAUUACAUUCAAUUUUGGUCCCUGACAAAAAAAUAAAACUGGGUAAAUAUCUUCUAAAUUCACUAGACUUUGAUGUAAAAUUUAUAUCUUGGGAAAUUUUAAACCCUUGUGAGAUCCGGCUUGCGCUUCGGUGCCUUAAGGCACAUGCCUUUGUCCCUAUGACAUGUGGGUCCAACUUAUGGCUGACCCACAUGUCAAGGACCCAAAGGCAGGUACCUUUAAGGCACUGAAGCUGCGUCCAUGAGAUCCGCAUGUAGGUAUGUACGAUGCGCUUUUUCGGGAGGAGGGCGGGUCGGUCGGAGAGAUGAAGAGGUGAUGGUGGGGUCCAGUGAAGGCCAGCUUAUUGCAACAGCCUACCACACCUCUUUGUCGUCUGCUAGCGGAUGCAAUAAGCCGGCCUUCACUGGACCNNNNNNNNNNNNNNNNNNNNNNNNNNNNNNNNNNNNNNNNNNNNNNNNNNNNNNNNNNNNNNNNNNNNNNNNNNNNNNNNNNNNNNNNNNNNNNNNNNNNNNNNNNNNNNNNNNNNNNNNNNNNNNNNNNNNNNNNNNNNNNNNNNNNNNNNNNNNNNNNNNNNNNNNNNNNNNNNNNNNNNNNNNNNNNNNNNNNNNNNNNNNNNNNNNNNNNNNNNNNNNNNNNNNNNNNNNNNNNNNNNNNNNNNNNNNNNNNNNNNNNNNNNNNNNNNNNNNNNNNNNNNNNNNNNNNNNNNNNNNNNNNNNNNNNNNNNNNNNNNNNNNNNNNNNNNNNNNNNNNNNNNNNNNNNNNNNNNNNNNNNNNNNNNNNNNNNNNNNNNNNNNNNNNNNNNNNNNNNNNNNNNNNNNNNNNNNNNNNNNNNNNNNNNNNNNNNNNNNNNNNNNNNNNNNNNNNNNNNNNNNNNNNNNNNNNNNNNNNNNNNNNNNNNNNNNNNNNNNNNNNNNNNNNNNNNNNNNNNNNNNNNNNNNGGCUCACUGCCCCGGCCCCCCGACGCCCCGACGCUCCGGCACGCUGCCUCGGCCGGCCGGCGUCGGUCUCUUCAACCUCGACCUCCACCUCCCCCACUCCGAUGAGCCCCCUCGCCCUCUCUUUCUUUCAAUUUUUUUCUCUGUUAGUGUAGUUAGUUUAGUUAGAGUAGUUAGUUAGUAUAGUUAGUAUAGGUAGUGUAGUUAGUGUAGUUAGUUUAUUUAGUUUAGUUAGUGUAGUGUAGUGUAGUUUAGUUAGUGUAGUUUGGUUAGUUAGUGUAGUGUAGUGUAGUUUAGUUAGUGUAGUUUUGGUCAGUUAGUGUUGUGUAGUUUAGUUUAAUUUAGUUAAUUUAGUUUAGUUGUAGUUUAGUUAGUUUAGUUUAGUUAAUCUAGUUUAGUUGUAGUUAGUUACUGUAAUGCACUGCCUAGAUGUAAAGGAAAAUAAAAUAAAAUGUUAAUGUUGAGAUCCCAAGAUCCCUCCCCUCGUCGGUCACUAACCUAUCCCUCUCCGGAUCGCCCCCUCCUCGUAGAUCCUCGCCGGUGCCCCUUGCUUCCUCCAUUGGCUACCCCUCCUCGGCUCCACCCCUCAUCGCCGACAGCAGCAGGAAGCUAGCUAUAUCCUCCUCCUCCCCCUUCCUUUGAUCUGUUCCGGCCUUCAUUCCAAUGACACUAGCUAGGUAACUACAGUCGCGUAACCAAUUUUUGUCUCAUGUUCGAAAGGGUCGCAUCGAUAAAUAUGCAACUAAAUAUGCAUCAAGUUGCAUAUUUAUCACCAUAACUCAUUCGGAUUGUCCAACGAUUUCCACGGACAGCCCAAGGAUGUGUAGAUUGGGUACGUUCUCCAUGUUCUACCCAAUUCCAAGAAACAAAUUCUCCAGCACCUCCCUGUUGUUCUUUGGAUGCACAUUCUCUCGGCUUUUUGCCGAGCCGUGUAUUUGGAGAACAGUGGGGAGGUGCUGCUGAAAUUUUGUCUCGGAAUGGGGUAGUGCAUGGAGAACGUACUCAAUCUACACAUACUUGGGUAGGAUUAGGACCUACCUUUACCUAUUCGCAUGUAGGUUGCAUGGACGUAAUAAAAUUGACAAACUAGAUUAACUAAUGAAUAUACAUGCUGAAUUAUAUAUAUUUCUUUUGUGUCUAGUAGCUUGGUAAGAUGAGUGAUCGUGCAUGGGUGUACACUGGUCACACUAGUCAGAAAGACAUGACCAUUGAAUGGUUAACAAAAACCAAGGGGGUUGUGAGAGCCGCAUUAGCAAAUGGCCAGAGAAAAACCUGGUGCCCCUAUGUACGAUGCGACAAUUGGCACAAGAGGACAGAGGAUGAAAUGGGCAAACCAUUGCAGAAGAGUGGUUUGACGGCUGGUUAUACGGUGUGGACAUUUCAUGGUGAGUCUGGCCAACGUGCCAGAGCUGACGUGGUUCAUCGUCGCACCGACAAGAAAGGUACCGAGAUGGAAGACAUGGUGCAAGACUUUGAUGAUGCUCGGGAUUCGGACGAUGAGAUGGAGGAAUCUGCAAAGGCCUUCAAUGAAAUGUUGGACUCUUCAAAACGUCCUCUCCACGAGCACAAUGAGCUUUGUCAUCUGAAUGCCAUCUCCCAAGUAAUGGCUCUGAAGGCUCAACUAAACUUGGGCAGUGUCGGGGAUAUACCCCGCGGUAUGACCCGGCCGGAGUUAUGACCCGGCCGGACUUGGCGAUUCACCAGAAGACCCGGUUGGAGCUAGGCGACUCACUGGUGACCUGCCUGGACAUGGCGGUUUACAUAUAACCCACCUGGACAUUAUGACUCACUGGAGACCCGGCGGGCGGGUCAAACGGACGACAAGGCCCAAGGCCCAGUAGGCCGGUUCAUGUGAUGGUGGGCCGACUUAAGAAGAAAGGUGUGAGGAAUAUUUCCCUUACAAGGAAUCAAGACCCGGACUUGUAUCCGGCUUGUAGUAGAAGAUAGCCUAAUCCUAGUCCUACUAGGACUCCACAUGUAACCCGCCCCUCUAACUUAUAUAAGGAGGGGCAGGGCUCCCCAAGAGGGACAAACAACAGGAAACAAUCUCUAGGGCUAGACACAAAGGGGGAGCCGGCUUAUGCGGCGACUCUCUCAUGAGCAUAAUGAGACCUAGCCUCAAACAGCAUGUAGGGCUAUUACCGGAUGAUGUUUCCCGGGGCCCGAAGCUGUCUAAAUCCUUGUCUUGCGUGUUGAUCCGCUCUGCGUCUCUCGUCCCACUCAACCCCUCUCAAGCUACCACAUAGAUGCGUUGGCUUCGCGACUAAGUCCUCACACUAAGGACAUCUGACGUGUUAAUUCCACGAGAGUUGACGCCCACUAUCGGGGCUCGCGCAUGUGGUGUUGAGUUUUUGGAGGGAUCUCUCUUAGGGAUCAAGGGGCUCGAAAUUUUUCAGAUGAAGAAAAGCUGGAUUGAAAGGAUUUGCAUCAGUGACGAGUUCAUCAGUCCAAAUUGAAGAUCUGUCAGAUUUAAGGUUCAAAGGAAUUAGGGUUGCGAGUUGUUCCGCCGCUGUUUUAUUGAAAAGUCGCCAAGACCGACGGAAUUUUGGAUCAGGUGCAUCGACGUCCAGUUGGUUCAAGUGUUUCAGAUUCGUUCGAUCGGCGGUUCAAGGUUGUUUUUACCAAAAGUCAAGCCAGGUCGAUUGCGUACUGCUCCAAGCUGGAUUCGGUUCAGAUGCCAAAAAAGAAAAACAAAAGGAAGAGAAGAGGAAACAUCCCACGACUCGUAAGUAGAUUAGACAAGAGACUUGGUCUCUGCCAUCGAGCCGGUUUUCCCUCACCAAUCCUGGUCGAGCCAUGACCUCCGCGACUUGCCGUGUCCUCACUCUCCCGACCUCCGCCAAGGCCUGUCCGUGAGCCGCCGCCGGGCCCCAUCCAUCCGCCUCGUAGCAGCUGGCACAUCAAGCCGGCCGGCCGGCCACGGCGCCAGGGAGUUGCUGCAUCAGGGAGUCGCUGCAUCGGUUACGGUUUGUUCUGCUGCCGCCGCAAAGAAGUUGCCGCUGGUAGGAUUUCUAUUGUCUAUGCAACGACAAGUCCAAGACAGGGAGAGCUGCACGGGCUGGUUCAUCUGUGGUAUUACUACAUAUAAGACACACGUAAGUCGCCCAGGCUGCAGUAAAACACCAAGUUCUAGUUGUUCAAAUGACCAAAGUCAAACUACGACCUGGAACGAGAUCCGCCUGAGCCGCCGCCGCAACGAUACAGCCGUGCUUGAUCCGGCUUGCCGCCCCGUCGACUUGCUUUGCUGCCGUGGGCCGCGUCGAGUCACCAUCUCCGUUUCCAAACGACCAUGGGCCUCCGCGAGCCACCUCGCCUCUGAGUUAUUCUAAACUUGCCUCUGCCGUGGCCGUGCUCUAGGCUACUGCAGCCUCGUUUCCACCCUCGAGUCACCAGUCACGCAGUGGUUUGCCUUCACAUCCAAGCCGGUUUGCUGCGUCUACUGCGGUUGUCUACGAAUCCUCAAGCAACUUUGUUGUUGCCAUGGCUGUACUCCGUUUCUACAUAUUGUUAAUCCGAACCCAAAUCCAUCACCAGGACGGAGGAUCAAGCCAAAAAUGAGAUUCCUUUCUGGAGAUGCACCACAUAACCUGAAGCGCUGUCAAAAGCGACGAGGGAGCUAUCAAAGGUCAGCACUAGCAUGGGUAUCCAUCCAAAGAAGCAUUAAGGAUUAGUACUAGUACAUACAUUAAGGAUUACCGUCAUCAUUUGGGAAAAAUGUACUAGUACAUACACAAUUUCCAAAAACAGUCUUUAUGUUUCCUUAUAUGGAGCCACGCAAGAAAAAAUAUAUCCAUCGAUUUCAAUAUUCAGUGGUGGAAGAGGUGAGUACAGUCUGAUCGGACGGAUGUUUUCUUCAAACCGCCGCCGGAUCGAGUCAACUCAAGCCUCACCCGCUGCUGCUGUCUCUGCGGUUACAAGACGCCAUGACCCGGUGGCAUUAAACCGGAGCCACAUCUGCCUGUUUCAAAUCGCCGCCGCUUCACUUCUGGCUGGCUGAUGUUCCGGACCGCCCCCGUCGCUGCUGACUCUGCCGUGCCGCGGUGCCCCUGCCCUCAACUCUGUGGCUGGCUUCGUCUGCUCGCCGUGGCCUCAACUUUGAACCGCUUGCCUCGCCUCUGAGCAACCUCGCUGCCAAGUCACCGUGGCCGGGUCUCACUGACCUUGUGGGCCGGCCUGCUGCCUCUGCCGGGUCUCACUGACCGGCAAAAAAUAUCAGGUGAUAUUCAUCCAAGUGUAUUUUAUUAAAUAUAUUAUUUCUGUUAAAAAACAAGUUUAUCUUUGCCUUGGUCUGCAAUAUUGUUUAUGCAGGGCAAUUAUUUAUGACAAAAAGAGAUAUUAUACCACGGAGAUGGAGGCACGCCAACAUCUUUUGAUACAGGUGGUCGUCAUUACUCAACGGACUCCUGCACCGGCUCACAACGCCGUGGCCGUCUCCCGCGACCACGCCGGCUUACAACAAGGAGGACAACUUGCCCGUCCGCACCGGCUUACAACGCCACGGCCGGCUUAUCUGUCUGUGCCACCUUAGAUGUUGCAGUCGUCUUUACCGUUCGUCUCUCGUUGCCUGGUCUACAUCAACACAUUGGUCCGCACCUGUCUGCAUGAGUUGUUUAUUAAGUAUGAGCAAGUCACUACUUGGGAAGCCCGGUUUUCUUCCAACAAAUUGGAGGCAAAUUAUCAUGUAUUAUUAGCCAUCGUCUGCACUGGAUGGUUCAAUGGGCAGGCGCACAAGUCGCCGCACUACGGUUUGGUUAAACUUUAAACAGCCAGUUGGAAGGAACCAUUGGCCGAGUUGCUGACACGGUUCAUACGGGAUCAUUUAUAACCCGCCGCAGUCACCUCAACCUUCUGUGGAUUCACAUCGCGCUAUCAACGCCAAUGAUAUACACCUUCUGCUAUGGUCAAAUAUGGAGAAUCUCAAGCCAAUACUUCGAGUCAUCUUGAGACUCGGGGGCUACAAUGGUAUGGCUCGGCAAGAUUGGCCGGUUUCAUUGAAUUCAAGAACUCCGGGUGAUUGAAGGGAAGAUAACCCGGCCCUGGAGGUUACUGCUUUAUUGGAAAAUAUUUAAAGGCCGUCAGGAAAAUUUCCGGUUCAAAAUGAGGAUUCCGGUUUAAAAUACAGCUCAAGAGACAUCUUUCUCCCGCAAAACUUUGAAGCUCUCAAAACUGGUUCAACAUCCGGAUCAAGGUAAAUUUGUCCCUUACAAAGCUUUGAGGAUCUCAAUAUCCGGUUUAAGAAUUUCCGGUUCAAAAGAAUUAAUCUCUCGCAAAUUCGAGAUAUCGAACAAAUUAAUGGUUACCAAAGGGAACUUGCCGCCAUGAUGCACGGUUCAAAACAUGGGUAUCCUGCCUUACGGCUUAUUUUAUUGUGGUCACUAGGGGGCUUCCUGCUCAUCGGGCAUAGCUAUCAGUACCCUCUUGAUCGGCGCAAUGCCAGAAAUUUAUAUGGUCACUUGGGGGCUUCCUGUUCAAACAUAGGUCGUAUUCGAACCAAAGAGAACAUAGCUGUCGAUACCCUUUUGAUUAGCAAACUGCUGAACCUACUUGGGGGCUUCUUGAUCGUAUCCGAAUCAUAGCUCAACCCCUUUGGGAAUCGACGUGGAUCGUAUAUGAAUCAACAUUGUUAAAACAACUUUUAAGGUCAUUUGGGGGCUUCCUGUUCAAACAUAGGUCGUAUUCGAACCAAAGAGAACAUAGCUGUCGAUACCCACUUUGAUCGGCAACGCCAAUGCCACUGGGGGCUAUAUGAUCGUAUUCGAAUCUUAUCUUAACCCCUUUGGAACGGUUUGCUGAUCGUAUUCGAAUCAGAAGCCUCAAAAUUUUUAUCUAUUUUUAUACAAUCCAAGUAUUUGAGUUGUCACAAAUAUCAUAUGUGCCGGCUCUUACAGAGUUGAGUUAUCAACUUCACUAUCCGGGUCACAUAAGCCGACGGUAUCAUUCAAAGGAUCAUAAGGAUCUUGUGAUCUACUUGUGUGCAGGAUAAGACUACAUUUGGGUGAUUACCCGCCCUGGCUUUUGACGUUAAUUCGCCAGGGCAUAUGUUGUUUAAACUCUUUGCAGGGUUUGCAGAAAUAUGACAUAUAAAUGAUUAAGUUCAAGCUCAUUACCAAAGUUGAUGCUUCAAAAUGAUGACCCGUUCUGGAUUUUUUCCAAAGGCUAUAAGCCGCCGGGUUAUAAAAAUUCCGGCUUACAAUGGAGGCGUAUUAAAUCGCCAUCGGCCAAGAGCCGCUGAGUAUUUAAACUCCGGAUUUACUUGUCAAGCAAUGAGGUAUUCAAAUCUUUAAUAGCCAAAACUGGCUGGAUUUUCAUGAUGAUAUUGAAUGAUUGAGGUUUUCAUACUGGAUUAUAUUAUUCAAAUCUCGAAUAGCCAACAUGGCUGGAUUUCUAUUGUGAUUAUCACUAACCAGUGUUAUGAUUGAGGUUUUCAAAGUCGCUUUAGCGCAACGGCUAUUAUUUUUAUCAAUGGGCAUGAUUUAUUUUACAAUGGAGGAAAUAGUCCCGAGUCGUUGCAGGCUUACAACCCGGCACUUGGGGGCUACAUUGUUCAAAUCGAGAUUACAUCAAAUAUACAAGUCCCAUGUCACUACCAGCAUGCACCAUGGCACUUGGGGGCUAAUGCAAAGCCAUUUAUUUGCUCAACUUAUUGAAGACCCGACUCAUCACAUUUUAAAUGAGCCGGCCCUUGGGGGCUACUAAUUGCUCCUGUCAAAAAUUCAAGGUACACAAGCAUUAAUCCAUUAUAUUGAACGGUCCACUAUUCAGUUGGUGGAGUACAAAGCUCUUAACCUUGUGGACGUGGGUUCAAGCCCCAUGGUGGAGACCAUAUUAUAUGAUGUUAUUGUCAAUUAUAUACAAAGUCCUAGCUCAAUAUUAUGUUACUAAGCCGGCCCUUGGGGGCUACACAUUGCUGUUCAAAUUUACAUGGUUAUAUCUACAAAGUCCCUGUUCAUUAUUGCAUAAUGACCCGGCCCUUGGGGGCUAUACCGGUUGAAGUUUUCAUGAGCAUAAAGCAAUUACAAGUCCCGGGUUGCUGCAAGCAUGACAACCCGGUACUUGGGGGCUACAUGUGUGGAAUAUUCAGUUUAUAUGAUUGAGAUGAAUAAACCGGAUUUCUUCAAGGUUGCAACAUUUAUUGGAGCAAGUCUUAAACCAUCACUUUGUUCUGCUCAAGACUUGGGGGCUACAAGUAAUAUGGAUAUAAGGGAGAAAAAUCUUCAAAUUAUCAGUUUUGAGCAAAUCAGGAGGAUCAAUUACGUAAACCGGUGUCAACAACAAUUAUGACCCGGCAUCGUCUGUUUAUAAUCAGGCAGUUUUUGGUAAUGAUAAACCGGCAGGUUUUACAUCUUCAAGCUGGCUGAAUAUCAGAUGAGUAUUUGAAGAUCAAAAUUAUUUAACCUGGUGCCUUGGAAGCCGACUCAAGUGGAUUAUUCUUCACAAUAUUUUUCUGUGAGAAACCAACAUCAGCAAAUUGAGUAUGAAGCUAGCUUAUUUGACCCAGAUUUUCUAGAUGAAGGAAAUGAAAAUUGGACUUAAGGAUAAUCAGGUCCUGUCUCAGGAGAAUAUUUAACCCGGAGCGCAAGGAAUUAAGGAUGAUUAGGUGCCGACUUACAAGAAUUUUUAACCCGGAGCACAACCUGUCAAAGUUGUUUUGGUGUUUAUUUUGCAGGAUCAGUUUAACAUGGAUAAAUCCAAAAUUAAACUGGGGGCUAAUGUCGGGGAUAUACCCCGCGGUAUGACCCGGCCGGAAUUAUGAUCGGGCCGGACUUUGCGAUUCACCAGAAGACCCGGCUGGAGCUAGGCGACUCACUGGUGACCUGCCUGGACAUGGCGGUUUACAUAUAACCCGCCUGGACAUUAUGACUCACUGGAGACUCGGAGGGCGGGUCAAACGGACGACAAGGCCCAAGGCCCAGUAGGCCGGUUCAUGUGAUGGUGGGCCGACUUAAGAAGAAAGGUGUGAGGAAUAUUUCCCUUACAAGGAAUCAAGACCCGGACUUGUAUCCGGCUUGUAGUAGAAGAUAGCCUAGUCCUAGUCCUACUAGGACUCCACAUGUAACCCACCCCUCUAACUUAUAUAAGGAGGGGCAGGGCUCCCCAAGAGGGACAAGCAACAAGAAACAAUCUCUAGGGCUAGACACAAAGGGGGAGCCGGCUUAUGCGGCGACUCUCUCAUGAGCAUAAUGAGACCUAGCCUCAAAUAGCAUGUAGUGCUAUUACCGGAUGAUGUUUCCCGGGGCCCGAAGCUGUCUAAACCCUUGUCUUGCGUGUUGAUCCGCCCUGCGUCUCUCAUCCCACUCAACCCCUCUCAAGCUACCACAUAGAUGCGUUGGCUUCGCGACUAAGUCCUCACACUAAGGACAUCUGACGUGUUAAUUCCACGAUAGGCAAAGAAUGCUACGAUGCGAUGAUGACAAUAUUUGGAUGCUUUGUAGCCAAAGGCCAUGUAAUGCCUACAAACUUCUACCAGUAGGACAAAAUCCUUUGUGCAAUUAAGAUGCCCUAUGAGAAGAUACAUGCCAGUGAGAAAGGAUGUGCCUUAUUUAGGCUUGAGUAUGCGGACUUGAACUAUUGUCCCAUUUGCAAGUCUUUCGUGUAUGUUGUGGUACAACGGUAUGGGUGAGAAGACGCGGACCAAAAUCCCCGUUAAUGUUCUUCGGUAUAUGCCAAUCGUACCAAGACUUCAACGUCUUCUCAUGGUUGAAGAGACGGCCAGACAUAUGACAUGGCACAAAAUGGGCAAAAAAACUGAACUAGAUGCAGAUGGGAAUCUGAUGAUGGUACACAAAUCGGAUGGUUCUGCAUGGAAGCGCUUCGAUGCAUUACAUGAGCAAAAAGUGGCAGAUCCAAGACAUCCUCGAGUAGCCAUCAGCAUGGAUGGGUUCAAUGUGUUUGGUCUGACGGAAACCCAAUACAGUUGUUGGCCCGUAAUUGUUAUUCCACUCAAUCUCCCCCCGAACAGGUAAUGCAAAGAAACAACAUUUUCCUGAUGUUGAUAAUUCUAGAGCCCAACUAUCUGGGGAAGAAUAUGAAUGUGUACAUGCAGCCGCUUAAGGAUGAAUUGCAAUAAGCUUGGGAUAAUGGGUUCAAGACAUACAACGCCGCUAGCAAACAAAACUUUAUAAUGCGUGUCUGGUACAUGUACUCGAUGCAUGACUUGCUGACGUAUGCACUAUCCAUUGGCUAGUUUGUGCAUGGAAGGUUCUCGUGCCCCACAUGUAAGGCAGCUCUUCAGUUUCGUUGGCUGCAGGCGGGUCGCAUGUUUUCUUGCUUCGACUUGCAUAGACAGUUCCUGGAUCCUCGCAAUAAAUUCAGGAAAGACAAGAAGAACUUCAUCAAAGGUAGAGUUGUCAAAAACUCUGCACCACCUGUGUUGAUAGGCCAAGAGACCCUGGAUCAGUUAAAUGCUCUAGAGCCAAAUCUAGAGCGUCCAUGGUAUUUCAAGGGGUAUAAUUCAGGACACGCCUGGACUCACGAGACAUGCUUGUGGGAUCUGCCUUACUUCAAGGACCUCCUUUGCCCACACAACAUCGACGUGAUGCGCACUGAAAAGAAUAUCGCUGAGGCCCUUUUUGGUACAUUGUUCGGCAUAGAGGGGAAGUUAAAGGAUAAUACUAAGGCUAGGGUCGAUCGGGAUACACUAUGUGAUAGAACGCUACAAAACAUGCAAGAACCGAAUGGAAAGCAGAACUGGACGAAGUCAAUGGCAUGGUUCAAUCUUGGAAGGCCAACUAUGAGGGAAAUUAUCUCAUGGGUGAAAAUGCAGUUGAUGUUCCUCGAUGGGUAUGCAGCGAAUCUAAAGAGGGGAGCAAUUCUUGAAAAAUUGAAAACAUUUGGUCUCAGGAGUCAUGAUUAGCAGAUAUGGAUUGAGUAGGUAAUGCCGGUGAUGUUGUGUGGCUUCAUCGCUGAGGAUGAAUGGCUAGUACUGGCAGAGCUGAGCUGUUUCUUUCUGAAGGAAAUAUGCCCUAGAGUCAAUAAUAAAGAUAUUAUUUAUUUCCUCAUUUCAUGAUAAAUGUUUAUUAUUCAUGCUAGAAUUGUAUUAACCAAAAACUUAGUACAUGUGUGAAUACAUAGACAAAACAUAUUGUCCCUAGUAUGCCUCUACUUGACUAGCUCGUUAAUCAAAGAUGGUUAUGCUUCCUAACCGUAGAUGUGUGUUGUUAUUUGAUAAACGGGAUCACAUCACUAGGAGAAUGAUGUGAUGGACAUGACCCUUCCGUUAGCUUAGCAUUAUGAUCGUUACAGUUUCAUUGCUACUGCUUUAUUCAUGACUUAUACAUAUUCCUCAGACUAUGAGAUUAUGCAACUCCUGAAUACCGGAGGAACACCUUGUGUGCUGUCAAAUGUCACAACAUAAAUGGGUGAUUAUAAAGGUGAUCUACAUGUGUCUCUGAAGGUGUUUGUUGGGUUGGCAUAGAUCGAGAUUAGGAUUUGUCACUCUGUGUUUCGGAGAGGUAUAUCUGGGCCCUCUCGGUAAUGCUCAUCACUAUAAGCCUUGCAAGCAAUGUGAUUAAUGAGUUAGUUGUGGGAUGAAGCAUUAUGGAACGAGUAAAGAGACAUGCCGGUAACGAGAUUGAACUAGGUAUGAUGAUACCGACGAUCGAAUCUCGGGCAAGUAACAUACGGAUGACAAAGGGAACAACGUAUGUUGUUAUGCGGUUUGACCGAUAAAGAUCUUCGUAGAAUAUGUAGGAACUAAUAUGAGCAUCCAGGUUCCGCUAUUGGUUAUUAACAGGAGAUGUGUCUCGGUCAUGUCUACAUAGUUCUCGAAGCCGUAGGGUCCGCACGCUUAACGUUCGAUGACGAUUGGUAUUAUGAGUUUAUGUGAUUUACUGUACCGAAGGUUGUUCAGAGUCCCGGAUGAGAUCACCGACAUGACGAGGAGUCUCGAAAUUGUCAAGAUGUAAAGAUCGAUAUAUUGGAAGGCUAUAUUCGGACAUCAGAAAGGUUCUGACCGUUUCGGGUAUUUUUCGGAGUUCCAGGGAGUUAUGGGAAUUCACCGGGAGAAGUAAUGGGCCUUAUUGGCCUUUAGUAGAGAGAGAGGAGAAGGGCCAAGAGGUGGUGCACGCCUCCCCCCUUCCCAAACCGAAUUGGACAAGGGGUGGGGGUGCAGGCCCCCUUUCCUUCUCCCUCUCCCUCUCUUUCCUUCUCUCCUACUUCGAAUGGGAAAGGGAAUCCUACUAGGACUUGGGAGUCCUAGUAGGACUCCCUAUGCUUGGCGCGCCCCCUAGGCUAGCCGCCUCCUCCCUCCCUCCUUUAUAUAUGGGGGAGGGGAGCACGCCAAGGACACACAAGUUGAUCUUUAGCCGUGUGUGGUGCCCCCUCCACAGUUUUCCACCUCGUUCAUAUCAUCGUAGUGCUUAGGCGAAGCCCUGCACCGGUAACUUCAUCAUCACCGUCAGCACGCCGUCGUGCUGACGGAACUCUCCCUCGGCCUCAGCUGGAUCUAGAGUUCGAGGGACGUCACCGAGGUGAACGUCUGCAGAUCGUGGAGGUGUCGUGCGUUCGGUACUUGAUCGGUUGGAUCGCGAAGUUGUUCGACUACAUCAACCGCGUUACUUAAACGCUUCCACUUUCGGUCUAUGAGGGUACGUGGACACACUCUCCACUCUCAUUGCUAUGCAUCACCUAAAUAUAUCUUGCGAGAUCCUAGGAUUUUUUUUGAAAUUAAUGCGUUCCCCAACACUUCUGUGUUCUCUGUGCGAGAGAACUAUCGCCUGGCGUGCUAGAAGAAAUGGAAGAGUUGGCGCCAGAUUUGAUCUGCAAGUUAGAGAAGAUCUUUCCAUCGGGCUUCUUUAAUCCAAUACAACACUUGAUUUUGCAUCUCCCGACCGAGGCAAGAUUGGCGGNNNNNNNNNNNNNNNNNNNNNNNNNNNNNNNNNNNNNNNNNNNNNNNNNNNNNNNNNNNNNNNNNNNNNNNNNNNNNNNNNNNNNNNNNNNNNNNNNNNNNNNNNNNNNNNNNNNNNNNNNNNNNNNNNNNNNNNNNNNNNNNNNNNNNNNNNNNNNNNNNNNNNNNNNNNNNNNNNNNNNNNNNNNNNNNNNNNNNNNNNNNNNNNNNNNNNNNNNNNNNNNNNNNNNNNNNNNNNNNNNNNNNNNNNNNNNNNNNNNNNNNNNNNNNNNNNUGCUUCGAGCAAAAUGUAAAAAUAAACGUUGAAUUGAAGCAUCGAUGGCCGAGGCAUUCAUUACGGAGGAGGCAACAAACUUCAUGACAACACACUACAAAGCCAGAAAUCUUCAUUUGCACAAUCCGAAGCCUCGGUACAAUGCUGGCGACCCUAAAAAAGGUGGAUCCAACCUUAGCCUAUUCAAAGGGAAUCUCGCACCAUCCGGUGCUUCGAAACCAAUAUCGUUGGAUGUCGAAGAAUGACGGACCAUUUUGUUGUAUAUCUUCAACAACCUAACAGAAGUGCGGCCGUACAUCGAGUAAGUUCUCGGUACGUUGUUUCACAACAUCUAAUUCCUUUGAACUACUCUUAUUCCCAGAUAUUCGAUGUAGUUGAUACGUCGCCAAAUUCUCGGAUGGAGAGGUGAUCCAAAAGGAAUCCAUCGAAGAUUAUGAGCUUCUGGCAAAGCAUGGAGGCGACUUUCCCGGUUUGAUCUCUUGGUUCAAACAAACGGUAAUUUCCAUUAGACCACUCUCAUUUCUUUGUCUAAUUUGCGGCUAAUACAACAAUCCUUUCGUAUGAAACUUGUAGGCUAAUUCAGAGUCUAUGGACGCCAAAUUGAGACAAGUCGUUAAUGGUUUUGACUAUGAGGUCCGUUCAUUUGACAAAUACGACAUCAACGGGUAUCGCUUUCAUACCUUCGGCAAAGAGCUCUCUAUGGCCGACCAAAAGUCUACAAAUUGUUGUGUCUCUGCUAUCGGCGAAGGAGGUACCAAGUAUUAUCGGAGAGUUGAAGCAAUUUAUGAACUUCUAUUCUAUGGUGAAAACCCACCGAACAUUGUAGUCUUCAAAUGUUAUUGGUUCCAGCCAAAGGAGACUAGUAGGACUCAUGAACAUAUAGGGCUAUCCGAAAUCAAACAAAGCACCCAUUUAGAUGUCCCUGAUGUCUAUAUUACGGCUCAAUAGGCGACCCAAGUUUUCUAUCUACCAUGGGCCUGCCAAACUGAUCAAUAUUUGAAUGGUUGGGAUGUCGUUUAUGAAAGUGCCGCCACGUGUUAGGCCACUACCCCCCAAUGAAGAGGAUUAUGAACCUCACAUUAAACCAGACAAAUAUGAAGGAGAAUUCUUCCAAGAAACACGUCUUUCCAAAAAAUGUUUCAAGAAACGCUCUACUUCACCCCAGAACAUUGAAGUAGAUAGCGACAGUGAAUCCGACUUCACCCCUGAGCUGGAACAAGAAGAUCCGAAACAAGAAGAGGUUACUGCUGCGAAUGACCUGUCAAUGCUUGACCUAUUACAUAAAGGUGCCCUUCCACAUGUUGAUGCCGCUGAACCCGAUGAGCACACGAUAGUGAUGAUGAUGAUGCAUUUAUUGCUCCCGAAGCAUAUAUAGACUAUCAAGAUUAUUAUUAGUUCAUGUCAGGUAUUCAAUUUGUAUUAUAUACAUAUAUAUUGUUAUUUAUGUUAGCUAUUCAAUUUUUUUAUGUUGUACUUGAUGAUGAUACACUUAUGUUAUAUACAUAUUGUUAUUUAUGUCGGUAUCAAUUUUAUUUAUAUUGUACUAAUUUCAUUUACUCCUUUUCAUGGCAGGUGUUGAAAGAUGGUGGGCGCUGGUCUGGACCGCUCCAAGGCUCCUUCUUCGUCGGCGCGUGGUGGGAGGGGUAUUUACAUUCUACCCCAGUCUAUCCGAAGAGCUUUUCUCGACAGUAAGUAGACACCCGUCUGCGCUUCUUCGUCAGCGUUGUUGCCCACCGGGAGAGGAUGUCGGGGAAGGAAGAAGAGAGGAGGUCGGGGAGGAUGUGGACGUGGGAGAGGUAGGUAGGCUCCUACUCCUUCCUCGUCGCCACCGCCAGCUGAUUCACCCAAUCACAUGACUAGUACGGUGGACACGUCCGAGGAGGAGGGUAUGCGGACUCCGAUCCACGAGUGUCGGGUCAAAGGGCCUUCGGCCCAUGAGACUCUGGACUAGGGUACGUCCCAGGAGACGUCUGGAUGGGGUACCUAGCCGGAUCCGCCUGAGGGGCCGAGUGGCCAUGCUGAUGGUGGUGGGGAUCCGGCUGAUAGCGAGGGCGAGGUGGUUGAGGGGGCCACCGUCUACCAGCGUGGUUGUACACGACUCUCGCCCAUGUCGGUGACACGCGAGCAGAGGUAGUUGAUUUUGCCUGACGGGGAGAGGUAAGUGCAUUUACUCUUUUUGUACCUUUUGCGUUCACGUUUCUUCAAAUAUAUCUAAUGUGUUGGCCUUGUCAUACUGCAGGGGUUGGGACCAUGCUCUGGAUGUCCGCAGGCCCAACACCAUCCUUGUUGUGUUUUGCUGGUAAAACUUCCUGGAGUUUGUCACGUUACCCGGUGAGGCUCGGCUUCCAUAACUAGAAUUCAGUCGGGAGCACUACUUGGCUGCCCCAGCCCCGACGGAGGAGAUGCUCGACGGUGUCUUAUGCCACACGAGGGCAGACAUGGUGAUUAGAAAGUGUUGGGUAAUUUCUCCUUUACACAAUUAAAAAUGUUCAAAUAGCUUGUUAUUUUACUAAUCAAUGGUGUCUCAUUUGAUUGCAGACCUUCUACAUGUUUGAGGAGGGAUACGAGGAGGCUGCGGCACAGGUUAUCGAUGCCGAGUGCAAGCGCCUACUAUGAAACUUAUGGCACGAGGCUCAAGUGCAGGCUAUUCGAGACUACUAUGCCUCACAUGGUAUUAAGAAGACCAAGACGGCGUGCCACGAAAAGUUUCUAAAGAAGGAGCAGUACAUGACAGUAAUUACCUAUUCUUAAGGCCUUGUACUUAGUUUCCUUGAUUUUAUUCGUAGGUGAUACGUCUCCAACAUAUCUAUAAUUUUUGAUUGUUCCAUGCUAUUAUAUUACCUGUUUUGGAUGUUUAAUGGGCUUUACUAUGCACUUUUAUAUUAUUUUCGGGACUAACCUAUCAAUCGGAGGCCCAGACCAAAUUGUUUUUUUGCCUAUUUCAGUGUUUCGCAGAAAAGGAAUAUCAAACGGUGUUCAAACCUAAUGAAACCUUCGGGAGAGUUAUUUUUGGAACAAAUGCAAUCCAGGAGACUUGGAGUGGACGUCAGGUAAGCAACAAGGUGGCCACGAGGGUCCAGGGCAAGCCCUACCCCCUGGGCGCGCCCCCACCCUCGUGGGCCCCUUGUGGCUCCCCUGACUGACUUCUUUCACCUAUAUAUACUCUUAUACCCCCAAAACAGCCAGGAGCACCAUAGCUCGGGAGUUCCACCGCUGCAAGCCUCUAUAGCCACCAAAAACCUCUUGGGAGCCCGUUCCGGCACCCUGCCGGAGGGGGGAUCCAUCACCGGUGGCUAUCUUCAUCAUCCCGGCGCUCUCCAUGACGAGGAGGGAGUAGUUCACCCUCGGGGCUGAGGGUAUGUACCAGUAGCUAUGUGUUUGCUCUCUCUUUCUCUCUCUCUCUCUCUAUCUAUCUAUCUCUCUCGUGUUCUUGAUUUGGCACGAUCUUGAUGUAUCGCGAGCUUUGCUAUUAUAGUUGGAUCUUAUGAUGUUUCUACCCCUCUACUCUCUUGUAAUGGAUUGAGUUUUCCCUUUGAAGUUAUAUUAUCGGAUUGAGUCUUUAAGGAUUUGAGAACACUUGAUGUAUGUCUUGCAUGUGCUUAUCUGUGGUGACAAUGGGAUAUUCACGUGAUCUACUUGAUGUAUGUUUUGGUGAUCAACUUGCGGGUUUCAUGACCUCAUGAACUUAUGCAUAGGGGUUAGCACAUGUUUUCGUCUUGACUCUUUGGUAGAAACUUUGGGGCACUCUUUGAAGUACUUUGUGCUGGUUGAGUAGAUGAAUCUGAGAUUGUGUGAUGCAUAUCGUAUAAUGAUGCCCACAGAUACUUGAGGUGACAUUGGAGUAUCAAGGUGACAUUAGUGUUUUGGUUGAUUUGUGUCUUAAGGUAUUAUUCUAGUACGAACUCUAUGAUAGAUCGAAUGGAAAGAAUAGCUUCGUGUUAUUUUACUACGGACUCUUGAAUAGAUCGAUCAGAAAGGAUAAGUUUGAGGUGGUUUCGUACCCUCCAAUAAUCUCUUCGUUGGUUUUCCGCUAUUAGUGACUUUCGAGUGACUCUCUGUUGCAUGUUGAGGGAUAGUUAUAUGAUCCAAUUAUCUUAUUAUUGUUGAGGGAACUUGCACUGGUGAAAGUAUGAACCCUAGGCCUUGUUUCGAAGAAUUGCAAUACCAUUUACGCUCACUUUUACCACUUGUUACCUUGCUGUUUUUAUAUGUUCAGAUUACAAAUACUCAUAUCUACCAUGCAUAUUUCACUUGUAUCACCAUCUCUUCGCCGAACUAGUGCACCUAUACAAUUUACCAUUGUAUUGGGUGUGUUGGGGACACAAGAGACUCUUUGUUAUUUUGUUGCAGGGUUGUUUGAGAGAGACCAUCUUCAUCCUACGCCUCCCAUGGAUUGAUAAACCUUAGGUCAUCCACUUGAGGGAAAUUUGCUACUGUCCUACAAACUUCUGCACUUGGAGGCCCAACAACGUCUAAAAGAAGAAGGUUGUGUAGUAGACAUCAAGCUCUUUUCUGGCGCCGUUGCCGGGGAGGUGAGUGCUUGAUGGUAUAUCUUUAGAUCUUGCAAUCGAAUGUUAUUGUUUCUUGUUUUAUCACUAGUUUAGUUUAUAAAAGAAAACUACAAAAAAAUGGAAUUGAGUUUGCCUCAUACGCUUCAUCUUUUUAAUAUCUUUCAUGAGAAUGAUUGUAAGUAAAAUUGUGCUCAAGUGCUAGAAGAAGAAGUCUAUAAAAUGUUUGGCACCAAAUCUUUGAAUGAGGAUCAUGAUUGCAAUGUUAUUAGUAUGAACUCUUUGAAUAUCCAUGGUACUAAUGAUGAGUGCACUAGUCAUGAUGAAAAUGUCCCUUAUAAGCAUGUCAAUUUUUGUGGAGUGCAUAGAGUUUGCAAGUACACACCAAAUAGGGAAGAUAGAUUUACAAGAGGCAUAACUAUUUAGAAACCAAAUGGUUGCAAGAAAUGCUAGAUGCUUGUGCUGAAAAUUUAAAAUUUCUUUGCCAUCUUUAUGAACUUUGCAAUGAACGUGAUCAUUUAAAUACGCAAUGCAAAUUGUUUCAUGAUCAAAUCGUGUCCAAAAGUUGUGAUGACUUGAUUUCCCUUGCACAUCAUAAUAAGUUAGUUUGCUUAUGGGUUAUGUAGAAAUGAAAUGUAUAACUAAGGAUAUGCCCGAAUUUGUCCUUGAUAAAGUUUUUGAUUUUGAUCUAGAAGAAAUUUUUAUGUAUUGUGUGGUGAAUUGCAUUGAAAAUCCUUAUAUUGCCAAUUACAUAAAGAAAAGAAAACAAAUAGAAGAUGAAGAGAAUCCUAAUGAAAGGUAAGAGACUUCCCAAUAUCCUCCUAUUAUUUCUUAUGAUGAAUCAGGUAACGAGGAGGAGCUUUCUAUUCAACCAAUCUCAUUAAUAAGGAGCUCAAAAAAGAGGGUUAAACCCACACAUGAUGUGAAGAAGAAAAAUAAAAGACGGAGAAGGAAAGGUAGAAAGGUAUCCCUCCCAAAUGAUGUUGCUCCUAUUACUCAUUGUGAUGAUGAUAAUUGAUAUACUAUUGGUGCUAUCCAUACUAUUAAUGAUGAGAGUGAUUGUGCUUAUGGUACGAAAAGGCCCAAGCUUGGGGAUGCUAUGUUUGAUGAGAAUGACAUGUUUUAGAAUAUAUUUGCUGCAAUUAAUGUUUGUCCCACGCUUGGGGAUGCUAUGUUUAAGGAAGAUAAUAUUUUUAGCCUCCCAAGUUUUGAUGAGCAAAUUUAUUAUUAUGAUAGCAUGCCUCCUAUUUAUGAUGAUUAUAUUGAUAAAAGUGGGUUUGGAAGAGUGUCAACUUUAGGAAGUAAUGAUCCCACUAUUUUGGAUGAUGUUGAAUCUUAUUGUGAUAAUUAUGAAAGUGGAUUAGGAUAGGUCAUGACUUUAUUUAGUAAUGAUUCCACUGUCUUGGAAUAGGUUUCAAUUGAUUAUGAUUAGAACAAAGUUGCUACUUAUGAUGAUUAUUGUGAUGAUACUUAUGCUAUAAAAAGUAGUGAUGAUUAUAUUUAUAACUUGUCAUGAUUAUUAUUACCCUUUUUCUUUUAACAUUACUCUUUUAAUGUGGACACAAAUUAUAUUAUUCGAGUCUCUUAUGAUACUCCCACUAUUCCGAAUGAGAAGAAUUUUGCUUAUGUGGAGAGUAGUAAAUUUUCUCUGCUUGUGCAUCAUGAAAAUAGUUCUUUAUGUGAUGGUUAUACUUCUGAAUUCAUUCGUGAUGCUACUUAAAAUUAUUAUGAGGGAGGAAUAUAUGCUUGUAGGAAUUGCAAUAAUAUCAAGUUUCCUCUCUAUGUGCUUAAAGUUUUGAAGUUAUGCUUGUUUUGCCUUCCUAUGCUAGUUGAUUAUUGUUCCCAUAAGUUGUUUGCUCACAAAAUCCCUAUGCAUAGGAAGUGGGUUAGACUUAAAUAUGCUAGUCAUAUUCUUCAUGAUGCUCUCUUUAUGUUUCAAUUCUUAUCUUUUAUGUCAGCAUCAUUGAAAUCAUCAUGCCUAGCUAGGGGAGUUAAACGUUAGCGCUUGUUGAGAGGCAACCCAAUUUUAUUUUUGUUCUUUGAUUUUUGUUCCUGUUUAGUAAUAAAUAAUUCAUAUAUCCUAUGGUUAGAUGUGGUUUUAUGUUUUAAUUAGUGUUUGUGCCAAGUAGAACCUUUGGGAAGACUUGGGUGAAGUCUAUGCGAUCUUGCUGUAAAAAACAGAAAAUUUUGCGCUCAUGAGAUUAGCUGCCUUUUUUACUAGAGAGUGACUUUAGGUUGAUUCUUUUUGAAGAUGAGUAAUAGGCAAAUUCCUUAGGUCCAACAAUUUAUUUCAGAAUUUUUGGAGUUACAUAAGUAUUCGAAUAUACCGAUUACUACAGACUGUUCUGUUUUUGACAAAUUCUGUUUUCUAUGUGUUGUUUGCUUAUUUUGAUGAAUCUAUGAGUAGGAUCGGAGGGUAUGAACCAUAGAGAAUUUGGAAUACAGUAUAUAUUACACCAAUAUGAAUUUAGAAUGAGUUCACAACAGUACCUAAGUGGUGAUUUAUUUUCUUAUACUAACGGAGCUUAUGAGUUUUGUGUUGAGUUUUGUGUUGUGAAGUUUUCAAGUUUUGGGUAAAGAUUCGAUGGACUAUGGAAUAAGGAGUGGCAAGAGACUAAGCUUGUGUAUUCCCAAGGCACCCGAAGGUAAUAUUCAAGGACAACCAAGAGCCUAAGCUUGGGGAUUCCCCGGAUGGCAUACCCUCUUUCGUCUUCGUUCAUCGGUAACUUUACUUGGAGCUAUAUUUUUAUUGACCACAUGAUAUGUGUUUUGUUUGGAGCGUCAUUUUAUUUUCUUUUGUUUUGCUUGCUGUUUGAAUAAAAUACCAAGAUCUGAAAUUCUUAAAUCUUAGAGAGUCUUCACAUAGUUGAACAAUUAUUAGAAUACUCUAUGUGCUUCACUCAUAUCUUUUGGAGUAUUUUGUCAUUUGCUCUAGUGCUUCACUUAUACCUUUUUAGAGCACGGUGGUGGUUUUAUUUUGUAGAAAUUAUUGAUCUCUCAUGCUUCACUUAUAUUAUUUUGAGAGUCUUUUAGAACAGCAUGGUAAUUUGCUUUGGUUAUAAAAUUGGUCCUAAUAUGAUGGGCAUCCAAGUUGGGUAUAAUAAAAACUACCAUAUCAAGUGUAUUGAAAACUAUGAUAAAAUUGAUACUUGAUAAUUGUUUUGAGAUAUAAAGGUGGUAAUGUUAGAGUCAUGCUAGUUGGGUAAUUAUGAAAUUGAGAAAUACUUGUGUUAAAGUUGGCAAGUCCCGUAGCAUGCACGUAUGGUGAACGUUGUGUGAGAAAAUUGUAGCAUGGGGUGCUCUUUGAUUGUCUUCCUUAUGAGUGGAGGUCGGGAUCGCGCGAUGGUUAACUCCUACCAACCCUUCAUCUAGGAGCAUGCAUAGUAGUACUUUCCUUUGAGGGAUAAUAAACUUUUGCAAUAUGUAUAUGAGUUCUUUAUGACUAAUGUGAGUCCAUGGAUUAUGCGCACUCUUACCCUUCCACAAUUUGCUAGCCUCUACGGUACCGUGCAUUGCCCUUCCUCACCUUGAGAGUUAGUGCAAACUUCGCCGGUGCAUCCAAACCCCGUGAUAAGAUACACUCUAUCACACAUAAACCUCCUUAUAUCUUCCUCAAAACAGCCACCAUACCUACCUAUUAUGGCAUUUCCAUAGCCAUUCCGAGAUAUAUUGCCAUGCAACUUUACACCGUUCCGUUUAUCAUGACACGCACCAUCAUUGUCAUAUUGCUUUUGCAUGACCAUGUAGUUGACAUCGUAUUCGUGGCAAAGCCACCUUUAUAAUUCUUUCAUACAUGUCGCUCUUGAUUCAUUGCAUAUCCCGGUACACCGCCAGAGGCAUUCACAUAGAAUCAUAUUUUGUUCUAAGUAUCGAGUUGUAAUUCUUGAGUUGUAAAGUAAAUAAAAGUGUGAUGAUCUUCAUUAUUAGAGCAUUGUCCCAAGUGAGGAAAGGAUGAUGGAGACUAUGAUUCCCCCACAAGUCGGGAUGAGACUUCGGACUUUAUGAAAAAUAAAAGAGGCCAACGAAGCCCCAAAAAAAGAGGGCAAAAAAGCCCACCAAAAUAAAAAAAUGAGAGAAAAAGAGAGAAGGGACAAUGUUACUAUCCUUUUUCCACACUUGUGGUUCAAAGUAGCACCAUGAUCUACAUGAUAGAGAGUCUCCUAUGUUGUCACUUUCAUAUACUAGUGGGAAUUUUUCAUUAUAGAACUUGGCUUGUAUAUUCCAAUGAUGGGCUUCCUCAAAAUUCCCUAGGUCUUCGUGAGCAAGCAAGUUGGAUGCACACCCACUUAGUUUCUUUUGUUGAUAUUUCAUACAUUUAUAGCUCUAGUGCAUCCGUUGCAUGGCAAUCCCUACUCCUCAUGUUGGCAUCAAUUGAUGGGCAUCUCCAUAGCCUGUUGAUUAGCCUCGUCAAUGUGAGACUGUUUUUAUCUUCUCCAAACAACCUCCAUCAUCAUAUUCUAUUCCACCCAUAGUGCUAUAUCCAUGGCUUACGCUCAUGUAUUGCGUGAGAGUUGAAAAAAAGCUAAAUCGCGUUAAAAAGUAUGAACCAAUUGCUGCGCUGAAACCGGGGUUGUGCAUGAUGGGAGUAUUUUGUGUGAGGAAAAUGAAGCAUAGCCUAACUAUAUGAUUAUGUAGGGAUAAGCUUUCUUUGGCUAUGUUAUUUUGAUAAGACAUGAUUACUCAUUAGUAUGCUUGAAGUAUUACUAUUUUUAUGUCAAUAUGCACUUUUAUUUUGAAUCAUUUGGAUCUGAACACUCAUGCCACAAUAAAGAAAAUUACAUUGAGAAAUAUGAUAGGUAGCAUUCCACAUAAAAAAUUCUAUUUUAAUCAUUUACCUACUCGAGGACGAGCAAGAAUUAAGCUUGGGGAUGCUUGAUACGUCUCCAACGUAUCUAUAAUUUUUCAUUGUUCCAUGCUAUUAUAUUACCCGUUUUGGAUGUUUAAUGGGCUUUACUAUGCACUUUUAUAUUAUUUUUGGGACUAACCUAUUAACCGGAGGCCCAGCCCAAUUUGCUGUUUUUUUGGCCUAUUUCAGUGUUUCGCAGAAAAGGAAUAUCAAACGGAGUCCAAAUGGAAUGAAACCUUCGAGAGAGUUAUUUUUGGAACAAACGCAAUCCAUGAGACUUGGAGUGGACGUCAGGAAGCAACGAGGUGGCCACGAGGGUCCAAGGCGCGCCCUACCCUCCUGGGCGCGCCCCCACCCUCGUGGGCCCCUCGUGGCUCCCCCGACGGACUUCUUUUGCCUAUAUAUACUCUUAUACCCCGAAAACAUCCAGGAGCACCAUAGAUCGCGAGUUCCGCUGCCGCAAGCCUCUAUAGCAACCAAAAACCUCUCGGGAGCCCGUUCCGGCACCCUGCUGUAGGGGGGAUCCAUCACCGGUGGCCAUCUUUAUCAUCCCGGCGCUCUCCAUGACGAGAGGAGAAUAGUUCACCCUCGGGGCUGAGGGUAUGUACCAGUAGCUAUGUGUUUGAUCUCUCUCUCUCUCUCAUGUUCUUAAUUUGGCACGAUCUUUAAGUAUCACGAGCUUUGCUAUUAUAGUUGGAUCUUAUGAUGUUUCUCCCCCUCUACUCUCUUGUAAUGGAUUGAGUUUUCCCUUUGAAGUUAUAUUAUCGGAUUGAGUCUUUAAGGAUUUGCGAACACUUGAUGUAUGUCUUGCAUGUGCUUAUCUGUGGUGAGAAUGGGAUAUUCACGUGAUCUACUUGAUGUAUGUUUUGGUGAUCAACUUGCGGGUUUCGUGACCUCGUGAACUUAUGCAUAGGGCUUGGCACACGUUUUCGUCUUGACACUUCAGUAGAAACUUUGGGGCACUCUUUGAAGUACUUUGUGUUGGUUGAAUAGAUGAAUAUGAGAUUGUGUGAUGCAUAUCGUAUAAUCAUGCCCACGGAUACUCGAGGUGACAUUGGAGUAUCUAGGUGACAUUAGGGUUUUGGUUGAUUUGUGUCUUAAGGUGUUAUUCUAGUACGAACUCUAUGAUAGAUCGAACGGAAAGAAUAGCUUCAUGUUAUUUUACUACGGACUCUUGAAUAGAUCGAUCAGAAAGGAUAACUUUGAGGUGGUUUUGUACCCUACAAUAAUCUCUUCGUUUGUUCUCCUCUAUUAGUGACUUUGGAGUGACUCUUUGUUGUAUGUUGAGGGAUAGUUAUAUGAUCCAAUUAUGUUAUUAUUGUUGAGAGAACUCGCACUAGUGAAAGUAUGAACCCUAGCCCUUGUUUUGAAGCAUUGCAAUACCGUUUAUGCUCACUUUUACCACUUGUUACCUUGCUUUUUUUAUAUUUUCAUAUUACAAAUACUCAUAUCUACCAUCCAUAUCGUACUUGUAUCGCCAUCUCUUCUCCGAACUAGUGCACCUAUACAAUUUACCAUUGUAUUGGGUGUGUUGGGGACACAAGAGACUCUUUGUUAUUUGGUUGCAGGGUUGUUUGAGAGAGACCAUCUUCAUCCUACGCCUCCCACAGAUUGAUAAACCUUAGGUCAUCCACUUGGGGGAAAAUUGCUACUGUCCUACAAACCUCUGCACUUGGAGGCCCAACAACGUUUACAAGAAGAAGGUUGUGUAGUAGACAUCAGUAGGCAUAGCGCUCAAGUUUAUCUUUACUAACUUAGGUGCCCCCGAGAUGGUGUGCGGAUCAGAUGGAUUGUUUGGAGGUGUUGGUGGAUGAGUGGUGCUCAGACCAAUGGCUACCCCUCCACAGCAAUGCUAAGGACCGGCAUGCCCAAAUGGAAGGUGUGCCACACCAUCAAGGCAGCGCCAACUUAUAUCAGUCCGGGCGGAACAGGGUAUGUGGUUUGCUUCAUGAUUCAUGCAAUUCAUUCUUCAUGCUAGCUUCAGCCCUUUAAUUACUAAUUUAGUCUAUUCCUCUCUUUUAGGAGCGACACAAUAAGGCGGAGGUGCCAGAGGUGUACAACCUCUAUGCCAUGGACCAUACUGCCUCGUAGAAGAAGGUCAAGGCAUUCUCUUCGUCUAACCUCGAUCAUCCAGAGAACUUCACUAACAUCUCCCACAACAAGCUCAUGAGCUACAGAGAUGAGGGGAGGACUUUAACCCGAGCAAGGGUCCCAUUGAUCUAGAUCUGCUGAUGAUAUCUGGUGGCGGAAGGUCCCAUGGCUCAAUAUCCAUUGUAGAUGGACUUAUACAUUGUCCUAGCACUCUCCCAGAGAUCAAGACAUGCCAGACGAGCUCCACUCCUGAGAUAAGGCCUCAUCAACGGCCAGUCUGGCUCGCCUUUGAGGUUAGUUAUAUGGACUCAGCUAUCUUUCCUACAUUACAUUGUGUGUGCGGCCAUCGAUUAUUACAAUGCUAACAUGGAGUGGUGUUGCAGGCUGCUCUUCAGAGAGAGAGAGAGAGAGAGAGAGAACCCAUGCGCUUCUGGCGGAGAGGGACCGGUAGGCGGCGAAGAAGGAGUGGGAGUUGGAGGAGAGGACGGCUAGGAUGUUGGAGGAGGAGAGGGAACGGAAAGACAUGCAGAACCGGGGCAUGUACGAGCUCCUCAUGGUAAGUUUCUUCUGCAUAUUAGCCAAAUCAUGCACGUAAUGUUUGUUUCAUUACUAACUAGUAUGACUGACUCGUCAAAACCAAAUGUGCAGUCUGUGUGCGAGAAGACUGGUCAGACCCCUCCGCCAAUGCCAUUCAUUGCUCCGGGGACCAUGGUGAGUUUCAUUUGAAUUUUCAUUAGUUACUACUCUUAACAUUUGAGUGUCAUCAUGCUAACAAGACACUGCAAAUGAUCUUCGGUGCAGCGUAAUUCCAGACAAGCAUCGCACGAUCCUUCUCCAGGUGGUACUGGCACGAGCCACCCCGGUGCUUCACCUCUGUAAUGACGGUAAGUUUUCUCUAGUGUUUUACUUAACAAAUGCAUAAUGACCUAGACUUAUCUUUAUUUUCUCCAAUAUGCUUACCAUAAUGACCUAAGUUAGCUCUAAUAUGCUUAGUUACCUAGUUAGCUCAAUAAUGAUCUAUACUUAGCUUACUUAUGUCAAAAAUGGCAUAAUUACCUAGGCUAGCUCCAAAAUGAACCAUUUUACCUAAGUUAGCUCCAAGAUGAUCUAUUUUACCUAAGUUAGCUCCAAAAUGACCUAAGUUAGUUCUAAUAUGCUUAAUUACCUAGGUUAGCUCAAUAAUGACCUAUACUUAGCUUACUUAUGUCAAAAAUGGCAUAAUAUGCUUAGUUAACUAAAAAAUGGCAUAAUUACCUACAUUAGCUCCAAAAUGAACCAUUUUACCUAAGUUAGCUCCAAAAUUAUCCAUUUUACCUAAGUUAGCUCCAAAAUGAUCCAUUUUACCUAAGUUAGCUCUAAUAUGCUUAGUUACCUAGGUUAGCUCAAUAAUUCCUAUACUUAGCUUACUUAUGUAAAAAAUGGCAUAAUAUGCUUAGUUAACUCAAAAUGGCAUAAUUACCUACGUUAGCUCCGAAAUGAACCAUUUUACCUAACUUAGGUCCAAAUUAAUCCAUUUUACCUAACUUAGCUCCAAAAUGACCUAAGUUAGCUCUAAGUUACCUCUAAUAUGCUUAGUUACCUAGGUUAGCUCAAUAAUGACCUAUACUUAGCUUACUUAUGUCAAAAAUGGCAUAAUAUGCUUAGUUAACUCAAGAAUGGUAUAAUUACCUAGGUUAGCUCCAAAAUGAUCCAUUUUUACCUAAGUUAGGUCCAAAAUGAUCCAUUUUACCGAGGUUAGCUCCAAAAUGAUCCAUUUUACCUAUGUUAGCUCAUAAAUGAUCAAUUUUACCUAAGUUAGCUCAUAAGUGGUCCAUUUUACCUAAGUUAGCUCAUAAAUAAUCAAUUUUACCUAAGUUAGCUCAUAAAUGGUCCAUUUUGCCAAAGUUAGCUCAUAAAUGUCAUUUUUACCUAAGUUAGCUCAUAAAUGAUCCAUUUUACCUAAGUAGCUCAUAAAUGUCAUUUUUACCUAAGUUAGCUCAUAAAUGUCUUAUACUUCUCCUCCUCCUCCUCCUCCUCCUCCUCCUCCUUCUUCUUCUUCUUCUUCUUCUUCUUCUUCUUAUUCUUCUUCUUGUUCUUGUUCUUCUUCUUCUUUUUCUAACUAUCUUAUUUCCCAUUUUGUAGAUUUCAUUCACUUCACGGAAGCUUGCAUAGAUGGGGUGCUUGUUUUCCCUUUCUGUUUUUCUUUUGUAUCAAUGAAAAAUGUGGAUUUUUAUAUGGAUGAAACUGUUGUAAUGUGUAUGGUUGGAUGCCUACGUUGAACUUUCUAUGUAUGGUGGGAUGGAACUAUGCAUGUAUGAUGAAACUUAUAUGUGUUGGGUAUCUCAUAUGUUUGCUGUGAAAUUGCCCUGUGAUAUAUAUUUGUUGUGAAAAUGCUUGGAUAUAAGAAAAAAUAGAAUAAAAAGAGGUAAUGCAGGCUCUUUGCCGUCUGCCACUGACGGCUAAGUGGCCAUGUGGCAGCAACCUGUGCAACCUGGGAAAGACUAAAGGGAAGUUUGUUGUCUGUGGCAGACGACAAAGGCUAGGGCGGUUUGCCUUCCGUGGCAGACGACAAAGAGCGGGGAGGGCAUGAUGCGUCUACUGACAUUAGAUGGCAGACGACAAAGGACGGGGCAUAAUUGCCAUCAGCUGGCAGACGGCAAAGCCUCCUGUUAGCCACCUAACAUGGCUAACGUCUGUUCUUUGAGGUCCACCUUCUUUGCCGUCCGUUGUGCGAAAACAGAUGGCAAAUCAGUUGUUUACCGUAACUUACAGUGUCGGACAGGUUUGCCGUCCGUGGCUGACGGCAAAGACUUUGCCAUCAGCUUUUGAGUCCUUUGCCGUCUGCCAUGGCAGGCGGCAAAUCAGCUGAUUCAUGUAGUGUGUGCAUCAGCAGUGUGAGCACGACAACAAACGCCAUGAGCUCCUCCAGAAAACGUUCCAUCUCGCAAGCACCCCUAGUAUUCGUGUUACAUUCCUCCUUUAGUGGUGGACAAUGAUUUAGAGCCGCCACCACCCGAGCUUCGUAUUCUCUGGUGCUUAGGGCACUUCGGUCCCUGACUCGCUAGUCCAUAAAACAAGGUGUAUAAGUGCCUCCACCAUGCAAAAUGUGUCAUCCACAAAGCUACAAGAGUGCGGUGAAGCUCUUGUACUAUGUCAAGAAAGGACCCAUACCACCCUACAGUGAUGGCCAAGGCCAUCCGUUAUAAGGUGACAAAGAUGGAUGAUCUCUACUACACAACCUUCUUGUAGACGUUGUUGGGCCUCCAAGUGCAGAGGUUUGUAGGAAAGUAGCAAAUUUCCCUCAAGUGGAUGACCUAAGGUUUAUCAAUGCAUGGGCGGCGUAGGAUGAAGAUGGUCUCUCUCAAACAACCCUACAACCAAAUAACAAAGAGUCUCUUGUGUCCCAAACACACCCAAUACAAUGGUAAAUUGAAUAGGUGCACUAGUUUGGUGAAGAUAUGGUGAUACAAGUGCAAUAUGGAUGGUAGAUAUAGGUUUUUGUAAUAUGAAAUUAUAAAAACAGCAAGGUAGCAAGUGGUAAAAGUGAGCGAAAACGGUAUUACAAUGCUUCGAAACAAGGCCUAGGGUUCAUACUUUCACUAGUGCAAGUUCUCUCUGUUGGAAAUAUGCCCUAGAGGCAAUAAUAAAAUGGUUAUUAUUAUAUUUCCUUGUUCAUGAUAAUUGUCUAUUGUUCAUGCUAUAAUUGUAUUAACGGGAAACAGUAAUACAUGUGUGAAUACAUAGACCACAACAUGUCCCUAGUGAUCCUCUAGUUUACUAGCUCGUUGAUCAAUAGAUGGUUAUGGUUUCCUGACCGUGGACAUUGGAUGUCAUUGAUAAUGGGAUCACAUCAUUAGGAGAAUGAUGUGAUGGACAAGACCCAAUCCUAAGCAUAGCACAAGAUCGUAUAGUUCGUUUGCUAAGAGCUUUUCGAAUGUCACGUAUCAUUUCCUUCGAGCAUGAGAUUGUGCAACUCCCAGAUACCAUAGGAAUGCUUUGGGUGUACCAAACGUCACAACGUAACUGGGUGGCUAUAAAGUUGCACUAUAGGUAUCUCCGAAAGUGUCUAUUGGGUUGGCACGAAUCGAGACUGGGAUUUGUCACUCCGUAUGACGGAGAGGUAUCUCUAGGCCCACUCGGUAAUGCAUCAUCAUAAUGAGCUCAAUGUGACUAAGUAGUUAGUCACGGGAUCAUGCAUUAUGGAACGAGUAAAGUGACUUGCCGGUAACGAGAUUGAACGAGGUAUUGGGAUACCGACGAUCGAAUCUCGGGCAAGUAACGUACCAAUUGACAAAGGGAAUUGUAUACGGGAUUGCUUGAAUCCUUGACAUCGUGGUUCAUCCAAUGAUAUCAUCGUGGAACAUGUGGGAGCCAACAUGGGUAUCUAGAUCCCGCUGUUGGUUAUUGGCCGGAGAACGUCUCGGUCAUGUCUGCAUGGUUCCCGAACCCGUAGGGUCUACACACUUAAGGUGUGGUGACGCUAGAGUUGUUAUGGGAAAUAGUAUGUGGUUACUGAAGGUAGUUCGGAAUCCCGGAUGUGAUCCCGGACGUCACGAGGAGUUCUGAAAUGGUCCGGCAGUGAAGAUCGAUAUAUUGGACGAAGGGUAUUGGAGUCCGGAAGUGUUCCGGGGGUACCAGGCUAUGGCCAGCAUGACCGAAAGGUGUUUCAGGAGCCUCGGCAAGUGUUGGAGGUCCUCAUGGGCCAAAGGGGAAGGGGAAAACCAGCCCACUAAGGGGUGGUGCGCCCCCGACACCCUUUCCCACAUUAUUUGGGGAGGUGGGGCACCUCGACCUGGCUUUGGAGGCAAUCGUCCACCUGCUUGGCUUGGGGGGGAAGUCUCCCUAGGAUUUUCCCUAGGGAGAUCCAAUCUGCUUGGCCGCCGCCCCCUAGGGGAAACCCUAGGGCGCCUCCCCCUCUCCCCUUGACCCUAUAUAUAGUGGAGGGGUGGGAGGGCAGCCGCACCUCUUCCCUGGCGCAGCCCUCUCCCUCCUCCAACACCUCCUCCUCCUCCGUAGUGCUUGGCGAAGCCUUGCAGGAGAACCACGAGCUCCACCGCCACCACGCCGUCGUGCUGUUGGAGUUCUCCCUCAACUUCUCCUCUCCGCUUGCUGGAGAAAGAAGGAGGAUACGUCCCCGGGCUGUACGUGUGUUGAACGCGGAGGCACCAUUGUUCGGUGCUUAGAUCGUAUUCGACCGCGAGCUGAAUCGCUUCGUGUACGACUCCGCCGACCGCGUUCUUGUAACGCUACCGCAUCGCAAUCUUCAAGGGUAUGAAGAUACACUCAUCCUCUCCCUCUCUUGUUGCUAGAAUCUCCAUAGACUGAUCUUGGUGAUGCGUAGAAAAUUUUGUAUUUCUUCUACGUUCCCCAACAGUGGCAUCAUGAGCUAGGUCUAUGCGUAGUUUCUAUGCACGAGUAGAACACAAGUUGUUGUGGGCGUCGGUUUUGUCGGUUUACUUGCCACUACUAGUCUUAUCUUUAUUCAGCGGCAUCGUGGGAUGAAGCGGCCCGGACCGACCUUACACGUACGCUUACAUGAGAUAGGUUCCACCGACUGACAUGCACUAGUUGCAUAAGGUGGCUAGCGGGUGUCUGUCUCUCCCACUUUAGUUGGAUUGGAUUCGAUGAAAAGGGUCCUUAUGAAGGGUAAAUAGCAAUUGGCAUAUCACAUUGUGGUUUUGGCGUAGGUAAGAAACGUUCUUGCUAGAAACCUAUAGCAGCCACGUAAAAACUUGCAACAACAAUUAGAGGACGUCUAACUUGUUUUUGCAGCAUAUGCCGUGUGAUGUGAUAUGGCCAAAAGGAUGUGAUGAAUUGUAUAUAUGUGAUGUAUGAGAUUGAUCAUGUUCUUGUAAUAGGAAUCACGACUUGCAUGUCAAUGAGUAUGACAACUGGCAAGAGCCAUAGGAGUUGUCUUAAUUUAUUGUAUGACCUGCGUGUCAUUGAAUAACGCCAUGUAAUUACUUUACUUUAUUGCUAAAUCGUUAGCCAUAGUAGUAGAAGUAAUAGUUGGCGAGACAACUUCAUGAAGACACGAUGAUGGACAUCAUGGUGUCAUGCCGGUGACGAAGGUGAUCAUGCCAUGCCUCAAGAUGGAGAUCAAAGGCGCAAGAUGAUAUUGGCCAUAUCAUGUCACUUUAUGAUUUGCAUGUGAUGUUUGUCAUGUUUACAUCUUAUUUGCUUAGAACGACGGUAGCAUAAAUAAGAUGACCCCUCUUAAAUUUUCAAGAAAGUGUCCCCCCCUAAAUGUGCACCGUUGCGAAAGUUCGUUGUUUCGAAGCACCACGUGAUGAUCGGGUGUGAUAGAUUCUAAUAUUCGCAUACAACGGGUGUAAGCAAGAUUUACACAUGCAAAACACUUAGGUUGACUUGACGAGCCUAGCAUGUACAGACAUGGCCUCGGAACACAAGAGACCGAAAGGUCGAACAUGAGUUGUAUAGUGGAUACGAUCAACAUGAAGAUGUUCACCGAUGAUGACUAGUCCGUCUCACGUGAUGAUUGGACACGGCCUAGUUGACUCGGAUCAUGUAUCACUUGGAUGACUAGAGGGAUGUCUAUCUGAGUGGGAGUUCAUUAAAUAAUUUGAUUAGAUGAACUUAAUUAUCAUGAACAUAGUCAAAAGGUCUUUGCAAAUUAUGUCGUAGCUCAUGCUUUGGUUCUACUAUUUUAGAUAUGUUCCUAGAGAAAAUUUUAGUUGAAAGUUGAUAGUAGCAAUUAUGCGGACUGGGUCCGUAAACUGAGGAUUGUCCUCAUUGCUGCACAGAAAGCUUAUGUCCUUAAUGCACCGCUCGGUGUGCUGAACCUCGAGCAUCGUUUGUCGAUGUUGCGAACAUCUGACAUACACGUUUUGAUGACUACGUGAUAGUUCACUGCGUAAUGUUAAACGGUUUAGAAUUGAGGCACCGAAGACAUUUUUGAUACGUCACAGAACAUAUGAGAUGUUACAAGAGCUGAAAUUGGGAUUUCGGGCUUGUGCCCACGUCAAGAGGUAUGAGACCUUUGAUAAGUUUCUUAGCUUGCAAACUACGGGAGAAAAGCUCAAUCGUUGAGCAUGUGCUCAGAUUGUCUGAGUACUACAAUCGCUUGAAUUGAGUGGGAGUUAAUCUUCCAUAUGACAUAGUGAUAGUUCUCCAAAAAGUCACUGCCACCAAGCUACUAGAGCUUCGUGAUGAACUAUAACAUACCAGGGAUAAAUAUGAUGAUCCUUGAGCUGUUCGCGAUGUUUCACACCAUGAAAGUAGAAAUCAAGUAGGAGCAUCAAUUGUUGAUGGUUAGUAAAACCACUAGUUUCAAGAAGGGCAAGGGCAAGAAGGGAUACUUCAUGAAAUGGAAAAUCAGCUGCUACUCUAGUGAAGAAACCCAAGGUUGAACCCAAACCCAAGACUAAGUGCUUCUGUAAUGAGGGGAGCGGUCACUGAAGCAAAACUGCCCUAGAUACUUGGUAGAUGAGAAGGCUGGCAAGGUCGACAGAAGUAUAUUGGAUAUACAUUAUAUUAAUGUGUACUUUACUAGUACUCCUAGUAGCACGAGGGUAAUAGAUACCGAUUCGGUUGCUAAGUGUUGGUCGCUCGAAAUAAAAGGCUACGGAACAAAUAGAGACUAGCUAAACGUGAGAUGACGAUAUGUGUUGGAAGUGUUUCCAAGGCUGAUGUGAUCAAGCAACGCAUGCUCCCUCUACCAUCGAGAUUGGUGUUAAACCUAAAUAAUUGUUAUUUGCUAUUUGCAUUGAGCAUAGACAUGAUUAGAUUAUGUUUAUCGCAAAAAGGUUAUUCAUUUAAGGAGAAUAAUGGUUACUAUGUUUAUUUGAAUAAUACCUUCAAUGGUCUUGCACCUAAAAUGAAUGGUUUAUUGAAUCUCAAUUGUAGUGAUACACAUGUUCAUGCCAAAAGAUAUAAGAUAGUAAUGAUAGUACCACAUACUUGUGGCACUGCCACUUGAUUCAUAUUGGUAUAAAACGCAUGAAGAAGCUCCAUGUUUGAUGGAUCUUUGGACUCACUCGUUUUUGAAAAAGAUUGAGACAUGCAAACCAUGUCUAUUGGUAUAUAUGCAUGAAGAAACUCCAUACAGAUAGAUCAUUUGGACUCACUUGAUUUUGAAUCACUUGAGACAUGCAAAUCAUACCACAUGGGCAAGAUGACUGAAAGGCCUCGUUUUCAGUAAGAUGGAACAAGAAAGAAACUUGUUGGAAGUAAUACAUUUUGAUGUGUGCAGUCCAAUGAGUGCUGAGGCACGCAGUGGAUAUCGUUAUGUUCUUACUUCAUAGAUGAUUUGAGUAGAUGCUGAGUAUAUUUACUUGAUGGAACACAAGUCUGAAUUAUUGAAAGGCUCAAGUAAUUUCAGAGUGAAGUUGAAGAUCGUCGUGACAAGAGGAUAAAAUGUCUAUGAUAUGAUCAUAGAGAUCAGUAUCUGAGUUAUGAGUUUGGUAUACAAUUAAGACAUUGUGGAAAUUGUUUCACAACUAAUACCGCCUGGAACACCAUAGUGUGAUGGUGUGUCCGAACAUCAUAGCUGCACCCUAUUGGAUAUGGUGCAUACCAUGAUGUCUCUUAUCGAAUUACCACUAUCGUUUAUGGGUUAGGCAUUAGAGACAACGACAUUCACUUCAAAUAGGGCACCACGUAAUUCCGUUGAGAUGACAGCGUAUGAACUAUGGUUUAGAGAAACCUAAGCUAUCAUUUCUUAAAAAUUGGGGCUGCGAAGCUUAUGUGGAAAAGUUUUAGCUGGAUAAGCUCAAACCCAAAGCAGAUAAAUGCAUCUUCAUACGAUACCCAAAACAGUUGGGUAUACCUCCUAUUUCAGAUCCGGAAGCAAAAGUGAUUGUUUCCAGAAACGGGUACUUUCUCGAGGAAAAGUUUCUCUCGAAAGAAUUGAAUGGGAGGAUGGUGGAGUCUUGAUGAGGUUAUUGAACCGUCACUUAAACUAGUGUGUAGGAGGGCACAGGAAGUUGUUCCUGUGGUGCCUAGACCAAUUGAAGUGGAAGCUGAUGAUAUCGAUCAUGAAACUUUGGAUCAAGUCAAUACCAAAACUCGUAGGUUGACAAGGAUACGUACUACUUCAGAGUGGUACGUAAUCCUGUCUUGGAGGUCAUGUUGCUAGACAACAAUGAACCUAAGAGCUAUGGAGAAGCGAUGGUGGGCCCGGAUUCCGACGAAUGGCUCGAGGCCAUAAAAUCUGAGAGAGGAUCCAUGUAUGAAAACAAAGUAUGGACUUUGGAGGAACCACUUGAUGGUUGUAAGGCUGUUGUGUGCAGAUGGGUUUUAAAAGGAAGACGGACAAUGAUGAUAAGUAUCACCAUUAAGAAAGCUCGACUUGUCAUUAAGAUAUUUUCUGACAAGUUCAAGGAGUUGACUACGAUGAGACUUCCUCACUCGUAGCAAUGCUAAGAGUCUGUUGGAAUUAUAUUAGCAAUUACUGCAUUAUUUAUGAAAUCUUACAGAUAGGAUGUGAAAACAUUGUUUCCUCAACGAUUUUCUUGAGGAAAGGUUGUAUGUGAUACAACCAGAAGGUUUUGACAAUCCUGAAAGAUGCUAACAAGUAUGCAAAGCUCCAGCAAUCCUUCUAAGGACUAGAGUAAGCAUCUCGGAGUUAGAAUGUACACUUUGAUGAGAUGAUCAAAGAUUUUGGGUUUUAUACAAAGUUUAUGAGAAACUUGUAUUUCCAAAGAAGUGAGUGGGAGCACUAUAGAAUUUCUAAUGAGUAUAUGUUGUUGACAUAUUGUUGAUCAGAAUUGAUGUACAGUUUCUCGAAAGCAUAUAGGGUUAUUUGAAAAGUGUUUUUCAAUGGAAAACCUGGAUUGAGCUACUUGAACAUUGAGCAUCAAGAUCUAUAAGGAUAGUUCAAAAUCGCUUAAUAUUACUUUCAAAUGAACACAUACCGUGACAAGAUUUUGAAGGAGUUCAAAAUAGAUCGGCAAAGAAGGAGUUCUUGGCUGUGUUAUAAGGUGUGAGUAUUGAGUAAGACUCAAGACCUGACCACGGCAGAAUAGAGAGAAAGGACGAAGGCCGUCCCCUAUGCUUUAGACAUAGGCUCUACAGUAUGCAAUGCUAUGUACCGCACCUGAAGUGUGCCUUUCCAUGAGUCAGUCAAGGGGUACAAGUGUGGUCCAGGAAUGGAUCACAGGACAAUGGUCAAGGUUAUCCUUAGUAACUAGUGUACUAAGGAAUUUUCUCGAUUAUAGAGGUGGUAAAAGAGUUCGUCGUAAAUGGUUACAUCGAUGCAAACUUUGACGCUAAUCCGGAUGACUCUGCAUAGCAAACUGGAUUCGUAUAGUAGAGCAGUUAUUUGGAAUAGUUCCAAAUAGCGCGUGGAACCUGCAUCUACACGAUGACAUAGAGAUUUGUAAAGCACACACGGAUCUGAAAGGUUCAGACCUGUUGACUAAUAAACCUCUCUCACAAGCGAGAUAUGAUCAAACACCAUGGGUGUUGGAUUCAUUACAAUCACAUAAUGAUGUGAACUAGACUAUUGACUCUAGUGCAAGUGGGAGACUGUUGGAAAUAUUCCCUAGAGGCAAUAAUAAAAUGGUUAUUAUUAUAUUUCCUUGUUCAUGAUAAUUGUCUAUUGUUCAUGCUAUAAUUGUAUUAACUGGAAACCGUAAUACAUGUGUGAAUACAUAGACCACAACAUGUCCCUAGUGAGCCUCUAGUUGACUAGCUUGUUGAUCAAUAGAUGGUUAUGGUUUCUUGACCAUGGACAUUGGAUGCCAUUGAUAAUGGGAUCACAUCAUUAGGAGAAUGAUGUGAUGGACAAGACCCACUCCUAAGCAUAGCACCAGAUCGUAUAGUUCGUUUGCUAAGAGCUUUUCUAAUGUCAAGUAUCAUUUCCUUAGACCAUGAGAUUGUGCAACUCCCGGAUACCGUAGGAAUGCUUUGGGUGUACCAAACAUCACAAGGUAACUGGGUGGCUAUAAAGGUGCACUACAGGUAUCUCCGAAAGUGUCUGUUGGGUUGGCACGAAUCCAGACUGGGAUUUGUCACUCCGUAUGACGGAGAGGUAUCUCUGGGCCCACUCGGUAAUGCAUCAUCAUAAUGAGCUCAAUGUGACUAAGUAGUUAGUCACGGGAUCAUGCAUUAUGGAACGAGUAAAGUGACUUGCCGGCAACGAGAUUGAACGAGGUAUUGGGAUACCGACGAUCGAAUCUCGGGCAAGUAACGUACCGAUUGACAAAGGGAAUUAUAUACGGGAUUGCUUGAAUCCUUGACAUUGUGGUUCAUCCGAUGAGAUCAUCGUGGAACAUGUGGGAGCCGACAAGGGUAUCCAGAUCCCGCUGUUGGUUAUUGGACGGAGAACGUCUCAGUCAUGUCUGCAUGGUUCCCGAACCCGUAGGGUCUACAGACUUCAGUUUUUGUGACGCUAGAGUUGUUAUGGGAAAUAGUAUGUGAUUACCGAAGGUAGUUCGGAGUCCCGGAUGUGAUCCUGGAUGUCACGAGGAGUUCCGAAAUGGUCCGGCGGUGAAGAUCGAUAUAUUGGACGAAGGGUAUUGGAGUCCGGAAGUGUUCCGAGGGUACCAGGCUAUGGCCAGCAUGACUGAAAGGUGUUUUGGGAGCCUCGACAAGUGUUGGAGGGCCUCAUGGGCCAAAGGGGAAGGGGCAAACGAGCCCACUAAGGGGUAGUGCCCCCCCCCCACACCCUUUCCCACGUUAUUUGGGGAGGUGGGGCGCCUCCACUUGACUUGGGAGGCAAUCCUCCACCUGCUUGGCUUAGGGGGCAAGUCUCCAUAGGAUUUUCCCUAAGGAGAUCCAAUCUGCUUGACCGCCCCCCCUAGGGGAAACCCUAGGGCGCCUCCCCCUCUCCCCUUGCCCCUAUAUAUAGUGGAGGGGUGGGAGGGCAGCCGCACCUCUUCCCCAGGGCAGCCCUCUCCCUCCUCCAACACCUCCUCCUCCUCCGUAGUGCUUGGCGAAGACAUGCUGGAGAACCACGAGCUCCACCACCAGCACGCCGUCGUGCUGUCGGAGUUCUCCCUCAACUUCUCCUCUCCCCUUGCUGGAUCAACAAGGAGGAGACGUCCCCGGGCUGUACGUGUGUUGAACACGGAGGCACCGUUGUUCGGUGCUUAGAUCAGAUUCGACCAUGAUCUGAAUCGCUUCAUGUACGACUCCACCGACUGUGUUCUUGUAACGCUUCCGCAUCGCGAUCUUCAAGGGUAUGAAGAUACACUCAUCCUAUCCCUCUAUUGUUGCUAGAAUCUCCAUAGAUUGAUCUUGGUGAUGCGUAGAAAAUUUUAAAUUUCUGCUACGUUCCCCAACACUCUCAACAAUAAUAACAUAAUUGGAUCAUAUAACAAUCCCUCAACACGCAACCAAGAGUCACUCCAAAGUCACUAAUAGCGGAGAACAAACGAAGAUAUUAUUGUAGGGUACGAAACCAUCUCAAAGUUAUUCUUUCCAAUCAAUCCAUUGGGCUAUUCCUAUAAGUUACACAAACAACCCUAGAGUUCGUAGUAAAAUAACACCUUAAGACACACAUCAACCAAAACCCUAAUGUCACCUAGAUACUCCAAUGUCACCUCAAGUAUCUGCGGGUAUGAUUAUAUGAUAUGCAUCACACAAUCUCAGAUUCAUCUAUUAAAAUGACACAAAGAACUUCAAAGACUGCCCCAAAGUUUCUACCGGAGAAUCAAGACGAAAAUGUGUGCCAACCCCUAUGCAUAGAUUCCCAAGGUCACGAAACCCGCAAGUUGAUCCGCAAAACAUACAUCAAGUGAAUCAAUAGAAUACCCCAUUGUCACCAUGGGUAUCCCACGCAAGACAUACAUCAAGUGUUCUCAAAUCCUUAAAGACUCAAUCCGAUAAAAUAACUUCAAAGGAAAAACUUAAUCCAUUACAUGAAGGUAGAGGGGGAGAAACAUCAUACGAUCCAACUAUAAUAGCAAAGUUCACGAUACAUCAAGAUCGUGCCAAAUCAAGAACACGAGAGAGAGAGAGAGAGAGAGAGAGAGAGAGAGAGAUCAAACACAUAGCUACUGGUACAUACCCUCAGCCCCGAGGGUGAACUACUCCCUCCUCGUCAUGGAGAGUGUCGGGAUGAUGGAGAUAGCCACUGGUGAUGAUUCCCCCCUCCGACAGGGUGCCAAAACGGGGUAUAGAUUGGUUUUUGGUGGCUAUAGAGGCUUGCAGCGGCGGAACUCCCGGUCUAGGUUUAUUUCUUGGGGUUUCUGUAUUUAUAGGAAUUUUUGGCAUUGUUCUCAUGCCAGGGGGUGUUUCCGAGUCAUCCACAAGUUAGGGGGGCGCCCAUGUGGGUAGGGCGCACCCUCCACCCUCGUGGAUGGCUCGGGACUCUUCUGGCCCAGCUCUUCUACUUCAGGAGCUUCUUUUGGUCCAUAAAAAUCCACAAAAAUUGGCAGGUCAAUUGGACUCCGUUUGGUAUUCCUUUUCUGUAGAACUCAAAAAAAGGAAAAAGCCAGAAACUGGCACUAGGCUCUAGGCUAAAAGGUUAGUCCCAAAAAUCAUAUAAAAUAGCAUAUAAAUGCAUAUAAAACAUCCAAGAUGGAUAGUAUAAUAGCAUGGAACAAUAAAAAUUAUAGAAACGUUGGAGACGUAUCAAGCAUCCCCAAGCUUAAUUCCUGCUCGUCCUCAAGUAGGUAAAUGAUAAAAACAGAAUUUUUGAUGUGGAAUGCUACCUAACAUAUGUAUCCAUGGUAUUUCUUUUAUUAUGACAUGAAUGUUCAGAUCCGAAAGAUUCAAAACAAAAGUUUAAUAUUGACAUGAAAACAAUAAUACUUCAAGCAUACUAAGAAAGCAAUCAUCUCUUCUCAAAAUAGCAUGGCCAAAGAAAGUUAUUCCUACAAAAUCAUAUAGUCUGGCUAUGCUCUAUCUUCAUCACACAAAAUAUUUGAAUCAUGCACAACCCCGAUGACAAGCCAAGUAAUUGUUUCGUACUUUUGAUGUUCUCAAACUUUUUCAAUCUUCACGCAAUACAUGAGCGUGAGCCAUGGAUAUAGCACUAUGUUGGAAUAGAAUGGUGGUUGUGGAGAAGACAAAAAGGAGAACAUAGUCUCACAUCAACUAGGAGUAUCAACGGGCUAUGGAGAUUCCCAUCAAUAGAUAUCAAUGUGUGUGAGUAGGGAUUGCCAUGCAACGAAUGGACUAGAGCUAUAAGUGUAUGAAAGCUCAAAAAGAAACCAAGUGGGUGUGCAUCCAACUUGCUUGCUCAACAAGACCUAGGGCAUUUGAGGAAGCCCAUCAUUGGAAUAUACAAGACAAGUUCUAUAAUGAAAAUUUCCCACUAGUAUAUGAAAGUGACAACAUAGGAGACUAUCUAUCGUGAAGAUCUUGGUGCUACUUUGAAGCACAAGUGUGGUAAAAGGAUAGUAGCAUUGUCCUUUCUCUCUUUUUCUCUCAAUUGUUUUUAUUUUUUCGGGGCCUUCUCUUUUUUUGGCCUCUUUUUUUAUAAUUUUUUUUAUUUUUCGUCCGGAGUCUCAUCCCGACUUGUGGGGGAAUCAUAGUCUCCAUCAUCCUUUCCUCAUUGGGACAAUGCUCUAAUAAUGAAGAUCAUCACACUUUUAUUUUCUUUACAACUCAAGAAUUACAGCUCAAUACUUAGACAAAAAUAUGAUUCUAUAUGAAUGCCUCCGGCGGUGUUCCGGGAUGUGCAAUGAAUCAAGAGUGACAUGUAUGAAAGAAUUAUGAACGGUGGCUUUGCCAGAAAUACGAUGUCAACUACAUGAUCAUGCAAAGCAAUAUGACAAUGAUGAAGCGUGUCAUAAUAGACGGAACGGUGGAAAAUUGCAUGGCAAUAUAUUUGGGAAUGGCUAUGGAAAUGCCAUAAUAGGUAGGUAUGGUGGCUGGUUUGAGGAAGGUAUACGGUGGGUGUAUGGUACCGGCGAAAGUGGGGCGGUACAAGAGACGCUAGCAAUGGUGGAAGGGUGAGAGUGCGUAUAAUCCAUGGACUCAACAUUAGUCAAAAACAACUCACAUACUUAUUGCAAAAUCUAUUAGUUAUCGAAACGAAGUACUACGUGCGUGCUCCUAGGGGGAUAGAUUGGUAGGAAAAGACCAUCUCUCGUCCCCGACCGCUACUCAUAAGUAAGACAAUCAAUAAAUAAAUCAUGCUCCAACUUCAUCACAUAACGGUUCAUCAUACGUGCAUGCUACGGGAAUCACAAACUUUAACACAAGUAUCUCUCAAAUUCACAACUACUGUACUAGCAUGACUCUAAUAUCACCAUCUUCAUAUCUCAAAACAAUCAUAAGGAAUCAAACUUCUCAUAGUAUUCAAUGCACUUUAUAUGAAUGUUUUUAUUAUAUCCCUCUUGGAUGCCUAUCAUAUUACGACUAAAUUUAUAACUCAAGCAAAUUACCAUGCUGUUAUAAAGACUCUUAAAAUAAUAUAAGUGAAGCAUGAGAUUUCAUCAAUUUCUUCAAAAAUAAAACUACCAUCAUGCUCUGAAAAGAUAUAAGUGAAGCACUAGAGCGAACGACAAACUACUCCAAAAGAUAUAAGUGGAGAUCAAUGAGUAGUUGAACAAUUAUGCAACUAUGUGAAGACUCUAUAACAUUUAAGAAUUUCAGAUCUUGUGAUAUUACUCAAACAGCAAGAAAAACAAAAUAAAAUAAAAUGACGCUCCAAGCAAAACACAUAUCAUGUGGUGAAUAAAAAUAUAGCUCCAAGUAAAGUUACCAAUGAACGAAGACGAACGAGGGGAUGCCUUCCGGGGCAUCCCCAAGCUUAGGAUCUUGGUUGUCCUUGAAUAUUACCUUGGGGUGCCUUGGUCAUCCCUAAUCUUAGGCUCUUUCCACUCAUUAUUCCAUAGUCCAUUGAAUCUUUACCCAAAACUUGAAAACUUCACAACACAAAACUCAACAGAAAAUCUCAUAAGCUCCGUUAGUAUAAGAAAAUAAAUCAUGACUUUUGGUACUGUUUUGAAAUCAUUAUAAAUUCAUAUUUGUGUAAUAUAUACUGUAUUCCAACUUCUCUAUGGUUCAUACCGUCCGAUACUACUCAUAGAUUUAUCAAAAUAAGCAAACAACACAUAGAAAACAGAAUCUGUCAAAAAUAGAAUAGUCUGUAGUAAUCUGUAACUCUCGAAUACUUAUGUAACUCCAAAAAUUAUGAAAUAAAUUGGUGGACAUGAGGAAUUUUUAUAUUAAUAUUAUGCAAAAAUAAUCAACUCAAAACCACUCUUCUGUUAAAAAUGACAAUUAUUCUCAUGAGCACAAAGUUUCCGUUUUUUACAGCAAGAUCACACUGACUUUCACCCAAGUCUUCGCAAAGGUUCUACUUUGCACUUUAUUGAAACAAAAGCAAUAAAACAUGAUUACUACAGUACCUUAAUCAUGUGGACACACAAAAACAGUAGGGGUAAAUAUUGGGUUGUCUCCCAAAAAGCGCUUUUCUUUAAUGCCUUUUUAGGUAGGCAUGAUGAUGAUAAUGAUGCUCACAUAUAUAAAAGAUAAGAAUUGAAACAUAAUGAGAGAAUCAUGAAGCAUAUGACUAGCACAUUUAAGUCUAACCCACUUCCUAUGCAUAGGGAUUUUGUGAGCAAACAAUUCAUGGGAGCAAGAAUCAACUAGCAUAGGAAGGCAAAACAAGCAUAACUUCAAGAUUUUCAACACAUAGAGAGGAAACUUAAUAUUAUUGCAAUUACUACAAGCUUAUGUUCCUCCCUCAUAAUAAUUUUCAGUAGAAUCAUGAAUGAAUUCAACAAUAUAACUAUCACAUAAAGUAUUACUUUCAUGAUCUACAAGCAUAGAAAUCUUAUUACUCUCCACAUAAGCAAAUUUCUUCUCCUCAUGAAUAGUAGUGGGAGCAAACUCAACAAAAUAACUAUCAUGUGAGGCAUAAUCCAAUUGAAAUUUAAAAUCAAGAUGACAAGUUUCAUGGUUAUCAUUAUUCUUUAUAGCAUACAUGUCAUCACAAUAAUCAUCAUAGAUAGCAACUUUGUUCUCAUAAUCAAUUGGAACCUCUUCCGAAAUAAUGGAUUCAUCACUAAAUAAAGUCAGGACCUCUCCAAGUCCACUUUCAUCCAUAUAAUCAUCAUAAAUAGGAGGCAUGCUAUCCUCAUAAUAUAUUUUCUCAUCAAAACUUGGGGGACUAAAAAUAUCAUAUUCAUCAAACAUAGCAUCCCCAAGCUUGUGGGUUUGCAUAUCAUUAGCAUCAUGGAUAUUCAAGGAAUUCAUACUAACAACAUUGCAAUCAUGCUCAUCAUUCAAAGAUUUAGUGCCAAACAUUUUAUAGACUUCUUCUUCUAACACUUUGGCACAAUUAUCGGAAUCCUUAUUUUCACGAAAUACAUUAAAAAGAUGAAGCAUAUGAGGCACACUCAAUUCCAUUUUUUUGUAGUUUUCUUUUUUAGACUAAACUAGUGAUAAAACAAGAAACAAAAAGAUUCAAUUGCUACAUCUAAAGAUAUACCUUCAAGCACUAACCUCCUCAGCAACAACGCCAGAAAAGAGCUUGAUGUCUACUACACAACCUUCUUCUUGUAGACGUUGUUGGGCCUCCAAGUGCAGAGGUUUGUAGGACAGUAGCAAAUUUCCAUCAAGUUGAUGACCUAAGGUUUAUCAAUCCAUGGGAGGCAUAGAAUGAAGAUGGUCUCUCUCAAACAACCCUGCAACCAAAUAACAAAGAGUCUGUUGUGUCCUCAACACACCCAAUAAUAUGGUAAAUUGUAUAGGUCCACUAGUUCGGCGAAGAGAUGGUGAUACAAGUGCAAUAUGGAUGGUAGAUAUAGGUUUUUGUAAUCUGAAAUUAUGAAAACAACAAGGUAGCAAGUGGUAAAAGUGAGCGAAAUAAGUAUUGCAAUGCUUCAAAACAAGGCCUAGGGUUCAUACUUUCACUAGUGCAAGUUCCCUACACAAUAAUAACAUAAUUGGAUCAUAUAACAAUCCCUCAACAUGCAACCAAGAGUCACUCAAAAGUCACUAAUAGAGGAGAACAAACGAAGAGAUUAUUGUAGGGGACGAAACCACCUCAAAGUUAUUCUUUCCGAUCAAUCCAUUGGGCUAUUCCUAUAAGUUUCACAAACAGCCCUCGAGUUCGUAGUAAAAUAACACCUUAAGACACACAUCAACCAAAACACUAAUGUCACCUAGAUACUCCAAUGUCACCUCAAGUAUCCGCGGGUAUGAUUAUACGAUAUGCAUCACACAAUCUCAGAUUCAUCUGUUCAACCAACACAAAGAACUUCAAAGAGUGCCCCAAAGUUUCUACCGGAGAGUCAAGACGAAAAUGUGUGCCAAUCCCUAUGCAUAGAUUCCCAAGGUCACAGAACCCGCAAGUUGAUCACCAAAACAUACAUCAAGUGAAUCAAUAGAAUACCCCAUUGUCACCACGUGUAUCCCACGCAAGACAUACAUCAAGUGUUCUCAAAUCCUUAAAGACUCAAUCCGAUAAGAUAACUUCAGAGGGAAAACUCAAUCCAUUACAAGAAGGUAGAGGCGGAGAAACAUCAUAGGAUCCAACUAUAAUAGCAAAGCUCACGAUACAUCAGGAUCGUGCGAAAUGAAGAACAAGAGAGAGAGAGAGAGAGAGAGAGAGAGAGAUCAAACACAUAGCUACUGGUACAUACCCUCAGCCCCGAGGGUGAACUACUCCCUUCUCGUCAUGGAGAGCAUCGAGAUGAUGAAGAUGACCACCGGUGAUGAUUCCCCCUCCGGUAGGGUGCCAUAACGGGGUUGUCGGUGUCAAAACCGGCGGAUCUCGGGUAGGGGGUCCCGAACUGUGCGUCUAGGCGGAUGGUAACAGGAGACGAGGGACACGAUGUUUUACCCAGGUUCGGGCCCUCUUGAUGGAGGUAAAACCCUACCUCCUGCUUGAUUAAUAUUGAUGAUGUGGGUUACAAGAGUAGAUCUACCACGAGAUCAAGGAGGCUAAACCCUAGAAGCUAGCCUAUGGUAUGAUUGUUGUUCGUCCUAUGGACUAGGGCCAUCCGGUUUAUAUAGACACCGGAGAGGGCUAGGGUUACACAGAGUCGGUUACAAAGGUAGGAGAUCUACAUAUCCGUAUCGCCAAGCUUGCCUUCCACGCCAAGGAAAGUCCCAUCCGGACACGGGACGAAGUCUUCAAUCUUGUAUCUUCAUAGUCUUGGAGUCCGGCCGAUGAUGAUAGUUCGGCUAUCCGGACACCCCCUAGUCCGGGACUCCCUCAGUAGCCCCUGAACCAGGCUUCAAUGACGACGAGUUCGGCGCGCAUAUUGUCUUCGGCAUUGCAAGGCGGGUUCCUCCUCCGAAUAAUUUAUAGAAGAUUGGGAACACCAGGAUAGUGUCCGGCUCUGCAAAAAUAAAUUCCACAUACCACCGUAGAGAGAAUAAUAUUACACAAGAUCAAUCUGUUCAUGUAUUCUGUGGCGUGACGUCACACCACUUCCAAGCCUUUACUCGAAUUGUUUUUAUUGUUCCACCUCAGCGCGUUUAGCGAGGCGGUUUCCUUGGCACGUCUUGUCGAAGCAGAGAUCGUGUUCCCCUUAUUCCGGGAUUCCCAUUAAUACGGACAUGGGUAACCCAAACGCGCCCGUUGCCACGCCCCCUCCAUCGAAGGCGGGUUCCAAACGUUCACGGGGACGGCUCUUGGUAUUCUUCCUCUUUAUAAUGAGACCAAGGCCCGUUCUUUUUAUUCAAUCCUCUAUCGAAUCCUCCCCUCUCCCUGAGUUCCAACACCUAGGGCUCCGAAUUCAGGUACCUUCGAUCUUUGACAAUGUCUGGUCCUGAUCUACGAGGCUGGUGGAUGCCCUCCUCCGUCACGGAGGAGGACAUGCUAAAGCUGAGAGAUGCCAGGUAUUUAACCUAUGAGAUUUUGCAUAGGCUGCCUUCCCGAGGGCAAGUUAUCCCAACUCCCGAGCCUGGCGAGAUCGUCGUGUUCGUGUCUCACUUCCGUCGGGGUUUAGGCUUCCCGACGGAUCCCUUCAUGAGGGGGCUCAUGUUUUACUAUGGGCUGGAAUUCCAUGACUUGGCUCCGGAGUCCAUCCUCCAUAUCUCAUCAUUCAUUGUCGUCUGUGAAGCCUUUCUCCGCACUACCCCUUACUUCGGCUUAUGGCUCAAAACCUUCAACAUGGAGCCGAAGAUGAUUGAGGGGCGUCAGGCAGAGUGCGGUGGGGCGGUUAUAAGCAAGAGGGCCGAAGCUCCAUGGCCCAAGGGCUCUUUCCAAGAGGAGCUCGGCUUGUGGCAACAGGAGUGAUUUUAUAUCACCGCUCCCCGGGGCAGCAGGCAGAAGCCGCCGCCCGUCUUUCGCUCGGGCCCUCCACAGCAGCUGACGUCAUGGGUCAACAAGGGGCGUGACUGGGGGCCGCCCAAAGACGUCCCCCUGCUGCAGGACCGGAUUCGAGGCCUCCAAGAAAGGGAGAUCAAUCUGGUCGCAGUGGUGCAGGUCAUGUUGAUCCGGCGCCUACUGCCCUACAAACGUCGCCCCCUUCGCCCAUGGGAAUUUAAUCCGGAGGGGCCACGAGCUCUUCAACACUUCAUGGGUUUGACUCCCAUGGAGAUGUAUAAACUGUUCUUCGGAUCACAAGAGACGCAUCCGGAAUUGACCGAGGACGCUGGCCUAAGCUGCAAUCGCCCGGAUACUCAAGUAAGUAGCCAUGUGUCCGGACACACCGUCCAUUUAUUUUUCGUGAGCUUGCCUUUUAACCAGCUAUCCCUGGACAGGAGUGGAUAGCGCAAGCAAAACUGAUACGGUGUCCGGCCCCCCUCCCUGAGACCAUGCAGGAUCCCAUGUUAAUCAAAAUCUUGGAGGUUGCACCUUCGAAUGAGGGCGAAGGGGGGCACGGGAAAACUGUCACCUCUGCCAAGGAGGCGUUUAGUAAGGGAGGAAUCGAGAGUCCCUCAUUCCAGGGGGAGAAGAGGAACGCUUCCGAAGACCCGGAGGCCAAGGCCUCAAAACGGGGAAAGAAAUCUGUACCGGAAGGUCCUGCGCCAGAAAGCGCCUCGGCCGUAUUGUCUCCUCGGAGGAAUCAGCCCUCUAACGAGCCAUAAGUGAAAAGGGGGAUUUUAUAAUUAUCAGUCACCCCUGCUUAAUGUCUAAAGGUAAUGAAGUUUUUACCUUGUAGUUCGGAUGUCAGCCUAUCUCAGCACAGCUCGUCUUCGGGAGACCUUCGUCCGGAGAUGAUGGAAAGCGAAACGCCUUCAUCUACCUCCCCAUCAUGCGGGGCGGACGACCCUGAGGUGUCAUCACGGAGGGUCUCCCCAAGUCCGGCGGUGGAGCUGCAGGAUUUGCUUAAGAGGGCGUCCAUCUCAGAAGAUCACCGCACAUUAAUGGGUGAUGUGAUUGAGAGGAUUUCGUCCGCCGAAACCGGGUUGUAUGAGGCCGUCGGAAUUUUACUGACGGGAUUUGAGGUACGCAAAAAAUGACAUACCUGUUGACAGUUUUGCACAUGAAGUGCGCCCUGUAUAGAUAGUAGCCCCUGAGACUUGGUAUGCUGUCGAAAGCGAUAGCGUGCUAAGGAUCGUAAUCUCAGUUAUAGAAUGCCUCCUUUCCUAUGCAGGUGGCGGAUCGUCCGGUGGCCAACCGGACUGAUGGAUUUGCCGAGCUGAGAAGGCAACUCGACGUUGCGGAUGCGGACAUCUCGCUGGUCAAUAAACGACUGGAUGAGUCACAAGGUACGUGGUUGCUCCGUGGUCGCCUAGUAAGGAGGCUGACGCCCGUGCCUUACAAUUUUUAUGCUUGAUGCAGAUGGCGCUACCACUAUGGAAGGCCUUCGAGCCAAACUUGCUUGGGCCAAGGAGCAAGCCAGAAAAAGCGAGGCGGCUGCCUCGAAGGCAGCGGAAGAGCUAGAAGCCGAGAAGGCUGCGCACUGCUGAAGCAGGGAGGAGAUGGCCGGAAUGGCCGCGAAAUUAAAAGUUGCUACCGACCGCCAGGAGGUUCUUGAAAGAGAACGUCGAGCGGAACAAGAGGAUCUGAAGAAGGCCGACGCCGAAGCCAAAGAUGCCCGUAGUGCGAUGCGGGCUAUGAAGGAGGAACUGCGUCAAAUCCGAGACAUUGUGGCUGGAAAGCCCUUUAUGCUGCGCAGGAAGUUCACGGAUCCGGAGUAUGCUCAGCUCGGCCGAUUGUAUGAUGCGGAGGAUCCUUAUCUGGACUUGGCAGCGAGUGCGGCAGACGCAGUCGUGCACUUCCGAAGCCAGAAGGGUCACGAAAUGGAAGAGCUUUUCUGGUCUCAAUUCCAUAGUCCGGAGCGUCAACUGCCGCUGAGUGAUCGGCUGGUUGAGUGGGCUGAGCUAAAUAGAUUGUCCGGACUUGCCAUGACGGAUGUGGUCACUCAUCUUUGGCCGGGAAGAUCCAAGCCGAAGAGUUAUUUUGGCUUGUUGCAGCAAUUCCUUGGGGCAGUGCCGCAUAUUAAGGCGAUGAAGUGGUCGGCAUGCAUAGAAGGUGCACGGAUGGCUCUCGCCCGUGGUAAAACAUACUAGGCGGAGAUGGAUGCCACCGCUGUUGCAUCCCGGGGUUCGGACAAAAGCCAAUUCCCCACCGAGCAUUACUCUGAGGAAGUCCUGCAGGGCGCUCGUAUAAUAGAGUCGCAGUGCUCGAAAGAUGUUAUGUUUGAAUGACAUGUAUGAUUUCUAAGAUCAUGUUUAUAAUGCAAUGACUUUUUAUACUUGUGUGUUCAAGUAUUGAACUAUCUCCUGUGCGGCCGUAUAUGUAUGUAUAAUCUGAAAGAUGGCAGUCUUUGGCUUCAGCCCCCACGCACAUGGUGCGGGGGUGUUUGCAAAAAGAAAAACACUUUUUCACACUUAAUCCAACGUCUUGGUCCUUUUAAGGAGGUGAUAGCAUAGCAAACUAGGCAACCGGACUAUAAUGCUUUAUCACUUUCACUUAGCCAUAGGAGCUCGAAUGUGGGGCUACUAUAUAGCCCCUGAUGGCACCGUGCUUCUCCGAACUCGGGGCGCGUAUGUGCCUGACCGGGAAGCGGUCCUUCGUCAAAGCGGAGGAAUUCUAAACAUUCCCAAUGGUCGAUCGAGUGGUUGACCAGUCUCUCGCUAUAUCAUGAUAGUCAGUUUUCGGCUUUCUCUACUGAGGUGCUCUCCCGGCUGAACCGGGGCACAAUCGCAGUAGUUCUCCUGGUGCCACGUUAGCCGAUGAUACGGAAUGUAAGGCAGCAAAACACAGGAGCCGGGCAAACCCAACAUUUGACCAAAGACAUGAUUCGGAGCUGAUGCAUAUAAGGCCUAACUCGAGACGCCGAACACUCCCUGAGGUGUUCGGUCUUUAUGAUAUUGGGCAGAAUAAAGCCCUAAGCCCCUAGUGUCCAAGUACAGGCGGGAACUUCUAACGCGGCCGAUGCCAAAAUGCCAGCCUCCUCCUCGGCUCUGGUAGGAAACCGGGGGAUGUGUAUCAACAAGAGACAGUGAGAAAGGUUUACGCAGGGUCUUAAUCUGAAAAGAAUCCUUGCAACAGGUCCCUACUGCACGUCUGCGCCUGUAUCUCCAUUGUGCUGUAUCCUGGACGGGUGUAGCAUGUGCUUCAUCUAUAAAAGAGAAGGACUUAGUUUCUAAGAAAUAUCGUGCAAAAAGUGUAUCAAAAUAAAGUAUAAUUUGGAAGAUGAAGAAAGUUAAGCUUUAUUGGCUUUCAUCAUUUAUGCGCGCGGCCCCCUAAAAAGGGUAUGCGGCUGGGAAGCCCCUUGCUAAGUUACCCUGGACUCGUCUAACCAUGUCCGAGGCCUAAAUGACCUGUUUUUAGGGGCUUUGACCUGCAAGGUCGAAAUAAUGUGUGGCUGUCGAGGCAGCCGCACAUUCUCCGUGGUCGAGAGACACCUGGAGUUUUAAGAAUAUGCCACGUGGACCGGGCAUUUUUAAGCGUAAGAGACGCGUAAUGUGGUAUUGCAUUAAAGCGGGCGAAAGCUGCACGCCCCAGUAGUGCUUAAGGGCUACUGCUAGAUGGGGUGAUGGAGGGUGAGCUUUUUCACGACGGAGGUUGUCGGAUGAACCAAACACGACCUCUAGUGGUACAGAGCCUGUAAAAUUGGCUAAAAAAGGCCUGGCAUCACUCCUUUGAAGGAAGUGCUUCUAUUGCGAAUUUUGGUGGGUUAUAUCCCCAGUAUGCGGACGGUGUCCUGGUAUAGCAGGGGCCGCGCUGCGUGUUAUCACGUGAAGUGAGUUCACUGUUUUGACUUCUAAUGGGAAAGUCUUUUGGUUUCCGGAGCGCUGCUUUUGGAUUUCGUCACUUUCACUUGGUGUGUCGAGCCCUUUGUGUUCGGCGUUAAGUCGGCCGGACUGCUUGAAGACCCAACAAUCUCUGUGGGUAUGGUUUGCAGGCUUCCCGGAGGUACCGUGUAUUUGACACAUUCUAUCCAGAAUCUUGUUUAGGUUGGAUAGCUCAUCACUGUUAUCCUUUAGGGGCAGUGUUUUGUUGUUCGGCCGAGAGCUUUUGAAUCCGGCGUUGACCGCCGUACUAUUUGGGCCAUUUUCCUUAUUCCGGCACUGAUCUUUUUUGCGUCGUGAUUUCCCAUUUCCAUCCCUGAUUUCGGAUGUACUCGGGUCGCUGGUGCUGCAUCUAGCCAACCAGCUGUCUUCCCCCACGCAAAAGCGGGUCAUGAGACUUGUUAGUGCGGCCGUUGUUCUUGGUUUUUACUGGCCGAGGUGUCUGGCGAGCCAUUCGUCUCGGACGUUGUGUUUAAAGGCUGCUAAGGCUUCAGCGUCCGGACAGUCGACUAUUUGGUUCUUUUUAGUGAGGAACCUAUUCCAGAAUUUGCGUGCUGAUUCUCCGAGCUGUUGAUUUAUGUGACUUAAAUCAUCUGCAUCCGAAGGCCGGACAUAAGCCCCUGAAAAUUCGCUCGAAACGCAUCCUCAAGCUCUUCCCAACUUCCGUUCGUAUUUUUUGGGAGGCUUUUAAGCCAAUGCCGGGCCGGCCCUUUGAGCUUGAGGGGUAGGUAUUUUAUGGCAUGGAGAUCGUCUCCUCUUGCCAUGUGUAUGUGUAGGAUAUAAUCCUCAAUCCAGACUCCGGGGUCUGUUGUUCCGUUGUAUGCCUCUAUGUUUAUGGGUUUAAAUCCCGCUGGAAAUUCAUGAUCCAGUACCUCGUCGGUGAAACAUAGUGGGUGUGCGGCGCCCCUGUAUUUGGGUGUGCCGUUGUUUUCAAAUGCUCGGCUGGUUGUGUUACUUCCUGGAGUCUUCUUUUUUGGCCCAUAGAUAGACCUGGCCGGGUUAUCCUUUUUCUGAGGAUCUUUAUGCUGAUCAUGUGCCGGCUUGUGUGUGGCGCCCUCUGUUGCUCUUGGCCUGUCAUCUGGUCGUCUAUCCGGUCAGGCGACCCCUUUCUUUUUUGACUGCGGGGGCUCGAAGGCCUCCUCGUCAAAUUCGGGCAGCAGCUUGCGCUUCGGGUAGCUCUUUGUCUGGUGACUAGUGCCAUAUUUAUCUGUGGUGUUGAGUACUUUGCUCCAUCUCAUUCUGAGUGCGUCUUCCGCUGUUUUGAGCUUCUGCUUUUGCUUCUUCAGACUUCUUGCAGUGGCGACGAGCCUUUUAUGAAGAUUCAUAUGCUCUGGUGAUGUGAGAUCAUUUUCGCCGGGGAUGAGUUGCUUGUCCGGUUCAUGUCCGGCUGGCUGCUUGUUGAUGUGUGCGUCGUCCACUGCUUCGCCCUGCUCUAGGGCCGGGUCCAUAUGGGUGCCAUUUUUGUCGAUGCCGGUCUUCGGGCGGCGCUUGCGUCGCCGCUUUGUUUGUUUGUUGGGGGAGUUGUCCUUCGCCACGUCCCUUUUUCCUCAUUGUCGCUUCCCUUUGGUGUGUCCACCAUGUAUACGUUGUGGGCUGGGGUGUCUUUCCUGCACCCGUUAGGCGCUGGUUCUUGGUCGUCUUCGAUAUCGUCGUCCAUACCGUCGAUGUCCUCGGAGUCGUAGUCUAGCAUGUCGGUUAAAUCAUCGACAGCGGCUACCAAGUGGGUGGUGGGUGGGCUUUGAAUUUCUUCGUCGUCCGCGUCCCAACCGUCCUGGCCGCAGUCCGGCCAGGGUUCUCCUGAUAACGAGAGAUAUUUUAGCGAACUCAAGAUGUCGCCAAAAGGUGAGUGUUGAAAGACGUCCGCUGCGGUGAACUCCAUGAUCGGCGCCCAAUCGGAUUCGAUCAGGGCGGGCACGGGAGGUUCGGAGUCCAGCGAGGAGUCCGACACCUUGGAGUCACGAUCUUUAUGAGGGACAAAGUCAGUGUUCGGCUCUAUCGCCGUAGAGGUUGCAGCCCCCGAGGCGGUGUCUAGGCAUCCAUCCUCGAUCUGUGCGGCCGGCUCCAAAUUGAGGAUCGGAGCGGGCUCGAGUGCGGCCUCUAGGGUAUUGUCCAGCGACAGAGCUAAAUCAUGCCCGACGUGACAGUGCGGCACGCUCGGCUGUGGCUCAAAUCCGUCGAAGAUCAAGUCCCCGCGGAUGUCAGCCGUGAAGUUCAAACUUCCAAAUCUGACCUGACGGCCAGGGGUGUAGCUUUCGAUCUGCUCUAGUUGGCCAAGCGAAUUGGCCCGCAGUGCAAAGCCGCUGAAUACGAAGAUCUGUCCGGGGAGGAAGGUCUCCCCGUGGACUGCGUCGUUGAUGAUGAUCGAAGAAGCCAUCACGCCUAUCGGUGACGACACAGAGGAACUCUCAAUGAAAGCACCAAUGUCGGUGUCAAAACCGGCAGAUCUCGGGUAGGGGGUCCCGAACUGUGCGUCUAGGCGGAUGGUAACAGGAGACGAGGGACACGAUGUUUUACCCAGGUUCGGGCCCUCUUGAUGGAGGUAAAACCCUACGUCCUGCUUGAUUAAUAUUGAUGAUGUGGGUUACAAGAGUAGAUCUACCACGAGAUCAAGGAGGCUAAACCCUAGAAGCUAGCCUAUGGUAUGAUUGUUGUUCGUUCUAUGGACUAGGGCCAUCCGGUUUAUAUAGACACCAGAGAGGGCUAGGGUUACACAGAGUCGGUUACAAAGGUAGGAGAUCUAAAUAUCUGUAUCGCCAAGCUUGCCUUCCAUGCCAAGGAAAGUCCCAUCCGGACAUGGGACGAAGUCUUCAAUCUUGUAUCUUCAUAGUCUUGGAGUCCGGCCGAUGAUGAUAGUUCGGCUAUCCGGACACCCCCUAGUCCGGAACUCCCUCAGGGGUCUACAUUGGUUUUUGGUGGCUACAGAGGCUUGCGGCGGCGGAACUCCCGAUCUAGGUUUAUUUCUGGGGGUUUCUGUAUUUAUAGGAAUUUUUGGCGUCGGUCUCACGUCAGGGGGUUUCCGAGUCAUCCACGAGAUAGGGGGGCGUGCCUAGGAGGGUAGGGCGCGCCCUCCACCCUCGUGGAUGGCUCAGGACUUUUCUGGCCCAACUCUUCUACUUCGGGGGCUUCUUUUGGUCCAUCAAAAAUCCACAAAAAUUGCCAGGUCAAUUGGACUCCAUUUGGUAUUCCUUUUCUGUAAAACUCAAAAACAAGGAAAAAACAGAAACUGGCACUAGGCUCUAGGUUAAUAGUUUAGUCCCAAAAAUCAUAUAAAAUAGCAUAUAAAACAUCCAAGAUGGAUAAUAUAGUAGCAUGGAACAAUCAAAAAUUAUAGAUAUGUUGGAGACGUAUCAAUGGACAUAUCUAAGUCCUCAGCUCAAGCCGGCAAUCGAGGGUACGUGUUGGCCUUUGUGACGUACGGAAUGACAUUUCUUGCACCUUGAGUGGACCACCUUCGCCCUCUAGGAUUUGAUCAAUGACGAUGUUACCCCUAUGUACCAUGCCAUGAUCUUGUCACCCGUCUCACUACUGUCAGCAUCUCUUUAGGCAACGGUGAGACCACCCUUGGGGAAGGUGCUUUUGUUGCAUCUCGGCGUUCAUUAUUGUAGCCUAGGUGAUGUUUUGUAGAUAUAGGGUUCCCUUCCGUUUCCAUUUUAACUUAUGUGGCAUUUGUGGUGAUCACCAUGUCUGGAUGAUGUCUUGUUGCCAUUGUAAUCUUGCUUGUUGCGUUCUAUUUGUUCAAUGAGCCCUUUCACUUUCUCGGUUUGCUCUUUGAACGUGUGUGGGCUGGGAAAAACGAUAAGUGCAAUGAUGUUCUUUGUCCAAGUGAUGAUUAACAGUGGGCCAGGUGGACCGAGAGGAGAAGGGGAUGAGUGGGGAGACAUGGGCAGUGGAGAGACGUGGUCCAACUGAUAGUGGGACGAGCGUAGCGUCCGGGCUUCCCCGGAACCCCUAGUUUAGGACAGUUUGUGGGAUUUCAAACACCCGUACCAGUUCAUGAACUUUUGAUGACUUGCGUUGAACAUUUCCGUGACCGACGUUGAGGAUGCCCUAAGCAUUGGUGGACUGGAAUGCCUAUCAUACAGUAAUGUUAAGCACAGGGUUAAUUUUGAUGGUACUUCUGUGUGGUUGGUGGCGUGGGGUGGGGGUGGGGGUGGGGGAAAGUGGUAAAGGUACAAGAGUACCUUUUGGUAUAGCUUCUCAAGGACCGUAGAUAAUAUUGAUGACAACAAUAAUUAUCUCCCAACCAAUCACAAAAGAAAAAAAGUUUCAAACUAAACUGAAGAAAAAUAUACCGGAGCAAGGGAUGCAUGACUGAACAUGCAAUGGAUGAAACUUCAGGGUUGAGGGUUAGAACUGACCGAAGAACAAUUCUGCCUACUUUCAAACUAGAGCAUCAUAUUUGCUUCUCUCUGGUCCUUCUUUCACCCCCUUCCCUCUCCCUGCUCCCUCCCGGGUCGCUUGCGCGAGCGGCCCCGGAGGCCCCAAAACCUAACCAAAAAAGCCCCCAAAUCGGGGUCUCCCCUGGCCGCUGCCACCAUCAACAGUGUCGGCCGCGCCAGGCCAUCGGAGGCGGCAGGUGGGUGGGCGCCCCCCGUCAGGCUCCCUUCACAAAAAGGUGAGACGACAAGCGGGCGGCACAGGGUGGCGUGGAGUUGCGGUGGUGCUGGUCUAGAUGCGCGGGGGAGGAGUUGUGGUGCACGAGGAGGCCCCGCCAGAGCUAUGGAGGUCCUGGAGCAGGCCGGCGCUGCACAACAUAGGCGCCUAGAGGAGAUCUGGUGGCGGCGGCGCGGGCUGAUCUGGGCCAGAUCUAGGCCCGAUCUAGGCUCUGCGGGCCACUCACGUGGAAGUGCCAUGGCUGGCCGCUUGAAACUGGAGUGCUUGCGUCGACAGCUACGGGCGAGGUUGGAGGACCCUCUGCUGUGCGGGAGGUGGAUGGUGGGCCAAGGCAGUGGUCUCGUGGCGUGCAGGAGGUGGAAGACGGUGUGCUCUCGGCCAUGCGGGUGUUGGUGGACCAUGACUUCAUGGCUACAUCUACGAGGUGUUGGGGCGGCGGUGGUGUGAGCCAAUUUGGACAAGGUUGUGCGAAUCGUGUGGCAGGGAUGGAGUUGUGCGACUAUACGAACAAAAGUCCUGCCUGUCUCCAGUCGAUGCAGGUGACGACGGUGCUUGUGGGUGUCGUUUUCCUCCUUGGAGGCGUCACCGAGUGUGGCGGCAUGUCCCUCGCUAUCACUUGGGGUUGGCAGUUGUCUCGAGGCGAAAGCCUUGGUUCGGAGUUGGAUCGGCGCGAUGGCGGCAUCUUCGACGUCGUUCCUCCGUUGGGGGCAUCAUGUUAGGAGACACUACCUGAGGUGCUAUGUGGCACACUUUCAGUGCUCGUCAUUGUCCAAGGAUGAGCUCAAGGAGCACUGUGUACGUCGUCGCCGGUGAGUCCAAGACGGUGCUUUCCUUGGACCGACCAAGUUCCGCCAUCUACUUGCCACCUCCUUUUAGGCAUCAAGGGUGGAUGGUGCGUUGACAAGGGACAUUCAAUUGGAGUUAGAGUUGUCUUCGGAGGUGAGCGGCGUCGGUCGAGACGCGGUGCUGUUGCUUAGCUUUGGAUAGGCACUUCGGUUUUGUAUUUGUGCUGUCUAUAGUGGUUGUCUUCGAACUAGCUUGGGUGUGGAGUUGUGCUACACUUGUUGUUCGCAGCAAACUGUAGCUCUUUUGUAUUUAAAAUUCUAUCUUUUAUAAAAAUAUAGUAUGCCUAGGCGUACUCUAAAAAAAUUGCUCCUCAGGAGUCGUGGUGUUAUGUUGCUUCGAUAGAUUGACUAGAUGGAGAAACUAUAUUGACCAUGACUCUCAUAUGAAACACACGCUUUAAUUUUUGAGGAACCACGGUGGGAAGGAUCCUCACUCUGAAAAUCACGCGCUUUGUGAACGUGUAUAUCGGUUACAAAAGCCACAAAGGUGGUCAAAUUUGAGUGGACCUGAUUACAUCUGCGCCGGCUUUCCAAAAGAGAGAGCAAUGGCAUCCGUUCUUUGCUAGCCGACCAAAAUCAACAGUUUUCAUAGCCCUCAAACAAAAACUCAACAGCUUUCGUGUGCGUCCAACUCUAAUCAUGGAUCCUCCGCCCGCAUCGUCAAGCGCAAAAUAUUGUUAAGAUAACCUCCUUCCCUCCCGGGAUGUAAGAGUUUUUUGACACUUGAGACGGAGGAGUAGCUUCUUCCUUUUUUUGCUUGUAGGAAUCAGAAUGUCGGCAGUGAGCAUGCAGGGUCUCAUAUUGGAAGAACCUUUUUUUGGAAGUCAUAUAUGAAGAACCUCGGGGCAUCUUCAACGUGACCCAUAAAUUUUCUCCCCCAUCUGUCCGUAGACAGGGAGGCAGUCCCAGUCGUGGUAGGCCGUCAUAUAUACAACACUGUCCGCAUACAUUUAAACAACUUUAUGAACCCACCGCACGAAAUUAGUGUAAACACGGUGGAUUUCAUAUAAAUCGGACGCCAUUCAUGCAAACUUGGCGGAUUUUCAAUACAUUUCAAACACUUAGAAAAAGACCUAUGGCAGUCGCCGGCAUCCAAGCGCUUGUUGUUCCCUUCCUGGGACUGUCUCCUCCAUCCGCCGUCUCCAUGUGCACCGGCGAUAAGACCGAUGGAGUGAAGUUGCGGUCUCCGGGAGGAAGAAUAGAACACGGGCGACAGACCAGCCCACAUGGGACGCAAGGCACUGCGGGCUCCCAUGCCCUACCAAUCUCGGAGGAGUCUGCGCUUUGUCCGUCGCUGGUGGUCGUGAGGUCAACGAUGGAAAUGGUGAUGCCCGCGCUGUCGUCGUCCCACCGGGCCGCUCCAUAGUUCGUCGGCAGCGCGUAGAAGGUGCAGCUGGCAUUGUUCACCUUCGCAAUCGCCUGCAGCUGCACCUCCGCAGCGGCCACUUCCUGGCAAGCAGCAUCUUGAGCACAGACGAUCUCGUAGAUCGCACGCUGCUCCAUGAUGAAGUUGGGAUUUGCUGCGGCCAUGGCCGCCACGGCCUCCUCGCUCGCCGUUGAUUUGGCCCUCCGCCAACCCUUGUUGCUCCAGGAGAAGCAAGUUGUGUCGUUGUUCCUCCUGUGCCUGCUGGAACACCGACAUAGGCGCCGACGCAGGCUGCACCUCCGUCAUGGCGUCGUUGUAGUGUGCCUGCGCCGCUCCAUGGUGAAACCGGCGUGAAUAGGUGCGGGCUCGGGUGCGUUGUCAUAUGGGCUCAUCGCCAUGGUGGGGUCGCCCUCAUCGUCAGAGCCUCGGGCGAGCUGGCCGGCAAGCCUGCCUUGAUCCGCCUGGCACGGCGGCACUGCCAGGUGGCCGCAAAGGCGGCCUCUUCAUGCUUCAUCUCUGUGGAAAGGCUCUCCCACAGAGCUUCACCACCUACAGUCAUGGCGGAUGCGAUGCAAGGAAAGAGGAUGUGGAGCGUCUUGUGUUGUGGCAUGGAGUUUGCCGGGUGUGGCCGCCUUUAAAAGGAUUUCAGUGAGGCCGAGCGUCCGGGGUGCACCAAUGCGAGGCGCCGGCUCGGCCAACGAACCUGCUUAAUGGUGGCUUAUGGACGGAUGGGGCGUUGAAGGGAUGUCGUAGAUAUCCAACCCGUCCAGUAACGCGUUUUCGACAUUGAACAUGCGAGAACACCAGGGACGCAUCGUGGGCGGCGUCCUUGGCCGGCGCGCUGCUUCAAUGGCGUAGCCAAUGAGAGGUCGCGUUCGCUCUUGGCCGACUUCAAUGUGAAGCGGCCGCUCUACGGUGACAUGAGGGAACACGCGCAGGCGAAGGAGGAUGAUUUUGGGUGGGCCAAAGUGGUCAGACGCGGGCGUGGCUGUUGUCCAUACGCUCACGAAGCCCCCACAUUUGUCUCCGAUUUACGGGAGAAAGUGCAUCCGAACCGUCCCGCGGACCGAUGUAGGAGCAUGUUGGAUGGCACAACACACCUGAACCACGUGGUUCGGACGGUUUGAGUGUCAGCAUUGAAGAUGCCCUAACUAGGAUUAUUGACUUAUUCACUCUAUAUCCGUACCGAAUUCUCAACCAAACAGCACAACGGGUAUAGUUUCUAGUUCAUUUAUUUAUUAAGGUGCACCCCUUUUUUUUGACGGGAAGGUGCACCCCUUUACGUGCCUAGAGGUAAGAGAAACUUUUAGUCCUGGCCGUCCGGCAGACAAGGGUAGCAUGGUACUUCGUAAAAUUUUAUUUCGCUGCUGCAUUNNNNNNNNNNNNNNNNNNNNNNNNNNNNNNNNNNNNNNNNNNNNNNNNNNNNNNNNNNNNNNNNNNNNNNNNNNNNNNNNNNNNNNNNNNNNNNNNNNNNNNNNNNNNNNNNNNNNNNNNNNNNNNNNNNNNNNNNNNNNNNNNNNNNNNNNNNNNNNNNNNNNNNNNNNNNNNNNNNNNNNNNNNNNNNNNNNNNNNNNNNNNNNNNNNNNNNNNNNNNNNNNNNNNNNNNNNNNNNNNNNNNNNNNNNNNNNNNNNNNNNNNNNNNNNNNNNNNNNNNNNNNNNNNNNNNNNNNNNNNNNNNNNNNNNNNNNNNNNNNNNNNNNNNNNNNNNNNNNNNNNNNNNNNNNNNNNNNNNNNNNNNNNNNNNNNNNNNNNNNNNNNNNNNGUUUACAGAUAAUCAAGAAAGUAAUAUGAUAUCACCAAUUAGAUUAUAAGAAAAUUGACAGUCUAUACCGAUUUGGAGCAUUGUAAAAUUUCACAUCGUUCUCAGACAGAUUUUGUGAGUGCACAUGUCUAUCGUGUACCGUAUAAUGGACAAGCGCCCACACACUUCAGUUGCAUUAUCUUUUAGAGAGAAGGCCACUUGACUCGAUUGAUUAGCAAGCCAAACAUCAUUUGCAUUUUAAUUUCAGCAACCUGAAACUAGCUAGCAUGGUCCCUAGUAUCAGCAUCAAAGGACCACUUAGCUAGUUGCACUAUUAAUAGAAGGAUACUGAGAAUCAAAUGCUUAGUUUGUACUUUGUACUUAUAAAAUUAUAUAUGGUGUGCUAAAUCGGAAAUACCUGAUGGAGCUGGAGCUCCUUGGAGCCCUUUAUUUGAAAAAAAAACAAAUUUUGAUAUAUUUUUUUAGUUCUGAAAAGUUCUGAAUAAAAUACACAUAUACAUAUGGAUGUAUACUACUUGUCUGUGAAGCUUCAUGAUGAAAUACUUUUUAUGCAAGCUACACAAAAAUGCAAAAUGUGCAUAUUUACAGCACAUGUACUAUUCACUAUGAAAUCACAUGAUUUUUUUUGUAGAGGCCACACAAAAAUUAUUUUGUCAUGAAAUUUCACACACGUUCAAUAAACAUCUAUAAGUACUUGUGUAUUUUUUUCUUCAUAUUUUUUUUUAGUUUAGACAGUUGAUUUUGGAAUGUUUGAAAAUCAAGGGCUCCACUGAGAGCAAAAAAAAAUCCUAUCAUGCUAAAUUUCUUGUAUAAUCUACUGAAACAAUAUAUAUAGUUCUAGUUGUCAGAACGACUUUGUGUUUAAUAGAAUAAAAGUUCAAAAAACAUUGCAGGUAAUAUACAGGGCGUCUGAAUGGAUCCGUACAUGGUCAUUACUACACCAUGGCCCAUGCGGAAGUGAGGGGCUUAUGGCUUUUGGUAGAAACCGAUGGGAGACAGUACGUAGCACGGGAUAUACACAAUUAGCUUGGAUGACGGUCCAAUAAUAUGAUAUGUAUAAAAGCAUUUUUCUUUAUUUGUGCCAGUUGUAGCAUUUUGUCAUGUAUUUUUCUUUUCUUUAUUUGUACUGGAGCUGCUCGUGAUACUUUGAUACUUGGUUCAUUUUAAUAAAUGAUUGUGUAUCUUUUGAUACAGAGACCGGGAAUAAUCCUUCUUUUCGAGAAAAAUAAUAUAGUUAUAGGUCAGAUUUCUCUUUGCUACAGGUUAUCUAGCAAUCUAUACACUUGCUCGUUUGUAGUUUAUUCUUCAGCGAUCUGAACACCGACAAUUGUUUCUAGCCAUGUGUACGCAGACGGAAUAGAAGGACAAGGAUGUCUUUGCCCAACAUGGUUGAAGCUUUUUCUGAGACCCCCCUCCCCCUCGCCUUAGUUAUUGUAGUCUCGAACAACCUUAUUUUGUCAGCGUUAUUUAGAAUGUGUGUUGUUGUGUGUGUAUCUUGGCCACGUAGAGAAUGGAUGUGAACUUGUUUUGAUUGUAUUCCAUUUAUGCAACAUUUGGAGUCAAAAAACGCACUUCUUCAAAAACUGUGUGGGUCAUAAUUAAAACACUAACUACUCAAGCGAAAAACCCUACAAACUUGAUCUAAAAUAGCUUAUUAUAUCUUAUUAUAAUCUACCUCAAUACUAUCGCAGUCUAAGACAUCUCGACCUUAUAUAAGCAAGCUAAAACACUUCACUGCUAGUUUUCACAAUUUGUAAAACAAAGUAUGUUGUAAUAGUAAAACAUGGUUCUAAGAGUCAAUUCGAUUGGAAAGUUAAACUUCAUGAGUUUCUAUUUUAUGGAUUUGAUGACCUAAGGCAUUGGUUGCAUCAUUUCUAGGAACUAAUCUUUUGAGGACUAUGGUACUCGCACAAACUAGUACAUCUCUACUCCUAUAAAAGACUCAGUUGGUGAUGAUGGUGUGUCUGCCAUCCAUCGUUUCUGACCAUUAGAUCUGCAUCUAACGACUGUGAGGUAAGUUGUGGCCUUUUUCAAACAACAGCCCACUUCUUCGCUCCAAUUUGCAGAAAACCCCUUAGUAUUUUGAAACCAACCACAUCCCUCCCUCACCUCAUCAAAACAGCCCAAGGAAUAUAUAUUUUGAGUGAAACAUAAUAUAUUUUUAGUGAUAUAUGUAUAUCAAAACUAGAGUGCUUUCUUUUCAAUUUACGAAUAAGUAUUAUUCUACUUUGGAUCCGUUGCAACGCACGGGCACAUUGCUAGUUAUUGGAUUAUACUUAUAUGAAAUGAGGUAAGGUGACUAACACUAUUUGACUGUAUGUGCAAUUGCAUACUUCUCUAAAGUUACACCACCUCUGUAAGAUGAAUAUUCUAUUAGUGCAUUCAUUACUAAAAGUACAAUAAUGUUAGUACGUUCGAUUAAUAACUAUUUGCUUACAUUUCAGUUCAUUUGUCUUGGUUUAUUGGCUCCCUUUGUAAUUUGUGCCAAAUUUUCACCAAAUAUUUAACUAACAAAAUGUUAAUGCAUGUCAGCAAAAAUUAUAUCAUUUGAUUCGUAUUUGAACAUGAUUUACAAUGAUAUAAAUUUUGGUAACAUGCAUGAAUAUUUUGUUAGUUAAAUAUUCGGUCAAAAUUUGGCACAUACUACAAAGGGGGCCAAUAAACCAGGACGGAGGUAGUAAUACGAGAAGGUUGUUAAAUUAAUUCAGUUUUUGUACAAUAUGUUUAUCUAUCUUUAUGUCUAAACACUACAAGGAAAAUAGAUAUAGCAUAUAAACUUUAGAAAAAGUCCAUUUUACUACCCUGAAUAAAGUGGGUGGUUCACUUUACCCCCUGAUCUAUUUUUCCGCUUCUUUUACCCCCAAACAAAUCCAAACCGGACAAAACACCCCCUGGCUGGUUUUUCUCCACCCGCUGCUGAUGUGGCACUAGUCAACGGCGGUUUUGACCUGGGUGGGGCCCCCUUGUCAGUGUUCUCUCUUUCUCUCUCUCUCUCUCNNNNNNNNNNNNNNNNNNNNNNNNNNNNNNNNNNNNNNNNNNNNNNNNNNNNNNNNNNNNNNNNNNNNNNNNNNNNNNNNNNNNNNNNNNNNNNNNNNNNNNNNNNNNNNNNNNNNNNNNNNNNNNNNNNNNNNNNNNNNNNNNNNNNNNNNNNNNNNNNNNNNNNNNNNNNNNNNNNNNNNNNNNNNNNNNNNNNNNNNNNNNNNNNNNNNNNNNNNNNNNNNNNNNNNNNNNNNNNNNNNNNNNNNNNNNNNNNNNNNNNNNNNNNNNNNNNNNNNNNNNNNNNNNNNNNNNNNNNNNNNNNNNNNNNNNNNNNNNNNNNNNNNNNNNNNNNNNNNNNNNNNNNNNNNNNNNNNNNNNNNNNNNNNNNNNNNNNNNNNNNNNNNNNNNNNNNNNNNNNNNNNNNUGCUGCCGCGCCGUUGCGCCCCGUCUGCGCGCUCGCCUAGCCCGCGACGUCGCUGACCGCAGCCGCCUGCCCACAUCGGUCGGUGCCCAGCCGCCCCUUCCCCUCCCACGCCGACGCCGGGCCGUGCCCGAACCCCCGCGGCUGCCCACUCCUCGCCGCGCCGCUCAGAUCGCCCGCCGUCCGUCCUGCCCCGCAGCCCCUCGCCGCCCCUACCGCAUCCCCGUGGCCGCUGCGCUCGGCCGUGCCUCCACGCGCGCUCGUCUGCGUGCUUGCCCGCGCAUGGCCGCGCCGCGCCCGGCCACUUCCCUGUCGCCAUAGGCGUGGCGACGCCUACAGCCUCCGCUCGCUUUAGGCGCUCUGCCUGUCCCUUCGGUUGGUGUGAGAGAGAGAGAGAGAGAGAGAGAGAGAGAGAGAGAAACCUGACAAGGGGGCCCCACCCAGGUCAAAACCGCCAUUGACUAGUGCCACAUCAGCAGCUGGUGGAGAAAAACCAGCCGGGGGGGGGGUGUUUUGUCCGGUUUGGGUUUGUUUGGGGGGUAAAAGAAGCGGAAAAAUAGAUUAGGGGGUAAAGUGAACCACCCACUUUAUUCAGGGUAGUAAAAUGGACUUUUUUCUAAACUUUAUUAUCUAUUCCUGUAAGACAUCUCAUUUGGAAAAUUCGAUGAACUAAGGGUCUGAAGAGUCCUCCGAGUUGAAAGGUAUCAUUUGGUUCGCACUUCUCUGGCGGCGCUGGAAACCUUUUUUUUCUAGAAAGCCAAUCAUUAAUUUUAUGUGGCAUAUGUGUGAUUGGACAGCUUGCAUACGCCAAGGCAGUCAUGUCUUCCUGCCUAUAUAAAGCACCCCAUUACCAACCUUACAACUCAGGCUAAGAGUUUCAACCAACUUAGAGAGCUCUCCUCUCCAGACCUCUCCCUUCUCUCCACCAGGAGUUUAGGGUUAGAGAGAGCGAGACGAGCAAAAACAAUCUCUCGCCCCACUGUUAUACCAAGUUCGCAUCCACCUCACUGUUAUACAUCUUUGUAUCACAAUGGGUGGCCUAUCCAUGGAGCACCCUUGGGCAUUCGCCUUCGGCCUACUAGGUAUAUUAUUCUCACCGCGAACAACAGAUGUCGAACAAUCACCCCUUGUAUUAUCAUAGUUUCUUAGUUACAGCCAAGGUUUUGGUAACCGAAUGAGGCAUUUUUACCGAGGGGGACUGGUAAACGCGGUUACCACGAUUACCAAGAAAUAUCGAUAAAUACCGAGGAUAUUUCGAACGAAUUUUAUAGUUGAUUUUUGAAUUCAAAUAAGUUAAUGAAUGAAUAUUUGAACCAUAAACCUCUCAAAACAGGAACUAGGUUACUACCAACACGCCAGAACCAACUCUCAUGGCAUUAGUUAGAUCCUACGAACUUUACUACAAAUCGAGUGUUUAAAUUAAAAAAAUUAAAAAAACUGGUAUUUUUUGCUUGGUACGUGGAUUUACCGAGGGGCACGGAAAUACGCGGUAACCAUGGGAAAUCUCGAAAUUUCGACCGGUAACCAAAACCUUGGUUACAGCUACUAUUUAUUAGUGCAGUACUAGUAGACUACUUUGUGUCGUUUGAGAUCACCCUUUUGCAGCGUCUAUCUAUAUGUCUUAUCUUUGCCACUGAUUGAUUAAUUGAUGUGUAGUCUGGUACUAGCUCUAGUGACAUGUAGCUCGGUGCGCCAAAAAACCCAAAAAGAAACAACAACAAAGCAAAUUGCUUAUGUUUUUUCGAAAAGGAUAAAGCGCAUAAAAGAAAGAUGUAAAUGUGUCAUACAAUUAUCACAGCUCAUCGCUAACUUUGCUAAACUUUGCAGGCAACGUGAUCUCUUUCUCGAGCCUCCUGGCCCCGAUGUAAGCAACUGUCCAUAUUGGUUUUUGUUUCAUUUGAUCAUGUUAAUCAAUAUGUUCCCCCAUAAUAACUAACCAAUGUAUUCAAAAAAACAAAAUGUUAGACCAACAUUCUACCGGAUCUUCAAGAGCAAAUCCACGGAGGGGUUCCAGUCGGUGCCCUACGUCGUGGCCCUGUUCAGCGCGAUGCUGUGGAUAUUCUACGCACUGGUCAAGACCGGUGAGGGCCUCCUUAUCAGCAUCAACGCUGCCGGCUGCGUCAUUGAGACCGUCUACAUCGUCAUGUACCUCGUCUACGCCCCCAGGAAGGCCAAGAUUUUCACAGCCAAGAUCGUCGUUCUCCUCAACAUCGCCGGCUUCGGGCUCAUCUUCCUCCUCACCCUCUUCGCCUUCCACGGCGAGACACGCGUCGUCUCGCUCGGCUGGAUCUGCGUCGGCUUCUCCGUCUGCGUCUUCGUUGCCCCACUCAGCAUCAUUGUGAGCCCUUUUUGACCCACAAACCUCCUACUCGAGCUCAUGCAUGGCGGGACCUCUUGUACGUGUGUCAACUAACUUGAUGUGUUCCUUUCCCCAGGGACGAGUCAUCAAGACCAAGAGUGUGGAGUACAUGCCCUUCUCCCUCUCCCUCACGCUCACCCUCAGCGCCGUUGACUGGUUCCUCUACGGCCUGCUCAUCAAGGACAAAUACGUGGCGGUAAUUUAAACAUCAUCCAGCCCUUCUAUUAAUUUGCCGAUCGAUACGCAUUCUAUUCGCAAGCAUGAGCAAUGACGAGUGGCAAUUAACUUUUUGUUUGCAGCUCCCAAACAUCCUUGGCUUCACCUUCGGGAUGAUCCAAAUGGUCGUCUACAUGUUCUACAUGAACGCGACGCCGGUGGUGAGCGAUCUGAAGGAGGGGAAAGAGGGGUUGAAGAUGCCGGCGGAGGAGCAGGUGGUGGUGAUCAACGUUGGCAUGAUCGAAAAGAGCUCUGGCGCUGUGGUUCGCCCGGUGACCGAGAUGGUCAAAGCCGUCCCGGCGGCGCCGGGGCAACAAGUGAUGGCGCUGGACUCUGCCCGCUUUGUCGAUGUGGUGUAAAUUCACGCAUGCAGGCUUGCCUCAUGCAUGAGGCAUAAGCUAUUUAAUAGCUGCUACCGCUGCUUUCACCAACCGUAAAAAAAACAUUGCUUUCACCGCGUCCUUGAUAAUUAGAGGUUAUUGCAAUCCGUUGUUUCGUUUUGAUUUUAUUUGCGCCGACAGGGUUUUAAAUAUGUUAUGGUGUUUUUUUUUCAUUUGUAGUAUAUCUGGUGUGCUACUAGAGACGACAUUUGUUCUGAGAGGAGAUUGGAGUUAUUCGGUGCAGGGUUGUAGUGUCCUUAGUCCUUACACAUUUCGGCUUUGGUGUGAGCCGCUGGUCGGGGCAUGACUUCCUUGAGAGCUCAUAUUCAUGUUGAAACCAUGAAAUUGUUGCUAUACGUUCACAUGAGUUGGCCCACAAAUCUCUCGCUCGCUCAUCUCGGCUCCCUGCGCGCUCCACUUGCCUGCUUAGCAUUUUUUUCGCCCACUCUACUUUUAUCUUAUAAAAAUCUGGAUAUUUUUUAUAUGAAAUCUUUAGUUAAAUCAAAACAUGUUUACAGAUUUUAGAAAAAUCUUUGAUUUUUUAAAAAUGUCACACACUAAAAAACCCAUGAUUUUUUGAAAAACAUUUGGGAAUUUCUAAAAUAUUCAUGGAUUUCAGAAAUUAUUUACAAAACUAUUUAAAAAAGUUUGCAAACUUUAUAAAAUGUUCCGAAACAUUGAAAAUAUACAAGAGUUAAAAAUAUGUUGAUUGAUUUAAAAAUGUUUAAUGAUUUGUAAAUAUGUUCAGAAUUUUUAAAUGUUCACAGUUGUCAAUAAGUAUUCAUGAGUUAAAUGUGAAAAGAUAAACAAUGAAAUAAAGAAAAGAAAAAUUAAAUAAAAACCAGCAUGAACCACAAACAAGGACACAUAUCAUUACAGGCCCUUAUUGCACCAGGAGGCUCCAAAUCUAGGGGGCUUCAUAGAUUUUAAGUGUGGAGUGCAGGUGGGAGUAUUGUAACCCAUCCGGAGUUUCUUGGGAGGAAUUUGCUCUAUGCACUGCAGGAAAAACUACAUAUGUCGAGCGUAAUAAAAGCUGCACAUGCCCAUGUCGAGUGUUAUUUCACGGGGUGCUCGUCAUACAGCUCAGUAUGCCAAAUACCCCUAGAAAACACUUCAUAUAUAUAUACGGGACUCGGCAUACAACCCAAUACGCCGAGCACCUUAAAUAAUUCACUCGGCACACUCAAGGUACUUCGCACGCAUAAUAAAAACACUCGGCCCACAAGGCACUCGGCAAAUGUUUUACCACGAGUUACCUUUGGCCGUAGUUGAUGGAGCUGUUACAGUGGGGGUAGUAUGUCAGUGCCAAGUAUUAGAAGUAUAUCUUUCCCAAGGACAAACAGAACAUUGAUAUACCUGUCAGGACAUCAAGUACAUAACCAUUCAGAUGAAGGGCAAGGAAACUAAUGCCGUUUUACCAGUUUACGGAGUUUGGAUAAUUGAUCAAGAAAAAUUUAGCAUUGUGCUUCCAAUGUUCUUGUUGAUAUUCGGAUUACCACAGUCAUGCUUCGGGGUAGCAAUAAUAUGAUGUUUCAAGUAAUGGUUGGGUUUGAAGAUCACAAGAAAUACACAAGGAACAAUUUUAGAAAUAGCAAGGAACUCAAGGUAUAACAAAAACACGACCAAGUAUGUGUUGGAUGGAAAGACAUGGAUGUUGUCGAUGACAACACAAUAUUCGAGGGACAAGGAUAACAUUUCUCAUCAUGAAUUCCAUUCAGAUCUUGGAAGAAGUCAAAAUGUUGAUGAUGAUCACACCUCAUUUUGUCGAGAGGUUUCAUGAAGAUGUAAUCGAUCAGCGAUGGCAUCAAGCAAAAGGGGUGGUGAAGCGAAAGGCUAUUGUAACCAUAGAUAAGAUGCAAUCUCAGAAUCAGAGUUGUCUUUCAAGACAAACAAUAUGAUGUGGAAAGCUCGACGUAAGCUUAACACAAUGUGGGAAUUGUGUUCUGGGGAUGAAGAACUAGGUAGCAAGGUCAAGCUUUUGCAUGAGGACGAUGGUGUAGCCAAUCGGCUGGGAAAUGACAUGAUUGAGUAGAAAAUCGUAGCAACAAAGAUUAUUAAGAGUCAUUGAACCGCAUUGUGGACUCGUUUCACUUAUCGGUGUCCUCAAGCGGCAACCAACGCAGAAUUUGGGAGAAAACUGAAAUCGUGAGAGUAAUACUUGAUGAAGAACUCAUAGGAAGUAAUGAAGUUUCGUGAUAUUCUCGAGAUACCAGAGGGUAAUACUCGAAGUUAGAUCAGAACAGAGGUUGGACUGGUGUAUUGACAUGCGGAAGAAAAGUGCUUUAACUUGUCUGGAAAAUGGAAUCAAUGGAGAACAACAUUGUUGGAACCAUGAUUGCAAACGACCAAAUCACAGAUACAACAUGAAUUUAUACCGAGGGGGCGGUUAUUUUUACGAGAAUCUUCCUUGAUAAGAUCUACAUCGUGUCCAUGGGCAUGAACACAAAGGUUCAAGGUCGCCUCCCACUUCUCCAAUGCACAAAUUCUCAUUCAUUGGUCUGCUAAAAAAGUUUUGAGUCUGAAAAUUUACCUGGCGAAAUACCAGAAGAGUAUGACCUAUGAAAAUUUUGGGUUCACAGAAACAAUUCAACAAACAACUGAAGCAAGGGAUUCAACUUAGAAAGCGGAGUACCGAAGUCAAAGUAGACGAUGUGACUCGUCAAAGGUAAUUUGUAUCAAGGGAAGAACUCAAGUGUUUAGAAUAUGCAUGAACGGUCGAAUAAUAAUCCACCAAAGGAUCUGGCGGCCCACAAAGGAUCUGAUGUGAGUAUCCAUACUCAACUAGAAGAGGAACGAAUGCAAAUGCAUCAGAUUUUAGAAACAUCUGAAUAGUUUGAAGUAUAAAAUACAAAGGGAUUGCGAUUUCUGAAUCGGGGGACCAGACGCAGAUGCUCUAAUUAAGGAUGAUUAAGUUGAAUAGAUUUAGAGGCAUAUAACCAAUCAAAACUUGAUUGGUCAAGAACUAGCUCAUAUCUGGAAUGAUGUCUGAGCCGAAAUGAUAAAUUCUAAGGAUCAAUGGAUGACCGUGUAUUCGCACACGUGAUGAAUCAAUGGGAUAAAUAGGACAACUCUACAACACAAAUAUAAACAAAAAUCUUUAUAUUACAAGCCAGGCCCACGAGGACCCAUAAUACAUCAGUCAUGGAAGCAAAUAUUUGAUACAGACAUAGUAAUUAAAGUUCUGCCUUAAGAAGGCUAAGCAAAACAACGACACUAGAUCGAAAGGCAAGGCCUCCUGCAUGGGACCACCAGACUACUCCUGGUCGUCGGUCUCCACAUAGUACACACCAUCGGGGUAACCUGCAUCCUUGGUGUUACCAUCUAUUGCAGCAACCGAGUCAAAUGAAAAGGGUAGCAAAGCAAUGGUGAGUACUCAUCCAAAGCACUCCCAAGACUUACAUCAAAUCUAUACUAGAUAUGCAUCGGUAUCAAAGGAGUGGGGUCAUUUCUAUGUACUAAACUACAAAAUAACAGAAUAAGUGGGAGAAGCUCAUCCUAUCGAAGACUACAUCUUUCAGUAAUAGAAGAGAGGAGUGUAUAUGGUAUCAUCUUGUGCAUAUAUAUAGCUAUAAUCCUACCCAGAGAUCCUCUCCUCGUCAUGUUGUGAGAAAGAUAUCUCCGAGUUUAUCUGUUUGUUAUCAGGGGUGUGUUUUACCAAGUAUACGGUUUUAGUUGUAGAAGUUCGGGAUACAACUCCAAGUCAUAUUAUUUUCGUGGACAUGGCUAUUCAUAUAGUUUAACUUCCUCUGCAGGAGUGCACCACAUAACCUGAUAUGCUCGAUUACCUCUGGCCAGACACACUUGUGUGGGUAAUGCCCGGCCUCGGAUAAUCGACACGCCGUAGUCCUACCUAGACUCUACAGAGAGGUCAGCACGCCGGUCUACAUCCUAAACACGAAGGGUUCAUGGGCCGAUUGCCCUAAGCACUCCUACGCAUUGCGAGGAUGGCCGGGACCAAGCCCACCUUGCAUCCAUGCAUGCUUCGCACCCGGGCACGUGCCGCUCAACUGUGACAUCUUACAGAGCUUUUGGGAAGAACGUACGAUGCAGAGGGCCCCAGAAACCGUUAUGCAGCAUAGCGGUUAGUGCGUAUAUGCUAGUGGCAGUAUCAAAUACACCGAAAUCAUUAAGCAUGUUACUAUGAAAUAACCGCAGACACUGACCAGGGCCCAUGCCCACCUCUCUCCUAGGUGGUCUCUACUUAGCAUGUCAUUCCGCCACAGUGUAUCACUCGCGGGUACUCUCCGAGCCGAUCCGAGUUUAAUGUAUCAUGUAUGACGUAUAGUGUAUACAAUUGGUCACUUUCAUCAUGUUGGUUUGGUUCGUGUUCGCUACUUUGAUAAUUUAAUAUUUGGGUGGACCGGUGCUUAGGUGAUGUUCUUACUUGAACAAGCCUCCUACUUAUGAUUAACCCCCUCUCAAGCAUCCGCAACUACAAGAAAAAUAUUCAGAUAAAAUCUAAUCAUAGCAUGAAACAUAUGCAUCCAAAUUGUUCCCUUACGAAGAAACACAUAAACUAGGGUUUAAGCUUCUGUCACUCUAGCAACCCAUCAUCUAAUAACUACUCCACAAUGCAUUCCCUUAGGCCCAAAUAUGGUGAAGUGACAUGUAGUCGAUGUUCACAUGACACCACUGAGGGAAUCACAACAUACAUAUCAUCAAAAUAUCUAACACAUAUCAAGUUCACAUGAUUACUUGCAACAUGACAUCUCCCUUGACCUCAGGAAUAAAAGUAAAUACUCACAAAUGAUAAUCGUGCUCAAUAUCAGAUGGGUAUUAAAUAGCAUAAUGGAUCUGAAUAUAUAAUCUUCCACCAAAUAAACCAUAUAGUAAUCAACUAUUAGAUGUAAUCAACACUACUAGUCACCCACAAGUACAAAUCUAUGGUUCCGGUACAAAGACUGAACACAAGAGAUGAACUAGGGUUUGAGAGGAGAUGGUUCUAUUGAAGAAGAUGAUGGAUAUUGCCCUCCCAAAGAUGANNNNNNNNNNNNNNNNNNNNNNNNNNNNNNNNNNNNNNNNNNNNNNNNNNNNNNNNNNNNNNNNNNNNNNNNNNNNNNNNNNNNNNNNNNNNNNNNNNNNNNNNNNNNNNNNNNNNNNNNNNNNNNNNNNNNNNNNNNNNNNNNNNNNNNNNNNNNNNNNNNNNNNNNNNNNNNNNNNNNNNNNNNNNNNNNNNNNNNNNNNNNNNNNNNNNNNNNNNNNNNNCCCCUUGAUUUUUCUAUCUCAAAAUAACCUAUAUACCAUAAGAUGGGCACCGGAGGUAGGCUGAGGAGGGCACAACCCACCAGAGUGCGCCUGGGGGGCCAAGCGCGCCCUAGUGUCUUGUGAUCACCAGGGUGGCCCCUCCGGUAAUUUUUUGCUCCAUUAUUUUUCAUAUAUUACAAAACAAUUAUCCAUUAAUUUUCAGCUUAUUUGGAGAUGUGCAUAAUAGGUAACUCCGACAUAGCUUUUUCAGGUCCAGAAUUCCAGCUGCCGACAUAUGAGAGAAAAGGCAAUGGAAUUACACCUAAAAGCAUUAUUAUGCAUAAAAACAUUAUAAAUAAUAGUUGUAAAUCAUGAUGCAAAAUGGACUUGUAUCAACUCCCCCAGGCUUAGAUCUUUUUUGUCCUCAAAUGAAGAACUGAUAUCGAAAAACAUGUCCACAUGCUUAGAGAGAGAGAGGUGUCGAUAAAAAUAGAAUACGGACAUAGAAGCAUCAUAAUUAUUAUUAUAACAGCAAAGAACUUUUAACAUAAAACUUUAUCAUACAAGUUUUGUCAUAUAACUUCUCAUGAACAAGUAACAAUUCAUCACAACAUUGAAGUAUAAAGCAUAAACUCUAUUGAAAAGCAACAAACUAUGUUUUCAGUCAACUUUGCAACUACAAUUCAUCAUAUUUUUAGGAAGGGUCACGUAUCAGAGCCUUUUGGCAAGUCCACAUACUCAAACAUCAUAUAAUAUUCUAUGAUUGCUAACACUAAAAGCGUACCCAUGAGCGAAAAGUUUCAACCGGACACACAAAAAUAUAGCGGCUUAUAGUUUCGCCUCCCAACAUAUUCACCUCAAGGGUGAUGUCAACAGUAAUAACUCAUGCUCACUCAUAUCCAAAUGGAUAUAUGUGUUUAGAUCUUUCCUCACCACAUGUUACUUGCCAAAAGAGAAAAUAAAAAGGAAUAGGGAAGAAUACUUUGACUCUUGCAUAAAAUUAAAUAAAUAAAACUAAAAGAUAGGCCCUUCGCAGAAGGAAGCUGAGGUUGCCAUGCGCUUUUUGUUUGUAUGCCAAAUCCCUUAAUGCGAAAGAACGUCACAUUAUAUUGCCCCUUAUGAUAGCAACCAUUACUAUGCAGUUUGUCGCUUUUAUUACUUCAUCACAAGUUCGUACAACGCUCAAUUUUCUCUUACACUAAUUGAUCCAACACAUUUAUAAGCAAUUUGUAUUGCCUUAUUACACCGAUGACAACGUACUUGAAGGGUCUUACUCAAUCCAUAGGUAGGUAUGAUGGACUCUCUAGGCAUGAAUUUAGGUUUAAGGUUUUUGCAUGCACAACUAGUAUCUCUACUUAGUGCAGAGUUUUUUGGCUAGCAAAGAUAUUGAGCAAGAACCACAUGUUGAAGGUUCUAUAACAAUAUAACUUCUAUGUGAAUAUGAACAUGCAUAAAUCAUUACAUUGUCUUCCUUGUCCAACGUCAACAACUUUGACAUAUAAUAUUUAAUGGGGGCUCACAAUCAUAAAAGAUGUCCAAGAUAGUAUAUUUGCAUGUGAAUAUUCUUGUGACGCCCCCGAUUUAAUCGUACACUAAUCAUGCGUGCAAAUGUGUACGAUCAAGAUCAGGGACUCACGGGAAGAUAUCACAACACAACUCUAAAACAUAAAUAAGUCAUACAAGCAUCAUAAUACAAGCCAGGGGCCUCGAGGGCUCGAAUACAAGGGCUCGAUCAUAGACGAGUCAGCGGAAGCAACAACAUCUGAGUACAGACAUAAGUUAAACAAGUUUGCCUUAAGAAGGCUAGCACAAACUGGGAUACAGAUCGAAAGAGGCGCAUGCCUCCUACCUGGGAUCCUCCUAACUACUCCUGGUCGUCGUCAGCGGGCUGCACGUAGUAGUAGGCACCUCCAGUGUAGUAGGAGUCAUCGUCGACGGUGGCGUCUGGUUGCGACAACCAGAAAGAAAGGAAAGGGGGAAAAAGGGGGGGGGGAGAAAGCAACCGUGAGUACUCAUCCAAAGUACUUGCAAGCAAGGAACUACACUACAUAUGCAUGGGUAUAUGUGUAAGGAGGCCAUAUCAGUGGACUGAACUGCAGAAUGCCAGAAUAAGAGGGGGAUAGCUAGUCCUAUCGAAGACUACGCUUCUGGCAGCCUCCGUCUUGCAGCAUGUAGAAGAGAGUAGAUUGAAGUCCUCCAAGUAGCAUCUCCAAGUAGCAUCUCCAGUAGCAUCACAUAGCAUAAUCCUACCCGGCGAUCCUCCCCUCAUCGCCCUGUGGAAAAGCGAUCACCGAGUUGUCUGUGGAACUUGGAAGGGUGUGUUUUAUUAAGUAUCCGGUUCUAGUUGUCAUAAGGUCAAGGUACAACUCCAAGUCGUCCUGUUACCGAAGAUCACGGCUAUUCGAAUAAAUUAACUUCCCUGCAGGGGUGCACCACAUAACCCAACACGCUCAAUCCCAUUUGGCCGGACACACUUUCCUGGGUCAUGCCCGGCCUCGGAAGAUCAACACGUCGCAGACCCACCUAGGCACAACAGAGAGGUCAGCACGCCGGUCUAAAUCCUAUGCGCGCAGGGGUCUGGGCCCAUCGCCCAUUGCACACCUGCAUGUUGCGUACGCGGCCGGUGAGCAGACCUAGCAACCUCCAUUACAAAGGAAGUUGCGUUAACGCAGUCCAACCCGGCGCGCGCCGCUCAGUCGCUGACGUCAAAAAGGCUUCGGCUGAUACCACGACGCCGGGAUACCCAUAACUACUCCCGCGUAGAUGGUUAGUGUGUAUAGACCAAAUGGCUAGACUCAGAUCAAAUACCAAGAUCUCGUUAAGCGUGUUAAGUAUCCGCGAACGCCGAACAGGGCCAGGCCCACAUGUCUCCUAGGUGGUCUCAACCUGCCCUGUCGCUCCGCCACAAAGUAACAGUCGGGGGCCGUCGGGAACCCAGGCCCACCUCUACCGGGAUGGAGCCACCUGUCCUUUCAGCCCCCUCAUCAGAAUCACUUGCGGGUACUCAUCGAGCUGACCCAACUUUAGUCACCAUUUGUAUAGUAUGUAUGUAUAGUAUAUACCCGUGAUCACCUCCCGAGUGAUCACAGCCCAAUAGUAUAGCAAGGCAGACUGACAAGAAUGUAGGGCCAAUGAUGAUAAACUAGCAUCCUAUACUAAGUAUUUAGGAUUGCAGGUAAGGUAUCAACAGAUGUAGCAACAAUGUCAGGCUAUGCAUCAGAAUAGGAUUAACGGAAAGCAGUAACAUGCUACACUACUCUAAUGCAAGCAAUAUAGAGGAGAAUAGGCGAUAUCUGGUGAUCAAGGGGGGGGGCUUGCCUGGUUGCUCUGGCAAGAGAGAGGGGUCGUCAACUCCAUAGUCGAACUGGGGCAUCAGCAUCGUCACGGGGUCUACCAAAGAGAAGAGGGGGAGAAAUAGUAAAUACAUAACAAGCAAGUGCAUAACAGGAUAACAGGCAGAGCUAGACGUGUUCUAACGCGGUAUGAGGUGAUACCGGUGAAGGGGGGAAGCAUCCGGGAAGUAUUCCCAGGGUUCCGUGUUUUCAGGCAGAGGAGCCGGAGGGGGAAAGUUGCGAGUUCGAUAGGUUAGGGGGGUGUGGCGGACGAACGGGUUGCGUAUCCGGAAUCGUCUCGUCGUUCUGAGCAACUUUCAUGUUGAAAAUAAUUUAAUCCGAGUUACGGAUUAAAAGUUAUGAUUUUAAUUAGUUAUUUAAAUUAAUUCGAAAAUGGAAUAAUGACAUCAGCAUGAUGUCAUGCUGACGUCAGCAGUCAACAGUGUUGACUGGUCAACCUGACGUGUGGGUCCCACAUGUCAUACUUUGCUUAUACUAAUUAGGAUUUAACUAAUCUAAUUAUAGUUUAAUUAAUUAGCAAUAGUUAAUUAGGUUAAUUAAACAAGAUUAAUUAAGUUAAUUAAUUCACCAAUUAACUAAUUAAUUAAUUAUUAAUUUUAUUAAUUCAUUUUUAUUUUAAUUCCUUUUUUGUAAAACAUUCUAGGGCACGGGCCCCGUUUGUCAUAGGCCCCUAGGGGCCUGUCGGGUUCGGGCGUGCAGGCGACGGGCGCCAGCCCGAAUGGGCGCCCGCCCAGGCCAACUGGGGGAACGGCGAGGCGUCGCCGGCCACUGCAACGGGCGGCCGCAGCCGCCGGGAAAGGAAAGGGGGCGGCCAUGGCGCGGCAGAGCCGGAGCGGGGGUUUGUGGGGGGGCGCGGGCCGGCGAGGNNNNNNNNNNNNNNNNNNNNNNNNNNNNNNNNNNNNNNNNNNNNNNNNNNNNNNNNNNNNNNNNNNNNNNNNNNNNNNNNNNNNNNNNNNNNNNNNNNNNNNNNNNNNNNNNNNNNNNNNNNNNNNNNNNNNNNNNNNNNNNNNNNNNNNNNNNNNNNNNNNNNNNNNNNNNNNNNNNNNNNNNNNNNNNNNNNNNNNNNNNNNNNNNNNNNNNNNNNNNNNNNNNNNNNNNNNNNNNNNNNNNNNNNNNNNNNNNNNNNNNNNNNNNNNNNNNNNNNNNNNNNNNNNNNNNNNNNNNNNNNNNNNNNNNNNNNNNNNNNNNNNNNNNNNNNNNNNNNNNNNNNNNNNNNNNNNNNNNNNNNNNNNNNNNNNNNNNNNNNNNNNNNNNNNNNNNNNNNNNNNNNNNNNNNNNNNNNNNNNNNNNNNNNNNNNNNNNNNNNNNNNNNNNNNNNNNNNNNNNNNNNNNNNNNNNNNNNNNNNNNNNNNNNNNNNNNNNNNNNNNNNNCCACGGUGGGCACGCACGGGACAGGGCGUGUGUGAGGCGCGGCCACGGUGGGCGCGCACGGGGAGGAGGCCGCGGUGGGCGCGCACUGGGAGGAGGCCACGGUGGGCACGCACGGGGAGAACAUGCAGGAGCUCGUAUCCGAGCUCAAGAAGGCACAGGGGGGUGGUGGAGCUCACAGCGAUGUUGUAGGGAUAGGCAGCGGGCUCGGGGUGGUCCGACGAGGUAGAUCGACGGCGAGGGCAAGGUGGCAGCGACGGCGUCGACGAGCGGGCGUCCAGCGCUCCAGAUCGGGGCAGGGGGAGCUGCGAGGAGAUUGGUGGUGGCGGUGCUCGGCGCCUGUGGGCGGCAGCCUCUAGGGAGCGGUGGCUCGGGUGCCCGGCGCGCGCUCCACUGAGCGUGCUUGCGUGCGUGUGGCGGCGCGGGUGAGGGGACGAGGGAAACGAUGGGGGAUCAAGUGAGUGAGUGGAUCGGGUUAGGGUUAGGUGGGUGAGGCCACAUAGGCCAUGGGGUGGCCGGUUGGGCCUUUGCCCAGUUGGGCCGGCCAGCUGGGCCAUCUGGCCCGGUGAGGGAGGGGGGGUUUCUUUUUUUUGUGUGUGUUAGUUCUGUUUCUGUUUUGAUUCCUUUUCUUAUUUUCUUUUCUGUUUCAUUUGUAGUUUCUUUUAAUUUUUAGUUUUAUCAAAAAUCACCACUAGUACCUAAAGUAGUAUUUAUAAACAAUCUGCUGUCACAUCAAUUCUUAACCCAUAAUAAAAUAUUUUUAAUAUUUUAUAAAAUCCAAUAGGUAUUUGUUUAAUUGUCUUCACUACUAUUUUAAUUAGUUUAGAGCCCUUAAACAUUUUAUCAAGGUUUGGUUUCUCCAUCGUGUUUACACAUGAUUUAUCUGACCCACCUUGAACAUUUUGGUUUCAUUGUUUGAGAACUUUUAUUAUUUGCCUUUAAUUGAAUUUGAAUUUGAAUCGGUUUCAAACUAACACGAGAUUAGUGAUAGUAAUCGAAGUGACGUGGCAUCAUUAGCAGAGAAUUACUGUAGCUUAAUUAUCCGGGCGUCACAAUUCUCCUCCACUACAAGAAAUCUCGUCCCGAGAUUUAAGAGGGGAGUAAGGGGGGAAAGUCCUGGUUACGAUAUUCUAACGGAUCUUCUCGAAGAAGUUAAUCCCUUUCGUUGAUGUCUACAAUUCUUUAUUCCAAUGCAUCAUGAUAAACUUGUCAUCAUUUCUUCGGGAACUCCAUCGUACUUACGAAAGGAGAAGGGGCAGCUCACUACGACAUAAUGCUUUUGAGGGAAACAAUCUGGGGUUAACCCAUGAAUGAGUAUAAGAUUAUCUCUCAAGUUGAAUAUAUGAAAUGCAUCGAGAGUAAGGUGCGAAGGUACAAUAAGAGGUUCCAAGCGGAUAGAUAGUUGCUCGAAGUCUGAACCAGAGUGAGAAAGGGUUCAGAGUAGCGAGAGUAAGUAUUGCGUCUGAUACCAGAAUAGAUCACUAGGACGGUGGCCCGUGAAUUACAUACGAGGCCACGCGCGAGGAAUAACUUUGGGAAUAGGGGGUGUACAGGACAGUCAGGUUUCGAUCCUGUGGAACUGUGGGUUAUGGGCCCACCAUGUGGGUUUUUUUAAUAGGAGAAGUGACAUCUUGCAGGGUCAUGAUAGCAAGGCAUGUCAGAGAGUAGCAUGUCAGUUAUGUCGGCAACAACGUCGGUACCAAGGGCGAGGGACGAAGAGAACCAUUUUCCUGCUCGUCGAACGAGGAAGACCAAUAGGCAAAGUUCUCGUCCAUCGGUUGCUACCGGAAUGUCAACAACAAUAGUAACAGGGUCUUGCUGAUAGAAUUGUACACCGAGGUGUUUACAUAAGCAGGAGAAUAUUACUGCUUAGAUCAUAUAGAUCACAAGCAACGUUAAACCAACCAAUGGAAUGGAAAAUAUGGUUAUCAGAUUAAACAGAACAAUGGAAAGGAAAAUGUGUUAAAACACAUAUUUCAAGGGUAUAUCGUUCCCAAGGACAAGCAGAGCAUGAUAUCCAUGAUAGGAUAUAAUGUAGAAAACUCUUUAGGUAAGGGGAGAGAAAUUUCUUGACAGCGGUGUUUGGAUAACUGACCAAGAAACAUUUAGCAUUGGGCUUCAAAUGUUCUUGUUGAAAAUCGGAGUACCAUAGACAAGCUUCGAGAUAGCAUUGACAGGGUCUUCAAGCAAGGGUCGGACCUUGGAUACACAAAGGAUUUAUCAGGAACCACUUGUAGAAUAAGUCUUACCAUUUCCUCAUGGAAGAAAGGAUAACCUUGAGGAAAGGGAACUAUAACAAUAGGGCCUUCGGCCAGGUGUGUUAGGCAUGACAUCAUCUUACUGAGUCAUAUAAAGACCAAUGAUACGAAUCUAGGAAAAUGUCUCAACCAUCAUAUCUGACCGAGAUUCAGAUCCGAUUGGUGUCAUGAUACCUCAGACUCAGGAUGUCCGAGAAGAAAAGGGUCUACACAACUCAACGAAAUGACAUUGCAAGAUUCUCGGGAAAUGAACUAUGGGAGCGGGUUCCUAAAACAAUAGUUCAUCAUUAAACCAAGGAGGGGAUAAGAAGGUGGCUGAUGGGCUCGGCAACAAUUCAUCGAGAAUUCCAAGCGGAUGGAUUUUCCACAAUAAUGUGAACAUGGGGAUAACAUUUGUCAUAUCAAAUUAUAUAAUGAGGUAUGCUCGAGGAAAACAUACACAAUUAAACAUUGGUUGAAAGGUGCGCCCGAAAUAUGGGUCGGGUUUGCACGACCAAUGUCAGAAUGGUGAUUCAAUAAUCAAUAGUCCAAGAACGAACGACCGACCAUUAACUUCAAAGCAAUAGGGUUGCUAGAAGGGCAGAAUUCAAACAGCACCGUUCACUUGUUGGUACACCGGUUGGAAUGAACACGAGGACCAAGAAAGAAUGGUGAGGGUGAGAAGUAUCACCAUACCAAGAAUUCUUAAGAGGUGGUGAAUUUCUCACGACAUUCUUGACAUAGAAGAUGGUAAUACUUCAAGGUAGAACAUAACAUAAGUCGGUUAACAAGGAACUCAAGGUAUAGCCACAACACAAACAAGUUUGUGUUGGAAAGAAGGCAAGGAAGUAGUCGAUGACACACAAUUCAUCGAGGGGCAAGGAUGGUAAUUCUUAUCAUGAAUUUGAUUGUUAUUCUGGAAUAGCUCAGAAAGUUGAUAAUGAUCACGACACAUUUGUCGAGAGAUUACCUGAAGAUGUAAUCGAUCCGCGAUCACAUCAAGUCAAAAGAAUGAUGAAGCAAGAGGUUAUUGGAACCAUGGGUACGGCACAAACUCGGAACCAAGCUUGUUGUCUGAGGUGGAAUGAUAAGACAUGGAAAUCAACGUAAGCUUAGCUCAGCGUCGAAAAUUAUGCUCUGGGAAGAGGACCAGGUAGCACGGUUAAAAUCGGCACGACAAGGAUAUAGCCAAAAAGGCUAGGAAUGAUGUGAUGGAAUUCAAACUCGUAAGUAAUGAAGGUUACCGAGAGUUGCUUAAUCGCGAUGCGGACUCGUGUCAGUUAUCGGUGUCUUUGAGUGUUAAAUAACUCAGAGCCCGUGCAAAAUUGGAAUCAAUGAGAAUGUAGCACUUGAUGAAGAACUCAUAAGAAGUUAUGCAGUUCCGUGAUAAUCUUGAGAUACCUGGGGGUAACACUCGAGGACAAUCCAAAGUAGAGCUUGGACUGGGGUAUUGUUAUAAAGAAGAUAAGUGCUUAAACAUGCACGAUAAAUGGUAUUUAAAAGAGAUCAUGGUCGGAACCAUGAUUGCAAAAGGCCAGAUCCCAGAUAUAAGAUGUACUUAUACCAAGGGAAUAAUUAAUUUAAGAGAAGCUUUAAUGAUAAGAUCUACAUCGUGUCCAUGGGCAUGAACACAAAGUUCAAGGUCGACUCCCACUUCCAUAAUGCAUAACCUUCCAUUCACUUCUCGUUCUCAAAGAAGUUGUAUGGUAGAAAAUUAUCUGCUAAACACUAGAAAGGUUGACUUGUCAAAACCUUCCGGUUCAUACGGUUUUUAAUGAAGGUAUAGGUUCAACCCAUAGGGGCUUCUUAGAAACAUAUACCACAAGUUUUAAGAGUAAAUAACACAAGCUCGAAAGUAGAGCAAGGUUGAGAAAGUAGAUGAUACAAUUUACCAAAGGCAUUAUGUAUCCAAGGGAAGGCUCACAAGGUUAUUGAAUAUGAAGGAAAAUGUCGGAUAAAAUCCAUUAAAGGAUUUGUCGGUCCAUAACAGAGCUGAUGUGAGCAUCGGCACACAAUCAGAGGAAGUAACAAUGCAAGAAAUUGGAUUUUAGAAACAACUGAAUAACUUAGAGCUCAAUUGCUAAGGGAUUAUGAUUUACAAAGCGAAGGAUCAGAAGCAGACACUCUGAUCAAGGAUGGGUAAAUUCAAUAGACUUAGGGGCACAAUCGACGACAAUUUAAUUGGCGAGAACCAGUUCAUGAUUAAAACUACGUCCGAGCCGGAAGGAUGAAUUCUAGGAUCUGUUUGAGGAUUGCGAGCAUUCGCCACAAAUCGAAACAACGGACUAAAAAUGACAAUGACAAUGGAUGUCAACAAGAUUACUAGACUUAUGGGAUUAACCAUAAUGCAAGCAAUCAAGAAUUUCAAGAGCAAUAGGUUGCUCAGGAUUUUCGGAAGAUCGAAUGGUAUUUCGAGGAUUGGUGACAUACAUGAAUCAACUGGGGAUGAGUGGAUACUCGGUAAGUGCGAGAAAUUAUCCGUAGGGGUAUUCAUGUAACAAAGAACUGCAAGGCAAUAGUCACAAAGUAUUCUCGGAACACUAGAUAGAAUUUCGAGGUAUCUUGUAAUAACAAGAUCGACUGGGUAUAAAGUAAGAACGACGGGUGUAAGUAUUUAUCCAUAGGGAUAUUGCAAUGGUAGGGAAUUGCAAAAGCAACGGGCACAAGGUCUCGAGAGAAUAUCGAAAGGUAUCUUCGGAAUCCUUCGGUGCACAAGUUAAUCAUCUAGACUGAAGAGGCUCUCCGGGAGAAAGUAUUAUCGAGAACCUAGAGUCAGAGUUAGUAAAAAUCGUUUAACCUGAAUAGAAGAGAGAUCAGAUUCCCAGAGUACAGAUCGAGGAGUAAAAGAUCCUAAUACCACCCAAAUGGCGACGUGAGCCCAUGGGCCGCACAGCCAUGUUAGUAAAAUAGUUUUCAUCGUCUAGACUCAACAUCGGCCAAGGAGUUGGAAGGGGAUUCCUACAGGCAGUCGGCUCUGAUACCAACUUGUGACGCUCCCAAUUCAAUCGUACACUAAUCAUGCAUGCAAAUGUGUACGAUCAAGAUCAGGGACUCACGGGAAGAUAUCACAACACAACUCUAAAACAUAAAUAAGUCAUACAAGCAUCAUAAUACAAGCCAGGGGCCUCGAGGGCUCGAAUACAAGUGCUCGAUCAUAGACGAGUCAGCGGAAGCAACAACAUCUGAGUACAGACAUAAGUUAAACAAGUUUUCCUUAAGAAGGCUAGCACAAACUGGGAUACAGAUCGAAAGAGGCGCAUGCCUCCUGCCUGGGAUCCUCCUAACUACUCCUGGUCGUCGUCAGCGGGCUGCACAUAGUAGUAGGCACCUCCAGUGUAGUAGGAGUCGUCGUCGAUGGUGGCGUCUGGCUCCUGGACUCCAGCAUCUGGUUGCGACAACCAGAAAGAAAGGAAAGGGGGAAAAAGGGGGGAGAAAGCAACCGUGAGUACUCAUCCAAAGUACUCGCAAGCAAGGAACUACACUACAUAUGCAUGGGUAUAUGUGUAAGGAGGCCAUAUCAGUGGAUUGAACUGCAGAAUGCCAGAAUAAGAGGGGGAUAGCUAGUCCUAUCGAAGACUACGCUUCUGGCAGCCUUCGUCUUGCAGCAUGUAGAAGAGAGUAGAUUGAAGUCCUCCAAGUAGCAUCUCCAAGUAGCAUCUCCAGUAGCAUCGCAUAGCAUAAUCCUACCCGGCGAUCCUCCCCUCGUCGCUCUGUGGAAAAGCGAUCACCGAGUUGUCUGUGGAACUUGGAAGGGUGUGUUUUAUUAAGUAUCCAGUUCUAGUUGUCAUAAGGUCAAGGUACAACUCCAAGUCGUCCUGUUACCGAAGAUCACGGCUAUUCGAAUAGAUUAACUUCCCUGCAGGGGUGCACCACAUAACCCAACACGCUCGAUCCCAUUUGGCCGGACACACUUUCCUGGGUCAUGCCCGGCCUCGGAAGAUCAACACGUCGCAGCCCCACCUAGGCACAACAGAGAGGUCAGCACGCCAGUCUAAAUCCUAUGCGCGCAGGGGUCUGGGCCCAUCGCCCAUUGCACACCUGCACGUUGCAUACGCGGCCGGUGAGCAGACCUAGCAACCUCCAUUACAAAGGAAGUUGGUUAACGCAGUCCAACCCGGCGCGCGCCGCUCAGUCGCUGACGUCAAAAAGGCUUCGGCUGAUACCACGACGCCGGGAUACCCAUAACUACUCCCGCGUAGAUGGUUAGUCUGUAUAGACCAAAUGGCCAGACUCAGAUCAAAUACCAAGAUCUCGUUAAGCGUGUAAGUAUCCGCGAACACCGAACAGGGCCAGGCCCACAUGUCUCCUAGGUGGUCUCAACCUGCCCUGUCGCUCCGCCACAAAGUAACAGUCGGGGGCCGUCGGGAACCCAGGCCCACCUCUACCGGGAUGGAGCCACCUGUCCUUUCAGCCCCCUCAUCAGAAUCACUUGCGGGUACUCAUCGAGCUGACCCGACUUUAGUCACCAUCUGUAUAGUAUGUAUGUAUGUAUAGUAUAUACCCGUGAUCACCUCCCGAGUGAUCACAGCCCAAUAGUAUAGCAAGGCAGACUGACAAGAAUGUAGGGCCAAUGAUGAUAAACUAGCAUCCUAUACUAAGUAUUUAGGAUUGCAGGUAAGGUAUCAACNNNNNNNNNNNNNNNNNNNNNNNNNNNNNNNNNNNNNNNNNNNNNNNNNNNNNNNNNNNNNNNNNNNNNNNNNNNNNNNNNNNNNNNNNNNNNNNNNNNNNNNNNNNNNNNNNNNNNNNNNNNNNNNNNNNNNNNNNNNNNNNNUGGUGAUCAAGGGGGGGCUUGCCUGGUUGCUCUGGCAAGAAGGACGAGUCACCAACACCGUAGUCGAACUGGGGCAUCAGCAUCGUCACGGGGUCUACCGAAGAGAAGAGGGGGGAGAAACAGUAAAUACAUAGCAAGCAAGUGCAUAACAGGAUAACAGGCAGAGCUAGACGUGUUCUAACGCGGUAUGAGGUGAUACCGGUGAAGGGGGGAAGCAUCCGGGAAGUAUUCCCGGGGUUCCGUGUUUUCGGGCAGAGGAGCCGGAGGGGGAAAGUUGCGAGUUCGAUAGGUUAGGGGGGUGUGGCGGACGAACGGGUUGCGUAUCCGGAAUCGUCUCGUCGUUCUGAGCAACUUUCAUGUUGAAAAUAAUUUAAUCCGAGUUACGGAUUAUGAUUUUCUAAAGAUUUUAUUAAUUUCUGGAAUUUAAUUAGUUAUUUAAAUUAAUUCGAAAAUGGAAUAAUGACAUCAGCAUGAUGUCAUGCUGACGUCAGCAGUCAACAGAGUUGACUGGUCAACCUGACGUGUGGGUCCCACAUGUCAUACUCUGCUUAUACUAAUUAGGAUUUAACUAAUCUAAUUAUAGUUUAAUUAAUUAUCAAUAGUUAAUUAGGUUAAUUAAACAAGAUUAAUUAAGUUAAUUAAUUCACUAAUUAACUAAUUAAUUAAUUAUUAAUUUUAUUAAUUCAUUUUUAUUUUAAUUCCUUUUUUUUAUAAAACGUUCUGGGGCACGGGCCCCGUUUGUCAUAGGCCCCUAGGGCCUAUCGGGUUCGGCGUGCAGGCGACGGGCGCCAGCCCGAAUGGGCGCCCGCCCAGGCCAACUGGGGGAACGGCGAGGCGUCGCCGGCCACUGCAACGGGCGGCCGCAGCCGCCGGGAAAGGAAAGGGGGCGGCCAUGGCACGGCAGAGCCGGAGCGGGGGUUUGNNNNNNNNNNNNNNNNNNNNNNNNNNNNNNNNNNNNNNNNNNNNNNNNNNNNNNNNNNNNNNNNNNNNNNNNNNNNNNNNNNNNNNNNNNNNNNNNNNNNNNNNNNNNNNNNNNNNNNNNNNNNNNNNNNNNNNNNNNNNNNNNNNNNNNNNNNNNNNNNNNNNNNNACGGUGGGCGCGCACGGGACAGGGCGUGUGCGAGGCGUGGCCACGAUUGGCGCGCACGGGGAGGAGGGCGCGGUGGGCGCGCACUGGGAGGAGGCCACGGUGGGCGUGCACGGGGAGGACAUGCAGGAGCUCGUAUUCGAGCUCAGGAAGGCACAGGGGGGGUGGCGGAGCUCACAGCGAUGUUGUAGGGACAGGCAGCGGGCUCGGGGUGGUCCGACGAGGUAGAUCGACGGCGAGGGCGAGGUGGCAGCGACGGCGUCGACGAGCGGGCGUCCAGCGCUCCAGAUCGGGGCAGGGGGGAGCUGCGAGGAGACUGGUGGUGGCGGUGCUCGGCGCCUGUGGGUGGCGGCCUCUAGGGAGCGGUGGCUCGGGUGCCCGGCGCGCGCUCCACUGAGCGUGCGUGCGUGCGUGUGGCGGCGCGGGUGAGGGGAUGAGGGAAACGAUGGGGGAUCGAGUGAGUGGGAGGAUCGGGUUAGGGUUAGGUGGGUGAGGCCAUAUAGGCCAUGGGGUGGCCGGUUGGGCCUUUGCCCAGUUGGGCCGGCCAGCUGGGCCAUCUGGCCCAGUGAGGGAGGGGGGGUUCCUUUUUUUGUGUGUGUUAGUUCUGUUUCUGUUUUGAUUCCUUUUCUUAUUUUCUUUUCUGUUUCAUUUGUAGUUUCUUUUAAUUUUUAGUUUUAUCAAAAUCACCACUAGUACCUAAAGUAGUAUUUAUAAACAAACUGAUGUCACAUCAAUUCUUAACCCAUAAUAAAAUAUUUUUAAUAUUUUAUAAAAUCCAAUAGGUAUUUGUUUAAUUGUCUUCACUACUGUUUUAAUUAGUUUAGAGCCCUUAAACAUUUUAUCAAGGUUUGGUUUCUCCAUCGUAUUUACACAUGAUUUAUCUGACCCACCUUGAACAUUUUGGUUUCAUUGUUUGAGAACUUUUAUUAUUUGCCUUUAAUUGAAUUUGAAUUUGAAUCGGUUUCGAACUAACACAAGAUUAGCGAUAGUAAUCGAAGUGACGUGGCAUCAUUAGCAGAGAAUUACUGUAGCUUAAUUAUCCGGGCGUCACAGUUCUCUUCCCUUAUUAAUUCUUUCAUGAGUUGCAUCAUUGACCAAUGCUAUAUUCGUCAAUCUCCAAUAAAUUUUACCACUUAUACUUUUCCUUAUGUGAUGUCAUUAUUUACCAUAAGAUUAGCAUAUGAUUUUUUUUCAUUUAUUUCUCUUUAUUUUAUUGCAACAUGGAAGUAAUUAAAUAAAGGCUCAAACUAACUUUAUUAUAUAUCUCGCACAUGAUUACAUAGUGUGACAGCCUGGUUUUGCCCUCUUCUCUCUUCUAGUUUUCAGUUGGGCAUUGAUUUGAAUUUUGAGUUUGAAUCAUUUCAGUUGGACUUAAAACACUUGGGCAUCACCUUGGCUUUCACCCAAGUGGCUCACCCCUCCUCAAAACCAUCAUUUCCUCUCUGGUCUACCUCAAAAUAAUGGCAUGAGUAUUUUUAUUAGAUGAAAAAAUAUUCAUUUCCCACUCAAAAAACCCUAACCAGAAGCUUGUGCUCCAAAGCAACCCCAAUUUUUCCUGGCCACAAAAAUCUGAGAAAAUUAUCAAAAAUCCUCUGAACCCCAAGGCACCUCCCUGAGAAAAAAUAUCACACCACUUUUUGUAAUAUUUUUGCUACAUAAAUUAUUUUAUGUUCUGGGAAGAAAUGGUAGUUUCUACAGCAAUUUACCUGAUCAAAUGGAGCUGCAUUUUCUUGUGCAUCACCACCAUCCUAGAUGAUUGCUAGCCACCAAAGCGCAGCUCCCAAUUCCCAGCCAUUUAACCUCAGCAAGCUCUCGAAGUUACUGUCCAGUAACUUGCAGUGAAGUAAAAAUCUUGUUCACUGCGUCUGAGCUCAAACCAAAAUGUGGUAACCUCUAAAUCUACCACGAACAACACGCCAGACGUGAAGUUUAGGCUUAGCUGGGCCUAAGGUCAGAGUUUACGCGGUGACCGCGUUCGCCCAAGCGUGCUGGCAUGCAGCUGACGCUCUCUGCGUCGCGCCCGAGCCUCUAUUGAUCGCGUGAUCGCUUCCCUGCCUGCCAAACCUUGCCAAACCUCGACACCAUCUCACUUCAACUCCUCAGGUAUCAUCGCCACUGCCUCAGUUCAUAGCUGAAUAGGCAGGUGUUGAAGAAAUGGAAGAAGAUGAAGAUGUGGACAUUGGGAGCACCACACCUGUGAUGAAUGAUAACUUUUGGGAAAGUCAGCACCCCAACUCUCCUUUGUUCACGCCACUGCAAUAAAUUCCUCAGUCCCCAGUACCUAUUGGAGUUUAAAUGGGCUAUGAUGAAAUUCACACUGCGCCUUCCAUUCCUGAAGAAAUUCCAGCCACUAGUGCUGAUGUCAAAGCUACUGAUGAAAUGGAUACCGAGGCUGCUACUGAAGCACAAGCUGAAAUUCCUCAGCCUGCGGCUCCAGAGAUUGAGAUUCCUGAGAUUGUGCUGCAAUUGGCUGAUACUCCUCAGUCAAAGCCGAAGAAUCCAUUCUCGAAGACGCCAAAAUUCAAGGCUAAUGACUUCUUCCAUGAGCAUGUGUUCUUCACCGACUACAACCCUUGUGACUCUGCUCGUCUUAGAAGGAAGUGUUUCUGGACUGCCAGCCAAGAAAACUUCUAUUCUUCACUGCUUUUUGAUAAGGACAAAAUCUUUGAUCAUGCGCAUAUUCCUCAUGUGGACAUGGAAUCACUGCCGUGCUUCACACCAGUGCUUUGUCUUCUUCAUGACACUAGAUUGCUCAACUUUUGCACAGACAUAUGUGAUUGGAAUGAAGAACUCAUUCUUCAGUUCUAUGUGACGCUGCACGUCACUAGAAAUGUUGAAGAUGUCAACUCUUGGGUGUUGGACUGGAUGACAAAGAACACUCACUUCAAAGCACCGGCCUCUGAAUUGCUUCACGCCCUGCCUGUCAGUCGUCCCCUUGAAGGUGCCAGUCGUAUAUAUCAUGAACCUGAGCUGUCUGAUCACUUCAUGCAAGUACUGAUGAAGCCACUGAAGCCCGGUCAAGCCCCAAGGACCAAAUUCCUCGUGAAGGAAUUGCUAUAUGUGCCUCGGACUGUCUAUCGCAUUUUGACCAAGACAUUAAGUCCAAUCAAAGGCCAUGACUCAAAUGAUGAAGAAGUCGUUGGCAUCAUGAAGAACCUGCUAUUCAAUAUCAUGCAUGGUAUCCCAAUAAACUACCAUGACUUCUUCAUGUAGACUAUGGCAAACGUUGCAUUGUCUCCCUUUGAAUUGAAGCCUUACGCUACCUGGAUUAUGAGAUUCCUCAGAUCAAGCUCUUCAAUCAACUACAAGGCUGACACACUCAACCAUGGAAGUUACUUGCCCCCUAUUGAAGUCAUCAAGCGGACAUUUUCCUCAGCUGAUGAAAAGGGCAAGGCCACUACAAUUGUUGAUGAGGGCAUUCGUCCAUUGGAUGGACAGUUUCGUAAAGCUGCAUCAUAUUCCACCAAUGAUGACUCUGCUACUCAUGAUUCUACCGCCAAUGCAUCAAAGCAAAGUCCUCAAGCCACAGCUCCAAGGGUGAUGACUGAUCGUGAGCUUCUCCUCAGUCUUCAUCAGAAGGUCGACCGCAACCAUAAAUGGGUCAAGCGUCAGUUUGGUUCGAUUCUUCACAACAUGACUGCUACACAUAAUUCAGUGAAGAAGAACCACUACUACCUCCAUGAAGUUUUUGAUCACACCUGGGCUGUUCUAACUCAUCUCUACAGUGAUGAGGAUCUCAAGCAGAUGGGCUUCAAGCAGGACUUCAGCUGGUCUAAGCCUCCGGCGAAGAAAUUCAAGAAAGUCGAAGUUCCUCCCUUGGUGCCCAGCUUAUAUUCUUCAUCGCGCGAGACCGAUGAAAAUGAAGACUUGGACGACAAUGCGGCAGGCCCUACUCCAACAACCGACCCCAACAAUGCUGGCGCACCUCCAUCAACUUCGUGAUGAAACUCUUCAGGGGCGUUAGUCCUCAUUUUUUGUCCCUUUUGGUCUUUUGAAGACAAAGGGGGAGAAAUUUGAGUUAGUCUUCAAGCGGUUCUAUCUAUAUGGUCGUUUUUUUGUUAAGUUGCAACUCUUGCUCUUCUGAAGUGUUUGUUGAUUGAGUUGUAAACUUAAGUCCGGUGGUGACCUGAUACUUUUGCUCUGUUUUUCUACAUGUUAUUUCAUAUGUCAUGCAUGCAUGCUGAAUUACAUCAGUCACCAUAUUUCAUCAUGCAUUUCAAAUUCUUCAUUCGAUAUGUUAAAUACAUGUAUGAAUUACAAGAUAUAGGGGGAGAUCUCCAUGAUUCUACUCUUCAAAUGUGCAUUGCUUCAAAAGAAAAUUCCUCACUAUGCACAUCUUCAGGGGGAGUUUUUCUAUAUCUUGCAAUCAAAUUCCUCAAUAUUGAGAACUUUCUAUUCAUAUGUUUAUCCCCGUUGAAAACUUAACCUAUAUUGUCAUCAAUCACCAAAAAGGGGGAGAUUGUAAGUGCAUCUAGUGCCCCUUAGUGAUUUUGGUGUAUUGAAGACUUAUAGGUUAACGGACUAAUAUGUUUGUGAGUAUACACAGCCUCUAUAAGUCGAAGAGGAGUUUGAUAUUUACAAUGAAAGUCGACCCCUAAAAAUGAAUGUCUUCAGCUGAAGACUUUGGUUCUCCUAAAGACUUUGAAAGUGAUGAAAUUGGUGUGACCUUGAAGACUUGGAUAUUCAUGCGAGGAUUAUGAAACGUGAAGACUUUUGUUUUUGUAGUUUCAUUUUAUCCUUCUUGAGUCAUAGGAAACAUCAUACUAUUAAAGGGGGUCGAGGUAAUACUAAGGACACUGAUUUCCAAGUGAUGCUCAUCUCAAAGUCCUAAACCUACCCAAUCCUUUUGAGUGAAGCCAUUGGAAAUCUCAUAUCAGUUCAGUCAAUUUCUUCAGUGACAGAGACGAAGAUCUUCUGGUCUCUGCGGAAUUUGUUCUGACUGAGGAGUUCGGAAUUUGCCCGUGCGGAUUGCCUACAUAGUGAGGAUCAUGAUAGCCCUGAGGAAUUCGAACCUCAAAUCCGACUAUUGCUGUGCGAUGCGCCAGCUGUCCAAAAUAUCCUACCACCUAACGGUCAUAUCCUUGAAGGGCAUUUAUCUCUUAUCAUGUCGGGUUGCUCCCUAGGCUAUAAAUAGCUACCCCCUACAACGACUAGCUGGUUGGCUGCUCCGAGAGAAACUGUCACUUGUCAACUGAGAGCAUCCCAUCCUCUGAGGACUUUGAGCGAAAAUUAUCAAGUGAGGAAAACCCAAACCUACAAACCCACAAACCCAAAGUGAUUGAGCAUCACUGAAGAGAUUGUUCCUGUGUGGAACUGACGCUUGUUAGCUUUGAGGACUGUGUAUCCUCCAGACGGUUAGGUGUCAUGGUCUGAGCAUCCAAGAGGAAUUAUGGAUCACCGAGUGACCAAGUCUGUGAAGGUUUAGAAGUCACCUAUGAAGACUUACCACGAGUGUUGGGCGAGGUCUGUGUGAUCUUAGCUCAAGGACAAUACGGUGAGGACUGUGUGUCCUCGAGUUUAAAUACUCAGCCGCUCCAACCAAACGUACAACUGUCACAGCAGUUGGAACUAGUCUACCAAAUCAUUGUCUUCACCAAGCCUACUUGUUCUAUUGUCUCAACCCUUUCAUUUCCUCAUUCAUGUGUUGAUGAACCUGAUCACUACUGUUUGAAGACAUUGAUUGAAGACUUUCUCUAUUUCCUCAAUCCAUUUUCUUCAGUCACAUUGUCUUCAUCCUGCUUAUUUUGUGUUUACGCUUUCUGUACUUUGUGUCCGUCUUUCAUUUCAUCAUGAUGACUAUGCUAUUGCUCUGUGAUGCUUAUACCUGAGUACUUAUUCCGCUGCUAGUUGUUCGUGACUUAGGAAUUUCCUCACCCUGAAAUUCCUUAGUGAAGAAUUUGUAAAAAUUGCCUAUUCACCCCCUCUAAUCGACUUAACGCACUUUCAGUUUAUGAUGGGUACUUGGUAUGGCUUGACUUGGCGUAGAUCUCCCCGGUAACGGUGCCAGAAAUCCUUCUUGCUACCUCUUGAGCUUACGUUGGUUUUCCCUUGAAGAGGAAAGGGUGAUGUCGGUGUCAAAACCGACAGAUCUCGAGUAGGGGGUCCCAAGCUAUGUGUCUUAGGAUCGAUGGUAACAUGAACACGAGAUUUUACCAAGCUUCGGGCUCUCUUGACGAGAUAAUACCCUACAUGCUGCUUGGUUGACUUUAGCGAGUAUAGGGGUUACAAGAGUUGAUCUACCUCGAGAUCAUAGGUUGUGGUCUAAACCCUAGAGGUAUGAUGAGUAAUGUCCUAAUCUAUCGACUAGCCUGGCCCUGGUUUAUAUAAUGUACCAGAGGCCUAGGAUAACAAGAGUCCUAGCCGAAUACGCCGGUGGGGAGGAGUCCUCGUCUUGAUCACCAAGUCUUGUGGAAUCUUCCUUGUGUAUACUUUGGCUGUCCGAACUGGCCCAUGAGUAAACAGCCAUGGGGGUCCUCGGACCAAUCCAACUGAUCGGGAGACGAGGUGGUGAGUACCCCUAGUGUAGGACACCGUCAGUAGCCCCCUGAACUGGUCUUCAAGUUUUGGGAUGCUCCUUGAUUCUUUCGAAUUGUUCUUCAUAUUCUGCCGUCGGUCUUGAAAAGUGGUUCGACAAAUCUUCUCAUCUUCGAUCUUGAGGAUCGCCGAAGUAAAUCCGAAGAGUUUAGACGUCGGGCAUUCGAGGAGCCCAUUUAAGUUUCCGGCCUUUAUCAAUGCCUUGUUAUUUUAAUGCCACACCUCGGGUUUGAAGUUAUUCCUGGGCGGUAGUGUCCUCUUGCAUCUGAGCUCCACCGCCGUAUUGCAUUCGAGGUAUCUUCUGCAGCCAAGCACCAAUGUCGGACUGCUUCCGAGCUCCAACGCCGGAAUGUAUCUGAGCUCCAACGCCGGACUGUGUCCAAGCUCCAAUGUCAGACUAUAUCCGAGAUGUCAUAGAUCAUUUUGGUUCAAAAAAGUUGAAGGAGAUUAGUCGAGCUUAAUGCUAGAAAUGCGCUCUAUGGAGCCAGCCACUGGCGCCCGAACUUUAUGCCGGACUACUUCCGAGGUGGUGCACCACCCAGACUGCGGGCUGAUUGUUUGCGUAUUUUAUUUCUGAUUGAUGCAAUUUACAUACUGACGAGAUAUGUAGCCAGUAGCCCUCAAGGUGUGUGUGUCGGCCUAAAAUUCCGAGAUGCACUUUAGAGGAAAACAUGAAACCGCUGAUCCUAGUAACCCCUGAGACUCAGGUCGAUGCGCGAAAUCGGCCUGAGGAUCAACUCCUAGCUCGGCAGCAUACAUAGGAAUAGAAACGCAGUGUAAUAUAUUAGAGAUAAUAGUGAUCGGUGAAUGGGCCCUUGAGAGAGGGUCUUGAGAAGUUGUCGUAAUAUAUUAGCUUGAUGCCGGAUAGGUCCAUAUGGUACCUAUAUCAGGCAAAGCAGUAGCCCCCGAGACACUGGUCGGGUGGCAAUACCAGAUCAGGAGAUCGAUGUGCACCUUUAUAUUUUUAAAUAAUGAGCCCGAAGCCCAGUAGACCCCGAGCCUUAAUGUAGGCACGGGUGGCCGAAUUAAGGAUCGAUAUCCAUAGUAAAAUCACAAAUUAUGUACAAAACUUUGUUGACCGACCAUCGGCUUCAACCUCUUCGGCCAGUAGCCGAGGAGUGUUUUCCUACUUUAUAAAGCCGUUAUAAGGGCAAAGAUUUAUGGAAAACAAGGCAAUCCAGCCAUAUGGUUUUAUAAACAAAGGUACACGCAGAGAUAUGUUAUAUUACGUAAUGUAAGAAACAUCUUCCAAGGAAAAUAGUCCCGCUAUCGGUUCCUUUCUUUGGGUCAUCAUGCUUAUCAUGAUCAUGAAACCUCACCUCGGGUCAAUGUGGGAGGAAAAUAUUGAGGAUUUAGUUCGGGGAAAGUUCCUGAACUCUAUGUUAUUAAUGAACCAAAAUUUUCACUUCCGUUGUUGCCGACCAAUGUGUGUCGGCGUUCUGGAUAUGGGGGUAUCCAGCCCUGCCUACCUGCAGCCCACUGCGUGGCUCCACCAGUGGCCCAGUAAGGCCUGUCUUCAUCAACCAAGCACUCAAGACCCUCGCGAGGGGCCAAGCCUCGUGGAGCGGACGACGCACUGCCUCCUCAGGAGCGGCCUCACCAGGCAGGCUCACGAGGGAGGUGGAGAGAUCAAGGCACGGGGUACGUUGCGAGGUUCCCAUGACGCAAGCCAUGACGACCAAGGCCAGGCGGGCGCCAGCGGGUGCAGUGCACUAGUUUCCCCUUUGGUGCUAAUGGGGCAAGCGCAGGCGCAGAGUACCAAGGCAUCAGGCAAAGGUUUCCAUAUCAGUGCAACGAGACCAAGACUAGCAGGACGGCAAGACGGAGGUCAUCGUGGAACCCAAGACGGCGUCCUCACUAGAGCCUUUGGCAGGCGAAGACCACCUUUAGUCAGGAUAGCCUGUACUGGUUGUCCCCUUUCAAAUCCCACCGUUGUGGAAUCCCUUCCCGCUCAAUAUUUGGGAAGAGGACCAGGGCCUCCAUAAAUAGGACUAGACACCACCAUAGAGAGGGGGUCGAAGGGAGAGAGAUCCAUUCGGACCAGAACCACCCACAGAGCACAAGAACACCUCGCCUUAGGAGGUUGUUCUUCCUCUUGUACUGUUCAUCAUCAGCCCGAAAGGCAAUCCACCACACCACACACUGGAGUAGGGUAUUACAUCACAAUGGUGGCAUGAACCAGUAUAAACCUUGUGUCUCUUGUGAUGUGAUUUUGUUUAGCUAAGCCUAGGGAUCGUGACGAGGCAGAGAGAGUGAGAUAUUCGAUAGGGGGAAAUCUUUGUGCGCACCCCAGUGUUCGAACCUUAAGGGUUUUGCCCGAACCCGAUAUCCGACAUUUGGCGCGCCAGGUAGGGGUGCACCGGAGUUCUUCCUUCCAUCGAUCCGCGUCCCGUCGCUUCAUCGCAGCCAUGUCCGGUGAUCCGAUGACCAACACCGACCACCGGGCGGCCUGGCCAGCCCGAGCCACGCCACCUUCUCAAGAAGAUCUCAACCACUCACUCCAGGUGGCUCGCACACCGCAGAGCGCCACGGGGCGAGGGCGACGCGGUCACACGCCGCCCGCCCUUACUCCGUGGCAGGUGUGAGCAGCUGCAAGGGCCGCAAACCACGCCGCGGACACGGCAUCACACUCCAGGUAGGAAUAGGCAAACACGAGAGCCGCACUCACGGUGGCACAGGAGCUGCUACUUUCCAGGCUAAUGGAGAGUGGUCAGGAUGCGUUGAUGGAGCAUGUCACCGAGCUCCUGGACGCCGUGGCCUUGGGGUCGGCGCCCUUCUGCUUCCAGCUUCCACCUCGGGCCCCGGCUGGGUUGCACGGCGGGCCUCUCUGUGCCCGCAUUCCCCCAAGCGUGCCGGAGGGUUUCGUCGGGGCUAGUUCGACCACCGGCGCCAGGCACCAGAUCGCGCCACCACCACCUCCGAUGCAUCACGGCAUGAGCGUGGCCUACAUCCUAGGCGGGCAUCCGCCGCUCUACCAUCCUCAAGACGGCACACAAGGCCAGGCGACGUGGAGCGUGGGGCACUAUGGCAAGGACUUCGAGGCGGCGGCUUCGGAGGCUUACAUGCCCCGCAUGAUGGUUCAAGAAUAUGCACCAGAAGACAACCCUGGCUCGUUCCUCGGACCAGGCUGGGAGGAAGAGACGCUAGAAGCCGAUCCUUUUCAGGAACUUCAAGGAAGCCUCACCAACCGCUCCGGCAGCGGCAGUUACCGGGUACCACUAAUCCCUCAAGAGCAGGCUUACGCUAACCAUGGUUCUUAGGGGGUUCAGGUCACAACAGCAGACGACUGCCCCAGCUCAGUGGCCUCCCUUUCGUCAGGAGGGGCGCAAUGGGGGCUGCAGGAGAGGGACAGGGAGCCAGGCCCCUCCCCACGGUGCAUAGAGCAAGACGUCCCCCGGAGGUAGGCCCUUUGUUGGGGAGGUGCUGCAAGGCCUACCCCCGGCAGAGGACCCGUGGUCGCUGAGGGCACUGCUAGCGUCCCCUUGCCCCUGUUGGCGUCGUCCUGGUUUCCGGUCGCCGUCAAUAGAGGUCUAGGGUGGCGCAAGGCGGGGCCCUCGUUUGGCGAUAUGAAGCAAGGCACAGUACCUGAGAAGAAGGCCCAGUGCAUGUGAAGCUCGCCGCCCAUGACACUCUCACGUAAUAAUGAGUGGGGUUGUACACGCCCCGGAGUCUCCGGAGGCCGCCCUUGGGCCUCAGGGGCUCCCACCCAUGCCUAGUGGCAGCACUUAGCUCUGCGCUGGUGAGAAGACGUCGAAGACUAGACUAGGUGCCAGACGUCGCCAUUUGCUUUUGGUUCCCCUUUCUGUGGAUGUGCUUCCUUUGUUUCAGAUUUAAGUUGGAGUUGAAUUUUCGCUUAUGUGCGGGGAGGGUGACUUUUCGCGUUCCUGCGUUUCUUGCGUUCUGGUUCCCACCUUAAUCUAGAGUUCCUAUCAGCUGCCCCCCCCCCCUCGCGAGCCCUUCAUGGGUGGGGCUGGGUGAAGCACGUGCACACUACGCAUAGGCCGUGCCUCGGCUGGCGCUCGCUCUCGCGAGGCUUUCACGAACGGGCCGAUAGGUCCCUCAGGAGACCCCCAGGGGCUCACGACCUCGUGAGCCAAUUCAGGACUUGGCCUGGCUAGAGGUAAACCACAACAACAUGCUCGCCGCAGGGCAUGAAGGAUCAUGAAGGUGCACGAUUGGCAUCAUUCUUAAAAGCAUACUGUCGGUAAUCUUUUUACAUGAGGGGCUUCCCCUCCCAAAAUGCUCUUACAACCUUUCGGGCCACGCCUGAGCUUUUGUGUGCAGGAUAAACAACAAACAAACACGGGUCAGUCAGACAUGUCGCUCACCGCGUCCUCCUGGUCACCUUCACACGCAUCGCUGGCGCCGCUGUCACCGUCACUGACAUCACCACCACUAGCGCCACCGUCACCACCAUCGACCACGUCACCUCCAUCCACCGCGACUACCACCCCGUCGUCGUCAGACGCGAAGGCCCUAACAAGCGCAUCAACGUUGUCCUCCACCAACCACACCAGGUCGCCCCGGAUGGCCUCAGGAACCAGAGCGAUGGCGGCGUCGAAGUCAAAGGCGGGAUUGGUGUUCCGAAGAUGGCUGAAGAGGCGAGAAAAUGCGCGCCCGAGCAGGUUGCGGCUCCUCUCCUCCACAAUCUGGUGAGCCCUCACGGAGCAGUUCUCCAAGCGCGUCACCAUGUCAGUAAAGAAGCAGAGAUGGCUGGCGUAGUGGUCACUUGGGGAUGCUAGGCGUUCUCGUUGCAGAUGUUGCACAAAGCCACAUUGGCCCUGACCCUGAGGUCUUGGAGCAUAGGGGCAUGCAUAUGCUUCAGUGUUUGUUUCUGGAGCAUUUCUUCCCUAUUUUGCCGCGCGAUGGACUCGGCAUCGUCAACCCGCUGUCGAAGAGGAAGCAGGUCGGCACGGGCAGAGGUCAGCUCGGCCUGCGCCGAGGUCAGUGCAGGUGAGGCGACAUCCGCGCGCCGUUCAGCUUCAGCGAGCCUGGAACUAAGGGCGGCAGUCCUGCCCACGGCUUCGGCUUCAACCAGCUUCAGCUUCAGGUCGUAGCCACUUGCAAGAUUUGUGCGAGCCUCGGUCACGCGGCGAUCGACCUCUUCAUGGAUCCGAGCUUCACGCGCGCUGACGUCGUCUUCCGCUUGGUCAACCUGGCGAUCCCUCGUCGCCAACCGCUCAAGAUCAAUACUACGCUCGGCGGCCUCCAGCGUCAAUGCUUCCUCACGCUUUCUGAGCUGCUCUUCCUCGACAGGCGUCCCCCUCAGUGACGCGAGGGCUGCCUGGUGCAGCUCCACUUGCUGCUCCAGAGAAACGCUCCGGGCUUGGAGCUCCCACGCGCGUUUCUCCACGAGCUCGCGACGGCGUUGAGCCUCCUGAGCCUCCUCCAAAGCUCAUGAGAAGGCUUCUCGCGAGGCUGCAAGGGACGCUUCGGCUUACGCAUUGUCAAGAUCGCGCUGGUGGCGCGCGAGGUUGAUGGACACCUUCAUCUUAUAGCGCUCCUUGACUAGCCGCCUGAGGGAGUCCUGGAUUAGGGGGUCCUCGGACAGCCGGACUAUAUGCUUAUGCCGGACUAUUGGACUAUGAAGAUACAAGAUUGAAGACUUCGUCCCGUGUCCGGAUAGGACUCUCCUUUGCAUGGAAGGCAAGCUUGGCGAUUCGGAUGUAUAGAUCACCUACUCUGUAACCGACUCUGUGUAACCCUAGCCCCCUCUGGUGUCUAUAUAAACCGGAGGGUUUAGUCCGUAGGACAAGAACAAUCAUAAUCAUAGGCUAGCUUCUAGGGUUUAGCCUCUACGAUCUCGUGGUAGAUCAACUCUUGUAAUACUCAUAUCAUCAUGAUCAAUCAAGCAGGAAGUAGGGUAUUACCUCCAUCGAGAGGGCCCGAACCUGGGUAAACAUCAUGUCCCCUGCCCCCUGUUACCAUUAGCCUUAGACGCAUAGUUCGGGACCCCCUACCCGACAUCCGCCAAUUUUGACACCGACAUUGGUGCUUUCAUUGAGAGUUCCACUAUGUCGUCACAAUAAGGCUUGAUGGCUCCUUCAAUCAUCAGCAACGAUGUUGUCCAGGGUGAGGUUUUCCUCCCCGGACAGAUCUUUGUAUUGGGCGGCUUCAUACUACGGGCCAACUCACUUGGCCAUCUGGAGCAGAUCGACAGCUACGCCCCUGGACAUCAGGUCAGGUUUGGAAACUUGAACUACACAGCCGACAUCCGCGGAGACUUGAUCUUCGAUGGAUUCGAGCCCACGUCAGGAGCGCCGAAUGGUCACGACAGGCAUGACUUAGAUCUGCUAUCAGACGGUGUUCGGGAUAUCGCACCUACGGCUGCCUCGGCCUUCGAUCCGGAGCAGAUCACGCCAUCCAAGGACGGGUGGAUGGACCCCGUCGCGAGCCCGCACAUUCAUCGGCGCUGGGGCCGAACACAGACUUCACCUCCAAAGAGAACUGUGUCAUCGGACCCUCAGACUCGUCUCCGGUCAUAGGUUCCGAAUCGCGCACGUCUGUGCCUAUCGAAUCUGAUUGGGCACCGAUCAUGGAGUUUACCUCCGCAGAUAUAUUUCAGCACUCACCCCUGGGCAACGUGCUAAAUUCAUUGAGGUCUCUCUAUCUAUCAGGAGAGUCUUGGCCGAACUAUGUCCGGCUUGAGUGGGAAGCGGACGACGAAGAAAUUCGUUCCCCACCCACCACCCAUUUAGUAGCCGUUGUCGAUGACUUAACCGACAUGCUCGGCUUCGACUCCGAAGACAUCAACGGUAUGGACGACGAUGCCGGAGAAGAACAGGAACCACCACCCACAGGGCGCUGGAUAGGCACCUCAUCAUAUGAUAUAUAUAUAUAUAUAUAUAUAUAUAUAUAUAUAUAUAUAUAUAUAUAUAUGGUGGAUACACCUAAAGAAAGCAAUGGUGAUAAGGCAACGGAUGAUAAUCCCCUCGAGAAGCAAUCUAAGCAUCGGCGUCAUCGGCGCCGCUCUAACCCCCGCCAUAGAAAAAGUUGUGAUACCGACACAAGAGACGAUGAUGCCGAAGAUGAAAACAACACCGCCCAGCCAAGCACUGAGCAAGCCGGAUGGGAGGAUGGGCAAGCUAGCCCGGAUGAACAGGCAACGGAUGGAGACUUGGAGGACGACAAUUAUAUGCCUCUCUCCGAUGACGAGGUGAGCCUCGGCGACAAAGAAUUUGUCGUGCCGGAGGAUCCCGUCGAGCAGGAGCGCUUCAAGCGCCGGCUUAUAGCCACUGCAAAAAGCCUGAGGAAAAAACAGCAGCAGCUUCAAGCUGAUCAAGAUCUGCUAACAGAUAGAUGGACUGAGGUCCUGGAAGCCAAGGAAUACAGACUCGAGCACCCAACCAAAAGUUACCCGAAGCGCAGGUUGCUACCUCAAUUAGAGGAGGAGGCGCUAGAGCCUACACUACCAGCGCAAGACGAGGCUGACCGGCCACCUCGUGGCCGAGACAAAGUGGCGUAUCAGCCUGAACAACCGCCCGCACCCCGUCGCCAAUCAAACAAAAAUACUAAGGCCCGGGGCUACACGCAGGACCUGCGAGACGUAUUGGAAAACAAAGCAGUACAGUCAAGAUCGAUCUACGGAUCACGGGGGCACGCCACAACACGUGAGGAUGACCGUCAUGCCGGAUACACUAAAAACAAAUCCGGCCUGGACUAAUACAACAGACCAGACUCAUUCGAACUGCGUUGUGAUAUAGCCCGGCAUAGAGGCGCCGCACACCCCCUAUGCUUCACUGAUGAAGUAAUGGAUCAUGAAUUCCCAGAAGGGUUUAAACCCGUAAACAUUGAAUCAUAUGAUGGUACAACAGACCCCGCGGUAUGGAUUGAAGAUUUCCUUAUCCACAUUCACAUGGCCCGCGGCAAUGAUCUACAUGCCAUCAAGUACCUCCCACUUAAGCUCAAAGGACCGGCUCGGCAUUGGCUGAAUAGCCUGCCGACAAACUCGAUUGGCGGCUGGGAGAACCUGGAGGACGCAUUCCUUGACAACUUCCAGGGCACUUGUGUGCGACCACCGGACGCUGAUGACUUAAGUCACAUAACCCAACAGCCCGGAGAGUCAGCUAGGAAAUUCUGGACUCGGUUCCUAACUAAAAAGAACCAAAUCGUCGACUAUCCGGAUGUCGAAGCCCAAGCGGCCUUUAAGCAUAACAUCCGCGACGAGUGGAUCACUCGACACCUCGGCUAAGAGAAGCCGAAGUCCAUGGCAGCCCUCACUACACUCAUGACCCGCUUUUGUGCGGGCGAGGACAGCUGGCUAGCUCGUAGUAACAUCACGCUAAGAAAUCCUGGCACUUCAGAUGCCCGACAUAGCAGCGGCAAGCCACAACGCAACAUACAUAAGUGUCGGAACAACGGCGACAACACCGAUGACACGGCAGUCAAUGCCGGAUUCAGUGGCUCUAAGUCCGGUCAGCGGAAAAAGCCAUUUAAAAGAAACAAUCCGGGUUUGUCCAGUCUGGACCGCAUACUCGAUCGCUCGUGUCAAAUUCACGGCACCCCUGAUAAACCAGCCAACCACACCAACAGAGAAUGAUGGGUGUUCAAAUAGGCUGGCAAGUUGAAUGCCGAAAAUAAGGAAAAGGGGCUACAUAGAGAUGAUGACGAGGAGCACCGGCCGCCGAACACAGGAGGACAGAAGAAAUUUCCUCCCCAGGUGAAAACGGUAAACAUGAUAUACGCCACCCACAUUCCCAAGCGGGAAUGGAAGCGUGCACUGAGGGACGUCUAUGCGAUGGAGCCAGUCGCCCCAAAGUUCAACCCAUGGUCGUCUUGUCCGAUCACUUUCGAUCGCAGGGACCAUCCUACCAGUAUCCGUCAUGGCGGUUCAACCGCAUUGGUCCUUGACCCCAUCAUUGAUGGAUUCCACCUCACGCGAGUCCUUAUGGACGGUGGCAGUAGCUUGAACCUGCUUUAUCAGGAUACAGUGUGCAAAAUGGGCAUCGAUCCCUCAAGAAUCAAACCCACCAAAACCACCUUCAAAGGCGUGAUUCCAGGUGUAGAGGCCUGUUGUACGGGCUCAAUAACACUGGAAGCAGUCUUCGGAUCUCCGGACAACUUCCGACGCGAGGAGUUAAUCUUCAAUAUCGUCCCCUUCCGUAGUGGCUAUCAUGCACUACUAGGACGAACUGCAUUUUCUCGAUUCAAUGCGGUACCACACUAUGCAUACCUCAAGCUCAAGAUACCAAGACCUCGCAGGGUUAUAACAGUCAAUGGAAACACAGAACGCUCGCUCCGUACGGAGGAUCACACUACGGCUCUCGCAGCAGAAGUACAAAGCAAUCUUCUUAGGCAGACUGCCAACUCGACGAUAAAGCCCCCGGACACCGUCAAGCGAGUCUGGAGUACUCUGCAACAGGAUUGUCCGGCACGUCCAGAGCUCGACUAGCAAUUCGGCCUCUGUCCUAGUCCCAGUCAAGUGGCAAAAUAUCCGUCGUGCGUACAUAAUUACGCACUCAAAAUACCAUGGGCAUAGGCGGAGGCACGGCUACGACGUGGUCCACAAUGCGGCUCAACCGCCCCAGGACCCGUAUACCUUAAUCAUUUUCUUUCUUUCAGGACCCUACUUUCGGGAAGCCCUUUCAGAGAGGCUAAUUACCGGACUCAUCUCGGGAAGGAAAAACCAAGGAGGCAAGAGGCUUUGACGUACAAAGAAAUACCCAGGUGGUCUCCGAUAACAAUCGUUAUACUUGUUUUACAUAUCCACACGCAGCCUGCCCUUGGUUAGGACAUGUCAAAUCAUCCUAUUUUUGCUUAUCGCAUUACUUGUACACAUACGCUUUGACGUAUUACUUAAAUAACAAUGAAAAAUAUACAGCGUCAGCUUAUUAUUAUAUUUUCUUUAUCUUUUUCCUUGACUGCUUAUUUAAUACAAAUUGCACCCGCACACUUUGGUACGUUCAGUUCACCAUGGGCUUCAAUGUACCCCAUAACACGGCAAGAAAAGUCCGUACACUUUCGACAGUCGGCACCCCGAACUUAUAGCAUUAUAUGCAUCAGCUCCGAAUCUUGUCUUGGGUCAAUAGUUGGGUUUGCCCGUCUCCCAUGUUUUGGUGUCUUACGUUCCGUUAUAUCGGCUAAGGUAGCGCAGGGAGAACUACUGCGAUUGUGUCCCGAUUCUUCAAGAUGAGCACCUCAGUAUAGAAAGCUGAAAACUGACUGUCAUGUUGUGGCGACAGCUGGUCGCUGUUUGAGAGGUCUCAAAUCCUUAAAGAUUUUUUCUGCUUCGGGGGAGGAAUCGGCCUUGUCCGAUUUAAGGCAUGUAUAGCGCCCCAAGUUCGGCCUUCCGAAUACUAGGGGCUUCGCCAAAGUUUAAAAUUGUAGACCUCUAUGGCUAAGUGAGAGUGAUAAAGCUAUAUAGUCUGAUUGCCUUGUUCGCUGUGCUAAACACCUCCUUAAAGGACCAAAAAUUUGGAUAAAGAGUGUUUAGGUUUAUCCCGAACACCCCAGUACUAGUUCAUGGGGGCAGAAGUCGUCAACUGGCCAACUUUCAAAUUUUUAUGAAUGGACGCAUAGAAGGUAAUAUUUUAAAUCAACAAGCGUUAUAUAGAGCACACGAACUCGUUUUCGUAUUAUAGGAUGACAUGAGUAUAUUCAUUCAAAUAUUACAUCCUUGGCACAUUCCUCCACCACAAGGCGGGCGCCUUUCAUAACACCGUCAUAUUACUUCUCGGGUGACGGCACGCCUUGCCCUCCGGUGGUCCCUCCGUUACCAGCUUCUCGGCAUCCAUCUUCGCCCAGUGCACUUUCACGCGGGCGAAGGCCCGGCGGGCACCUUCAAUGUAGACGGACCGCUUAAUGACUUCAAGCCGCGGACAGGCAUUUACCAUCCGCUUUACAAGGCCGAAGUAGCUGUUGGGAAGGGGCUUGCCAGGCCACAGCCGGACUAUGAGGUCCUUCACGGCCAGUUCGGCCACCUUGUGCAGUUCGACCAAUUGCUUCAGCUGGUCACUCAAGGGCACCGGAUGUUUGGUCCCAGUAUAUUGAGACCAGAACAACUUCUCCGUCGAUCUCCCUUCCUCGGCACGGUAGAACUCCGCGGCAUCCGAUAUGCUAGGUGGCAGAUCUGUGAACGCCCCUGGAGAGUUCCGAAUUCAGGUAAGUAAAAGGAAAGUAUCCUUUACAUGCUUGCUUUGUAUAAUGAAUGCCUUACCCGUCGCUAUCUUCUUGGCCGCCUGAAUCUCUUGGAGUGCCAUUUGGGCUUCGGCGUUGGCGUCUCGUGCACUCUGGAGGGCCUUCGCAAGCUCGGACUCUUACGUCUUGGAGUCACGCUCCAAGGACUCGAAUUUUUUGACGAAGUCCUGGAGCUCUUGCUGGACCUCAUUAACCUGAGCCUCAUGUUUCUCACGCUCGAUGCCCUCCUUGGCCGCCUUGUCUUCGGCCUUGGACAACACUUUCUUAAGAGCCACCAAUUCAGUCGUGGCCCCUAUUAAAAUUCAUGAUGCUUCUGUUAGCAUAAACGAUUAUUCGCUUAUAUGACACACGAACGUGGUAUUACUUACCUUUGUUCUCAUCGAGCUGCCUCUUUACGAGGCCAAGCUCUUCCUAGGCCCGCCCCAGGUCCCGCUUCAGUCCGGCGACCUCCGCAGUGCGGGCGGCAGCAGCCAGCAGCGAUGCCUGCUUAUUCACAUAGACAUUUUCGGUUAGACUCCUGCGGAUACCAGUUGACCCUCUAUUUGGCUUUUCUUUCCGAACACCAAACAGACUAUCAGGGGCUACUAUCUAUAAUGCGAUAUUUUCUUACACUUUUGUUACUUACCUCAAAGCCUGUUAGGAGGCUGGCGCAUGCUUCGGUCAAUCCGCUUUUGGCGGACCGAACCUUCUCAAUCACCGUACUCAUAAGAGUAUGGUGCUCUUCGUCAAUGAAAGCGUCGUGAAGCACUUCCAGCAAAUUGUCCGAUGCCUCUGGGUGGACAGAGGUCAUCGGCACAGGCGGCUCGCCCUCCUUAGUGAAGGGCUGCCUACCUGAAUCCGGAACCAUUGGAGGUUCUAGCGCAGUACCCGGCUGGGGGCCAGACUUGCUACGGCCCCCGUCAGCAGAAUCCAUAUGGGUCUUUCCCCCCAUGUGCCCGGCAUCUGGGAUUUCGCCUUGGGGUAUCUCCAGAACCAUCAGCCCCCCCCCCCCGUUCCAGUAACCUCUGGGACAACACCUCGGUGUCAUCCGCGGGCCAGGGGGAGGUGUCCGUCGGGAGUGAAUAGCUAUUCAUCUCUGAUUGACUCAAAGACACAUCUGAAGAGGAUACCUCGAUGUGGGACUCGGCCGGACUGCAUAUGCGUGUUCGGCAUUAUAAGAAGCAAUGAAGCCAAACACACUGAAAGUACUAUGAAGUAUGGAUACUUACAACUUCGCCAGGGGCUUGUCCCUGGGCAACCACUCCUCGUUGUUGUAGGCGGCCGUGGUGGAGUGGUCCGGAGGGGAUGUCUUUCCCUUCUUCGGCAUCUUGGCCUCCCCCUGUGGGGCGGCUUUUCUCUUCUUCUCCUCCCGGUGGGGGGAGGGGGGAUUUCUUCCUCCUCCUCCUCCUCUUCGUGGGAGGAGUGCAUCUCGGUGUGCUCAGACAACGAGUCCGAUACAACCUUGCGCCGGAGACCUUUCCUGGUCCCCACGGCCAUCUUCUUGGCCUUCUUCUCCGGCACCUCAUAGGGCGCCGGAAACAACAUCCUUGUUAGAAGCUCCGAUUUCGAAUCUUCUGGUAAUAGAGCCGCGCAGUCGAUCCUCUCCGCUACUACUACCCAAUCCUGCAGAAACAGCGUAAAAGGCUUAGGAUCCUCCUCUAGAUGUGCUGAUGAAAAGUGCGUCCUGCAAAACACAUAAACAUACCGGAUUGGCGGGGUGCUUGACACUGAGUCCGUGAUCUUCGGUUAUGGGUGGUGCUACCUCGUUGGUCUUGAACAACAAUUUCUAGACGUCUUCGUGCAUCGUGCCGAAGAGUUCUCGUAGUGUCUGGUGUUCGGCCGGGUCGAACUCCCACUAUUGCAAACCCGUCGUUGGCACAGAAGGAUCCGGUGUAAGAGCAUGACUUGUACUAUGUUGACGAGCUUGAUCUUCUUGCUUAUCAUAUUCUAGACAUAGUUCUGCAGUCCGGACAGCUCUGCCACAGACCCCUAGGCUAAGCCCUUCUCUUUCCAGGAGGUGAGCCGCAUGGGGGCGCCGGAUCGAAAUUCGGGGGCCGCCAAGCAGUUGGCGUUGCGCGGCUCGGUGAUGUAGAACCACUCCGAUUGCCACCCCUUUAUGGUCUCCACAAAGGAGCCCUCGGGCCAAGCGACGUUGGGCAUCUUGCCCACCAUGGCGCCCCCGCACUCCGCUUGUUGGCCGACCACCACCUUUGGCUUCACGUUGAAGGUCUUCAGCCAUAGGCCGAAGUGGGGCGAGAUACGGAGGAAAGCCUCACACAUGAUGAUGAACGCCGAGAUGUUGAGGAUGAAGUUGGGGGCCAGAUCAUGAGAAUCAAGCCCGUAGUAAAACAUAAGCCCGCGGACGAAUGGGUGUAGGGGAAAUCCCAGUCUGCGGACGAAAUGAGAGAGGAACACUACUCUUUCCCGAGGUUUCAGAGUGGGGAUGAUCUGCCACUCGGCCGGAAGCCUGUGCGCAAUGUUUGCGGCCAGGUAUUUGGCCUCCCGUAGCUUCGUUAUGUCCUCCUCCGUGACACAAGAGGCCAUCCACUUGCCUCCUACUCCGGACAUGCUUGAAUGACUUUGUGGAGAAAGUGAGGGCUUGGGCGCUACAGCUCGAGCGUGCGAGAAUGGAUGAGCAAGGGAAGAGGGCGUGGGUGAAAAAAGGGGAAUCCUUAUAUCUUUAUAAAGGCGGUUGAAACUGUGCGCCUCCCCACUUGCCCUAUAAACUCGCUUAUUCCCCAACCGUCGUAUUGAUGGCGUGGUUGGGUUACCCACGCCCGUAUUGAUGAGAAUCAUGUAAUAAGGAGAACAUGAUCUCUGCUUCGACAAGACGUGCCAAUAAAACCGCCUCGCUGUACAUGCAGUAGCAGGCUGGGAAAAACGGUUUGUAUAAUGAUUGGGCCGCAGCAUAAUGUCACGCUAUGAAAUGUUGUCAGCAGAUUAGAUUUUUGGAACAUUGUGCUCUCUACGGUGGUUGGUGGAAAUUAUUUUGCAGAGCCGGGCACGAUCCUCGUAUUUAAGAUACUCUAUGGAGUAUUCGGAGAAGGAACCCGCCUUGCAAUGCCGAAGACAAUCUGUGCACAGGGCUCAUCGUCAUUGAAGCCUGGUUCAGGGGCUACUGAGGGAGUCCUGGAUUAGGGGGUCCUCAGAUAGCCGGACUAUAUGCUUAUGCCGGACUGUUGGCUAUGAAGAUAAAAGAUUGAAGACUUCGUCUUGUGUCUGGAUGGGACUCUCCUUUGCGUGGAAGGCAAGCUUGGCGAUUCGGAUGUAUAGAUCUCCUUCUUUGUAACCGACUCUGUGUAACCCUAGCCCCCUCUGGUGUCUAUAUAAACCGGAGGGUUUAGUCCGUAGGACAAGAACAAUCAUAAUCAUAGGUUAGCUUCUAGGGUUUAGCCUCUACGAUCUCAUGGUAGAUCAACUCUUGUAAUACUCAUAUCAUCAAGAUCAAUCAAGCAGGAAGUAGGGUAUUACCUCCAUCAAGAGGGCCCGAACCUAGGUAAACAGCGUUCCCCCCGCCUCCUGUUACCAUUAGCAUUAGACGCACAGUUCGGGACCCUCUACCUGAGAUCCGCCGGUUUUGACACCGACACCCCCACGACUGCUGGCCGGGCCCCGUGAGGGGCCGGGGCUGGCGUAGACUCGCCGCCUGAAGAGGAUCCUAGGAUUGACGCCCACCAUUGUCCAUCCAUGACCAGAGGAGGAGCCCUGGGUAGGCUUGCCUCACUCCAGGCGAGGUCGUGAAGGAAAGGCGGCAAGGGCACAGGCUCAAGGCACCUUGCAGGCAGGCUUGCUCCUCCGAGCCCCGCGUCAGGGGCAGUGUGCAGGCUCGGGGCGCUUAAGGCCAGCGAUGAAGAUGAGGCCUGAAGAGGCUGCUCCUCGAGAGAUCUCACAGGAUCAGCAAGAGGGGCCCUGAAGAGCCGUAGUCAGGAGAGAAAGCAGCAAUCGAGGAAUUACAAGGUUAAGGUACUUACUCGUUAAUGGAAAAGUACUUUCUGUGCUUCAGCGGCCGGAAGGUGCAACCAUUGCAGCUCGAGGACUCUUUCCUCUUGCAGAGUUCGGCGAAGUCCACACGGAACCGGCCUAGGCGCUCGACAUGGGGGUUAGCACGGCGCAUGGCGGGAGGGACACCCAGGCGGUCCACCUCAGGAGCGCAAAGCUGGGAAGAGCAUCCAGGCCCCGCCUCAUGUUAGUCCGCCAAGGCCUCAGGUGCGAUGGCCUCCGGAGCCGCAAGCUGCAUCUCCCCAAUAACUGCCUCAGGGCGAGCCUCACGAGUCCCAGAGGAUGACGCCUCGGGAACCCCAAGCGGCACCGGCACCAGGACACCUGUGCCUCCGACCUCGAGCGAUGCUUGCCUUCCCGCACCCACUCUCGGGGCAAACUCGGUGCCGGCGGCAAGGAGGGGAGCCACGACGACGGGAUUCUCGCGGGAUCCCACAAGGCCGACUAGACGCAUCCCCCAUUCAUCGAAGGAAGGCAUCUGCCUCCCAAACUCGGCCUUGUUCGAGCAGAGAUACAAGAGGCCGCCCCCGUGCGACAAGUCGCCCAGUGAGGGGUCGCCGGUCAAGACCUCGAGCACCUUCCUCAGUGCUUCGGGCGGGAGCCCCGACUCCUAAAGACUCAUGCGAUCUCGGUCACCAGUCAGGGACCACAUCAGCCGGGAAUGGCGCUGGAGAGGAGCAACGUGACGCUGGAGGAACUCCUUCACCACCUGAGGCGCAGUCACACCAAGGUAUCUCAGCCUCUUCAAUCGGAACCAGACAAAGGAGAGACGAGGGCUCUCGAGUUUCUCAUGGCCCCAACCGGAGUUGGGGACAGCGGGCAAUGACGGAAGCGAGAGCAGAGGGGUGCGCACCUUAACAUCCACGUCCACCCAGCGUGUCCGGAACCCGCUCACAGACGGCGGGAGAGCAAAAUCAAUCCCCGAAGCGGCAGUCUCCGCCGCGGCAAGGAAGCUCACGCACGCCGAGCAUUGCGAGGGAUCAGUCAGAUGCAGCGAAAAGAAAUGGCGCAAGAAGGCGACGGAAGGAGAAAUGCCCAUCAUGGCCUCACAGACAAAGGUGAAAACAGGGAGAAGGGCGACGGAUUGGGGAUCAAGAUGCAACAUGUGGAUCUGAUAAUGGGAAAGCACUGCAUUCAAGAAGGCAGAGAAAGGGGGAACCAGGCUAGCCCACAAGGCGUCGACAAAGAACCGAACCUCGGUAACUGACCUAUCAAUGGAGGCAUGGGACGCAGGCCAAGCCACCGUCUUCCUCCACUCGUUGAAGCUGGAGGCAAGCACAGGACAGACCUUCUCCACGGCCUCCAAGUUGAGCACCAGCGACCGGCCAACGACGGGUUCAGUUAUCGGAGAUGGGUUAGCAGAGAGCAGAGGCUUCUUCCCCUUAUUCGUGCUAGUCGGCGCCAUGGCAAUGGAGGGAGGAGAACGCAAGUCAGAUUGGGAGUGGAGGCAGAGCCCAGGAAGAAGGAAGGAUGGGGAGCACGCUGCUUGCGAGGAGGAAAUAACUGCAUAAGGCGUCAGGGUCGCCUAGCCAGGCGGAUAUUGAGAUGACAUGGGGAAGCGGAGACGCCCGCAUCCAAUCAGUUGCCACGCGUCAACCAAGGCCGCAGGCUUGAGGGCCCAUGGCGCUCCGCACUUGCCCCUUGGCUUUGCCGCUAAGCCAAGUCCGAGCGCGCCUUGGGCCUAGGGGCUACUGUCGGUGUUCUGGAUAUGGGGGUAUCCAGCCCUGCCUGCCUGCGACCCGCUGCGUGGCUCCACCAGCAGCCCAGUAAAAGGCAUGUCUUCAUCAACCAAGCACUCAAGACCCUCGCGAGGGGCAAAGCCUCGCGGGGCUGACGACGCACGGCCUCCUCCGAAGCGGCCUCACCAGGCAGGCUCGCGAGGGAGGUGGAGAGAUCAAGGCACGGGGUACCUUGCGAGGUUCCCAUGACGCAAGCCAUGACGACCAAGGCCAGGCGGGCGCCAGCGCGCGCAGUGUACUAGUUUCCCCUUUGGUGCUAAGGGGGCAAGCGCGGGCGCAGAGUACCUAGGCAUCAGGAAAAGGUUUCCAUAUCGGUGCAACGAGACCAAGACUAGCAGGACGGCAAGAUGGAAGUCAUCAUGGAGCCCAAGACGGCGUCAUCACCAGAGCCUUUGGCAGGCGAAGACCACCUUUAGUCAGGAUAGCAUGUACUAGCUGUCCCCUUUCAAAUCCCGCCGUUGUGGAAUCCCUUCCCGCUCAAUAUUUGGGAAGAGGACCAGGGCCUCUAUAAAUAGGACUAGCCACCAUCAUAGAGAGGGGAUCGAAGGGAGAGAGAUCCAUUUGGACCAGAAUCACCCACAGAGCACAAGAACACCUCGCCUCAGGAGGCUGUUCUUCCCCUUGUACUGUUCAUCGUCAACCCGAGAGGCAAUCCACCACACCACACACUGGAGUAGGGUAUUAAACCAUAAUGGUGGCCUGAACCAGUAUAAACCUCGUGUCUCUUGUGUUGUGAUUUCAUUUAGCUAAACUAGGGAUCGCGACGAGGCAGGGAGAGAGAUUCGAUAGGGGGAAAUCUUCAUGCACACCCCAAGUGCUCGAACCGUAAGGGUUUUGCCGGAACCAGAUAUCCGACAAUAUGAUCCUUUAAGAUUGCUAGCUUUCGGCUUCACCCAGUCUGAGGUAGUUACUCGGAUGACCUAGUAGUAACAAUCACAGAGGUACUCCCUUUACCACCUAGCCGAACAAUCGGGAACGUAGGGGUAAACACAGGAGCCAGGCAACCCAGCUUGGCAAAAAUCUUAAGUCAAAUUGAUGCAAUUUAUGGCUUUAUAAAGUUGAUUAUGGAAGGCGGCCCUUGUAUAUUAAAUACAAGUGCCGAUGAUAUGUUUAUUUUGACUCCGUUGCGACCGUUUAUUAGUUGAAAGUGGCCCAUUGUCGGCUUCUACCCCUCUGUAGGUACUACGUAGGGUGUUUCCGCAAAAACAAGACAACCCUUAGCCGACGUCUCGGUGCCCGAAGGCAGUUGUGUUAGCGGAAACGAGGCAAUCAGAUAUGCAGGCUUUAUAACUUUCACUUAGUCAUAGGAGCUUUAAAUUGGGGAAGCUAGCUAUGAGCCCCCGGUUAGUGUUUGGCGACAGCCGAGGUCAAGCCGUAAACACUUCGGCCAAUGUUAUGAACGGCCCGUCAUUUAAAAUAGUCAUCGGAUCACUAACCACUUUACGCUUAUUGUGACAGUCAGUGUUCAGCUUUCUCCACUGAGGUCCUUAACCAUGCGAGCUGGAAGCACAAUCGCAGUGGUUCUCCCUUUGCACACCUAGCCGAACAAAGCGGAACGUAGUAGGCAAGCACAGGAGCCGGGCAACCCAACUAUUGACCGAAGACACAAUUUGAAACCGAUGCAUAUAUAGCAAUAUCCGAGAAUGUUUUUGCCAAAUCCCUAAAGGUGUUCGGCAUUGCACUGUGAGACUUGUGCUGAAAGCACACAAAUAGUUUAAAAGUGCCAUAAGCUUGGAAAACCAAAAAACAUCAGUAAAAACUGGACAUCCGAACAAGAUCACGUGUUCGUUGUUAAUCCAAAAAUUGGAAGCAAUUGUGCUUCUGUCGUGCUUUAACACGACGCAUCCGAUCUCAAGACUUCACGUGGGUUAGCCCUUUGCAAGGACCAAGAAGAAAACACAUUUAGUAUAAAAUAGCUCAUAUAAAUUUUAAGAACCCCCAAGUGACUUGGUUAAAAGAAUUUUAUGUAUAAUGAUUGUAUGUACCGAAGUACUUAUAUUACAUUUUUGUUCACCUGAACUUUGAACGCGUCUUAACCGACUAUCGGCUUCUCCCUCUUUGGUCAAGGACCAAAAAGUGUUAUGUACUCCACCUGUCGAGAAUAUCGACGGUGUUUCUGAUAACUAGGCAACCUGGCCAUAAGGCUGUAACAGACAAAGCAAGCUCAGGGAACUUAUGCUAUAUUACUGACGAAGUGUAAGAAGCAUCUUCGAAGAAAAUAGUACCUCCACCGAUACCUUUCUUCAGUUCCUCAUUGUUACUAUGAGACUUGUGCAAUAGAUUAUUUGUACUCAUGAGUUCCGUUGUGUGCCGACCAUGAUUGAAAACAAUAAGUGCGCUAACUUUCGGCUUCACACAGUCUGAGGUCCGAGCUUGGAUGACCCGCCAUGACAAUCGCAGAGGUGCUCCCUUUACUCCCUAGCCGAACAAUCGAGAACGUAGUGGUAAGCAUGGGAGCAAGGCAACCCAGCUUGUGGAACAACUUAAGUCAAUAUGGUGCAUAUUGUGGCGUAAUACACGAACAAGGAACGAAGCCGUACAAGUAUAAUCGUAUGCAAGAGGAAAGGCUUCAUAAAGGAAGCCCCCAAGUAAACGAGGUGUUUGAAUUUGUGUGUCACAAACAAAGUUAUGACAAGGAAUUUUUUCACAAACAACUUUUUUCCAAAAAAGUAUAAUGCUUGGUCGAACCGAACAAAAUUUAAAACUGAAAGUUUCUGAGCAUGAAAGCGACUUAGCUAUUUAAUGUGUUCGGCAUUGAUGACGCGGUCCGAGCUUGAUGCGGGACAAGGUUCCAGCCCACAGGCUGGUCCCAAGGUGGCCGAGCAGAGAGUUCGGCACUCCGAAAAGAUGAAGCCCCCAACCCAGCCGCGGUAAUGGAGCAGGUCGGCGCGCCAAGGAAACAACCCAAUUCGGUUGACGGAGGCGACAGCGCGGCUCAGCCUGAGUCGAUUGGCUGUAUAGAUAAAAUAGUGCAAACCAAAAGUAAUGACAAUUAAAGAUAAUAAUGUUUAUUAAAAAAAUCUUAUACUUAUUUAAUACAAGUGAAGUAAAUAAUGAAAGAGAUAUGGCCUAAAGUCGAGGUCAAUGUCGAAGCAGGGCAUCAGCGUGAUGUGGUAAAGGCGUGGCAAAGCCCGAAUUCACAGGUCGGUCUGAGUUCCGGAUACGGUGUCCGUCGAACUAUGUAUGGAACCUGUCCAAACCACCACGCCAACGUUGUUAAUGCGGCCACCAUUUGAUAGACCUGUGUAUAGAUGAUGGAACAAAGCAGAGUAAUAAUUCCUUGGAAAAAAUAAACCCAAACAAGCAAAAAUUGCUAGGAUUAAUAGCACCUGGUUUAUUUGUUGUAGCGGUCUGAAGAAAGGUUACUCCCAAAAUUGGGACUCGAUCCGCACACCCAUUGCCUGAUGGGUGAUGAAGCUAUGGCAUGGCGAUGCUGGCAAAGGUUGGCUCGCCGUGGCGAAGCCCGUCGUCCAGCUAAUGUGAUGAAGCUAGUCGGCUGGUGACGCCGAAGUCUCCGAAGUAAGUUGAUGAAGAGAUGGCGAAGCCCUCCGUCUAGUCGAGGUGACGGAGCAGGUCGAUAAGGAGACGUUGUAGCUACCAUGUUAGCCGAGGUGUUGAAGCAGUUCGGCGUGAUGGACAUCGGCUUGAAGAAGCAACAGUGCGGCCAUGCCGAUGCAGGUCAUAAAUUGUGACGCGGUCAAUGCCGGCUUGAUGAAGUGAAGAUGCGGCGAUGCCGGUAUUCCCGCUCCGUGUAAUCCGUGGGGCGACGAUGUUGGUGAUAAUUUAUCCUUCGCGAUGACACACUCUUGUUCGGCUCACUGAGAUGAUGAUCCAGAGAAGUUGAGCCCGGCUCAGCAAAGCAGUGACGUGUCUAGCGCAGGUCGGCCGCCGUGGAGCAAUGUUGUCGUGCUGGUUUGACACCGGUGCGAUGGUGAAGAUCGUAUUCUAAAAACACUUUUAAUAUUAGUGGGAUGUGUUUGAGAAUAAAACACAAUACCUCAAACAAAAAUUUCCUUCAAAAAGGAUGUCCGAAAUCUCGUUCAUAGAGGAGAUGAACUCGGGUCGGAUUCGUUCUCGCGCAGAAAACAGGUCCAAAAAGUGAUGCACUAAUCGGAAGGUUCCCGGAGUUUGGACUGUCAGAUCGAGCUGAAAUUUUGAUAGGUGGUAGAUAUAGGAAUUCCGCAGCCGAUCAACGUUGGAUCUUCCAAAGGACAUCUGAGCUAGAUGCUGGACACCACGCCCUAAACUCGUCCAGAUUCCCGUCCAGAUUUGACAGGGCUCUGGUAUAUCAAGGAUUGCCAGAGAUUCCUCCAUUGGAACUCGACGAAAUUUUCCAUGGUUUUUGUAGACUCAAUUCCGCACAAACCCACCAAAGGAAUUGUCAAAGCGAUGCUCGAGGAGGUGGUGGCGGCGGAUACAAGUUUGUUGUUCGGAAAAAACUGCCCAGUCGCCCGAGCGUAAUGUUGACGUUGAGCCCCCGAGCUCCAUGGAUGAUUCCUCCAUGAUCUUGAUAGAGGUCGUAGUCAAUGUUUGAUGAAGGCCCUCAUCCGAACAUGAUGAUCGGAGGUAGGGCGCAGUCCUCGGUCAAGCCAAGGUGACCAGUCGAGCCAGUGACGAAGAAGCCAACGUCGCAGUUGAUCUGCAGUCGAGCCAUUGAUCCUUUUGUCGAUCACACAGUGAAACUCUCAAUGAAAGCACCAUUGUCGGUGUCAAAACUGGCAGAUCUCGUGUAGGGGGUCCCAAGCUAUGUGUCUUAGGAUCGAUGGUAACAUGAACACGAGAUUUUACCUAGCUCCAGGCUCUCUUGAUGAGAUAAUACCCUACAUGCUGCUUGAUUGACUUUAACGAGUAUAGGGGUUACAAGAGUUGAUCUACCUCGAGAUCAUAUGUUGUGGUCUAAACCCUAGAGGUAUGAUGAGUAAUGUCAUAAUCUAUCGACUAGCCUGGCCCUGGUUUAUAUAAUGUACCAGAGGCCUAGGAUAACAAGAGUCCUAGCCGAAUACGCCGGUGGGGAGGAGUCCUCGUCUUGAUCACCAAGUCUUGUGGAAUCUUCCUUGUGUAUAUUUCGGUUGUCCGAACUGGCCCAUGAGUAAACGGCCAUGGGGGUCCUUGGCCCAAUCCAACUAAUCGGGAGACGACGUGGUGAGUACCCCCUGGUCCAGGACACCGUCAGGUAAUGCAGCAAAGUAGCAUAAGUAUUUCCUUCAGUUUUGAGAACCAAGGUAUCAAUCUAGUAGGAGACGACGCACAAGUCACCGAAUACCUUCACAAACAAUCAAACUUGCAACCAACGCCAUAAAGGGGUUGUCAAUCCCUUCACGGUCACUCGCAAAAGUGAGAUCUAAUAGAGAUAGAUAAACGGAAAAGUAAAUAUUUUUGGUAUAUUUGGUUUAUAGAUUGGAAAGUAAAUAUGCAAAAUAGUAGAUUGGAAACUAGAAAGAUGUCAACGAGAUUCAAUAAUAUGGAAAAGAGACUCGGGGGCCAUAGGUUUUACUAGUGGCUUCUCUCGAGAUAGCAUGUAUUACGGUGAGUGAACGAAUUACUGCCAAGCAAUUGAUAGAAAAGCACAUAAUUAUGAUUACAUCUAAGGCAAUGAUCAUGAACAUAGGUAUCACUACUGUGUCAAGUAGACUGACUCCUGCCUGCAUCUACUACUAUUACUCCACACAUCAACUGCUAUCUAGCAUGCAUCUAGAGUAUUAAGUUCAUAAACAACGGAGUAACACAUUAAGAAAGAUGACAUGAUGUAGAGGAAUUAACUCAAUCAAUAUGAUGAAAACCCCGUCUUGUUAUCCUCAAUGGCAACAAUACAAUACAUGCAUUUUUGCCCCUACUAUCACUGGGAAAGGACACCGCAAGAUUGAACCCAAAGCUAAGCACUUCUCCCAUUGCAAGAAAUAUCAAUCUAGUAGGCCAAACUAAACCGAUAAUUCGAAGAGACUUGCAAAGAUAUCAAAUCAUGCAUAUAAGAAUUCGGAGAAGAACCAAAUAAUAUACAUAGAUAAUCUUGAUCAUAAAUGCACAAUUCAUCGGAUCUCGGCAAACACACCGCAAAAGAGUAUUACAUCGAAUAGAUCUCCAAGAACAUCGGGGAGAACUUGGUAUUGAGAAUCAAAGAGAGAGAAGAAGCCAUCUAGCUAAUAACUAUGGACCCGAAGGUCUGUGGUAAACUACUCACGCUUCAUCGGAGAGGUAAUGGUGUUGAUGUAGAAGCCCUUCAUGGUUGAAUCCCCCUCCGGCAGAUCGCUGGAAAAGGCCCCAAGAUGGGAUCUCAUGGGUACAGAAGGUUGCGACGGUGGAAAAGUGGUUUCGUGGCUCCCCCUGAUGUUUUUAGGGUAUAAGAGUAUAUAUAGGCGAAGGAACACUAGUGCAGAACCGGGCAAUAGCACCGGUUCGUAAGGCCCUUUAGUGCCGGUUCCAUAAUCGGCACUAAAGUGUGGGCACUAAAGGCCCCCCCCUUUAGUACCGGUUCAGCACGAACCGGUGGUAAAGGGCAACCACGUGGCACGAGCCAGCUCCGGGGGGCUGGAGCCCUUUAGUACCGGUUGGUAAUACCAACCGGUACUAUAAGGUUUGGGGGGUUUUUAGUUUUAUGAUUUCUUUUUCAUUUAAUUUUGUGUUUCCAUUUUAAUUCUUUUUCGUUUGCUGGUAUUUUAUGAUACUACACAUUGUACACGUUAUGCAUAUAUAUAUAUAUAUAUAUAUAUAUAUAUAUAUAUAUAUAUAUUUAAAUAGAAUUUCUAGUAGAACCAAUCAUGCAUAUAUAUAUCAUCAAUGUCUCACAAACCACCAUAUUAAUUAAUUCACACAUACACAAAUGUAUAGCUAGCUAUAUACAAUUUCUCCUACAUAUGCAUGUUGCCUUCGGAGCUAGUGGCAUUAGCCUAAUUGGUGCCUUCGGAGCACGAUGACAAUUCGAAGUGGUUUUCAUGGGGGCGGUAGCGGGUAAUAGUAUUCUCCCUUCGGAUUUAUGACCUGGUCGAGCAAAAAUCCCGCUAUUUCCUCUUGAAGUGCUUCUACGCGCUCCGUUUCUAGGAGCUUCUCCCGCACCUCUCUGAACUGUUAAGAAGGAUAUCAAUAUGCAUGUGUAUUAGUCGUGUGACUAGAUAUCGAUAAUGGUGUAAAAAUUGUGAAUAGUGUUCUGACAAGCGUACCCAUUCCUGUCUUUGAGAUCUGCUCCUUUCUGACGACAUCAUGCGAAUGUUCUCGCAAAUGCAGAAUGCACACAGAUCAGUCCCCUGCACCUGCUUCAAGGCCUUUACGAGAAUGGAAUUUGAUCAGAUAAUAAUUAAUCAAGCAUGAUAAUUAAAGAGAUGGCAGCUAGCUAGCUAGAUAGUACUACUUAAUUACUUACCUUGGGUCGAAACCAUUGAAGCUUUUUUUUUCAUUCGCCAUCCGUGACGCUGAUGAACCUUGCCCAAGCCCUGCCCUCCGACAAAAAAAAUGAAUAAAGGGGUUAUUAAAUAGUUCAUAUCAUGAAAUGACGAACUAAAUAGGCCGAGAUAUAUAGUUAAUAAUGAUUGAAAUUACCUGUUGACUAUCCCAAACAAGAUGUUAUAGUCAGUUUUAACUUUGAGUAGUGAGUCGAGUAUUUCAACUGUUCCGUCGUCAACUUUAAUGAUACACAAGACCCAGUGAAAUCUGCACGCACACACGUUUGCAUGUCUUAAUUAAGCGGGCAUAUGUAAGCAAAAACAUGUAGCUAGCUAGUAGGCAAAAAUAGAGAAUUUCUAGUACAAGACAGUGUGACUCACUGGAAGUUGUAAGGAAGUAGUAUAUCUUCAUUGUAUUUGAGGUGCUUCAACAACUCUAGCAUGUUGUCCUCUACGUCCUUUUGAUGAUGUGGAUUUAUCCGCCAUGUGUAUUCAUUAACGGUGUUUGGGUCAAUGAACCCAAUGCCAUAGCGUCCACCUUUUCUCAUUUCAUACAUCUUCAUCCUGCAUAAUACCACAAAAAAGAAUAUAGUGAGGAUAAUUACAGGUAAUGAUUGAUCAAAAGGAUCACUACAACUAGCUUGAGACUUAAAUUACAGAAAGAAAUCACUUACAGACAAUAGCAACUGACGAUAGAUUUGUCGAGUGCGUCUUGAUUGUAUAACUGAAACAGUUCAGAAUACUCAACGGACAAAGCUUUCUCAUGGAAGUAAUGAUCCUCCUUGACAUUCACCAUGAGGGACAAUCGAUCUGAAAUCUUGGUAAUGUUCAUGUACCAUUGAUGCAAUUCAUACAUUCUUGUUGGGAGGUUCUUGACCUUGUCUGGCUUGACCAAAGGUUGGCCCCAGACAUAUUUCCGUUUUAUUUCAUCCUCUCUAAGCACAGGCAUGGGCUCGAUCUCGAAGAGUUGUCCAACAGUGAUUUUGAGAACUUCAGCCUGCAUUAUAUGCUCCUCCGUUAUUACCACAUUGCCCACCUCAGGAACGUAAACUGUUUGCCCACAAUAAUAUUGGGCGCGCGUACUGUCACGUGUUGUUGGCACAACAAGCGAGGGGAUUGAUUGCGCCGCCUGUUCUCCCAGCUGGGGAAUGGUUUUCCCGCAUUUUUUGACAGUUGCUUCUUGUUUGCUCGAUCCCGAGCUCGCCUCCUUACAUAGACGUGCUCGAUUUAACUUCCUGAUGUGGUGCUCAUAGUCUGUGUCAACAGGCUUGGGAGCUGGUGGUUGAGCCAUACGAAUGAAGUGGUCAAUCGUUUCCUCAGGCACUUUCUCCCUUGGCGGCGGUGGCGGUUUCGGUGCAAAAUGGGCUUCCACCUCCGCCUUCAAUAUGGCUGCGAUUUCCUCCUCGGACCUGUCAUAAGCCCUCUGCGGAAGAGGCGUGAGGCUUGGACCAUAUUUAUAUCGCUUGCCUCCGCCUGUACUUCCUGUACUACCUCGACUCGUACCGCUAUGCACCAUAGCUGUGGGGUGUCUCUUCUGCAAUUGCUGAGGCGGCGGAGACGGCUGACGGGGCUGAGUUGGACGAGGAGGAGUGGCUGCCUGAAGUUGUGCCGGACUUGGAGGAGGAGUGGCCUGAGGUUGUGCCGGACUUGGAGGAGGAGUGGACGUCUGACGCUGUGGCGGACUUGGAGGAGGAGGAGUGGCCUGACACUUUGCCGGACUUGGAGGAGGAGUGGUCUGACACUUUGCCGGACUUGGUGGACUUGCAAGAGUGGGAGACUGCUGACUCGGUGGCAAACUUCGACGAGGAGUCGGCUGACGCGGUGUCGGUGGCCUUCGAAAGAUGAUGCAAUCCUUUUUCCAUAGGAUGAUACGAUGUUUGGCCUCUCCGAGAAAGCGCUCGUCGUCACCUCCAGGAAUGUCAAGCUAUAGCUCCGAAUAUGGUGGGUCCACCACCUCAUCAACCAAGACACGAGCAUAGCCCGCUGGAAUCGGGUUGCAAUGGAAGGUUGCCUCGGGGGGAUUUGUAAAAGCAACGGCGUCCGCCACCUUCAUGGAUAUGUUCGUUAUUUUGAUGUGUAGCUCGCAGUUAGUGUUCUCCGUGAUGUCAUCCACGGGGUAUCUACCCAGCAUUGCGUCGUCCGGGGCGGCCGAACCCACGCUGCUUCUCAGCAUGGAUGGGUCGAUGCUAUCCAAUGAUGGAUCAUCCGCUAGCUGCUGCAGCUACUGAGACCCCCUUUGCUGGGUAAGUGAGUCGAUCUGCUCCUGUUGUCGCUGGAAUUUGACUGCCAAUUCUGCUUGACUUGCUUCUAGGCCUUGAAGGCGUACAUAGUCCCGCUUCCUCUGCUCCUCCUCCAUCUUCCUCUUCUUCUCCUCCGCAAUCUUCUUUCUCGCACGGGUUCUGUAGUCGGUGUUCCAGUCUGAAAACCCCUCAUACCACAGAAUAGCGUCCAUGCCUCGUGUUCUUCCCGGGUGUUCAGGAUUUCCCAGGGCACGCGUAAGCUCGUCGUUCUCUCUGUUGGGCUGGAACACCCCCGAUUGUGCCUCUUCUAUUGCAACAAGUAUCGCAUCGUCGGCUCCCUUCAGACUUGCCUUCGUCGAAACAUUGCCUGUCUUCGGGUCCAACUCCCUCCCAUGCGCAUAGAACCAAGUCCUGCACCUGGGGGGCCAGCUCUUGGUAACCGGAGUGACACCUGCAUCCUCCAUCUCUUUCUCAGACUUAUCCCACUUAGGCAUUGCCACCGCAUAGCCACCUGGCCCCAGCUUAUGGAACUUAUCCUUUUUUCGGCAUUCUUCUUAUUUAUUAUCGACCAUUCCUUAGCUAAUUCUGAAUCCUUGAAUUUCACGAAAUCGUCCCAAUGAGCACGUUGGUUCUCUAGUGUUCCCUCGAAUACUGGAGUCUUCCUUCCUCCCUUGACGUACUUGUCCCAUUCACGAUUCUUGUGGUUCUUGAAUUCAACCGCCAUCUUCCUAAGAGCAGCGUCCUUGACUUUCUGCACAUCUGCUUCUGUGAAAUGAUCUGGUAGGGUGAAAUGUUCCAUGAGAGUAUCCCAAAGCAGAUCUUUUUGAUUCUUGUCGACAAAAGUAACAUCUGGACGUGGAGCAGCGUCCUCUUUGCCUUUUUGUCUUCUGUCUUUUACUGGCUCUCUCCAUUCUUGAAGGGAGAUCGGGAGUUGGUCCUUCACAAGAACUCCGCACUGACGAACAAACUUGUCCACAAUCUUCUUAGGCGCUAAUGGUUCGCCAUUAGGUCUGACUGCCUUGAUAUUGUACUUUACGCCCUCCUUCAACUUUUUGUUCGGGCCUCGUUUCGUCCUUUUGCCUGAAGAUUUGCUCGAUCCGGAUGGCUGAAAGAACAAAGAUCGAUUCGUUAAUAUAUCUUCAAGUCAUUUAAAACAUGUGAUGAUCACCAGAUACCUGCUUAUAUAAAUAUAUAUACCUCGCCGGUCUUUGUUGUUUCAGGAUCAACAUGUUCUUUGUCAUCGUCAUAAUCGUAGUUCAUGACUUCAUCAAUUCGGUCGUCGCGAUCGAAUAUCAUAUCACCCUCUCCGGUGUUGUUUAGAAAUUCGGAGUUGUCAUAAUCUUCUUCAUUCUGAUCAUCGUCUGGCCCGCGUAUCAUAUCGAACAUGGUCUGUUCUCCCUCUCUGUCGGUAUUGUCUGUCAUAGCUUUUAUUUAACUAAUCCAAAAGAAAUAUAAAACAACUUAGUAUUCAAAUUACAUCGUCUCGAAUAAUAGAUAUAAUCUCGAAUACUUCGUCUAGAAUAAUAGAUAUAAUCUCGAAUGCAUCGUCUCGAAUAGUAUAUAAUAUUGAAUAGUACAUCACUGGCUAGCUAAUUAAAGAUCGAAUACUACAGAAGAAUCUAGAACACUCGCGGUUCCUGCGGCGCGGGCGGUGGACACCCAAAGAGAAGGAACCCUCACAGGAUCAUAGCUGAAGUGAGAUCCCCGAAGAUACUGCCAGGUAUUGGAGAACCUGCCGCCCUCUAACGCAACCAUGUAGCGAUUGACGUGCUCGUCCUCCUCCCUGACACGGCGAUGUACCACCUCCGGCGGGGCUGGGUCCCUCCGCACCGAAACUGGCCCACGCGAACGCCACCAAACGAGAUCAGGGUCGACGACGGGACCCGGGGCCGGGUUCCUCAUCAAGCGCGCGCCCCUCCAGGCAGCACCUCCCAGUGCCAGCCCGGCGGAGCCCAGUCCCGGACAUGGGUCAGCUGGACGUCGUUGCGGACGGGUCGACGGCGAGGAUGUGGGCCGGGCAUCGUCGAGAACAAAUACUAGCUAUAUGCCCACAAAAAGUAACAUUUUUUUAAUGAUUGGAUUUUGAUAACUAAAAUUUCUAACAUUUCUACUAUUUCAAAAAUCUAUAUACUAUUUCAUACUAAUUAAGCAUCUAACACUAAAAACAGAAAACACAACUUCUAUAUAUCCAUUAAAAAACUGAAAAACAACAUUAUAUAAAAAUUUCCAUACUAAUUAAACACUAAUUAUAUCCAUCUAACAUGCAUUCAUACAUAUAUAAUAGUGAAAAAAUAAUAAUCUAAAUAAUCUAAACUAAUUAAACAUACAAAAUACGUAUAUACUAAUAUAUACAUGCAUUAAUUCAUACAUAUGUGUGUGUGUGUGUGUUCAUCAUGCUUGUGUGUGUGUGUGUGUAUGGGCUCGGGGAGGGGCGGCGCCCAUGGUGGCCGCCGGGGGCGAGGGAGAGGGGUUAGAGGGGGAGAGCUCACAGCGGGGCGACGGCGACGGCGAGGCGACGGCCGGGGGNNNNNNNNNNNNNNNNNNNNNNNNNNNNNNNNNNNNNNNNNNNNNNNNNNNNNNNNNNNNNNNNNNNNNNNNNNNNNNNNNNNNNNNNNNNNNNNNNNNNNNNNNNNNNNNNNNNNNNNNNNNNNNNNNNNNNNNNNNNNNNNNNNNNNNNNNNNNNNNNNNNNNNNNNNNNNNNNNNNNNNNNNNNNNNNNNNNNNNNNNNNNNNNNNNNNNNNNNNNNNNNNNNNNNNNNNNNNNNNNNNNNNNNNNNNNNNNNNNNNNNNNNNNNNNNNNNNNNNNNNNNNNNNNNNAGGGAGAAUGAAAAUUUCGUAAGUGUAUAUAUAGAAGGCACCUUUAGUACCGGUUGGAGCCACCAACCGGUACUAAAGGCCUGUUUUGGCCAGGCCAAGCGGCGGGAAGACGAGGCCUUUAGUACCGGUUGGAGCCACCAACCGGUACUAAAGACCACCCUUUAGUACCGGUUGGUGGCUCCAACCGGUACUAAAGGCCUCGCGCUGCCACCCCAAAGUUUAGUCCCACCUCGCCGGGCGAAGGGCAGCCGCACUGGUUUAUAAACCCAGCCGCGGCUACCACUUCGAACUCCUCUAUAUAGCAGGCUUGUGGGCCUAAACUCUGCGCGCUGCCCUGUGAGUCUGCUGGGCCUUUAAGGCCUAUAAUUACACACCUGUGGCCUAUCAGGCCCACAGGGCAGCGCCCCAAUUUUUUUUAUAGAUUUUUUCUUUUCUGCUUUAUUUUCUUCUAUUUAUUUUUGCGUAGUUUUUUGUAUAGUUUUUUAUUUUCUGUUAUAUAUAUUUUCUUCUAUUUAUUUGUGAGUAGUUUUUCAUCUAGUUUGCCAAAAUUCAACAUUUUCAGAGUUCAUUUUGUAGUGAUUUUCAAUUUCACGGUCAUUUUGUAAACGAUUGAAAAAUAGCAAAUAUAAUUUUUUUUCUUUUCUGCUUUAUUUUUCUUCUAUUUAUUUCUGAGUAGUUUUUUCUUUUCUGCUAUAUUUAUUUUCUUCUACUUAUUUUUGAGUAGUUUUUUUUAUAUAGUUUUUUUCUUUCAGCUAUAGUUUUUCUUUCUUUUCUGCUAUUUUUUCUUUUCUGCAAAACUUGAUGGUCAAAGUCUGGAGUUAUAACUUAAAAAAAAGAAAUGUCGACGUGCAAUUAGUUUUUGCCAUAACAGAAGAAGUCCGGAGUUGUAAUAAGUUAUUGAAAAUAAAAAAGAGGUGCAAUGCUCGUUAAUUUGCUUCAAGCCUUUCGGAAUAGUGUAAACUGCACUGCGCAUAGCUCUGUGCAGUCUACCGUAUUCCUGAAGGCUUGAAGCUAAGCAACGUGAGCAUUGAUCCUCUUCUUCAUCGUCUCUGCACUCAGGGCUUAUAAACCGCUCCUAGUCCCUCUCACUUCGUGAGGUGGGACUAAAAAACAGCUUACGUCUGGUUCAUCCAUGAACCGGUACUAAAGGUGCUCGUGGGGCCCCAGCCUUACCUGACACAACCUCAUUAGUACCGGUUCGUGGUACGAACCGGCACUAAAUGGUGAUGGUGGGGCCAUAGCCUGACCGGAGGCUGACACAGCCUCUUUAGGUACAAAAAAUUACAAACUUUCUGUUAGUGCCCGUAGUUUUCAAACUUGAAUAGUUUAAAUUUUGAAUUAUUUGAAAUUAGUGUGAAUUUGUUUGCACAUAAAAUUUCUUCGCGUUUCAAAUGCCAAAACACAUAACUACCCUAACUAUUACAGAGAUUCCCCUCUAGGUGCGAAACACAGAAGAAAGUGAUGAUAGCUAGUGAAGCCGAUCACAUCCCAGAUCUUUGGGUGUGAAACUUUUUCUUCGCGUGUGUCCCUUUGCGUCGUAACCAUGGAAAAUCUUCAUCAUUUAACGGGAUGCUCGGGUCAAUAUUCACUGUGAAUGGAGCAAUUUCAUCAAAUUUUUUAUAAUCUUCUGACUUGUCUGUCUUGUCAUCCACUCCCACGAUGUUUCUCUUCCCAAAAAGAACUAUGUGCCGCUUUGGCUCAUCGUACAAUGCAUUCGCUUCCUUAUCUUUUCUUUUUCUUGGCUUGGUAGACAUGUCCUUCACAUAGAAAACUUGUGCCACAUCAUUGGCUAGGACGAAUGGUUCGUCUGCAUACGCAAGAUUGUUGAGAUCCACUGUUGUCAUUCCGUACUGCAGGUCUUCCAUUACCCCGCCUCGUGUCAUAUUGACCCAUUUGCACCAAAACAAAGGGACCUUUAAACCACGUCGAUAGUCAAGUUCCCAUAUGUCCUGUAUAUAACCAUAAUAUGUUUCCUUUCCCGUCUUGGUUUCUGCAUCAAAGCAGACACCACUGUUUUGGUUGGUGCUCUUCUUAUCUUGGGCGAUUGUGUAAAAUGUAUUACCAUUUAUCUCAUACCCUUUGAAAGUCAUUAUAUUCAAAGAUGGUAACUGGGACAGCAAGUACAGGUCAUCUUCAAUAGAGGUGUCAUGCAUGGUACGUGUCUGCAACCAGCUGGCGAAACUCCUGGUUUGUUCAUGUGUAAUCCAGUCAUCAGACGCUCCGGGUGUUUGGAGCGUAGAAAACUCUUGUGUUCAUCCAUAUAUGGAGCCACCAAGGCGGAAUUCUGUAGAACUGUGUAGUGUGCUUCAGUGAGAGAAUGUUCGUCCAUACAUAUUAUUUGUUCCCCUCCUAGCGUGCCUUUUCCAUCCAGUCUGCCCUUAUGCCGCGAUUCAGGAACACCAAUCGGCUUAAGGUCAGGAAUAAAGUCAAUACAAAACUCAAUGACCUCCUCAUUUUGAUGGCCCUUGGAGAUGCUUCCUUCUGGCCUAGCACGGUUAUGAACAUAUUUCUUUAAGACUCCUAUGAACCUCUCAAAGGGGAACAUAUUGUGUAGAAAUACAGGACCCAAAAUGUUCAUCUCUUCGCAUAGGUGAACUAGGACGUGUGUCAUGAUGUUGAAGAAGGAUGGUGGGAACACCAACUCGAAACUGACAAGACAUUGCACCAAAUCAUUAUGUAACCUUGGUAUGAUUUCUGGAUCGAUUACCUUCUAAGAGAUUGCAUUGAGAAAUGCACAUAGCUUCACAAUGGCUAAUCAAACGUUUUCCGGUAGAAGCCCCCUCAAUGCAACCGGAAGCAGUUGCGUCAUAAUCACGUGGCAGUCAUGAGACUUUAGGUUCUGCAACUUUUUCUCUGCCAUGUUUAUUAUUCCCUUUAUAUUCGACGAGAAGCCAAACGGUACCUUAAUACUGAGCAGGCAUUCAAAGAAGAUUUCCUUCUCUUCUUUGGUAAGAGUGUAGCUUGCAUGACCCUGAUGUAUGCCGUCUUCUGCGUGCAUACGUUGCUGGUCCUCCCGUGCCUCAGGUGUAUCUUUUGUCUUCCCAUACACGCCCAAGAAGCCAAGCAGGGUCACGCAAAGAUUCUUCGUCACGUGCAUCACGUCGAUUGCGGAGCGGACCUCUAGGUCUUUCCAAUAUGGCAGGUCCCAAAAUAUAGAUUUCUUCUUCCACAUGGGUGCGCGUCUGUCAGCGUCCUUUGGAACAGGUUGUCCGCCAGGACCCUUUCCAAAUAUCACCUUCAAAUCCUUGACCAUAUCAUGUACAUCAGCACCAGUACGGUGGAGAGGCUUCGUCCGGUGAUCCGCCUCACCUUUGAAAUGUUUUCCUUUCUUUCUUACGGGAUGCCUGCUCGGAAGAAAUCGACGAUGUCCCAGGUACACAUUCUUCUUACAACUAUUCAAAUAUAUACUGUCGGUAUCAUCCAAACAGUGCGUGCAUCCGCGGUAUCCCUUGUUUGUCUGUCCUGAAAGGUUACUGAGAGCAGGCCAAUCAUUGAUGGUCACGAACAGCAACGCCUUUAGGUCAAAUUCUUCCCCCAUGUGCUCAUCCCACGCACGUACACCUGUUCCAUUCCACAGUUGUAAGAGUUCUUCAACUAAUGGCCUUGGGUACACAUCAAUGUCGUUGCCGGGUUGCUUAGGGCCUUGGAUGAGCACUGGCAUCAUAAUGAACUUCCGCUUCAUGCACAACCAAGGAGGAAGGUUAUACAAACAUAGAGUCACAGGCCAGGUGCUAUGGUUGCUGCUCUGCUCCCCAAAAGGAUUAAUGCCAUCUGCGCUUAGACCAAACCAUACGCUCCUUGAGUCAUCUGCAAACUCCUUCCCGUAUUUUCUUUUGAUUUUUCUCCUGCGACCCGUCAGCGGGUACUCUCAACUUUCCGUCUUUUUUACGGUCUUCUCUGUGCCAUCGCAUCGCCUUGGCAUGCUCUUUGUUUUGGAACAAACGUUUCAACCGUGGUAUUAUAGGAGAAUACCACAUCACCUUGGCAGGAAUCUUCUUCCUGGGGCGCUCGCCCUCGACAUCACCAUGCUCAUUGCGGCUGAUCUUAUAGCGCAAUGCACCACAUACUUGGCAAGCGUUCAAAUCCUCGUACUCACCGCGGUAGAGGAUGCAAUCAUUAGGGCAUGCAUGUAUCUUCUGCACCUCUAACCCUAGAGGGCAGACAGCCUUCUUUGCUUCGUACGUACUCUCGGGCAAUUCGUUGUCCUUUGGAAGCAUAUCCUUUAUCAUUACCAGCAACUUUCCAAAUCCCUUGUCAGAUACACCAUUCUCUGCCUUCCAUUGCAGCAAUUCCAGUGUGGUACCCAGCUUUUUCUUGUCACCUACGCAAUUCAGGUACAACAAUUUUUUGUGAUCCUCUAACAUGCGUUGCAACUUCUUCUUCUCCAAAUCACUUGCGCAGUUUCUCUUUGCAUCGGCAAUGGCCCGACCUAGAUCAUCAACGGGCUCAUCUGAUGCCUCUUCUUCAGCUUCUUCCCGCAUUGCCGGCUCAACUUCUUCCCGCAUUACCGGCUCAGCUUCUUCCCCCAUUGUUGUAUCAUCGUAUUCAGGGAACCCAUGGCCAGGAUAGCUGUCGUCGUCCUCUUCUUCUUCAUUGUCUUCCAUCAUAACCCCUCUUUCUCCGUGCUUGGUCCAAACAUUAUAGUGGGGCAUGAAACCGGACUCAAACAGGUGGACGUGAAUGGUUCUUAACAUAGAGUAAUUGCGACCAUUCUUACAGCCAGCACAUGGACAAGGCAUAAAACCAUCUGCCCGCUUGUUUGCCUCAGCCGCAAGCAAAAAAGUAUGCACGCCCUCAACGAACUGGGGAGAGCAUCGGUCAUCGUACAUCCAUUGCCGGCUGAUCUUCAUUACACAACACCGAAUAGACCAAAUUAAUACAAGUUCAUACAUAAAGUUCAUACAAGACUUAAAUGCAACAAACAAAUAACUCUCUAGCUAAAGCAUUUAAAAUUCCAUCUUCUCCCCCUCAAUUCUUUUCAAUUUUUCUUUCAAGUACUCGUUUUCUCUUUCAACUAAAUUUAACCUCUCGACAAUAGGGUCGGUUGGAAUUUCCGGUUCACAUACCUCCUAGAUAAAAAUAUCUAUGUCAACUUGAUGGGCAUAAUUUGUCAUAAACACGACAUGCAACAAAUAGUUUUAAAAGAGAAUAUACCACAUCCGAAUCAUAACAAGGAUGAGGGCCGACGGGGACGGAUAUCAAAACCAUGGCACUAUGUAUAACAAACAACGUACGGGUAAUACAAUUAUUAUACGAGUAAAUAUAUAUCCAAAUCACACAAACAUCAAUUUUUUAUAUAAAAUUUCAUGAACAAGAGGCUCACCACAAGGUGGUGCCGGCGACGGGAUGGUGCGGGCGAUCGACGGUGGUUAUGUUGAAGAUUUAGAAGGCACUAAGUAAACCACACCUACAUAUGCAAACUAAGUGUUAUUUUGACCUCAAAUUGCAUAUAAAUCAAAUACUACCACCUAUAAUUCCUCCCAAAUUACUAAAACCCACAAUUAAUCACUAUAUAAACCAAUGCAAGAGCUAAUCUAGCAAUGAGAGAUGAAAGGACAAAGUUGCUAACCUUGGUGAUCAUUUGAAUGGAUGAGGGCCUGCAAAUCUUGACAAAUUUGGGGCAAAUUUUGUGAUGAACUCGAGAGGAAGAAGGGAAGAACAGAGGAGAGGGAGAGGGGAAAGGGGGAAGAACAGAGUGCGGGUGGACGAAGAGUUUAUAUAGGACGACCUUUAGUACCGGUUCGUGCCACGAACCGGUACUAAAGGUGCUGGAAGGGGCCCACUCUGACAACAUCCUGCCACCACUCUCAUUAGUACCGGUUCGUGGCACGAACCGGUGCUAAAGGUUUGCCACGAACCGGUACUAAAGAGCUCCUCCCGGCUAGCCGUUGGAACCGGCACUAAUGGACACAUUAGUGCCGGUUCUGUUACAAACCGGGACUAAUGUGUCCACAUUUGACCCUUUUUCUACUAGUGGAACUAGGUCAGGGGAGCUACAAGGGGCCCACGAGGGUGGGGGCACACCUACCCCCCUGGGUGUGCCCUCCUGCCUCGUGGCCUCCUUUUUGCGUCUCCGACUUCAUCUCCAAGUCUUCUAGUUUGCUUUCGGUCCAAGAAAGAUCAUCGCGAAGGUUUCAUUCCGUUUGGACUCUGUUUGGUAUUCCUUUUCUGCAAAACUCUAAAAUAGGAAAAAACACAGAAACUGACACUAGGCCCUCGGUUAAUAGGUUAGUCCCAAAAAUAAUAUAAAAGAGUAUAUUAAUGCCCAUUAAACAUCCAAAACAGAUAAUAUAAUAACAUGGAACAAUCAAAAAUUAUAGAUACGUUGGAGACGUAUCACUCCCUGCUAAACUUAUAGCAAGGCACACAUCAGGUCUGGUACAUAGCAUAACAUACAUGAUAGAACCUAUGGCUGAAGCAUAGGGAAUGACUUUCAUUUUCUCUCUAUCUUCUGCAUUGGUUGGGCAUUGAGUCUGACUCAACUUCACAACUUGUAACACAGGCAAGAACCCUUUCUUUGACUGAUCCAUUUUGAACUUCUUAAAAACUUUAUCAAGGUAUGUGCUUUGUGAAAGUCCUAUUAAGCGUCUUGAUCUAUCUCUAUAGAUAUUGAUGCCCAAUAUAUAAGCAGCUUCACCGAGGUCUUUCAUUGAAAAAAUCUUAUUGAAGUAUCCUUUUAUGCUAUUCAGAAAUUCUACAUCAUUUCCAAUCAACAACAUUUCAUCCACAUAUAAUAUUAGAAAUGUUAUAGAUCUCCCACUCACUUUCCUGUAAAUGCAUGAUUCUCCAAAAGUCUGUAUAAAACCAAUGCUUUGAUCACCUCAUCAACACUACUAGAAAAAGGGUUAUAGAUGGGAUUGACACUAAUGGCGCACCAGACAAGGGGUGCGCCAUUAGUAUAUACUAAUGGCGCACCACCUUCUGAUACGCCAUUAGAGUUGAAACCACUAAUGGCGCAUCUUAUUGAAUAGGUUUUUGAGGUCCGCGAAGGCCGAGAUGCUUCAAAAGAACGAGACGGAGAUAAGAUGUCCGUGUCGAAGAUGCAAGCUGAAGAGCGUUAUUGCGGACCCGGAUUCCGGGCAGGUGCGGGACCACCUGCUCUUGCGUGGUUUCAUGGAUGGCUAUCAGUGGCAAGGUGAUGAAGAUGACUACUAAGUCGUCCAUGGGGCCGGGCAAGAAAUGAGGAAGGGCAGCUAGACAACCACCGCGGCUCGGGCGGGCGAGAAGACGAAGAAUCCCCAGGAGAUGAUCACGGCGGUGAUGCUGUACAUAGUCAUCAUGUACAAGAUGCAGGACAUGAUGAUGAGGAAGAUGUCGAAGCAGACGACAGGCAUGAUCAUGAAGAUGAUGAUGCCGGCGGAGCAGACGACGCUGGACCAUCGAUGGGCUGGGUGCAGGACCCUCAUAUUUAAGAGCUGCUUCUCAAGAAGACGGAUAACACAAGAGCUGCCGUCCGAGAGAAAGCCAAGAUGGAUCAACUUGAGUUAGACGUGGUUACUCCAUUGUAUGAAGGAUGCAGGCCCGAGGAUACCCGCCUGAAAGUAACGCUCAUGGCUCUGGAGAUGAAGGUAAAACACAAAAUGACCGACGCAUGCUUCGACGAGAACAUGUCAUUCUGGCACGAACGCCUUCCCAAGGGGAACAAGUGCCCGACCAGUUUGGAGGAGGCGAAGAAAAUCGUGUGCCCUCUGGAUUUACCGCACGUGAAAUACCAUGUGUGCAUGAACAAUUGCAUCAUUUACCGGGACGAGCACGCGGAGUCUACCAUAUGUCCGGUGUGCGGCGUCACUCGAUACAAGAAGAGGAAGAAAGCUCCUCGAAAAGUGGUGUGGUACUUUCCGAUCACUCCUCGUCUGCAGCAGUAUUUCACGCAUCCUAAGGUAGCAAAGCUCCUGCGUUGGCACGUGGAUAGGGAGGAGAAGAAGCGAGAAGAUGACGCAAAUGAUCCGGAGAUAGAUAAAAAAGACAAGAUGCUGAGUCACCCUAAGGAUGCGAGCCAGUGGCAAGCGUUGAACUUCGAAGACCCAGAAUUUGGGAAUGAUCCAAGGAACAUCAUGCUGGGCGCGAGCACCGAUGGGGUCAAUCCGUUUGGCAGCCAGAGAAGCACACAUAGCACCUGGCCUGUGUUUGUGUGGAUGUACAACCUUCCCCCCUGGUUGUGCAUGAAGAGGAAGUACAUUCACAUGAGUAUGCUAAUUGAAGGGCCGAAACAACUAGGGAAUGACAUCAAUCUGUAUCUGGGGCUGCUGAAAGAGGAGCUUGACACGCUGUGGAAAACGCCAGCCAAUACGUGGGACGCCAGCCAAUACGUGGAGGAAACACAAGGAUCUGUUCGAUGGUGAAACCGAACCCCGAAAACGCCCGUGUACGAGGAGCGGCGAGGAAAUAGACAAGCUGUUGAAAAAUUGGAAAGACUGCCCACUGCCGGGAAAGAAGCAAAAGGCGCCAGAGCCGGGAAAGAAGCGAAAGGCGCCAGAGCUGCUGCUGAAGGUAUGGAAAACGAGGUCUGUUUUCUGGGACUUGCUGUACUGGAAGAUCCACCGUGUGCCUCACAGCCUUGAUGUCAUGCAUAUCACGAAGAACGUGUGCGAGAGUCUGCUUGGUACCCUGCUCAACAUGCCAGAGAGGACCAAAGAUGGGCCGAAAGCAAGGGCAGACUUGAAAUCAAUGGGCAUCAGGCAGGAGCUUCACGCUAAUGAUGAUGAUGAUGAUGAUGAUGAUGAUGAUGAUGAGGCGAAGAAGGACACAGAAAGUCGUCGCAAAGGCAAAAAGGCCAAGAAGACUGGAAAUGACUACCCUCCCGCGUGCUUCACUCUAAGUCAGGAGGAGAUCGAGCAGUUUUUCACCUGCCUCCUAGGAGUAAAACUUCCUUACGGUUACGCGGGGAAGAUAAGCAGAUACCUAGACCCAGCGAAGCAGAAGUUUAGCGGGAUGAAGUCUCACGACUGUCACGUGCUGAUGACGCAGAUACUUCCAGUUGCAAUCCGUGGGAUCAUGGACGCGCACGUCCGUGAAAUGCUAUUUGUCCUAUGCAACUUUUUCGACGUCAUCUCUCGGAAGUCGAUUGGCGUGAGGCAACUCAGAAGGCUACAGGAAGAGAUCGUGGUGAUACUAUGCGAGCUUGAGAUGUACUUCCCGUCCGCAUUCUUCGACGUUAUGGUGCAUCUGCUGGUCCAUAUCAUGGAGGAUAUCAUCCAACUCGGGCCGACGUUCCUGCACAGCAUGAUGCCGUUCGAAAGGAUGAAUGGUGUCAUCAAAGGAUACGUUUGGAACAUGUCACGUCCAGAGGGAAGUAUAGCCAGGGGCUUUCUGACCGAAGAGUGCAUCUCCUACUGCACGAAUUAUCUAGGCAUCGAGAACCCGUUGGUCUGCCCGUCAACAGGCACCUCAGCAGGCUCGCUGGAUGGGGUCACCGUGAGGGUCGCAGCGAAAUGCAUGUCGACUUCGAGGGUCGACUCGCCGACUUUGAAAGAGCAAACCUAGUCACGCUACAACACAUAGACGUGGUCGAUCCUUGGGUGGUAGAGCACAAAACCUUUAUUGAGAAGACGUACAAUGACCGAGGCCAACAGAGGACGGACGGAGAUAUACUCAAAGAGCACAACUCAUGUUUCACGCGUUGGUUCAAGCAGAAGCUUCUGUCGUACCCUUUACAUGAAGAUUCUUCCGUGGAAGAACAACUCAUAUUCACCUUGUCACAGGGCGCCAAGCACAACUUGAUGACCUAUGAGGCGUACGAUAUCAACGGCUACACAUUCUACAACGAGGACAAGGACAUGAAGAGCGAUGGUUAUCAGAACUCCGGGGUAACGAUGGAAUCCUACACCGGUAAGGACAAGGACAGAUACUACGGAAGGAUCGAGGAGAUCUGGGAGCUGAGCUACGCUGGAGAGAAGGUGCCUAUGUUCCGUGUCAGAUGGGCCAAGAGCGUCCUAAAAGAAGACUGAUAUUUCACCACUAAGCCAAAUCCAAGACCGCGGGCGCAAACGUCACCGCGAAAAAUGAGCCAUGGGUACUGGCUUCCCAAGUGGACCAAUGCUUCUUCAUUACCGACCCGCCAAAGCCCAGUCGUGUUGUCGUGAGGAGAGGCAAAAGGAAGAUCAUCGGAAUGGAUGGAGUAGCCAAUGAGCAAGACUUCGACAAGUACGGAGACCCGAGGAUCUAACAUGACGACGAUGAUGAAGUAGCAGCAUACACCACAAGAAGAAGCAGGACCACCCUACCUAAAGGACGUCCGUUCCACAGAAGAACUCCAUUUGCGAAAAAGAAGGGCAAGAAGAUUGUGAACAGAUAGCUAGCUAAGAUCGAUUGUAUUUAAAUCGUAGCCUUCAUUUCUCGAUUGUAUUUCAUGGGAACUUUUUGAACUAUCAUGAAUAUUUUUAAAUUUCAUGGACACUCGAUCUCGAUCCCCCUCCAUCUCGAUCGCUAUCCCACCUUGCCAGAUCCGGUCCCCCUCGCCGCCGAGCACCCCCCGGUCCACCGGCCGCCGCCGCCGACCCCUCGCACCCUCGAUUCCCCUACUCAACCGCCGCCGCUGACCCCCCGCACACCCCUCCCNNNNNNNNNNNNNNNNNNNNNNNNNNNNNNNNNNNNNNNNNNNNNNNNNNNNNNNNNNNNNNNNNNNNNNNNNNNNNNNNNNNNNNNNNNNNNNNNNNNNNNNNNNNNNNNNNNNNNNNNNNNNNNNNNNNNNNNNNNNNNNNNNNNNNNNNNNNNNNNNNNNNNNNNNNNNNNNNNNNNNNNNNNNNNNNNNNNNNNNNNNNNNNNNNNNNNNNNNNNNNNNNNNNNNNNNNNNNNNNNNNNNNNNNNNNNNNNNNNNNNNNNNNNNNNNNNNNNNNNNNNNNNNNNNNNNNNNNNNNNNNNNNNNNNNNNNNNNNNNNNNNNNNNNNNNNNNNNNNNNNNNNNNNNNNNNNNNNNNNNNNNNNNNNNNNNNNNNNNNNNNNNNNNNNNNNNNNNNNNNNNNNNNNNNNNNNNNNNNNNNNNNNNNNNNNNNNNNNNNNNNNNNNNNNNNNNNNNNNNNNNNNNNNNNNNNNNNNNNNNNNNNNNNNNNNNNNNNNNNNNNNNNNNNNNNNNNNNNNNNNNNNNNNNNNNNNNNNNNNNNNNNNNNNNNNNNNNNNNNNNNNNNNNNNNNNNNNNNNNNNNNNNNNNNNNNNNNNNNNNNNNNNNNNNNNNNNNNNNNNNNNNNNNNNNNNNNNNNNNNNNNNNNNNNNNNNNNNNNNNNNNNNNNNNNNNNNNNNNNNNNNNNNNNNNNNNNNNNNNNNNNNNNNNNNNNNNNNNNNNNNNNNNNNNNNNNNNNNNNNNNNNNNNNNNNNNNNNNNNNNNNNNNNNNNNNNNNNNNNNNNNNNNNNNNNNNNNNNNNNNNNNNNNNNNNNNNNNNNNNNNNNNNNNNNNNNNNNNNNNNNNNNNNNNNNNNNNNNNNNNNNNNNNNNNNNNNNNNNNNNNNNNNNNNNNNNNNNNNNNNNNNNNNNNNNNNNNNNNNNNNNNNNNNNNNNNNNNNNNNNNNNNNNNNNNNNNNNNNNNNNNNNNNNNNNNNNNNNNNNNNNNNNNNNNNNNNNNNNNNNNNNNNNNNNNNNNNNNNNNNNNNNNNNNNCUCCUCCUCUCCCCUCUCCCCCUCGCUGUUCAAAUCUGUUCAAAUGGCAUAAUUUACUUGCUGAUAGAUAGUAUAAAUCUGUUCAUUGUGAAGAAAUGUGUGACAGUUUCACUAACUUAAUUUCAUUCUGAAGAAAUUUGCGCCUAGAAUUUCUUUUUGUUACAAUGCUGCUUGUUGAAUGGAGUGAUGGCAUCAAAUUGAAACAUGGAUAGAAAAAAAUUGGCAACGCCGUAUGCAGAAAUGUAAAUUGUUGCUUCUGUUCUGCGUAUUUAUAUUAUGCUAGAAUAACUGAUUUGUGGUGACAGUGCUGCCUGCUGUAUGGAAUAAUGACAUUAUACCGAAAUAUUUAUAGUAUAAUUUGGCAGUGCCAUAUGCAUUUUCAUAUUAUCAUGCGAGAAUAACUGGUUUGAGGCUAUUUUGUUUGUGUGAUCACAUUGUGGUGCCUACUGCACGAAUUAUCUUGGAAUUAUUUGAAGAUGUGUGGUGUUAACCUAUCGGUAAUAAUUAUGUGUUAGUGUGAGUUUAUUCUUCCUGUGAGCAUUCUAAUUUUAUUUCUCUGGAUUCAAGCAAUGGGUUUGGACUUGCAAGAUUCAGUUCACAAGUACUUGUGGGCUUUGGCUUUUAGCCUAAUGAGGUCUCUUACUUGUGACAGUUCAGUUGUUAGUGUAAUAUGUUAGAAACUGCUACUAUGUCUCUAGAAGAAUCAUCACUCUUUACACACUUAUUAGAAACCCGUUUAUUUCAUCUGGUGAGACUUGUCUGUCUUCAGGCUCAGCUGCCGCAGGGCUGUUAGACAUGAGCAGCCGCCAAUUAAUUCUGCUCCUGGUGUUCCCCACUUGCAGUUAAUAAGAAAGUAUUUUGGUUUUGCAAGAUUCUGUGUUUUACUACUAGCACAAUUAUGCAUUGUCUUGUGUCUGCUCAGAACACGAAUGACCUUCCUUUAAUUGGCACACCCUCUGUUCCUAAAUAUGAGAUGUUUUCACAGUUCAACUAAACUGUCAAAACGUCUUACAUUUAAAAAUAGAGGUAGUACUUGCUAAGUUACUACACCCUCCAUUCCAAAAUACUUGUCUUGGUUUUAAUUCAGAUUUGAACUAAAACAAUAAAAGCAAGCAGAACUCUAAUACACAGCAAAGUUAUUCUGAUCCAGUAUUGCUUGUAGUGGUUUGUCCAAAAUGUUGAAUGAUACUGCUUGGAGAUGCAUAUAUUGUUUCACCUCUUCACAUGCCAAUGUAUUUUCCAUGUUGUGAUGAAGGCAUUUUUUGCCUUGUCCACCCGAGAGGCCCUUGAGUUUGCUGAAAUGUCGAUUAACUUCCGUUCCAGCAAAUUCGGGUACUCCAUAUGUCCUAUUUUCAGCAAAGGUCAUGCUGAAAUUUUCCGUGAAUUUUAGCAUGACUUUGCUAAAAAUAGGACAUAUGGGGUACUUGUGACUAAUGCAUGGGCCGGGGUACUUGUGACUAAUGAUGAAAGCUUAGGCUUUUAGGGUGCCUCGGCGUCGAAAAACCCUCAAUGAUAAAAGCUUAGCUUUUAGGAUGCCUCGGUGUCGACAAACCCUAAAUGAUGAGACCAUGAUCUUGUUCCUUGACAAUAACCAACUUUGUUCCUAUUUAGAGAUAAACAUGGCCAACAACGAUGAGGCCGGGGGUUCGGGCGGCAAGGCAUUCUGGAAGCUGUCCCAGGAGAUGGAGGAACAACCUCACUUGUAUGAGGACGCCGCCUUCCCCACCGAUCCUAGGACCACUGAUGGUACCGCCGAGGAUGACCCCACUGAUGCCACCACUGAUGGUGCCGUCGAGGAUGCCACCACUGAUGAUGGCGGCGCACGCAUAGAUGGCAGCCAACCGAAGAGGCAACGGAAGGACCGGCGCCCGACCGUGCUCCGCACCCUCAAGGAGGAAGUUACUGAAGUGGACUCCGACGGGAAUCCAACGGCGCCCGAACGAAUAGUCAAGGGGUACUCGCUUCAGCUCGGGUGCAUUCUCCGGAGCACCGUCUCGAUCAACACCGAGAACCUGAGGCAUCCUGACUGAGGGAAUUUGCGCAACCUCCUCUUCACGAAGCUGCACGAACGAUACAAGUUCCCCGCUGAAUUUGAAAACAGAAGCCUCAAAGGGAAUAAAGUGAACAAUGUUGCCCUCGUGAAGAUGAGCAAGGCCCUGUCUACUUGGAAAAGCAAUGUGAAGAGAAUGAUCGAGAAAGGUGAGAGUUAUGAGAAGAUCAAGGAGAAAAAUCCUUCGAUCACCGAAGAUGACUACAACGACUUCAAGAUCAAUUGCUCGAGCACCGCAAACUCCGAAUCAAGUCAGUGGGGGAAAGAAAUGCGGGAGUUGAACUUAGGGGAACACAAACUCGGUCCCGGCGGUUACAGAGUGGCAGAGCCUAUAUGGGACAAGGAGGACGCGGAGCGUGCCGAGCAAGGCCUACCGCCCCGCUUCGAGAAAUACAGCGGUAACAAGCAGACCAGGAACUAUGUCAGGGCCCGGUACAAGGAGGACCCGGUAACAAAGGAGCUUACCACGGAUCUAAAGACCAGGGCGCUUGAGCUUGUUCUGGUAAGGAAUACACCCCCGUGUAAUUAGCUCCAUAUGGUUGCAUUCUAAUUAAUGAAGCCAAAUUUCUAAAUGGUUCACAUUCCUUCCGCAGGCGACUGAAAGCAGUAGCAUGGGGUCGACUAAGAGCAACCCUUGGGACACCACUCUAAAUAGGGCGUUGAAUGUAAUGAAGAACAAGGAUAAGCUCAGUAAGCCGACGUCAGCUGGUCGUGUGGCCGGCAAAGGCUUGUCCACAAAAUGGGGGUCAUACUAUACCGCUGCUGUGCGAAAGGAGAAAAAGACCAGCUCGGAAAGCCAGGCGCGCGAGGUUCAAGAACUCAAGGCACAGGUGGCGCGGAUUCCGGAGAAUGUCCAAGAGCAAGUGCAACAACAACUCGGAGCGACGAUCACCGCCAUUGUGCCUACCUUGAUCCAGGGGUUGAGUGCGUGGAUUGCGGGCGGCCAACAGGGGCCACCCCGAUUCCUAGCUUCACGGCCAGCAACUCGCAGAAUGCGAUGGCGGGGCCAUUGGUGUCUCCGGGGAGGCGGCAUUGGUGUCUCCGACGCCGGCACGGGAGCUUAAUGCACCCGGGUGUACGCCGGCCGGCACCUCUGCAGCAAGCGGCCCCUCCGUCAACUGCACGCCCGCCGUUGGCGGUGCCUCGACAUUAGCCGAGCUCGACGCCAUCAUCACGGUAACUAAUUAAGCCUCUCUCGGUCGAGGACUUCAUCUCCUUGCCUUUGACUGGGCAUCCCUGACGCCCUACAUGUUUUCGCAGGGUGCCGCCGAUGUUCCAUGCACUCUCCUGCACUUCGUGAACAACGAGUUGGUCGAUGUCGCCAAGGGCAAAAUCGUUCAACCGGGCAACCCCUUGUUCCACGGUACCCAGAUGCCACCCAACUUGUUUAGGGUUGAACUGGUUCGGAUGCUGCCAGGCUGCGACGAGUUGUUACCUCCGAUUUGACCCGUCGGGGCCGACGAUGAUGACGUGAUGACCCUCAGCGCCUGCCUGAGCUGGCCCCUGCUUUGGCCGAAGAGCCAGAUUCGUUUGGGGGCGGGGGACACCACCCCAAAGACAACACCGCCAGUCGUGCCGGCGCCAAGUCGGCCCCAUGGCAAGACCGCCGCAAUGGUGCCGGACAUCCCUAUGCCACUGGAUCCAAACAUGCAUAUGGCACAGGAUCAGAACAACGACGACGACGAUACAUUUGGCAACGUCGAUCAGUACUUUGCCGAACAUGGGUAUGAUGGCGACUUCAUGGGGCCUCCUUCUCAAGAACCCAACCCAACAAAAGACGUGCGCGAUCUAGCUGGUACCGCGGAGAAGCCAAGUUGCAACAGGCGUCGUCUGCCGUUCAGCUCUCAGGAGACGCCUCUAGCUGCCGACUUCACCGAGCCUCAGAUAGGUGAGGUGCGAAAUAUUAUCAGCCCAAACACACUCAAGAAGGCGGUCUGUGAGCAGAACUCGGUCCCAUUACAGGAGAAGAAGAAGGCACGCAAAAGAAAGACUAACAAGGGUGCGAGCCAGCCGGCACCAAGUACGAUCCGUGCUUAGGACGGGCCACCUUCACCUGAGGAUAUCUCGAGGAGGGUGCAUGUGGCGGGUAGGGCGAUGCUACCGACAAAUAUGCUCAAUGCUGCAACCGGUGCUAUGCGGAGUCUACAUGACAGGGUUCUUUCUUUGGAGAAGCGGCGUCUCAGAGAGAAGGAUGUGGCAUACCCGGUUUUUGCGGCCAAGGUGCCAGAGGGCAAGGGCUUUGUGGAUAACUCCAUCGGGCAUACGAUCGUCCUGCGGUUUGAUGACAUCCACGCUAUGAUGAACCUUCAUCCGCUGCACUACACCUUCGUUCGGCUAUUUUCGCUGAGUAUGGAGAUGCGGAUCAUUUGCGACAAGACCCCGGACAUCGUGAUAGUCGACCCCUUCUACAUGCGUGCCAAGAUCUUGGGCAGCGCUGGGGACCGGCAAGUCGCGAGUUCUUACCUCGAAGGCGUCAUUCUGGCAAACCAAGAUAAGGAUAACUUCCUCGUGCCUUACUUUCCUGAGUAAGUCCUCCCCUCAACCGGCCCGUAACAUAUGAAUUCUUAGAUUUCGAUCGUUUUUCUUUUAACAUUCCGUGUUUUCUGCAGUGACACACAUUGACGCUCAUCCUCCUAAGCCCCAAAUAUUCCAUGGCCACGUAUUUCGACCCGGACCGUCAGUCGAACGUAGACUACACAAAUGUCAAGAAGGUUCUUGAUGAUGUUCUCCCCGGCUACGCCAAAUCUGGAGGCACCUUCACCAGGCCUAUUCGUAAGUACGGCAAGCACGUGUUCUCCCACAAUACGACGUUCUGCUGCGUCAAGCAGCCGCCUGGCGGUCAGAAGGGUGCCUACUACGCCAUCCAUCACAUGCGGGCGAUCGUACGGGACCAUCAUCAACUUCUGCUACCGAGUAAACUCAAAGAUUGGGCCGCGAGCGUGUCGGCAAUCCAGGACGCGGACAUCAGACAAGAAUUCUUUCGCAUCCAGUCGGAGUUUGCGGAAAUCAUCCAUCAAGAUGUCCUUCAUACCUCGGGGCAGUUCUACCUCAGAAAUCAACCGUCCAACAGUGACAUCGACACAAUGCUACAAAUGCAGGCUGACAACGCCCGUUCUUUCAUGACUCCCAUGAUAGACGGCGGCUUCAUCCACGCUCCGGUCCCUUGAGUCGAGUCGAAAGCAGUGAUGCUGUGUCUAGUUCUGAAACAUCGAUUGGCUCAUGUUGUAAUUAAACUUUAAUGAACUUGUAGUAUGUCUCUUUGGUUUCGGGAGUCGUUCAACUUAGAUGUAAUCGAUGCUAUUAAUGUCUUGCUUUUCUCUUCCGAUUGUUCUGUUGCAUACUUAUAUAUUGCUUAUGUAUUGUCUGUGAAUUGGUACUAACGUUUCAUUUGGCUAGUGCAUAGCGAUGCUGUCGUAUGUCGUGUACAAGGGUAAGGUUCCCGGAGUCUACGACGACUGGGAGGAGUGUCGGAGACAGGUUCAUCGAUUCAGCGGUAACAGUUACAAAGGGUACACCACUAGGGCCGAGGCCGAAUCUAGAUACGCCCGCUAUCUAGCGGGAGAGGGGAGGGAGCGUUGGAGGAACCGGAUGAAGACGAGUUUCAUCAUGAUGAUGCUCAUCGUGAUGACCGCAGCUCUCUUCUAUGUGAUGGUAGUUUAGAUGAUCGAUAUCGACUUGUAAUGUGAAGACAAACUCGCUACUCGCGGUCUCGAGACUUGUAAUAUAAUGUUCUAUCUUUGUUCGGUCUUUUCAAUUCGGAGACUAAUAUGAUGAAUUGUAUUCAGAGACUAAUAUGAUGAAUUGUAUUCAGAGACUAAUCUUCUAUUGUAUUCGAUGAAUCUGUUGUUGAUGUGUGUUGUCUAUAUUUUGUCCAAUUAUACAUUUUAUAACCUGUGCAAAAAACAGAAAAUUAAAAAAAUAAAAAAAAAACCUAAUAUUCAUACUAAUGGCGCAUCACAUCACAGUGCGCCAUUAGUAUGCCAAAGGAUACUAAUGGCGCAUCAUUAAACAGUGCGCCAUUAGUAUGCCGAAGUUACUAAUGGCGCAUCUUGUUGUUGUGCGCCAUUAGUAUGCCAAAGCACCUGGGUAUACAUGGCCCCCUGGGAGGCAUACUAAUGGCGCACUGUUGUAUAUACUAAUGGCGCAUCCAGUGGUGCGCCAUUAGUAUACCAGAUACUAAUGGCGCACCAGUGGUGCGCCAUUAGUAAAAUAUACUAAUGGCGUGGCACUAAUGGCGCACCACUAAUGCGCCAUUAAUGGCCAAAUUAGGUGCGCCAUUAGUAGGCCUUUUCCUAGUAGUGCAAAGUGUAUAUUCCAACUCUGAGAUGCUUGCACCAGUCCAUAAAUGGAUCGCUGGAGCUUGCACACUUUGUUAGCACCUUUAGGAUCGACAAAUCCUUCUAGUUGCAUCAUAUACAACUCUUAUUUAAGAAAUCCAUUAAGGAAUGCAGUUUUCGCAUCCAUUUGCCAGAUUUCAUAAUCAUAAAAUGCCGAAAUUGCUAACAUGAUUCGGACAGACUUAAGCAUCGCUACGGGUGAGAAACUCUCGUCGUAGUCAACUCCUUGAACUUGUCGAAAACCUAUUGCGACAAGUCGAGCUUUAUAGACAGUAACAUUACCAUCAGCGUCAGUCUUCUUCUUGAAGAUCCAUUUCUUCUCUAUGGGCCGCCGAUCAUCGGGCAGAUCCACCAAAGUCCACACUUUGUUCUCAUACAUGGAUCCUAUCUCAGAUUUCAUGGACUCAAGCCAUUUAUCGGAAUCUGGGCUUAUCGUAGCUUCUUCAUAGUUCGUAGGUUCAUCAUGGUCAAGUAACAUGACUUCUAGAACAGGAUUACCGUACCACUCUGGUGAGGAUCGUGCUCUGUUUGACCUAUGAGGUUCUGUAGCAACUUGAUCUGUAGUUUCAUGAUCUUCAUCAUUAGCUUCUUCUCCAGUUGGUGUAGGCAUCACGGGAACAGAUUUCUCGGAUGAGCUACCUUCCAAAUUGAGAGCAGGUACAAUUACCUCAUCAAGUUCUACUUUCUUCCCACUCACUUCUUUCGAGAGAAACUCCUUCUCUAGAAAGGUUCUGUUCUUAGCAACAAAGAUUUUGCCUUCGGACUUGUGCUAGAAGGUUUACCCAAUUGUUUCCUUAGGGUAUCCUAUGAAGACGCACUUCUCCGAUUUGGGUUCGAGAUUAUCAGGUUGAAGCCUUUUGACAUAAACAUCGCAUACCCAAACUUUAAGAAACAACAACUUAGGUUUGUUGCCAAACCACAGUUCAUGCGGACUUAGACGGUGCCCUGUUUAACGUGAAUGCAGAUGUCUCUAAUGCAUAACCACAAAACAAUAGUGGUAAAUCGGUAAGAGACAUCAUAGAUCGCACCAUAUCCAAUAAAGUGCGGUUACGAUGUUUGGAGACACCAUUACGCUGUGGUGUUCCAGGUGGCGUGAGCAGUGAAACUAUUCCACAUUGGUUUAAAUGAAGGCCAAACUCGUAACUCAAAUAUUAUCCUCCACGAUCACAUCGUAGAAACUUUAUUUUCUUGUUAUGAUGAUUCUCCACUUCACUCUAAAAUUGUCUGAACUUUUCAAAUGUUUCAUACUUGUGUUUCAUUAAGUAAAUAUACCCAUAUCUACUCAAAUCAUCUGUGAAGGUUAGAAAAUAAUGAUACCCGCCACGAGCAUCAACACUCAUUGGACCGCAUAUAUCGGUAUGUAUUAUUUCUAAUAAGUCAUUAGCUCAUUCCAUUGUUCCAGAGAACGGAGUUUUAAUCAUAUUGCCCAUAAGGCAUGGUUCGCAAGUAUCAAAUGAUUCAUAAUCAAGUGAUUCCUAAAGUCCAUCUUUAUGGAGUUUCUUCAUGUGCUUUACACUGAUAUGACCCAAACGGCAGUGCCACAAAUAAGUUGUACUAUCAUUAUCAACUUUGCAUCUUUUGGCAUUGAUAUUAUGAAUGUGUAUCAUCACGAUCAAGAUUCGCCAGAAAUAGACCACUCUUCAAGGGUGCAUGACCAUAAGAGAUAUUACUCAUAUAAAUAGAACAACCAUUAUUCUCUGAUUUAAAUGAAUAACCGUCUCGCACUAAACAAGAUCCAGAUAUAAUGUUCAUGUUCAAUGAUGGCACCAAAUAACAAUUAUUCAGGUCUAAAACUAAUCCUGAAGGUAGAUGUAGAGGUAGCGCGCCGACAGCGAUUACAUCGGCCUUGGAACCAUUUCCGACGUGCAUCAUCACCUCGUCCUUAGCAAAUCUUUGUUUAAUCCAUAGUCCCUGCUUCGAGUUACAAAUAUGAGCAACCCGAACUGGUAUCAAAUACCCAGGCACUACUACAAGAAUUAGUAAGGUACACAUCAAUAACAUGUAUAUCAAAUAUACCUUUGUUCACUUUGCCAUCCUUCUUAUCCGCCAAAUACUUGGGGCAGUUCCAUUUCCAGUGACCAGUCCCUUUGCAGUAGAAGCACUCAGUUUCAGGCUUGGGUCCAGCUUUGGGUUUCUUCCCAGGAGUGAAAACUUACUUGUCAUUCUUCUUGAAGUUCCCCUUCUUUUUACCCUUGCCCUUCUUGAAACUAGUGGUCUUGUUAACCAUCAACACUUGAUACUCCUUCUUGAUUUUUACCUCAACGGCCUUUAGCAUCGUGAAGAGCUCGGGAAUAGUCUUUUCCAUCCCUUGCAUAUUGUAAUUCAUCACGAAGCCUUUGUAGCUUGGUGGCAGUGAUUGAAGAACUCUGUCAAUGACACAAUCAUCUGGAAGAUUAACUCCCAGCUGAGUCAAGUGAUUAUGGUACCCAGACAUUUUGACUAUGUGUUCACUAACAGAAUUGUUCUCCUCCAUCUUGCAGCUAUAGAACUUGUUGGAGACUUCAUAUCUCUCAACUCGGGCAUUUGCUUGAAAUAUUAACUUCAACUCCUGGAACAUCUCAUAUGGUCCAUGACGUUCAAAACGUCUUUGAAAUCCUGAUUCAAAGUCGUAAAGCAUGGCACACUGAACUAAGGAGUAGUCAUCAACACGCAACUGCCAGACAUUCACAAUGUCUGGAGUUGCUGGGGCAGGUGGUACACCUAGCGGUGCAUCAAGGACAUAAUUCUUCUGUGCGGCAAUGAGGAUAAUCCUCAAGUUACGGACCUAGUCUGUGUAGUUGCUACCAUCAUCUUUCAACUUAGCUUUCUCUAGGAACGCAUUCAAAUUCAAGGGAAUGGUAGCACGGGCCAUUGAUCUACAACAUAGAUAUGCAAAAAACUAUCAAGAGUAAGUUCAUGCUAAAUUAAGUUCAAUUAAUCAUAUUACUUAAGAACUCCCACUUAGAUAGACACCCCUCAAGUCAUCUAAAUGAUACGUGAUCCAAAUCAACUAAACCAUGUCCGAUCAUCAUGUUAGAUGGAGUAGUCAUCAAUGGUGAACAUCUCUAUGUUAAUCAUAUCCACUAUAUGAUUCACGUUCGACCUUUCGGUCUCCAGUGUUCUCAGGCUAUAUCUCUAUAUGCUAGGAUCGUCAAUUUUAACCCGAGUAUUCCGCAUGUGCAAAACUGGCUUGCACACGUUGUAUUUGAACAUAGAGCAUAUCACACCCGAUCAUCACGUGGUGUCUCGGCUUGAAUAACUUUCACAACAGUGCAUACUCGGGGAGAACACUUAUACCUUGAAAUUUUAGUAAGAGAUCAUCUUAUAAUGCUAUUGCCGUACUAAGCAAAAUAAGAUGCAUAAAGAUAAACAUCACAUGCAAUCAAAAUAUGUGACAUGAUAUGGCCAUCAUCAUCUUGUGCUUUUGAUCUCCAUCACCAAAGCAACGUCAUGAUCUCCAUCAUCACUAGCUUGACACCUUGAUCUUCGUCGUAGUGUCAUGGCUGUCUCGCCAACUAUUGCUUCUACUACUAUCGCUACCGCUUAGUGAUAAAGUAAAGAAAUUACAUGGCAUUUGUAUUUCAUACAAUAAAGCGACAACCAUAUGGCUCCUGCCAACUGCCGAUAACUUUUACAAAACAUGAUCAUCUCAUACAACAACUUUAUAUCACAUCAUGUCUUGACCAUAUCAUAUCACAACAUGCCCUUCAAAACAAGAUAGACAUCCUCUACUUUGUUUGUUGCAAGUUUUACAUGGCUGCUACGGGCUUCUAGCAUGAACCGUACAUGCCUACGGCACAAAAACCACAACGAUGAUUUAUCAAGUUUGCUGCUUUAACCUUCACAAGGACCGACUGUAGUCAAAUUCGAUUAAACUAAAGUUGGAGAAACAGAUAUCUGCCAGCCACCUUUAUGCAAAACUAGUUGCAUGUCUGUAGGUGGAACCAGUCUCAUGAACGCGGUCAUGUAAGGUUGGUCAGGGCCACUUCAUCCAACAAUACCGCCGAAUCAAAAUAAGAUGUUGGUGGUAAGGAGUAUGAUGAUCACCGCCCACGACUCUUUGUGUUCUACUCAUGCAUAUCAUCUACGCAUAGACCUGGCUCUGAUACUACUGUUGAGGAACAUAGCAUGCAAUUUCAAAAAAAAUCCUACGCUCACGCAAGAUCCAUCUAGGAGAUGCAUAGCAACGAGAUGGGGAGAGUGUGUCCACAUACCCGCAUAGACUGAAAGCAGAAGUGUUAACUUAACAUGGUUGAUGUAUUCAAACGUCUUCUCGAAUCAACGGAUCAAGUACCGAACGUACGGCACUUUUGAGUUCUGCACAAGUUCAACUCGAUGACGUCCCUCAAACUCUUGAUCCAGUAGAGGUACGAAGGAUUAGAUGAGUUCCGUCAGCAUGGUGGCAUGGUGAUGUGAUCUGCGCAAGGCUUCGCCUAAGCACUACGAUAAUAUGACCGAAGGAGUAAAUGGUGGAGAGGGGCACCACACAUGGCUAAGAAACAAUUGAUGUUGUUCCUAGCGGUGCCCCCGCCCCCGUAUAUAAAAGAGGAGAGGGGAGGAGGCCGGCCCUAGGGCGCGCGCCAUGGGGGGGAGGGUCCUACUAGGACUCCAAGUCCUAGUCGCCCCCUUCCUUCUAACGGAGGGGGAAAAGGGAAAGAGAGGGAGAGGGAGAGGGAGAGGGGGGCCGCGCCCCCUCCCCUAGUCCAAUUCAGACUCCCCAUGGGGAGCACACGCCACCUCCUCAUGGUCUGCCUCUCCUCUUCCCUAUGGCCCAUUAAGGCCCAUUACUUCCCCAGGGGGUUCCGGUAACCCCUCGGUACUCCGAUAUUUAUCCAAAAUACCCGGGAACCAUUCCGGUGUCCGAAUAUAACCUUCCAAUAUAUCAAUCUUUACCUCUCGACCAUUUCGAGACUCCUCAUCAUGUCCGCGAUCUCAUCCGGGACUCUGAACUACCUUCAGUCACCAAAACACAUAAAUCAUAUAAUAAAUAUCGUCAUCGAACGUUAAGCGUCCGGACCCUACGGGUUCGAGAACUAUGUAGACAUGACCGAGAUACCUCUUCGGUAUAUAACCAAAAGAGGAACUUGGAUGCUCAUAUUGGUUCCCACAUAUUCUAUGAAGAUCUUUAUCGGUCGAACCGCAAUGUCAACAUACGGUAUUCCCUUUGUCAUCGAUAUGUUACUUGCCGGAGAUUCCAUCGUCGGUAUCUUCAUACCUAGUUCAAUCUCGUUACCGGCAAGUCCCUUUACUCGUUCCAUAGUGCACCAUCCCGUAACUAACUCAUUAGUCACAUUGCUUGCAAGGCUUCAUAUGAUGUGCAUUACCGAGAGGGCCGAGAGAUACCUCUCCGAUACUCGGAGUGAUAAAUCCUAAUCUCGAUCUAUGUCAACCCAACAAACACCUUCGGAUAUACUUGUGGAGCAUCUUUAUAAUAACCUAGUUAUGUUGUGACGUUUGAUAGCACACAAGGCAUUCCUCCGGUGUCCGGGAGUUGCAUAAUCUCAUAGUCGGAGGAAUAUAUGUUUGACAUGAAGAAAGCAGUAGCAAUAAAACUGAAUGAUCAUAAUGCUAAGCUAACGGAUGGGUAUUUUCCAUCACAUCAUUCUACUAAUGAUGUGAUCUCGUUUAUCAAAUGACAACUUAUGUCCAUGGCUAGGAAACUUAACCAUCUUUGAUCAACGAGCUAGUCUACUAGAGGCAUACUAGGGAAAUGAUAUUUUGUCUAUGUAUUCACACAUGUAUCAAGUUUCCGGUUAAUACAAUUCUAUCAUGAAUAAUAAACAUUUAUCAUGAAUAAGGAAAUAUAAAUAAAACUUUAUUAUUGCCUCUAGGGCAUAUUUCCUUCAAUAUCAUACGGUCCUGCAUUUUACUCGCCAAGAAGCCUCUCCACGUGGUCCACAGAGUAUAUGACCUCCUCCAUCGUUUGCCAAGAAAUAGGGGCAUACAUCAUGUCCACUAUCGUAUGAGUUUGUUUGGAAACAAACAAGUAAGUUGUCCAAAUUAUAUUAAUUACAACGACUAAUGUAAAGGUUACUCAAAAUUAUCAUGUAUGGUUACAAAAAACAUGCAUGGGUGAAGGACUGGAGGAUUGUGCAAACGAAACAAGAAUCCAAGAGCUUUUUCGCCAAGAAUAUACAUAUUAAUCUAUAUCCCCAUAUUAAAUAUGUAUUCCUGGUUCAAUCCACUCUAACCAGGGUAACCAAAAAAGUUUGAUCUUUCUCAUUUAUAAUUAAAACCAUGAAGUUAAAUCCCUCUCGUGUCUUGAUACGGGCAUCAACUAUGACAUCUUGAUGUAGGGGAAUGUGCAUCAUAUCCAAGACUUCAGGCCUUGCAAAGCAAGGGAUGUUCUAAGGAAAACAAAGAUCAGACAUAUGUUGGGCAUAGCUAAGAAGAACUCAGCCGCAACAAUUUAUGAAAAAAUGAACCUCAAAACAUAUCUCUAUCGUCCAAACUCCUCUCCACACAAAAGUGAGAAUUAAUUGUCCUUGAUCCACCUAUACCCUAGUGUCGAACCACAUUGUCGCACCUUCGAACCUGGUUCAUGCCACUAUUUGGGCACACCGGGUCCAUUUGUUGGGUUUACCUCGAAAAAUCAUUAGAAUGUGAAGAAUAUUUAUAACUUGAACAACCUAUAAAUUUAUUUAAAACUUUGGCGUGAAAUUUGCUAAAAGUGGCAAAAAUUGAGUGCCAUAAAUUUGACGAAUCAACAUUUUGUCAAAACAUCAGUUUUCACGUAUAUUUCCGUGAAAAAUAAACCACACAACUCAAUACACAUAUAUAUCACAAAUUCUCAUGGGCUUGAUGACUGGUACCGAGGCAUAAACAUGAGCAUGAAACAUAAACAUCAACAUAUAGGAAUGGACAUGAAUAUAUUUUUCUUCAUUCUUCACAUCUCUUCUUAUUUGUUCUUCUCAUGUGUCCUCUUUUCUCUCUUACCCCUUUACUAGUUGUUAUGGUUUAAAUAAUCUAAGACCUACGGUACCAGCACAAGCCAAACAACACUACAAAAGUAUAGCAAUAACCACAAGAUACCUCUCUGGCAUAUCUAUUAUUUGUUACGUUCAUAGUAUGCUUAUAUCAUUUUUACAACCUUUUGGCACAAAUUUAUAUAAUUUUUAUUUGGACUAACCUAUUAAUCCAGUGCCGAAGAACAAUUCCUGUUUUCUAGUGUUUUGACUUUGUAGCUGAAAAUAUUUUGGAGCCAAAAAAUUCCCAAAAAAAAGCUAAAAAUCUUUUAGGCCAAAAGACUCUACCAGCGAGAGGGUGGAGGCCACAGUGACCACCAGUUGCCCACAAGGCAGGGCCACACCUCCUGGUGCGUGGGGCACAUGGAUCCUCCUUAAGUCGGUUAGGGAUCUACUUUUACGAAAAGAAGUUCCUAAAAUAAUAAAAUUCCUCUUAAAAUUUGAGCCCAGUCGGAGUCACGGAUCUCCAAUUAUUUAAUAAAACAUGAUUUGCGUUAGAAAAGUACCUAAAACGGAGAGAAACGGAGAGAAGAGAGAUCCAAUCUUGGAGGGGCUCUCGCCCUCUAGGAGCAUGGGGACCAAGGAAUAGAGGAGGAAACCUCUUCCCCUCUUACUCAGAGGACAAGGGCGAAUAAGGAGGGGAAGCUCUCUCUCCCUUUUUCAUCCAGCAGCGUCGGGGAGCCGUCGGGGGAACCAUCAUCACUGUCGUCAUCUCCAUUAACUCCACCGCCUUCACCAACAUCUCAUCACCUUUCUCCCUAUCUAUUCAGUGGUUCACUCUCCCGCUACCCAUUGGAAUCCCGUUCAUGAACAUGGUGUUUGAAGCGAUUAAUGAUUAUCAAUGAUAUAUUGCAUGUUCGUUAUGUUUGACUAGAUUCCUUUUGUCCUAUGGUUAAUUGGUGAUCUAUUAUGAUUGAUUGGAGUUGUAACUUGAUAUGUUGUAGUCCGUUUGUGCCCAUCAUAUAAGCACAGAUGUAUGUGGAUCGCACUUUAGGGUUAGUUGUAUGUUGAGAAAACUAUACAUGCAUAAGGCUGCCAGGGUGAUAGAUAUUACCUUGCGUGAGUGUAGGGAUUGAUAUAUAUGGGGUGAAGACGGGCCAAUUUAUAUUAAUGCUACAGUUGGGUUUUGCCUUAAUAAAUUGAUAGUAUUUGCAUAAGCUUGCUAAGGAUUUCAAUCAUAAGUAUGUAUGAUUCCAAGUAUGGAUAGUAUGUUAGUGGAGGCAUCUUCCACAUAUUAAAUUGCAAUGAGAAUUAUCGUCUAAAUUAAUAUCAUGGACAAUUGCACAGGGACAAUUCCGCACAUCCUAACACCGCCACUCCACACUCACUAUCUUUUGCUUUCUCUUUUAUAUUGCAACAACUAACUUUUAUUUACAAGUUCUUUAUUAUCUUGCAAAGCUAUAUUUUUAUACCUGCAAAGUACUUUUAGUUUUAUUUCCCAUUUCUAUGUAAAGUAAACGUUCGGUGUAUGUAGGGUUGUAUCAGUGGCCGAUAUAUCCUGAGAGAAUACAAAUCAUACCUUUAGCUCCUUUUGGUUUCGACACUCCAUAUUUACCACAUCCACUUUGGAAAGUGCUGCAAUUUUCCUGCACUUGGGGAUUAUCAAGUUCUUUUCUAGCACCGUUAUCGGGGAGCAAUAGUGUAGGGUGAAUAUUCUUGUGUGCACUUGUUGGAUUUCUCACUAAGUAGCUUUUAUUUUUGUUCUCGUUUUCUAUCUUUAAUCGGCAGGAAAUGCCAAAUAGGAAAAAACAGAUGUACUUGCUCCUAAGGUUGCGGAACCUCCCAAAAUCCUCAAUUUUGAGGAGAGAUACUUGAUGGAUUAUCUUAAAUCCAUUUAUGCUCGUGCUAAGAACCCCAACUAACUUGGUUGGGGGGGGGGGCUCAUUAGGAGAGUUUACACACUUCAUGAAAUACCGCUUGUCUCAAAAAAAGGAAACACUUGACUGGUUUAUUAAUCAGAUUGCAUAAAAAGAAACACUCGAAUGAUUUAUUAGCCAUAUUAUAUUGCUUUGCUAGAACUUUGUGUGCUCGACAUAAAAAAUGUGUUGUUUUUGGAAGGAUAUUAUGCACCUUCCCUUCCAAUGUGAGUAUAAUGAUAAUCUUACAUUAGUUUCUAAUGUUAAGCGAGAAUAUCAUUAUUAUGAUACAGAAAAAAUGAAGAAUUUGUUACUUGUAGUGGUGCUUAUGAAAUUGCCUCUUUGCUUGAGAAUGUUGGAAGUGAUGAUGCUACUAGGAAAUCUAUUUUUUGCUAUACAUAAAUAUUGCUUUAAAAUUUUCAAUAGUAAUCCUUAUCUUACUAAUGAGAUCAAAAGGAUCGAGAGACUAAUGUUUUGGAGGAACAGGGCCGGCCCUGAGAUUUUUGGGGCCCGGGGCGAGACUAACUCGGGGCCCUUAAUAUGGAAGCCAUAACAAUAAAAUGAAUAUACAUAUAUAUGAAAUAUUUAUUGAUAACACUCAAAUGCAACUAAAUCGGUAUGCAUAUUACCUUAAAAAUUUCUUCUAAUAAUCCUCGAUGCAAAGUCAACUAUGGUGGGGUCGAUGUCAAUAUCAUCCAAUAAUUUUUUUUCUCGAUGCAUAAUGUUGCCAAAUCAUUUAACUUCUCUAAACCAUUGUUUACCUCAGAUAGUUCUUCAGUAAUUUCAACUUUGUAAGCUAGUCACAGUCAUAGUAAAUAAGAUGCGGUAGGCAAUGAAGAUAUUAGGAUAACAAUCAACUUCUUGGACAUGCUCGAAAAUCUCCACUGCAAACAUUACACCAUCUGGCAAAGUUAAUAUUAUAAUAUUCAAUUCAAAAAUAAGAUCAUAUACCUCAACAUCUCAUGAAUCAUUAAGAGAGAAAGUUUCUACGAAUUUCGCGCAAGACUCUUCAAGUUUAGAUCAUGCAAUGACUUCAGGGUGUCCGAGCUCAAUAAUAAUACGAAUAUAUAUCUUUAUACAUAAUCACCAUGAGUUCUUUAAAUCUACCUUUCAAAGAAGUGAUCGCCAUAUCAACCAAAACAAAAGAAAUAUUUAACUUUAAAAUCUUGUCAUCUUCUAGGGUUUCUUCAUCAUAGAUAUUUCCGCACUGUGAUUGUACGAGUCCUCCACAACUUUCUUCAUUUUCCUUUUAUCCCUACCGGAUGGAUACUUUCUUCUGGACGGCAUGAUAAAACACAAUGUCGAAAAUAAAUAUAAAAAAUACAUCAACUGACAAUUGUUGAACAAUGCCGAUGUGAUGUGUUGGCUAUUCAUCUAGGAGACUAGGAAGUCAGAACCGCAAUAUGAAUAUAAGAUAUACCUUGCAAGGUCAAAUUAUUGAUGGAUGGAGAGCAAAGCCAGGUUGCGCCGGCCGCCGAGAAUAGAAAUUGAUGGACGACCUGACUGGAUUAGGAACGAGCAAUUGAUUUAGGAGAAAAGGGAAAAGAAGCCCCAUGCACACACAGACAAGUGUCGGCGGCCGCUGGGAAAUUGAUAAGCGUUGCGUGAUGGAAUGGAAAGGGAUCAAAUAGUCCCUUCUUUUUCUAAACGUGCAUGUACUAACCUAAGGAAAGAAUCGGAAGAGAUCAAUCAGUUCCUUUUUUUCUAUAUGCAUGUACUGAAUGGAUCGAAUCGAGCGCUGGCUCAUCCUCGGUGACUCGCUGCUUGCGGUCGUUCUGUUGGGCCAUAGGCCAUAGUAUACGUGUGUGUAUACCGGGGAGAGCCCCCUCAAUUUUUGGGGCACGGGGCGGCCGCCCCCGCCCCUCCUCAGGGCCGGCCGGCCCUGUGCAAGAAUCAAUGGAAGAAGAAAAUAUUGUGAGCUCACUAGAUGAAAAGGAGGACGAGGGGAGUGAACAAUAAAAGAAGCAAGAGCGGAUUAGCUACCCAUGUCCACCUCUCAAUAAGAGUAACUUUUUAAUUCAUAUGUUGUUUAAUCAUUCCCUUUUUGAUUGUGUUGAUGCUUAUGGGGAUGAUGCCCCUAUGAAUGAUACAUACGGGUAUGAACUUGCUAUGGUUUCUUUUAUUAGAAUGAAAUUUUUAAUGUUGCACCCGCACUUGAUAGUCUUUUUUUUUAAUUCUUCUAGUUACAUUAUGCCGGGGAAGUUUGCGCUUAUCAAGGAUUAUAUUGAUGAGUUGUGUUUCUCUUACGCACAUAGUAAUUUAAAAAAGAUGCAUGUCCUUGCUGCUCCUACUUGCAAUAAUUAUGAGAGAGGGGCCUUCUUCUCUCCCUCUGUAUGUUUUCAGUACACUAAAAUUGCAAGAAGCUGCUUAUACUAUGUGUGGGCGUUUAAUGUGUUUAUUAAUUGUUCUCUUACUAAAUGACCCGUUGUGACUUCGUUGGCCGGCUUUGUAUGGCCGGGUCGGCAGGCUGCACGCACGGGCACCGCGUGGCACUUUUACCCGGGUCUUGCCUGCCUGGAUCCUUGCCAUCGCGAAGAAAAGCGAUUAGAAAGUACUCCCUCCGUUCGGAAUUACUUGUCCAAAAAAUAAAUGCAUCUAGAUGUAUUUUAGUUGUAGAUACAUCCAUUUUUGUGAUAAAUAAUUCCGAACGGAGAGAGUACAAAGGAAGGACAAGAAGACACAAAUGGCAUGUAAAAAAUAAGAUUACACCAAAAACCAUAGAAGUCGUCUUCUUCAUUCGAAUGUUCGCCGCUCGCUGUAGCAUGAAAAAUACAUUGAAUAUGUAGUAAGGGAUAAAGACACAUGCAAAUGCCCUUGCUAUAUAAGGUAUCAAAACAUGGAGUUCCAUACUAGACUGAAAAUAAAUAAAUCGGAGCCAGGGAGAUGAAUGACUGAACGUGCAAUGGAUGAAUCUUCAGGUUCAGGGUUAGAACGAAUCGAAGAACAAUUUUGCCUACAUUCAAACCAGGGCGUCAUAUUUGCUCCUCAAGAGUCGUGGUGGUGUGUGCCCUUGGAUGGAUUGACUAGAUGGAGAAACUAUAUCGACCAUGAAUCUCAUAUGAAACACACGCUUUAAUUUUUGAGGAAUCACGGGGGGAAGGAUCCUCGCCCUGAAAAUCACGCGCUGUGUGAACGUGUAUAUCAGUGACAAAAGCCACAAAGUUGGUCAAAUUUGAGUGGACCUGAUUACAUCUGCGCCGGCUUUCCAAAAGAGAGAGCAACGGCAUCCGUUCUUUGCUACCCGACCAAUUGCUAAUCAACAGCUUUCUUUCUUUUUUUGCAAAAAUAAUCAACAGCUUUCGUAGCACUCAAACAAAAAAAUCAACAGCUUUCGUGUGCGUCCAAUUCCAAUCAUGGGUCCGCCGUCCGCAUCGUCAAGCGCAAAAUAUUGUUAAGAGAACAUCUACCAAGAUUCUGGAUAGAUGCUAACUUCUUCCCUCCUUUUUAUUUGCUUGUAGGAAUCAGGAUGUCAGCAGUGAACAUGCAGGGUCUUCAUAUAGGGAGAACUUUUUUUCAUUGGAAGUCAUAUAUGAAGAAUAUAUAACUAGGCUUAUUGAUUUACUAACUCUACAUCCGUACCGAAUUCUCAACCAAACAGCACCACGGGUAUAGUUUUUUAGCUCUUUUAUUAUUAAUAAGGUGCACUACCUUAGGUGCCUAGAGGUAAGACAUACUUUUAAUUCUGACCGUCCGGUGGACAAGGGUAGCAUUGUACUUCGUAAAAUUUCAUUUUGCAGCUGCAUUUAGAAUGUUGUGGCUAAAUCUUAGUGGACUGAAAAUUAACCAAAUCAAUUGACUGACACCAUCAUGUUUAGAUAAAACCGACGAAGUACUAUUAUGUAACCUAUUAGAUCAUAAAAAGAUUAACAGUCUAUACAGAUUUCGAGCAUUCUAAAAUUCCACAUCGUUCUUAGAUUUUGUGAGUGUAACAUGUCUAGCGUGUACUGUAUACUUGACAAGCGCACACACACUUCAAUUGCGUUAAAGCAUCUACAGCCGCAGACACCAAAUCAGAAUCAGCAAAUGCCGGCGGACAAGACAGCGGGCAUCUGCGGCCACUGACUGGCCAGAUCUUAGAAUUGUUGCUAUGCAUCUGAGAACCUCGUAUUUUCAUCCCCUAAAACCAUACAAACCAUGCAAAAGAAAUCCUAGGUACUACGCACAUCACGCUAGUCUAAACUACGCUUUGUCGUCAGAGAUGUCCACGACAUCCGUGUUGGGCGCCGGGUAGAUAGGCGCAUAGGAGGGCUCCGGCUCCUCCUCCUCAUCCAUAUAAGCGAGCAUCUUGUCCGCAGCGUGCUCCGCCUCCUGCAGAUGACGACGGUUGGCCUCUGCCUCCGAUUCCGACCGAAGGGAAUCAUGGAUUGCAUGCAGAUCCGCGUGCCCAGCGUCCUCCAUGUCCUCCUCCUACUACUACUACUAUGCGUCCUCCCCGUCCUCCUCCACCUCCUCCAAGUCCUCAUUCGGAUCCACUACAUGCGUGGGUAGCCCGGCGGCAAUCCGGGCUUCACGCCUUGCCCGGAUCUACUCAAGGAGCUGCAGGCGGUGCUCCGACGUUAGAUAUGGAUAGCUCCUUACCUGGCACUAUGGUGGCAUGACUACUAGUGGUAGCGGACGGCGAGUGGGAAGUGAUGGUGGCGGUGGACGGGAGGGGGGAAGUGUGGACAGAUAGGAUUUCGGUGCUAGCACUUGGCUUAAAUAGCCGGCUAGGGCACUACGUGGCCCACUGGAGCGGCGCUAUAGUCCGACGGAGGAGACGAGCUUCGGACCGCCGGGUUUCAGAGUGUUUUCCUGUGUGAUCCGGUCGUCAGUCCGACGUGGUUGAUGCGCCCAAUCGCGUCUGGGCCUCCCUAUAUCCGCCCUACAUUUGGGCUGGAAAUGAAGGGUGUCGUUCAGCCCGGGCGUUUGAGGCGCCCGUCUAGGUCGGAUUCUUUUGACCAGUCACUGACCGGGCCAUCCACCCACGCAUUUGAGGGGGUUAUGGGGUGCCCGGUUCUGGAUGCUCUUAUCUUUCUUGAGAGAAGUCCAGUUGACUCGAUUGAUUAGCAAGCCAAACAUCAUUUGCAUUGUAAUUUCAGCAAUUUGAAACUAGCUAGCAUGGUCCCUCGUAUCAGCACAAAAGGACCACUUAGCUAGUUGCAUUAUUAAUAGAAGGAAACUGAGAAGCAUAUGCUUCGUUUGUGCUUACAAAAUUUUAUAUAUAUUUUUAGCAAUCGGAAAUGCCUAAUGGAGCUAGAGCUCCUUGGAGCCCUUUACUUGAAAACAUCAAAUUUAAAAAAAAAUAAGUUUCAGAAAUAACUGAAAAAAUACACAUAUAUGUAUGGAUGUAUACUACUAGUCUGUGAAGCUUCAUGACAAAAUACUUUUUAAUGCGAGCUACACAAAAAUGACAAAUUUGUGUAUUUAUAGAACAUUUACUAUUCACUAUAAAAUCACAUGAUUUUUUUGUACAGGCCACUUAGAAAUUAUUUUGUGAUGAAAUUUCACACACAUUUAAUAUACAUCUAUAAUUACUUGUGUAUUUAAAAAAAUUGUAAUUUAAAAAGUUGAUUUUGGAAUGUUUGAAAAUAAAGGGCUCCAUGGAGCCUGAGAGCAAAAAAUACACUAUCAUGCUAAAUUUCUUUUAUAAUUUACUGAGACAAUAUAUAUAGUUACAGUUGUCUCUAUGUGUUUAAAAUAAUAAAAAUUCAAGAAAAAUUGCAGGUAAUAUAUAGAGCGUCUAGAUGGAUCCGUAUGUGGUCAUUACUACACCAUGUGGAAGCGGGGAGCUUAUGACUUUUGGGUGCAAGUGAUGAGAGACAAUACAUAGCACGGGAUACAUACAACCACUUUGGAUGACUGUCCAAUAAUAUGAUAUGUGUGUAGGUAUUUUGUCUUAUUUGUGCCGGUUGUGGCAUUUUGUUAUGUAAUUUUUGCUUUGUUUCUACUAGAGCCGCUCUUGAUACUUUGAUACUUGGUUCAUUUUACUAAAUGGCUGUGUGCAUCUUUUGAUGCAGAGGCUGAGAGUAAUCCCUUUCUUUUUUGAGAAAAAAAUAGUUAUAAGUCAGAAUCUCUUUGGUACAUGUUAUCUAGCAGUCUACGCCCGUUUGUAGUCUAUUCUUCAGCGAUAUGAACACCGACAAUUGUUUAUAUCCAUGUGUACGCGGGCGGAAUAGAAGGACGAGGAUGUCUUUGCCCGACAUGGUUGGAGGCAUAGUCUGAGCCCCCCUCCCCCUCGCCUUAGUUAUUGUAGUCUCGAACAACUUUUUUUUUGUCAGCGUUAUUUAGAGUGCAUGUGGUUGUGUGUUUAUCUUGGUACGUACAGAAUGGAUUUGAACUUGUUUUGAUUGUAUUACAUUGAUGUGACAUUUUGAGUCAAAGAUAGGCCCUUUAUCGAAAAUUUUGUAGGUCAUAAUUAAACAACUAACUACUGAAGUAAUAAAACCUACAAAUCUAAUCUCGAACAGCUUAUUAUAAUCUACCACAAUGCUAUGGAGGUCUAAGACAUCCCAAGCUUAUAUAAGCAAGGUCAAACACUUCACUACUAUUUUUCAGAAAUUGUACAGUAAAAUAUGUUGUAAUAGUAAAACAUGGUUCUACGAGUCAAUUCGAUUGGAAAGUUAAGCUGCAUGACUUUUUUUUAUGGAUUUGACGAUCUAAGACAUUGGUUGCAUCAUUUCUAGGAACUAAUCUUUUGGGGACUAUGGUACUCGCAUAAAUACAUUAUUGGAUUAUGUUUAUAUGAAAUAAGGUUAAGGUGACUAACAUUAUUUGACUGUAUGUGCAAUUGCAUACUUCUUAAAAGUUAUACCAACUCCGUAAGAUGAGUAUUUAUUAGUGCAUUCAUUACUAAAAGUACAAUUAUGUCGGUACAUUCGAUUAAUAACUCUUUGCUUACAUUUUUAGUACGAGAAGGCUGUUAAAUUAAUUCAAUUUUUGGACACUAUGUUUAUCUAUCAUUAUGUCUAAACACUGACAAGGAAAAUAGAUAUAGCAUAUAAACUUUAUUAUUUAUUGCUGUAAGACAUUUCUUUCAGUAAAUUCAAGGAACUAAGGGUCUGAAGUGUCCUCUCAGUUGGAAUGUCUUAUUUGGUUCGCACUUCUCUGGCGGCUAAUACCACACCCCAAAGAUCUAGGGGUUGGGAAGAUCAGAAGAAUGACGUAGUGCAACACAAUUCGGAGUGUACAACAAUUCAGCAGCAGAGGCAUUAUGCACACUAAAGCUAAAGAGUGCACCAAAGCGACAACUUUUUAAAAUUUCCAUCAUUAUCUCUAUCAAGCAUAGCACAUUAGAUAAGCUCAAUUAUUCAUUGCUGGAAACCCUUUCUUUUUUCUAGAAAGCCAAUCACUAAUUUUGUGUGGCAUAUGUGUGAUCGGACAGCUUGCAUACGCCAAGGCAGUCAUGUCUUCCUGCCUAUAUAAAGCACCCAUUUACCAACCUUACAAUUCAGGCUAAGAGUUUCAACCAACUUAGAGAGCUCUCCUCUCCAUACCUCUCCCUUCGCUCCACCAGGAGUCUAGGGUUAGAGAGAGAGAGAGAGAGAGCGAGACGAGCAAAAACAAUCUCUCGCCCCACUGUUAUACCAAGUUCGCAUCCAUCUCACUGUUAUACAUCCUUGUAUCACAAUGGGUGGCCUAUCCAUGGAGCACCCUUGGGCAUUCGCCUUCGGCCUACUAGGUAUAUUAUUCUCACCAUGAACAACAGAUGACCGACAAUUACCCCUUGUAUUAUCAUAGUUUCUUAUUACAGCUACUAUUUGUUAGUGCAGUACUAGUAGACUACUUUGUGUCGUUUGAGAUCACCCUUUUGCAGCGUCUAUCUAUAUAUCCUAUCUUUGCCACUGAUUGAUUAAUUGAUGUGUAGUCUAGUACUGGCUCUAGUGGCAUGUAGCUCGGUGCGCCAAAAACCCAAAAAGAAACAACAACAAAGCAAAUUGCUUAUGUUUUUCGAAAAGGAUAAAGCGCAUAAAAGAAAGAUGUAAAUGUGUCAUACAAUUAUCACAACUCAUCGCUAACUUUGCUAAACUUUAUGCUUUGCAGGCAACGUGAUCUCUUUCUCGAGCCUCCUGGCCCCGAUGUAAGCGACUGUCUAUGUUGGUUUUUGUUUCAUUUGAUCCUGUUAAUUAUUCUCCAUAAUAACUAACUAAUGUACUCACAAAAAUAAAAUAUUAGACCAACAUUCUACCGGAUCUUCAAGAGCAAAUCCACGGAGGGGUUCCAGUCGGUGCCCUACGUCGUGGCCCUGUUCAGCGCGAUGUUGUGGAUCUUCUACGCACUGGUCAAGACCGGUGAGGGCCUCCUCAUCAGCAUCAACGCUGCCGGCUGCGUCAUCGAGACCGUCUACAUCGUCAUGUACCUCGUCUACGCCCCCAGGAAGGCCAAGAUUUUCACAGCCAAGAUCGUCGUCCUCCUCAACAUCGCCGGCUUCGGGCUCAUCUUCCUCCUCACCCUCUUCGCCUUCCAUGGCGAGACACGCGUUGUCUCGCUCGGCUGGAUCUGCGUCGGCUUCUCCGUCUGCGUCUUCGUUGCCCCACUCAGCAUCAUUGUGAGCCCUUUUUGACCGACAAACCUCCUACUUGAGCUCAUGCAUGGCGGGACCUCUUGUACGUGCGUCAACUAAUUAACUUGAUGUGUUCCUUCCUUUCCCAGGGACGAGUCAUCAAG
This 194814-nucleotide long non-coding RNA is filed under the name Triticum aestivum (bread wheat). Its description in RNAcentral is "long non-coding RNA (TAES_LNC012660)". The stretch from base 49785 to 49853 matches the Rfam family "tRNA". Lineage: Eukaryota; Viridiplantae; Streptophyta; Magnoliopsida; Poales; Poaceae. The record is from RNAcentral.